This 214896-nucleotide long non-coding RNA is filed under the name Vitis vinifera (wine grape). Its description in RNAcentral is "long non-coding RNA (VVIN_LNC006282)". The record is from RNAcentral. Lineage: Eukaryota; Viridiplantae; Streptophyta; Magnoliopsida; Vitales; Vitaceae.
CAUAUUCCCUUGGAUCCCUGGAAAUUUCUCAAAGUUUGAGCAAUAUGAGAGGUUAAGAUUUUCAAGAGAUUCCAAAUACCCAAUGCUGCCUGGGAGUUCCUUAAUACCACUCCUAUAUAGAUAUAGCUCUCUUAAACGUCCCAUAUUGGUAAAAUACAUCUGAAAAUUUCUCAAACUUUGAACAAUAUGCAAGAGAAAGAAUUUCAAGAGAGGUUAAGGACCCAAUGCUAUUUGGGAGUUCCUUAAUAGCAGUUUUAUCUAAAAAAAGUUUCAACAAACAUUUCAUAUUCCCUCUAAUCUCCGGAAAUUUCUCAAAUUUUGAGCAACGUGAGAGGUUAAGAAAUACAAGAGAUUCCAAACACCCAAUGCUACUUGGGAGUUCUUUAAUACCACUCUUACUUAAAUAAAGCCUCCUUAAAUGUCCCAUAUAGGUAAAUGUAUCUAGAAAUUUCUCAAACUUCGAACAUCCUUCUAAAUGAAGGUCCCUAAAAAAUUUCAUAUUCUCAUGGAUCUCAGGAAAUUUCUCAAAGUUUGAACAAUUUGAGAGACUAAGGACUUCAGGAGAUGCUAAAUGCACAAUGCUACUCGGUAGUUCUUUAAUCCCACUCUCAUUUAAAUAAAGUUCCUUCAAAUGUUCCAUAUUCCCAUGGAUCUUAGGAAACUUCUUCAAGUUUUGACAUCGAUUGAGAUAAAUAACUUUAAGAGAUUCAAACCUCAUGCUACUUGGGAAACUUCGGAGCUGUUCACAUCCUCCUAAAUUCAAGUAAUUCAAUCAUUUGAGAUCACCAAUAGAUGAAUGAAGUUCAUGCAAGCUUGUACAACCUUCAAGAUUCAGUCUGUCCAAAUUUGGCAUGCAUUAGAAUUUUGGCAUUUUGACUAGCUGUUUUGAGUUACUUAGAUCAAUGCCCUUUAAUUCUUCAAGACACUGUAACAGAAGACAUUCUGUUAAUAACAAAAAUUUCUUCAACUUGAAAAUUAUUAUAAAGAAAAAAAAACAUUAAAUAAUGAUCAUACCUUAUUCCCUUUCCAAAGUUGUUUUAUGUUACUAGACUUCAAGUUGAUUUCAAUAAGGUGCUUUCCAUAAAAGUUCCAAGGUAAAGACGUCAAAGUGCAUCUUUGCCAAUGAAGAUAUCUCAAAUCAUGAGGAAAUUGAAAGUCUUUAGGAAGAAGCACUUUAUACUCCUCUCUCAUCAAACCAUCAUGAUCAUUGCAAUAGAUUUUAAGCAACCUAAGUUUCUUCAUUUUGACAAACACUUUUGUACUGAACUGUAUUUCUCUUGAUCUAGACAAGUCCAGAGAUAUGGUUUGAAUAUUUUGCAUCUCCUGGAAAACAAUAAGGAAAAAUAAGGGAACAACACAAGAUAAAAAUCCUAACUACAAUUAUAUAGACAAUAAACCACUAAAAAAUCGAUUAUAAACAUUUAAAUAACUAUAUCUAGUCAUUUAAUUCGUACCUCUUGUUUAGAAAAUGCAUCAUAAAUAUCAUCUACAUCCCACAAUCUACUCCAUUUGCAGGGGUCUCUAGGACGUUCUUCACGAAUAAUUGCCCAACCCAUUUCUUGUAUCAAGUCAUGCAUUUGUAUGAUGUUGUCUAAGAUAGUUACUAGACAUCUAUCAUGGAGAACUCUUAUGUUGCAUAUUGCAAAUAAAUUGCAACCAUCUAAUAUUCUUGACAAGAAAUCUUUGCAUUCACCUUUGAAAAAACACACAAUGUCCAGGAAAACCUCCUUUUGAGAAGGAUCAAGCCCAUCAAAACUUAUUCUAAGCACAUCAUUAAUUUCCUUCAUAGGGUUUUUUUUUCAAUUUAUCCAAUGCGCUUUUCCAUUCAUCUAUUGUCAUGCCCUUAAGAGAAGAACCUAGAACUUUAAGGGCCAAAGGGAGACCUUUAGCAUAUUGUACCAUGCAAUUUGAGAGGUUUACAUAAUCUUAUUUAGGAAUAUUUUGUUUAAAGGCAUGUUGGCUGAAGAGUUGAAGAGCUUCCUCAUAAUGUAAUUUUGUAGCGUUAUAUGUUUUAGUCACUCCAUACUUAACCAACAAAUGUUGGUCUCUGGUUGUAAUGAUAAUUGUACUUCCUGGACCAAACCAUUUAGGACUUCCUGCCACCAACUCAAAUUGCUACAAUUGAUCCACAUCAUCAAUUACAAUAAGAACCUUUUUUGAGCCAAGUCUGGCCUUUAUUAUAUUGAUUCCUUUAUUGAUAUUGCUAAACUCUAGAUCAUUCCCCACUGUAUCAUGUAGAAGUUCUUGCUGUAGUUGAAGUUGAGAACCCUUAUUGAAUGUCUCUCUCACAUCUUGAAGAAAGCUUGCACUAGUGAAUUGAUAUUGGAUCUCAUUAUAAACAAUCUUGGCAAUGGUAGUUUUAUCAAUUCCACCAGGUCCAUAGAUCCCAACCACACGAAUGUCAUUCAAGUCACUACUUAAUAAUGAUUUUAAUUCUUUUAGGCGAAAACCCAUCCCAACUAUAUCAUCGUUAAUGUGCAAAAGCUUAGAAUUCAUUGAUCUUUUAAAAAUCUGGAUAACAAUUUCCUUAAUGUGCUUUGACUCAUACCUGCCAAUUAUAAAGUACAAUUUAACACUUCAUGAGUUAUAAUGAAUUGCAAAAAGAUAACAAAUAUAAAGUAAAUUUAGUGAUAUUUACUUGAUUUUGUCAAUAAAACAAAAGUUAGGGCAUUUAGGAUGUAAAAAGUAUUAAAAGAACCCAAUAUAUUGGGCAUUUUAUAGACAAUGAGAAGGCAACAAGUUUUGAGCCUAGUGUUAAUAAGAUCACAAAACAAGCUUUACUAUACAAAAUUAUUAACUUGUUAAUUCAUGAUUUAAGACAACUAAAUCCUUACAACUUAAUUAAAUCAAAAGCACAAAUUAAGGAAGUUGAAGUUACCCAUCAUUCACAUGGAAGCCACUUAGAUUGCUUGCUUCAGUCAAGGAAUCCCUCCACCUUUGCACCUUUUUCGCAUCUACAUUUCUUUCAUGAAUGGAAAAUGCUUCUCCGAAGCUCCCUGUUUGCUUUCGCACAUCAAAAGGAUCCACGUGGUAGAACACCGGCAAGACUAUUUGUUCCAUUUCUUCCCUGCAAUCCAUGAUCUUCGCUAACUCAUCCAAACACCACUUGGAAUGAGCAUAGUUUUUUGAGAACACAACUAUGGAAAUUCUUGAUUCUUCAAUAGUUUUCAAAAGUUCUGAUUCGAUCUCCUCUCCUCUUUCAAGUUGAUCGUCUCUAAAAGUCUUAAUCCCCAUCCCAUCCAAAUUUAUGAAUAAAUGAUCCGUAAAAUUGUUGCGGGUAUCUUCACCUCUAAAACUCAAGAACACUUCGAACUCAUAUUUACGGACUGAGGUAGAAGAAGAAGAGGGUUUUUGGGUAGAGGAAGCCAUUGUUGGACAGUUUCUGGAUGAAAGCUUAGAGAGAGUUGAGGAUUAACUUGUGCUUAGUCAAUACUUGAUAUGCCCACAUAUGAAGCCAUUGUUGGGUCCUCGUAUGAAGCAAAACUGUUCUUUUUUUUUUUUUGGUAGGGGUGGGAUGGGGGGUUGGAUUGUAAAAAGCAAACAUCGAUUCUCCCAAUACAUGCAAGCAGGUGAUCGGUGGCUUUUAAAAAAAUAUAAAGAAGGACCACCCACCACAAAACCCGUCAAAGCCUUAAAUUAAAAUUUCAUAUUUCGGUAUUAUGGCCAUUGGCCCUUUCCUUUGACCAUAUGAAAGCAAAACUUCCAUGGGCAAUUUAAUAUAUAGUUUAUUCCUCCCUCCUAAAUUUUAAUUUAAAUUCAAUUAAUUUUAAUUAUUUUAUUUUUCAUAUUCUAUUUAAUAUAUUAUUAAAAAUAUAAAAAUAUCAUAAUAAUCUUAUCAAUGAGUCUUUCUUUAUUAAAAAUAAAUAAACUUGAAUAUAAAAUUGUUAACAUUUUUAAACAUAAAAAUAUAUACAUAUAUCAUUAUUUCUUUUAUAUUUUAAAUAAAAAUCAUCAUUUUAAACGCAUGCUUGAUUACUUAAAAAAUAAAAUUUUAAUAAAUUAAUUAAUUUUAAUUAUAUUAUUAUUAAAUUUCAUUUAAAUUUAAAUUUCCAUCUUAUGCAAAUUUCAUAAAUUUGAAAGCAUAUCAUAUUAAAUUUUCCAAAAUUAAAUUAUAUUUUAUGGACUUAGAAAUCUUUCAGGAACUUUAAAAAUAUUAAAGCCAUUAUAAAUUUUAUUUUAUUCAAGUUUUAAAAAUAAAAUAGUUAUGGAUUUUAUUUUAUUUGAGUAUAUUAAAUCACUUUAAAUACAUUUUAAAAUGAAAAAGUUUGUUUUGUUUGAAGUUCUUAAUUAAUUUAUUAGAGAAACAUUAAAAUUAAAAAUUGUGAGAUGUACCAAGAGUCAUUUAUUCACAAUGAUAAAAGGGAGGUGUGUGGCUUUUAAAAGAAUAUGAGGAAUGACCCACCCACCACAAAAUUCAAAAGCAUCUUUAUUUUCUAACAUUUGCAUUUUAUUUACAAUGGUAAAAGAGAAAUGAGUGGGAUGUUGAGUGGCCUUCAAAAGAAUAUAAGAAAGGAUCCGCCCACCCCAAAAUUCAAAACCACCAUUGUUUCUUACCAUUUGCAUUUGGUUCACAAUGGUAAAAAAGUAAUGGGUGAGAAGUGGCUUUAUUUAAAACAAUACAAGGACCCAUCCACCACAAAAAUUCAAAAGCACCUUUGUUUCCUAGCAUUUGCAUUCCAAACAACUUCAUUUUUUUUCUCUUCAUUCAUUUUCACUGUCCAAUGGUAGAUGGGUUCAUUUGAACCCACCAUGUUGAACAAUUGGUAAUCUACCAUUGUUAUAGGAAAGGUUGAAGGUAAUGUUUGAGCUAUUUCUUCUCUAAAAUAAAAAUAAAAACUUUCUCAUCUUGGAAAAUUCCAACAUCCUUAGCGGGUAGAAAACAAGACUUCAUAAAAUGAAAAGAUUCAUUUGUUAUUCAACACAAGGCUCCUUCCUUGGCUUUUUCCUUUGUGUAUUUUUUAUGUGACUUGGUGAAAAAUUAUUAUUUAUUUUGAGUUAUAUUAUUUUGAGUUACCAUUUGAUAGGUUGCGUUGGUUUUUAGUAAAAAAGUUUUUCAUGGUAUUUGUUUGUUGGUGUUACAAAUUCUUGAUCAUAUUAUUAUUAUUAUUUUAUCAUAAAUUAUUUUGAAUAUAAAUAUAAAUAAGAUGAUAGCUUAAUCAAUUCUUAGGUGGUAAGAUAAAGAUAAUAAUACCACAAUUCUCAUCAUAAAAAAUAUUGAAAAAAAUAAAAUCUGAAAAUGAGAAUGGUCUAACCUUGUUGUUUCCGCAUCUCUACCUAUCAAUAAAUUAAAGUACAAUAAAACAAAUGAAAAGAAAAACCUCUUAUUCAUAUUUAUUAUCUAUAAAGUUUCUUCUUUAUUCUUGAAUUAUUUAAAAAUAAAUACCACAAAUGAAAUUUAUGAAUUAGGACCUACAAAUAUUAAAUGAAAUUGAUAAUUAUUGAAAAAGAAGCUUUUUUUCCUUAAUAUUUGUCUUUCUACCACCAUUAGGAUAAUAACAUUAAAGAGGAAUUGUAAUUAUGCCUCAUUCACUACUAUUGUCAAAUUCAAAACUCUCCAAAAAAUAUUGGUAGUUUGAAGUGUCUCAAAGUCAUAUUUAAUUUAACUUUUUUGAUCUAUUUUUCCCUUUGACCAAUCAACCUUAAAUUAAAAUUUCCAUUUUUUGCUACUUUCACCGGUUUCAAUAUAGUUGCCAUGGCUCCUUUCCCUUUUGAGGGGUCCAACCCAAUAUCCCAUAUGAAGGCAAACUUCCUGACCAAUUGGGCAAUUUAAUAUAUAGUUUAUUCUUUCCUCCUAAAUUUUAACUUAAAUUUAAUUAAUUUUUUUUUAAUAUUCUGUUUAAUAUAUUAUUAAAAAUAUAAAAAUAUCAUAAUAAUUUCAUCAAUGAGAUUUUCUUUAUUAAAAAAAUAAACUAGGAUAUAAAAUUGUAUUUAACAUUUUUAGACAUAGAAAUAUAUACAUAUAUCAUUAUUUCUUUUAUAUCUUAAAUAACGAUCAUCAUUUCAAACACACGUUUGAUUACUAAAAAAAAUAAAAUUUUAAUAAAUUAAUUAAUUUUAAUUAUCUUAUCAUUAAAUUUCAUUUAACUUAUUGUGAAAAUGUAAAAACCAUCAUAAUGAUAUUUUCAAAAUGAUCUUUUUAUUUUUUAGUAUGGUAUUUAGAUAUUAUAUAUAUAUAGAUGUAUAACAUAAAAUUUAAAAAUAAAUUAAACAAUAAUUAUACAUAUAUCAUUAGUUAUUUUAUAUCCUAAAAUACAUUCAAACUACAAAGAAUAUUAUUUUAAUAAUAAAUGUGGUUAAUAAACUUAUUUAAGAAUCUGACAAAGAUUUAUCAUACAUAAAUAGUUUUCUUUAAUAAAAUGACUUCAAUAUGUAUUAUUGAAGUUAUGAUAUUAUUUUUUAAAAAAGUUUUUUCCAAUAUUUUCCAAUUAAAUAUACAAGAAAAACAUGUAUAAUAACUAGAAAAAGAUAGUCUAAUAUAUAUAGUAAAAUUAGUUCCUACUCAUUUUUAUUGUAUAAAAAAAAAAUAUUUUGGUAGAAAAAAAGUUUUAUAUAUCUAUACAUGAGGAGCUAGUGGCUACCCAUGAUAAAAGUGGUGUCAAUCACAUUCUCCUUUUAACACAAUAUUUCUUUAUUUUUUUCAUUAUCAUUUUCAUUCAAUCAUACGGGUUUUGUGUAAACAUUUAUUUCAAUGCUUUUGUUUCUCUAUGUUCUAAUACUUAUAUUAACUCAUGUAUAUCUUUCUCUUCCUCCAAUCUAAAACUAUAAAAAAUAAUGCUAAAUAAUUAUGUUUAAGUCAAAGCAUUUUACUUUGGUUAAAGAAUAUAUAGUAUAAAUAUCUUUGAAUUUGAAAAAUAAUUAUAUAAUGAACCACUAAAUUUAUCCACAAAAUAAACUUGCAAAAUGUUGCAAGUUAAAUUAUAUUUUUUUUAAUCAAAAUUGGAUUGAAAAAGAAUCUUAUGAAUAUUUUAAAAUUUACAUCUUUCUACUUUAAUAUCGUCCAAGUCACAGGUGGUGGGAAUAGUUAAAAAUAGAGUGGCGAAUAAGUGUCUAAUACUUAAGAAUUUGUCCAAUAGUUCAGAUAAAAUACUACAACGAAAAGCGAAACGCAAAUUAAAAGUGUCAAAGAAAAGGAUUUCAAAUAGUGUUUCACUUAAUAAUAUGAAAGUAAUUAUUUUAAAAGAAAAAUAAAAAAGAUGAAUGACUUCUUGUACAACCACUCUUUUCAAAUAUAUAAAAUUUGCCUAAUAAUUUAGACCAAAUAUUACAACAAAAGGCAAAAUACAGGUCAAGAGUGUAAGAGAAAAUGAUUUCAAAUAGUGCGCCAUUCAAUAAUAUGAAAGUAAUUAUUUUAAAAGAAAAAUAAAACAGAUGAAUGAUUUCUUGUACAACCACUCUUUAUAUAUACAUACUUUUGUAUUAUGCCAAAAUCAUUGUUGGCAUUGUGGGCACCCCCGUAAAUGGGGAAAACGGGCCUACCCAAAGAAAUAUCCAUUGAGUUGGGCCAGUUUGGGCCAUGAUUAAAAGCCCAUCUAGCCUAAUGGCCUAGUUGACUUAAAUAGCCCAACAAGUAAAGUUGGAAAUAGAAUGUGGGAGGACAACCCAUGGGGAGUACUAGAGGCAGUUAAUGCUUGGGACGGUAACCGCUUGAAGUGGCUAAAAAGUGGCCCCACGAUCUCCAUGCUUAUUGGUAGCUGAAAGGUAUAUGAAUACAAUUGGCAAGUCUAAAAAAAAAAAAAAAAGAUUGUAGCAUGAGAAACAUUACCUUUUCUUGAAAACCCCAACUAAUUUAAUCAUCGGAGGAAGUGAUCCCGAGGUAAAACCGAGUGAGCCUUAUGUGGUAGGUAUAAGGAAGUGCGUGACAAGGAAAUGACUAUUGCUCAAGAAAUUCUCAGCUCCAACAAGUGGUGCCGUCUAUGGGAAAAUUCUACAUUAAUGUAACGUUUUUACUUAGAGCUGAAAAGUAGACCCCCAUUUUUGUUUGGAGUUGGAAGCUUCGCAAUGAGAGAUAGUCAACUGCGGGAUUCAAUUAGUAUAAUAGCUCCUUGGAGGGCCACCACACUAGAGUUUAUUCUUGAGGGUUUCGAAAGGCGUUAAGCAGAGUAAGAGAGAAGAAUUGAAUCCAUCAUUGUCUAAACAAAGUUGCUAAGGCAAGAGAAUGCCUUGUUGCGGACACAACUUGAAGAUCAGCAUGGUCGCAUUUAAGCACUGUAUUAGUUAGUAAGUAAUCUUGAUCACUUAUGCUAUCAAGACAAUAAUGACGUGGUGGAACCUUUAGAUCGUGUAGUUCCUUUUGGUCAAGUUCCCCACAUCAUUUUAAGUUCGCAUGAAGGAUGCCGCCUAUUUGACCUCAGGAUUCCGAGAAUGCUAGUCACUGAAGGCGUAGAUGAGGUAGACAACACUCCCGGCAUGGACCCCAAUCCCCAAUGUAUUCAAAUCCUUACAGCCAACAACAAAUGAGGUUCCCCCAUGUGGAGGUUGUAGGAGGGUUGACUCGACCCUUGUCUUUGGUAGCUUGGCUCCCACAUGGGUGAUUGAAUGAGUUGCCUUUAGGAGCCACAACUCGCCACCUAAAUGAUAUGAUGACAACACCAUUCGCCCAACAUAUUUUGAUGUAUAAACCCCUGAGAGGAUAUACCAUUCCUAAGUUCGUUAUGUAUGAUGGAACGUAUGACCCCUUUGAUCAUCUGAUGCAUUAUCGACAAAUGAUGACACUUGAUAUCGACAAUGAUGAGCUUCUAUGCAAAGUCUUCCCGGCUAGUCUCUAAGGCACUACCUUAGCCUGGUUCCACCAACUUCCCCCUAAUUUCGUUCUCUCCUUUAGGGAGAUGUCAGAAGUCUCUGUAGCUCAUUAUUUGUGCUCAGCAAGGUAGAAGUUCAAUAUCAACAGCCUUUUUAAUAUGAAGAAGACAGAAAGUGAGACUUUACACUAGUUCAUGCACAAGUUCGACCAAGAAAUGCUCUAAGUAGAAACACGCAGUAUGGAUGCUCUGUUAUAAGCCUUCAAGCAUAGCAUUGGAUCAGGGAUCCCAUUUUUUGAAUCUCUCUCUAAGAAUCCACCAAAAAUGAUUGAUGAAUUGUUUAGAAGAGCUAAAAAGUAUGCUAUGUUGGAAGAGGACUUGCAGGCUGCAGCAAGUCCCGUCUUAGUGUCAACACAAGUGGCACAGACAAAAAAAGAUACAGGGAAUAAACGCCAAGGCUCGGGGAACCCUUCACAGGGCAAAAAGCCAUUUAGGGGUGGUGAGGGCCAAAGACCACCCCAACGAUGAACCUCGCUCAAUCUGACCUAUAGAUAGUUACUUCCAAUAUCCCAUAUCCCAUAUGGAAGUAGUCUUCCUCACCAAUUGAGUUACUUAACCUCUGUACAUAUAAUUGGAUACAAUUCAAUAUAUAGUUAUUCUUUCUUCCUAAACUUUAAUUAAAAUUAAAUAAAGAGUAUGUUUGGCAGUGAUUCUAGAAAACGUUUUUAAUCUUUCUAACACUUGAAUUAUAAAAAAUUUCAAGUAUUAAAAAUAUUAGAAGCAUUUCCUAAAAUCACUGUCAAACGAGCUCUAAUUUUAAUUAUUAUUUAACAAAACCUUCUGCUAGAUUUUUAAAGUAAUGGUUAAGCAUUAGUUCUUGUACUUCCGCUUUGUUGAAAUAUUAUUUUCAAUACAUAUCAUUGCAAUAAUUGCAGUAAAUAUUUUUACAUUUGGUUCCAACAUUGGUAACCUUUUCCUUAGUUAUGUUGCUUUUCCAUUUUUAAUUUUUUUUAUAUAGGACUUUAUGAGAAUUGCCCUAAAUAAUUUUUAUUUUCAAUAAUUUCUGUUUGGAUCCGAAUUAAUAAGAGAGAAAUUACCAUAAAUUAGCUUACUUCAAAUAUAAAUAAAAUGAUAACUUAUACCACUAGAAAAGGUUUGGAAGAUGGCAAACAAAUCAAUGGGUGGAAGUGGAACAAGAAUGAAAAAUAAUAAAUAAAUAAAUAGAUAAAUAAAGGGGGAAAUCCAAUUUUAUAAGAAGGAUUGACCUGGUGAUACUUGUACCAUUAAAAAAGGAUGUGGUUUGGGAUACAUCAGACAUUGGUUGGACAUUUCUUAAAAGAGAAUAUGUGAAUUAGGCUAGAAAUUAGAGAACUGAAAAUUAAGAUCAUUCAUGUCAGUAAAUGAAUAUUUUUUAAGAGAUCAAUAUUUAUUUUUGAAAAGAUGAGUUGAGGUUUUCAUUAACGAAUUCCUAGUAGUUUUUAUGGAAACAAUUAUAAAAAUCUUAAAUUUUUAAUAGUUUUUAGAAGUUUAUAGAUGUCAUUCCUAUAAGUUUAACCACAUUUCUUUCGAUAUAAUUACAAAAUUAAAACUAAAGAGAGAAUCUCAUCCUACCUUGUUUACUAUUAUUAUGAAAUUCCAAAUCUCUUUUCUUGAUAUGUUAAAGUCUAAAAAAAUUUAAUAAGUAAUAUUUAACUAAUUGCUUGGUGAAAGAACCGUCAUUACUAAUUGGAGUGGAAAAAAUGAGAACCAUGACAUAAAUUCAAGGGAAUAGCUAGAUCACUACAAAUAAUAAAUUAUGUCGAUUAUUAAAUUCUAAUAAUAUAUUAUAAAUAUGUAAAAAGAUAUACCUUCCAUCAACCAUCCUAUAUAAUGGUUUAGAAGCAUGAAAGAGGGCAAUGCAAGUUUUGUACAUAAAAUUUUAAGUUGAAUAGAGGGAAGGAAACAUGAAAAUUUCACAAAUUUUUCACGAAAUUUCCUUCAAAAACUGGUAAUGGUAAGAAGUUAAUGAAGUUUAAAUUCUAAACAUCCUUUUACAUUACAUGAUUGAUUAGUCCGAAAUAUUGUCCUUAACAUCCUCCAUGUGACCAAGUGGAGGAUCUCAUACAGUUUAUUGAGAGAUGAUAAAGACUUUGUUAGUCUUCUCUGAUUAUAAUCCUCAAAUGGCAAAAAGAGAGCAGGCAAGCUUCAUGUGCUAGUAAUAAUUUUUUUUUAUUUAGUAUUUGUUGUUUGGAUUGAAAUAAAAUCAAGGAUAUCAUAUAAAAUUAUAAUAAACUAUUAAAUAUUUUAUUACUUUUAAAUUGAUUAAGUGUAUAUUAUAUUAUACACAAUGCUAAAUUAUAGAUUCUUCAAAAAAUUAAGAAGGAUAACUAAUUAUCUUUCUAUUAAAAAAAUAAAUGGUGCCAUUAAUUGUUGCAAAAUAAUUUACAAUAUUGGAUGAUGAGUUGGCUAAUAAAUGUAGUCCAAUAAUUAAUGAAUAAAUAAAAACAUUUCUUUUUCAUUUUUUGAAAAAUAAAAAGUUUUAUUUUAAUUUCUUUUAAUCCCAUGAGGUGACUAGUAAAGGUGGUUAAGAAACCAAAUGCUUGCUCAUAUUUUGUGUUUUUCUUUUCUUUUCUUUUAAUAUUUAUAUAAAAUUUAUCUUCUUUUUUUUUUCUUUCAUGUAUUAAAAUUUUUAAAGGUGAGUUCCUUAUUUAAUAAGAGAAGUAAGUGUGUCUCUCUGUUAGAGUUUAAUAAUACUCCUUGACUUUUUAUUAUAGAAAGAUGAAUAAUUUAAUCUUAAAACAAAAACAAGUAUGGAAAAUUAUAGUAAUUCCUAUAUAAAAUGUAACGGUUGUUAGAAAUUUAUCUUGAAAAAAUAAUGAUUUUCAAAAAUUAAGUUUUUGUACAAAAUCAAGUUUUAAUUUUUUUUUAACUAUAUCAUAAAGUAAUUUUUAUUUAAAUUGAUAUAUUUUAUUUAAAUUCCUUUUAUUAUUCCACAAAUUUUCCCUUCUUUUAGUGAUAUGAAAAAUAUGCAUUAAAUGUUUAAUGAGACAAAAAUAAUAAGAAGAUGACGAUGACCCUAUAAAUACAUUGAAACAAUCAUAUAAAAAUGGUCAUCAAGCAAAAUAAUGUUUGUAAUUAACAAAAUAAUUUUUUCAGUUUAGGUUUAAGAGAGUUUAAACUAGAGCUCUCAAAGAUAGGAUUUAAUGAUACUAGUUGAAAUUAUGGUAACAUUUUUUUAUAGUAUUUGGAUUAUGAUAGACUACAUUUGUAAUUAAAAAUUGAAUAUAUCUCUUUUUAUAAGACACUAUGAAAUAAUUUGUAACAUAAUUAAAACACAAUAAAAAAAUUUAAGCUACUUUGGUCACUAUGCAUAUGAUCUUAAUAAAUAAAUGAGAAUAAUUUAUCAAUGUGUCAAAGUCAUUCUUGAAAGUACUUGUGGAUAAUUUCUAAUAAAUAAAAUUAUCCACACUUAAAAACAUACAAAUUAAAAUCAACAAUUCAAAUCAUCCAUGCUUAAAAACAUACAAAUUAAAAUCCACAAUCCAAACCACGAGUCUUUUUAAUGGUAUUCUUAUUCUGGUUCAAUACUGCAUCUCUGCCACCACUUCCAAUUCCAGGACCAAUAGCUAGUUUCCAUUAGCAUCCUGACCAAUGUUCCAUGAGUAUAUCAUAAUAUCAUAUUUAAAAAUAAAGCAAAGUAAGAGCAAAAUAAAUAUUAAUUCAUGCUUAUAAGAUAAUUAAUGCAAUUUGAAAGACAUGAUAAUCGUUUGGCCUACCAAUUCAUAAAUGAAGCUCUAAAUAAAAAUUCUAGUUAAUUGAAACAAAAAUUUUGCCAUGCCAAAAUAGCUAUUGUAAUAUGAUCUUUCUUUUUAAAUUCAAUAGUUCAUUCCAAAGAUAAAGCUUUGAUAAGGUUCUAAGAUAUUUAUUACAAAAAAUAAAGGAGUUUUAACCUUAGAUAGACCUAAGAAUACGGGAUCUCCAAAUUUGAUAAGAUUUUGGGGUAAUAAAAAACAAAUAAAUUAAAAUAAAAGUUGAAAGAAAAAAAAGAAGAAGAAAAAAACCUAUUUGAAUGACUUGAGCAUAUCUAAUCUCGUAUCAAACUUAAUAUUCUUCCAAGCAUGUAAUCUUAUUAAAAAUUGUCUAGACAUUUUUUCCACUAAUUUUGGUAAAUAUUUUAACCUUCAAUAAUAAAACCAAAGACAAAGAAGACAUACCUUGCUGAGAAGAGUUGGAAACUAGAGAUGUCUUCAGUUUUUUUGAUUUGAUUUCUUUGCAUAACAACCUUUUUAUUUUAUUGUAAUGACUAAUUAAGAAAAAUAGAAUCUCAUAAUUUUUAAUAUAUUUUAAUGACUAAAUAAAAUUAAAAAAAUGUAAAUUUAAAAUGAGAAGUCAAACUAUCUUGAUAUGGCCUCAAGGGGGCAAAGUAAAAAAGAAAAGAAAAAAAAAUCAUGAAUUAUAAUAAACAUGCAAAAAAAUUUAUAUUUCAUGAUCAUUUAACGAAAUAAGUGAUUAUUGAUAUUAGUUAUGAAACAAAAAAUAUAAAAUAAAAAAUGGAACAAAAAAAAAUUAGAUAGAGAAAAGCUUUGAUUAUUAAUAUUAGUUAUGAAAGGAAAAAACUCUGAACUAUGAAAUGAAAAAAAAAAAAAGAUAAUUGUUUCAAUUUUAUUUAAAAAUUAACUAAAAUGCAAACAAUAUUUUCAAAGGAAUUUUUUUUUAAAAAAAGAAGCUAGAAAUGUGAAUAUGAAUUUUUAAGAAUUUUACAUUUUUUAGCAAAACUUUAAAAAUUCAAUAAUUUCACUAAUAAAUUUUAAGAUCUUUUGUAAAUAAUUAAAUUGAUAAAAUUUUAUUUAAAAUUUGUUUCUAACAAUAUAAUAUAAAUGUAGUACCAUCAUGCAUGAAUAGACCUAAAAACUUAGGUAUUUUGAAAAUCAUAGGGUCAAGCAAAACAACCUACCACUAAGAAAUUUAUUUAAUAAAAUAUAAAUUAUUUAAAUAAAUUAAAUUUUAUCAACAAUUAAGUAGAAUAUAAUCUAAAUAAUCCAUCUAGUAUUUUUUUUUCUCACAUACAAAAUGAUUUUCUUAGGAGUUGAUCAAAGUUUGUACUUUUGAUUUUUAUUUUUUAAAAUUCCUAAACAAAUGAAAGAAUAUUUUGCUCCAAGCCCACCGUGCUCCGCCACUAGCCUUAAGUCAUGCUCUCACCUUUUAGGUUGUUUAUUGAUGGAUCCUACACUUUCUCACAUGAAGAAGUAGACCAAAGGGAGGACAAAAUAAUUACUAAAUUAUAGCCGUUUCAUGUAAACAAAGUUGGGAAAAUUGUGUUUUGGGCUCAUUUGAGAUAAAAAUUAAGGUUUGGUUCAUAUGACUUACAUAAUUGAUAGAAAUAAUAUAAGGUAUGAAAAGACCAAAAUACCCAUUGACCUUUCACAUAAGUUUUUUUGGUCUUUAUUGCACCACUAUUCAUGCAGUUAUAAUAAUUCUAUUUUAACCAUAUGAAUUUUUCAUUGUUUUUAAAAAUUUUUUUAUAAAUAAUUAAAAAUCAACAUUAUUUUCUAUUUUAAAUAAUAAAUAAAGAAAAAUUAAGUUGAAAAACUAUUUUAAAAAAUACUUUCUAAAAAAAUGGUAAUAUAAUUUAUAUUUUUUAUAUUUUCUUUUUGAAAAAACAUUUAAUUAAAAAAUGAAAUUAAAAAUAAAAAUUGAAAACCUUGUACUAUUUUUUUAUAUGAAAAUAAUAAAAAGAAUUAAAUUUCAUUCAUUGAUUAUCCAUUAAAUUUUAUAUGAAAAAAUUUUAUCCUGAUUUAUAAUAAGAGUAAAAAGAUUUAAUAUCUUUAAAAAAAAAAGUUAGAAAUGAGUAAUACUUAAUAGGAAAUAGAAAAGGGAAAAAAAACACAAAAAAAUAAAAAUAAAAUUGAAAUAUACGCUCACUAUAUGCCUAUGUAGGGGUAAAGGGUAUUUUAGGGAUUAAUGAAGGAUAAUAUCCUUCAACUUAAUUUUUAUACUUUAUUUAGGUUUUGACCUUAAAUGUGCAUGAUAUAUAGAUCUUUGGUCAAUUUUGAGGUCAUCUCACCUCAAAACACAAUUCUCCCAAGAUUCUAAACCAUAAAUCAAUCAUUUAAGAAAAGUAUCAUAAUUGUUAAGAUCUAAAUAUAUAAUUUUACAUGAGAAUACUCACCUUCCAUUUUGCCUUUUAAAGUGCAUGACUUUCUUUUAAAAUCAAUAAUCUUCCAAAUAUAAUACCUAAAUAAGUCCUAAAAUAUUUUUUUUAGAAAAAAAAGAAAAAAAAAAGUUUUACCUUUAAGACAGUCCCAAGUUGCGGGAUAUAUAUAUAUAUAUGUGUGUGUGUGUGAGUCGCUAGUAUACGAUUUUAAAAUUUAUUUAGAUAUUUCUUUUUUCAGUAAUUCCAUCUAAUAAAUAUAUUAACCACUCGUGAAUAAAAAAGAGAGAAGACAUACCUUGCUAGGGUUUAAAUAAAGCUUUGAUCCUUUGGAAACUAGAGAAUCCUUUCUUGGGUGGGUGAUCUUCUCUAUCACCAAGGCUUCCUCUUGACGGCUGAGGCCAAUGGAUCUGAUCUUGGGCGUACAAGAGAUGUAUCCCACAACUUUUCACUUUAAAGCAUGCGUUAUCGCCACACUUAAAAGAGCCAACACCGAUUGGAGUGUGGAAGUGAUCCUUAAAGUUGUUCCUCCUUCUGGAUCGAUACUCACUUGGAAUGUCAAUCUGAGGGAAAUACGUCACCCAAAUUGCUGGAUCUGGUGUGCUAUCACUGUCGUAGCAGUGUUUGCCAGAUAAUAAAUGACUAGCCAAGUAGGUUUUACAUUUAAAAUAAAAUGAUAUCUCCUCCAGUCGUUCAGAUUGAUCACCAUGGGAUAUUGUCAAUUCACAAUGUGGAAUACUACCUUCUGUUGUCUCACAUUCAUCAUCAUCAAGGGGAACAUGAUGGAAGAAUAGAACAAAUCCCAAGAAGUUGUCAUCUUCAUACCAAUUCAUUGGGAGCUCUAUACUUACUUCACAUCCCAUUCUCUGAUGGCUUACCCACUCUGGUAUUCCAUUACUUCCUGGAAGUAGAAUACUAAAUCUUUGCGGAUAAAAAUCCAGGUCCAGAAAAAAAUUCGGCUCAAAAAAUUCUGGCUGCAGAAAAAAUGUCAUGUAAGUUUUUGUUUUAAAAAAAAGAAAAAAGAAAAAAGAAAAAAUAAUUAUGCCAUGAAACUGAUACCUGAAUUGGUGAUUUGAAGCGUUUGAGCAAAGAAGACCAGAGUAGACUUGAGAAAGUUUCAGUUUCCAGGGAUGGACAACCAUGUGCCUCCAUCACUGUUAAACUUGAUGGAACCUCUCCAAUUUCUUCAAGCAUCGGGCAGUGAUUCAUGAAAAGGGCUUUGAGCUUAGAAAGUUGAGUGAUGCCAGCAGGUAUGCAACGAAUAUGGUUUUCACUUACAUCUAAAGAUACCAGUAAGGAUAAGCACCACAAAUCACUGGGGAUUUCUCCUUCCAUCAGAUUGCAACCACCUAGAUCUAGCCACAGUAAGCAACAUUGCAGGCUUCUCAAAUUGUCAGGCAAGUUGCGGAGCUUUGUACAGUUACGAACACGAAGAGUAGUAAGACAUGUCAAACUACCAAUGCUAUUGGGAAGAGCCACAAGGUUCUCACAAUUGAUUAAUUCCAAAGAUUCAAGACCUCUCAGGUGUCCAAUUAAUGAUGGCAGCUCUGUUAUACCCGUUUCACGUAAAAAAAGGUGUUCUAAUCGUUCCAUAUCCUCUGUGAUCUCUGAAAAAGCCUCUAGAUUUGAACAACCAUUGAGAGAGAGGCGUUCGAGGGAUUUCAACCCACAUAUACUAUUUGGAAGACUUCUCAAGUUUCUACAAUUUUCCAAAUCUAACCAUUUAAGUCUAGUGAGAUGACCUAUAGAGCAAGGUAAUUCUUUAAUAGGAGUCUCAUCUAGAAAAAGAGCCCAUAGCUUCCCCAUCUGGAUCUCAGGAAACCUCUCAAAAUUUGAGCAACCACUGAGAGCAAGACUUUCAAGGGCCUGCAAGCACCCAAUGCCAUUUGGGAGUUCCUUAAUAGCAGUAUUCUCUAAACAAAGCUCCUUCAAGCAUUUCAGAUUCCCUUGGAUCUCUGGGAAUUUCUGAAAGUUUGAGCAAUAUGAGAGAUUAAGAAUUUCAAGAGAUUCCAAAUACCCAAUGCUGUUUGGGAGUUCCUUAAUACCACUCUCACGUAAAUAUAGCUCCCUUAAAAGUCCCAUAUUGGUAAAUAUAUCCGAAAAUUUCUCAAACUUCAAACAUUCUUUAAGAGAGAGAAUUUCGAGAGAUGUCAAAGACCCCAUGCUAUUUGGGAGUUCCUUAAUAGCAGUGUUAUCUAAAUAAAGCUCCUUUAAACAUUUCAUAUUCCCUUUAAUCUCUGGAAAUUUCUCAAAUUUUGAGCAAUAUGAGAGGUCAAGAAUUUCAAGAGAUUCCAAAUACCCAAUGCUGCUUGGGAGUUCUUUAAUACCACUCUCACCUAAAUGAAGCCCCCUUAAAUGUUCCAUAUAUGUAAAUGUAUCCGAAAAUUUCUCAAACUUUGAACAUCCUUCUAAAUGAAGCUCCCUCAAAAAUUUCAUAUUCCCAUGGAUCUCAGGAAAUUUCUCCAAAUUUGAACAAUUUGAGAGAUUAAGGACUUCAAGAGAUGCUAAGUACACAAUGCUACUCGGUAGUUCUUUAAUCUCACUCUUGUUUAAAUAAAGCUCCUUCAAAUGUCCCAUAUUCCCAUGGAUCUUAGGAAAUUUCUUCAAGUUUUGACAUCGAUCAAGAUAAAGAACUUCAAGAGAUUCAAACUUCAUGCCAGGUGGGAAACUUUGGAGCUGUUCACAUCCUCCCAAAUUCAAGUAAGUCAACCUUUUGAGAUCGCCAAUAGAUAAAUGAAGUUCACGCAAACUUAUACAACCUUCAAGAUUUAGUCUCUCCAAAUUUGGCAUGCUUGAGAAUUUUGGCAUUUUGACAAGUUGUUUUGAGUCACUUAGAUCAAUGACCUUUAAUUUUCCAAGAAACUGUAACAGAAGACAUUCUUUUUAAUAAAUUUUUUUUGCUUCAACUUAAAAAUUAAUAUAAAGAAAAAAAGCAUUAAAUAAUGAUCAUACCUUAUCCCCUUUCCAAAGUUGUUUUAUGUUGCUAGACUUUAAGUUGAUUUCAACAAGGUUCUCUCCAUAAAACUUUGAAGGCAAAGACCUCAAAGUGCAGCCUUGCCAAUGAAGAUAUCUCAAUUUAUGAGGAAAUUCAAUGUCUUUAGGAAGAAACACUUUAUACUCCUCUCUUGUCAAACCAUCAUGAUCAUUGCAAUAGACUUUAAGCAACCUAAGUUUAUUCAUCUUGGCAAACACUUCUGUAGUGAACUGCAUUUCUUUUGAUGUAGACAUGUCUAGAGAUAUGGUUUGAAUAUUUUCCAUCCCCUAGAAAUCAAUAAUAAAAAAAUAAGGGAACAACACAAGAUAAAAAUCCUAACUAUUAAUUAUAUAGACAAUUAACCAUUAAAUUUAAAUAACUAUGUUUAGGCAUUUAAUUCGUACCUCUUGUCUAGAAAACGCAUCAUAAAUAUCAUCUACAUCCCACAAUCUACUCCAUUUGCUUGGAUCUCCAGGAUAUUCAUCACGAACAAUUGCCCAACCCAUUUGUCGUAUCAAGUCAUGCAUUUGUAUGAUGUUGUCUGAAAUAGUUAUUAGACAUUUAUCAUGGAGAAUUGUUAUACCAUGUGUUGCAAAUAAAUUGCAACCAUCUAAUAUUCUUGACACAAAAUCUUUGCAUUCCUUUUUGAAAAACCACGCAAUGUCCAAGAAAACAUCCUUUUCCAAAUUAUCAAGCCCAUCAAAACUUAUUCUAAGCACAUCAUUAAUUUCCUUCACAGGGUUUUUUUUCAAUCUAUCUAAUGCACUUCUCCAUUCAUCUAUUGUCAUGCCAUGAAGAGAAGAACCUAGAACUUUGAGGGCUAAAGGAAGACCUUGAGCAUAAUCUACCAUGCAAUUUGAGAAGUCUACAUAAUCUUCUUUAGGAACAUUUUGUUUAAAGGCAUAUCGGCUGAAGAGUUGAAGAGCUUCCUUAUAAUGUAACUCUGUAACCCUAUAUGGUAUAUUCACUCCAUACUCACCCAACAAAUGUUGGUCUCUGGUUGUUAUGAUAAUUCUACUUCCUGGACCAAACCAUUUAGGACUUUUUGCCAAUGACUCUAAUUGCUUCAAAUGAUCCACAUCAUCAAUUACAAUAAGAAUUUUUUUUGAGCCAAGUCUGCCUUGUAUUAUAUUGAUUCCUUCAUUGAUAUCACUAAAUGCUAUAUCUUUCCCUAGUAUACCACGAAGAAGUUGUUUUUGUAGUUCAAGUUGACAACCAUUUUUAGAUCUCUCUUUGACAUCUUGAAGAAAGCUAGCACCAGAAAAUUGACAUUGGAUCUCAUUAUAAACAAUCUUCGCAAUGGUAGUUUUACCAAUUCCACCAGUUCCAUAGAUCCCAACCACACGAACAUCAUUCAAGUGACCACUUAACAAUAAUUUAAGUUUUUUUAGGCGAAAAUCAAUCCCAACUAUAUCAUCAUCAAUGUGCAAAAGCUUAGGAUUCAAUCUUUUCAAAAUCUCGUUAGUAAUUUCCUCAAUAUGCAUUGACUCAUACCUGCCCAUUAAAAAGUACAAUUUAACACCUCAUGAGCUUUAAUGAAUUGCAAAAGAUAACAAAUAUGAAGUAAAUGUAGUGAUGUUUACUUGAUUUUGUCUACAACAAAAGUAAGGGCAUGUAGGAUGUAAAGUACUGUAAUGGACCAAAACAUAUUUGUUAAAUUAUAUAUCUAAGUACAAUUCCACUAAUGUUAUAACAAGUGUACGUGCCAGAGAAUAAAGUAGAGGAAAAAUAUGAGAUACUACUUGUAUUGGCUUACGCUACUCAAUGGCUUGGAAGGUUUAUUAGGAAGUUAAUCUAUCUAGGAUAUUAUUAUAUUUAACCCUUGUUUGUAAGAAAUUCUAGUGUUGGGGCAUUAGUGGGGACAACUACUAUUUUCCACCGUGUCAAGCUGCCAUUUUGUCAUCAAGCUUACCAAUCUAAUAAAGUUUUUUUUAAAAAAAAAAGAAAAGAAAAAAAGAGAGAGGAAGAAAUAGCUUUUUUAUUUUAAAAAAUAAGUUGCUCUUGAUCCAAUCACAGUUCUAUUGAUCUAGAGAUUCUAUCCACUUUCAAUCACUGGGUAAGUUAAAAUGGUUGUGUCCCCUUUUUGCCAAAAGAGAUAAUAUUAGUAGAAAAAUUUUAGAGUUCUAAUUCUUUGUUGACAAAGAUUGCUAAUAAUAGGUUGUUUGUUUUUUCAAUUAAGUUUUAAAGUAAGUUGCUUUAAGACUUAUGAUAUUUUUUUAGUUACUUAUUUUUUAAGACAAUUUGGUCUUAAUGAAAAAAUUAAUUUUUUUAACUUUUGUCUUUACAAUAAAAAGUUGUUUUUCCUCCCUUCUUUUAUUUUUUUUUUUUCAAAAAAAUAAUUUUGUUAUAAUACUUAAAUCUUUAUUUUUUUUAAACUAUGCUCACAUCUAAUUUCUUAUAUAAAUAAUGCCAAAUUUAUUUUUUAAAAUUUUGGAUAGCUCUAUGUUUUAGAAACAAAUUAAGCUAUUGUAACUUUAUUGAACUUUAAUGGGUAAUAAAUUAGUAAAGCUGUCAUCAAGAAAAAAUCAACAUGAUUGAAAUAAAUUUUACGUUUAUCUAUUCUUUCUGUGUUCUCAAGAAAAUUAGAUCUAAAAUUAUCUUAUAAAUUGUUGUGUAAAAAUGAAACUAAUAUAAAAAAUCACUUAAUCUAGAUAAGAAAUUAAUAGCAAAUAAAUACACAAAAUUCCAAAAUCAAACUGACAUGCCAACAUAAAAAUCACUUAAUUUGGAUAUAAAAUUAAUAAAAAACAAGUACACAAUAUCCAAAAUUCCAAAAUCCAAACUGAAAUUCUACCAUAUUGGCCAAUAUUUUUACCUCAUAAUUUAUCCAAUUCUUUGUAAAAUUAAUUUUCAUAAAUUUCUAUAGAUCCUUCAUUUAGGAAUGAAAAUGAUAACACUAAAAUCAUAAAAUUUGAUUAGAAAUUAAUUUAAUAUAAGUUUUUAGAAUUCAACCUCUUAUAUCUUAUAACAAAUCCAAAAUAAGUUGCAUCAAUUCCAAUGAAAAUUUUAGAACCUCAAAAGAUAAUUUACACUCAUCUAAAUUUUCAUAAAAAUCAAUAAUUUCAAUUGAUUUUAAAAAAAUAAAAAAUUAGAAUUUGAUACUCUUUCCUAAAUUAAAAACUUAAAAACUAAUCAAUUAAUCUCAAUAAUGAAACACAUAUUUUAAUUAUAAAUCCAUAUGAAAAGUAUUAACUUAGAAAAUUUUCUAAUUGGACAAUAAUUUAUCCACUUAUCAAAAUUUAAACAUGUUACAUAAUAAAUUAUUUUAAUGUUUUUAGUAAGGUAAUAAAUUAUAAUGUGUUGAGAUAUUUGGAAAUAUGUACAAUUACUAUUUUUGAAAUUAAAAUAAGAAAAAAUUAAUAAUUAAUUUCAUAGAUGUUUUAAAUAUGUAUAAAACCAAUAUUUAGCAUUCAAACAUAUAUAAAAAUAAAUAACUAAUACUUAAUGAUAUUCAGAUAUAUUCAGACUUAAGAAAUUCAUAUAAAAACCAAAUGUCACCUUUGGUGAAAAAAUGAUUAUAAAACAAAAUUAGAAGCUACUAUAAGUUGUUGAUUUAAGACGGAUCUAAAUUAAUAACUUGUUAAUUCAUGAUUUAAGACAACUAAAUCCUUAUAACUCAAUUAAAUCAAAAGCACAAAUUAAGGAAGUUGAAGUUACCCAUCAUUCACAUGGAAACCACUUAGAUUGCUUGCUUCAGUUAAGAAAACCCUCCACCUCUGCACCUUUUUCUCAUCCACAUUUCUUUCAUGAAUGGAAAAUGCCUCUCCGAAGCUCCCUGUUUGCUUUCGCACAUCAGAAGGAUCCACGUGGUAGAACACCGGCAAGACUAUUUGUUCCAUUUCUUCCCUGCACUCCAUGAUCUUCGCUAACUCAUCCAAACACCACUUGGAAUGCGCAUAGUUUCUUGAGAACACAACUACGGAAAUUCUUGAUUCUUCAAUAGUUUUCAAAAGUUCUGAUUUGAUCUCCUCUCCUCUUUCAAGUUGAUCAUCCCUAAAAGUAUUAAUCCCCCUCCCACCCAAAUUUACGAAUAGAUGAUCCGUAAAAAUGGUGCGGGUGUCUUCACCUCUAAAACUCAAGAACACUUCGAAGUUAUAUCUAUGGAUUGAGGUCGAAGAAGAAGAGGGUUCUUGGGUGGAGGAAGCCAUGGUUGGACAGUUUCUGGAUGAAAGCUUAAAGAGAGUUGAGGAUUAACUUGUGCUCACAUGUAAAAAGCAAACAUCGGUUCUGCCAAUGCAUGCAAGCAUGUGAUUCUUUUUCCAUUCUUUGGGAGUUUUAUUCACAAUUGUGCGAAUGAGUGGAAAGGUGGGUGGCUUUUGAAAAAAUAUAAUGAAGGACCCACCCUCCACAAAAUUCAAAAGCAACUUUGUUUCCUAGCAUUUGGAUAUCGAAAAUGUCGUUCAAGUAUAACAACAUUUCCAUGAUAUAUCGAGCUUCUCAAGUGUUCAGGAAUAUUGGGCAAUAUUUCCACGCUAUAUGUAGCUUUGGUGGGCUUGAACAGGACAUAACGUGGAGAGAUUUCCCUUGGUCUAUUUUCAGGGCUUUUUUUCUCAUCUGACAUUCUUUUUCCGAUUUUCCGAUACUAUCGCCAUGGGCCUUUUUCCUUUGACCAAUCAAAGCCUUUCGAUAUUAUCACGAUGGGUCAUUGAUGUUAUCGCCAUGUGUCCUUUCCCCUGUGACACGUCAAAGCGUUGAAUUAAAAUUUUGAUUUUUCGGUAUUAUCACGAUGGGUCAUUGAUAUUGUCGCACGUCCAAGCCUUAAAUUAAAAUUUUGAUUUUUCUAUAUUCCUUUGACCAGUCAAAGCCUUUCGAUAUGAUACGAGGGGUCAUUGUUAUUAUCGCCAUGUGUCCUUUCUCCUGUGACACGUCAAAGCCUUAAAUUAAAAUUUUGAUUUUUCGGUAUUACUUUGACCAGUCAAAGCUUUUCGAUAUUAAGAUUAUCACGAUAGGUGAUUGAUAUUAUCGCCAUGUGUCCUGUCCCGUGCGACACGUAAAAAGCCUUAAAUUAAAAUGGGAGAAUUGUGUUUUGGUACGAACCUAAAAUUAACAUUUGAUCUAUAUAACUUUCACUUUCAUAAUUGAUGGAAAUAAUAUAAGAUAUUAAAAGAUCAAUAUAUCCUUCAAAUUUAUAUAUAUAUUAGCUUUUAAAGAUAAAAUACUAAUGGAUUAAAAUACUCAAUGACCUUUCACAUAAGUUUUUUUGUCUUUAUUACACCACUAUUCAUGCAACCAUAAUAAUUCUAUUUUAACAAUUUGGAUUUUUCAUUGUUUUUAAUUUUUUUUUAUAAAUAACUGAAAAUCAACAUUAUUUUCUAUUUUAAAUUAUAAAUAAAGAAAAAUUAUGUUCAAAAACUAGUUUAAAAAAAUACUUUCUAAAAAAUGGUAAUAUGAUUUAUAUUUUUUAUAUUUUUUUUGAAAAAACAUUUAAUUAAAAAAUGAAAACUAUUUUUAAAAAUAAAAUUUGAAAACCUUGUUUAGCAAUAUUUUUUAUAUGAAAAUAAUAAAAAUAAUUAAAUUUCAUAUAUUGAUUAUCCAUUUUUAUUUUUUUCCAUUCGUUAUUUUAAUAAUAAAAAAAAUAGUAUAUUUACAAUUAAACAAAUAAAUUGAUCAAUUACGUUUUUUGUGGGACUGUCUUUUACAUGAAAAAUAAUUAAAUAACUAAAUUAAAUAUAUUUAUUACUCUUUUUAAUUGUAUUUUCUUUAUUUAUUUUUUGUCUUAUAGAAAAUUUUAAUAUAUCCAUAAUUAACAAAGUAAUAAAUCAAUUAUGCACAUUUUAAUCUAUUAAAAUAAAUUACUUUCUAAUUUAAAUAAAUAAAAUGAAAUAAGUAAAUAAAUUUGAGGUUAUUUCUAUUUUUUAACAUAUCUUAUAUCAAUAUUUUUUAUGGUUAAAUAAUUUUUUUAUUUUUUAUUUCUUUAAUUCCAAAAAUAAAAUGAAAUAAAUAAAUAAAUAAAUUUGGUAUUUUCUAACUGGUCUUAUAUUCAUAUUUCUUAUGGUUAAAUAAAAUUUUUUUUAUUCUUUUUUCUUUAUUUCAAAAAAUAAAAGGAAAUAAAUAAAUAAACUUGGCUUAAAUAAUAGUUUUUAAAUAAUUUCUUGGUUUUAAUUACAUUUUACAUUGAAAAUAAAAUAAAAUAACGUUUUAUUUGAGUCAUUGUACAAGGUAUUUACACUAAGUGUACAUGACAAAUACACUAAUUGUAUAAGGGUAUAUAAGACUAUUAAUUAUGAAGAAUUUUAAGUGAUUCUGAAAAACUUGUUUGUUUAUUUCCUCUAAUCGAGGAUAAAUGACAUUCCUUACACACAUUGGUUAAGCAUACAUUCAUCUCAUGCACUUUAUCUAACUUGUAUAUGGUUAUUUGAAUAGGUAUCUCACUUAUGAUGAUUGUAAAACAAAAUUAUACAACAAUUUUUCUUAUUUUUUAAAACCAAACCAAUGUAAACAUGGUUAAUCGACCUAUUGUUAGAUAUUCAUGAGAUGAUGUAUGAAAUUUGAGUUAUUGUACAAGGGUAUUACACUAAUUGUACAAGACAAAUUUACUAAUUGUACAAGAGUGUACAAGACUACUUUUUGUUAAGGAUUUCAAGUGAUUUUGAAAAACUUUCCCAUUUAUUUCCACUCAAAGAGUUUUUUUCCCCACUCAAAUUCUCUCACUCAAGAAUUGUUAUGAAUUUUAUUUUUAAAUUUCAUCAUCAAAAUUUUGUAAUUGCAGAUUUUAUUUUUGUAGUUUUAGCAAUGCUUUUUUUUUUUUGUAAACAUAUUCUAUUACAUUUCAAGUAAAAAAUUAGAUAAGUUUGAAAGUCAAUAAAAAAAAUUAAAUAUCACUUUCAAUAAUUUUUAGAUAAAAUUUUAUAUAAUAAAUUUUAUUUGAAAUUAAAUUUCUAAAGUUUCACUAAAAAAUUGUAUUGACAAUUUUCUUGUUGUGAAUCAAAAUACUUUGCAUUAGUCUAUCUAGAUAAGAAAAAUUAUUAAUAUAAUAUUAAAACUUCAUAUCUUAGUUAUUUUUUUCAAUAAAUUUAUCUUUUUAAAAAUUUUAAAAUAAAAACAUUAAAAAUUAAAAAACUAAAAGGAUAUAUAUAUAAAAUAAAGUGAAGUGAUAGUCAAUUUUAAAAUUUUUUAAAAUAUGGUUAAUGUAGAAAAUAUAAAAAAUAAUUAAAAAUAAGAGAAAAAUAUAAAUGAAAGGGUAAUAUAAAUUUAAAAUAAAAAAUGAAAAUUAAACUAAAAGAUAAAAAAUAUUUGGAUGAAAAAUCCCAAAAUUUUUAUCAUUGCUUAUAAUAAGAGCAAAAAGACUCAAUAUCUUUAAAAAUGAAAAACAAAAAAACAUUAUUGCUUUUUAUUUGACAUAAAAUAGAAAUAUAGAUUGGAAGAAAAAAAAAAGGUUAGAAAUGAGUAAUACUUAAUAGGGAAUAGAAAAGGGAAAAAAACACAAAAAAAAUUUAAAUUCAUACUCACUUGUCCUUGUGUAAGGGUUAAGGGUAUUUUAGGGAUUAAUGAAGGACAAUAUCUUUCAUCUUAAUUUUCAUACUUUGUUUGGGUCUUGGGCUUAAAUAUGUAUGAUAUAUGAACCAAAUGUUAAUUUUUGGGCCAAACUGGGCUCAAAAAUUAAGUUUUGGUCCAUGUAACUAAACCAUUUAAGUUGAAAACCUAUAGAAAGUGUCAAAAUUGAGUAGAAGGAUAUGCACUUAUUAAUUCCUAAAAUAACCUUUGCUGAUUGUGAAAAAAAUAAUAAUAAUAAACCAAAAUAUCUAGGUUCGAAUUUUGCCCUAAUUUUGCUCUCUCUUCAGCAUUUCAACCCUAGACAAUCGUUUUCUUCUCUUCCUCCAGAUUUCCUCCAUCGCUUGCAUCUCAUCUUUGUGCCUCUUUCAUUUUUGCUCGCAUUCGUCUCUCUCGAAAAUUUGAAUUAAGGCGAAAUAUAUUAUUUUAAUCAAGCUCUCGAUUUCAAUUGGGUGUCUCUUGUUCCAUCAUCAAUCCGCAUCGGUGUUGCUGUUCGUGCCGAGCGUCGUUGGCUAUUUGAGGUUAGUAGGUUCUUCAAAUUUGUUUUCUCUCAAUUUCGUCUUUGCCAAGAAUUUGAUUUCAUCCCAAAAUACAUUGAUGUAAUCUCUCUCUCGAUUGCAGUUCGGCGUGUUCGUCUCGGUGCAGACUCUUGUUGCAUAUUUGAGGUUAGUAGAUUGCCUAAAUCUCAGCCUAGAUUUUCUUAGUCCUAUAUUUUGUUUAAUCCUCAUUGGUAUGAGGAGAGGGAUUCUUGUUUUCUGCUAACCUUUAAUUUACGAAGUGAAUGUUGAGUGUUAUUUUAAGGACAUUAAAUGAACAGUUGAGGCAAAGUAGGUGACUUGGAAUUCCUUGCUGCAGAAAUAUCUUGGAAAGGGAUUUCCAUACUCCGUAAUUCUAAAUAAGACAUUGUAGAUUUGUGGUAAUGUUUUAAAAGAGAAAAUUUUUGCUUUUGGAGCAUUGUUAUUUUGAAAAAUAUUUUGGUUGGAAAGACUUCAAAAUCUUGGUGGAAUAGCAGCACAAAAUUGGAAUUAACUCUUUGAUUUUGAUAGAUCUCAUCUCAAAUGCCCAAAGUUGGUAGUCAGACAGUUUGAGUUAUUCUAAGUUGUGCUAGUCCAUCUACAAGUUGUAUACCAGUAGGAGGAAGUAUGCCUUUGUUUGUAGCUUAUGCUAGAGCUAUCAAGAGAAAGAGUUAUAAAGUUGAAACUUUUGAAAUCAGCCAAGUCACUUUAUACUGCAUGGUCAAGGAAUCUGAUUCAACCUAAAUUUUUCUUAUGGUGCCUUGGCUUGAGAUGUAGGCACAAGUAACAGAUUUAUCUCUUUUUAUUUAUUAGUUUUUUUGACCCUUAAACCUUAAAUGUGUUAAACUAUUGUUUAUGGUUUUGUAUGAAUCAUCUAAAGUAAGACAUGAUAGUUUAGAAGAGAAUUUUGCAUUUGUUGCAUUUUUUAGGCUAUUAUCUCUUCAUAUUAUUUUGCAAAGCAACGCUUUAUAAUUAAUAUUUAAAUAUCUCCAUUCUCUUUGAAUAAGUUUGUAGGCAUGUCUGAUAUAGUAGUACCAAUAGAAAUUGUCUAAGGGUUUGAGUGAGAAUGAGAAUUUGUUUUCUACCUAGUGUAAGUACAGGUCAGAGCUUAAUAAAACAUGGAGGAUUAAUAAAAUGUGUGACUUUGCUGAACACUUGACCUUCUAGUUUUGAAUUCUGUUUACUUGCUUUGUAGAUCACCUUGAGGAUCAAAUAAAAUUUAAAUAGUUGGUAAUAGUUAAAGCCCAUUUGCACAAUGUUUUUUCCUUUAUUUAGAAUUUCUUUUGAAAAUGGGUUAUUAUCAAGUUUUUAUGAAAUAUUCUUAAUAAUAAUUGAAAAUAUAAAAACUAUUUUUGAAUUUUUGGGUUAGUAUAGUUUAUAAUAUCUUCAUAGAAAAUAAGCUAAGAAAAAUACUUUAUAGAAAAGAUUUUAUCUCUAAAACUAAUUAAAAAACUGUUAUCAAAUUUUCAAAUAAGCCAAACAAGUUGUUGGUUUGAUCUGGAUCAUAUUGACCAAGGGUCAUCUGUUACUGGAAUUUAUAAGAGAAAAAGAACAAGCACAACCAAUCCUAACCCUUUUUUUUGAAUUCUUCCCUUUGUUAUUUAUAUUUUUAGAUUUUGAUUGGUAAUGUUUUUAAAAAGUAAUUUUAUCCUAACAAGUUUUUUUCCUUUUUUUCUAUUUUUUAAAUUAAGUAUUUGAUAAAAUUUGAAAAACAUUUUUAAAAAAGUAAGAUUUUAUUUAUAGUGUUUUUCUCCCAAAAGUAGUUCUAUUUCCAUUAAGAAUAGUUUGAAAAGAAACAUGUCGUAAAAUAAUUCUAUAGAAAAUGUCUCCACUAAAAUUGCUUAGACCAUGGCCAUAAAAUUCAUUUUGAAAAUAAUUUUAAGGCACUUAUUAAAGAAAUCUUGAAUUUGGAUUUGUCAAAACAUGAAUUUAAAAAUUGAUAAUGCUAAAAUUUACUUUACUCUGCAUAGAUAUAAUAUUUGGGAAAAAGAAAAUCAUUACCCCUUUGAAUAGAUUUAAAAAUUGUUCAUUUUCAAAUGGAAAUGGAUUAAAAGAAGACCAGCUAUUAAUAGCUUGUUGGUGCAACCCUGGUGUCCUCAUAUGGUGACCUAAUCAAUCAACUGCCCAUAUGUCAAUUGCCCUAACCAUAGGUUCACAAUCUCUUUUCAAUCAAUUUUAAAUUAUAAAAAUAAGUUUUAUUUAUUCCCAUUUGUCCCUCAAUUUAAGGGCAAAUAAUGGGUAUUUGAUAUUUUCGGCUCAUUAGUUUUUAGUAGCUUAGGAAUAUAUUUAAUUAUAAAUUUUGUUAAUUUAAAUUCAGGGUUGGGAUUAGUUUUUUCGAGUAUUGAUGUCAUAUAUUUAAAUUUUUUAUUAAAAAAUUAAAUAGUUGAAAAUAUAAAAAAAUUAAUCCUUGUGAUGAAAAUUUUUAAUUUAAAAUUUAAGAUUUGAAAUUUUGAAAUAUAUAUAUAUUUCUUAAUGGAAGCGGGUGGUGAGUGGUUGGCAGUAGGAGAGAAUGGUGUAAGCAAAGAAGGUAGGUUGGGUGGUGAUAGCAGAGAGAGUGGGUCGAGUAUCUAAAAAUAUCAAGUCAACAUCUCCAUAUGUGAAUGUUAACGAGGUGGAGUGCAGUGUUUUAUGCUUGGAAUUUUUUUUAUUGCAUGAAGGUUCAAUAUUUAGAUUUAUGUUUAACGACGGUCUAUUGGUGCAGGUAUUCUUACCGGUUCUUAUAAAGAACCGUUGGACACUCUACGUAUAUGACCUAUCAAACAAGAGAAUCCAACUACUAAAUUCUCGUCCUAGUAGGAAGAAGACAACUUUGAGUGGAAUACAACAAAAUUUGGUAAAGUAACAAGUAACAACUAACAAUUUGUUAGGUAUGUCUUCCUAUAAAAAUCUCAACUGUUGCAUGAAUAAAUGUUUCAGGCUAUGGUUGUCCUAUGGUUGGCUGCACACAAGAAAGAGGUAUCACCUUAUGAAUUAAGGACAUUCAAUUUCCUAACACCUGAUGUACCCCUCCAACCUAAUGAGUGAGUGUUGACCUUGCAGUCCGGGAUGAUGUUAAAAUGGAUUGCAACUUAUUUUAAGUUCCUCUAUUAUUUAUAAUUCCACACUGAAUAACGUUUUGGUCAUGAUAUUGAUGUAGGCACGAUUGCAGAGUGUUUGUAAUGAAAUUCAUGGAGUUGCGAUCAAUGGGUGGGUUCUCCAAAUCAAUCUAUGUGUUACGUAGGAGGAAUUAUGUAUUAUCCUCUCAUUAAUCUUAAAAUAGUUAGAAAAGCCUAAUUAAUUAAUUUGUUGAUUUGUUGCUAUAAACUUGAAUGAAUGUAAGGGAAAUUGAAACAUUAUAGGUUGAAGAUUAUGGGGAGUUUGUUAUUUUCACCAUAGAAUGCACACCGACAACGUGUCCGGAGGGAUUAAUGGGGAUUGUAAUUUGUGAUGGACUGUAUAAAGUUAGCACAUUUGCAUGUAAUUUAUGGUGGACAAACGUAGUUCUUUAAAUGUUUUUUUAUGGUGCCACAUGUAGAAAUGAACACUGGGAGUAUGGGAUUAGUAGGAGUUUGAUUGUAUUUUGACUUAAGUUGAUUGUCAUUGCAUUAUAAGUGAACAGGGAGAAUUAAAGCCUUCAUUUGUGAUUGUAAAUGUAUGUUCAUUGUUACAUGAACCUAAUGUAAUUGGAAUUAUACAACAGAAUGAAAGACCCUACUCUUUGUCACUCUUAGAGGGUGCAUGAUGCUUGUAUUUGUAGGAUAAUUUGGAAUGUAGAGAAGCAAUUUUAUACAAAGACCAACAAUAAACAAUUUAGACAGCAACUUCGUAAUUGAGUUUUUUAAAUUGAUUUUUAAACAUCAAUUUUAUGGAUAACCUUGAAGCCUUUGAGUAUGGGAAUUUUCAUGUGAUGAUUGUAGCCUUGGAAAUUAGUGUUUGCUUGACAUUCUUAAGACAAUAGAAAAACUUUAGUCCUCACAACUGGGAGCUCAGAAACUUUAGUUACAUUUUAAGCUUGGAGUUUCUCUACCCAUACUAGACUGUAGGAAUACAAAAUUAAGAAUACAUCAAUUUUCACAUUUGCGAAUUCCAAAAAAUUAUUACAACUCAUAUCCAACAUACAUAUAUGGCCCAAACAAGUAUAAUACUGAUAAAAAAAUUCAACAUUUGUUUUUCUUUUUUCACUCGAGCACUUAAGAUAGAAAACUCAAUAACAUAUCUUAAAUCAUUAAGAUAUUUGGCAAAACAACAUAAUAUAACAACUUUAGAAAUAAAAUAAGUGAUAAGUUCAAAUAAUUAACUCUUUUUAAAUCCCAAAUAUCAUUGACCUUAAUAAUCCAUGUAGGUUUUCCUCUUUUUUUUUUCUUUUUAUAUAUCUAAUUAUUUCAUUAAUGAAACAGACGUGUCAAUUUAAUAGUAUUAAAAAGAACAAGUUCAUUUUUUAUAAAUAAUCUUAAUACUUAAAAGAAUUAAAUAGUAAGUUUUAGAAGUUCAUAACUUUAAAAGCAUAAUUCAACAUUAAGUACUAAGUUUGCUUGCACAUCCACUUAGUUCCUAUACAUACAAGAGAAAACAGAUGAUAAUAAAAUAAAACUCUAAACUCAAUACAUUACUUUCUAAAAUUCACCUAGUGUUUUCCUAUUGCCACCCAAUUGAGCAGAAGAUACAGUAGGCAUAAAUGCAAAUGGUGUUCUAGAAACUCCUAAGUACAGUGAUCACACCAUUAAAUAUAUAUAGCCUCUGGAAGGUCUACCAAGAAACAUUCUCACACAAGUAGGAAAUACAUUAAAACACAAAUGUAAAAAUAGACAAAUGAUAUACCUCACUUAAAGGGUUGGUAAUGAUGUCAGUGGCAAACAACAUGACAAUUUGCAGUAAAAGAUAUUCCAAGCUUUGUACUAAUGGGAAUGACACCGUUCAGGCACAAAACACCUUCUUAAGCACUAAGUACUUGGUUAAGAAACUAAUCUAUCAAGUCAAUUCUCAUUAGAUUACAGACAGACUACCUCUAUAAUUCCUGACUUACAAUUGUUACAAUUUUUGAAGCACAUGUUUCUCAUACAAAGCAAUGAUGUCUCUCUUGUUGGGAUUCCUGAACUGAAGCAGCUCAACCCCAUAAUUAUGUUUUGUGAGUUCUUCCAUAAGUUUUAGCACAAUGAAUUUUGUAUAGUCCUUUGGGUUCGUAUGUUGGCUGUUGUUGUCUUUGUUGGCCUUGAAUAUUUAAACACCAUUUUUUGACUGCGUGAACUUCAGAGGACCAGUUGUGAUCCUUGACAUCUUAUUUUCUCUUGUUAUUCUUUCAUUAACAUCCAUAUCUUGAACAGAUUCAAUAGCCAAGUCAAAGUCAUCUACUCUCAAACGUUUCCCAUGGGAAAUAGUGUUGAGCUUACUGUCCAUUGCUAUUUUAUUCAAACAAACUGAUGUUAAUUGUUGCUGAAGUAAAUCAAGUUUUCCUUGUGUGGAUUGUAGUUGAAUAGAAAGAGCUUCUAUCCUGUUGUUUGCUUAUGCACGUGCUGCACGCUCACUCUCUAGAAGGCCUUCAAGGACUUGAACUGUACAAAGUGUUAACCUUGGAUCAGAUUCAGAACAGAGGUUGGGCUUUGGUGAAUAGUUGUGUCCUUUACAACUGCAACAACAUUAAAUAACAAUCAUUCCAAUAAUGCAAGCUUUCUUCAGAAAACCAAGGUGGAAAGAAAAAGCUUGGAAAAGAAAGGAAAAAAUGAUCAAAUUCAAAAAGACUUAAAUCUCAAAAUUAGUGCUUAUUGGAGGCUACUUUACAAAGGCUUUUAACAUCAUCAAACACCAACCAGUACCUGCUUGGCAGCCAACAUACUCGUCUCUAUAUUAUGCCUUUAUUUGCUUUCUCACUAGGGGAAAAAAAACACAUACCCUUUAUCAGGUUGAAGACAAUCAUGAGGAGGGCCCACGUGGAUAUCAAUCAAUGAAAGUGUGGACCCGCAUUUUUCACGUGUGUCCCCACUCAAUCGACGAGACUCGCUUUUCUAUUUGUGAAAAAUUAAUUUUGGAAAAAGUCAGAGUCGCCACUUAUUUUAUUUUUAUUUUAAAGGGAAAAUAAAACAAGAAAGAAAAACCCUAAAAUGUGACUCCAUAAUUUUUGGAAAAAGCAUGUCUUUGAAAAACCUGAGUCUAGGUCCGGGGAUCAGGUUACUUACUGGGAAGGUACCUCUAGGAGGUAGCACCCUUCUAAGCCCUAAAGAGGUCUCUACUGACUAAGUUAAGGGAAACGUGGCAAUUAAAUGGUUGAUCACGGAUACCUAGGUAGGCUAGGUGAUUUCAAAAAAUAGCAUGCCAAAUAAGAAAGUCUGAUCUUAAGAGAGAACCAAAGUGCGUACCUGAACGGCUUCACAAGUGCUAUCAUGAAACAUAAAAGUUAGUAUAGAAAUAUAUCACAACAUGUGUUUUUGUCAAAGAUAAUCAAACAAGCAUCAAAUAUAUAUAUCAAGGCAAUCAAAUAGGAUAGCAAGCAUGGGCAUAGUACGCAAUGACAAUCAUGUUCACGGGGUUUAGAAAGUGGGUAUUAGGGAACGUACCUGGAUAGCAUAUAUAACUCAUAGCGUGCUUCCGCAUGAACAAAGAAUACAAAAUCAUCAAUUAUUACACACAUCUUAUGUACAAUUCUAAAAAAAUAGAUAUGAUUGUAACAACCAACAAAUGUGGUAGCAAAAAUAAGUUUUAAAAAGAUUUUUUUAAAUUUUUUAUGUAGGGGUUUCGCCAAUUCCCCAAUUGAUACACACAAAUCAAACCUGGAAUUAUCCCAUUUAUGUGGGACCACAAGCUUGGAUUCGUGUUUGAUUUAAAACCAAAAUUUUGGUUAAAAACUGAGAAAGAUGCAAACCGAUAAAAAAAAAUGGUUGCAUAUUAUUUUAAGAAAAUGAGAUUCUGAUUCUAAGAACUCUAAAUGAUUUUUUUUAAAAAAAAUAGAAUUUCUUAAAGGGGUCUUCGGAGAAAAAGGUUUUAAUUUUAAAAUAAAAGGAAUUAAUUUUUAAAAUAAUAAAACGUAGAAAACAAAAUACCAAUCAAAAUAGAAGCGAAAAACACAAAAUAAAGAUUUAGAAAAUCAUGUCAAUUAAAGUGGUGAGGGUAAGACCAACCUUCAUGAGUUUCCAGUGUGGCCUUCAAAAAAUAAGAAUUUAACUAACAAUCACUAAGGCACCAAAUUUAUGACUUCCUAAUCAAACAAACUAACAAAAUAUUACCCAAGACUAACAUUUAGAUUUCAAGAGACACAUGAAUUAAAAUAAAAAUAACCAAUCAAAGAUUAAAGCCAACAAACUUAGCAUAUGGAGAUAAUAAUAUGGAAUCAAUUAAGGUAAAUUAGCAUUUUAACAAAAUAUGAUAAAUCAAAGACCAAAAACCAAAGUUCAACAAUCUUGAAGGUAUGAAAACAAUGACAUGCAAUUAACUAGAGUGAUUAUCUAAAAUUCCUAAAGCUCAUACUAAGUUUCAAUAGAUCAAAGCCAAAAUUACCAUACUUAAAACAUGAAAAUAAUUACACGUGAUUGACUAAAUUAAUUAAACAAAAUUAUAAUCAACUGCAAAAUUGGAUAUAAAUGGAUUAAAUUCAAAGUUAAUGAAAUAAAAAACACACAAACACAUUCAAUACUAAAAAUAAUUAAUACUAGAUUAAAUUAAGGACAUCAUCAUCAUCUAAUAAGAUUGCCUAAACUAUCAAAUUGAAAUCACAAAUAUAUUUAAACUAAAGCAAAUAAAUAAAUUAACAAAAUAAAAUUAAACUAAGAUUGAAAUUAAAAAUAUGGAAUUUGUCUAAGAGGGUCAAUCAGACAAUUGAAUUAAAAUCAUGAAUGCAUUUAGAUUAUAAAAUAAAUUAAAAUCAAACUAAAUUGAAAUUAAAUUCUACUUAAUAAAAUUAUUGGAAUAUUAAAAACUCAAACUUUAUUUGAUACAAUCAUUUAAACUAAAGAAUUAAGAUCCACGAAUGCCUUUAAGUUAAAAAUGAAUUAAAAUUAAAGUAAUUGGAAUUAAAAACACAAACUUUAUUUAAUGUGAUUAUUUAAACUAAAAAAUGAAUUAAAAUCAAACUAAUUAGGAUCACUAACACAUUCAAAUUAAAUCAUAAACGAAAACUAAGUUAAUCUGAAAUUAAAAAAAGUAAACUUUAUCUCACAACUUAUUUAAACUAAGGAAUUGAAAUCAGUAACGCAUUCAAAUUAAAUUAUAAACUAAAACUAAAUUAAUCCGAAAAAAAAUAAACUUUAUCUCUUAAAUUGUUUAAACUAAGGAAUUAAAAUCACUAACAUAUUUAAAUUAAUAGCUAAAUUAAAAUUUAAACUAAUUUGGGAUUUUAAAAAUAUGAACUUUACCUAUCAGGAAUACUUAAACUAAUGAAUUAACAUCUGAAACACAUCUAAACAUAUAGGAUAGAUUAAAAUUGAACUAAAUUGAAAUUAAAAAUAAGAACUUUUCUAAUAUGAAUAAUUAAAUUAAAAUCACAAACAUAUGAGAUAGAUUAAAAUUGAACUAAAUUGAAAUUAAAAACAAGAACUUUUCUAAUAUGAACAAUUAAACUAACAAAUUAAAAUCAUGAGCAUAUGGGAUAUAUUAAAAUUGAACUAAAUUGAAAUUAAAAAUAAGAACUUUUCUAAUAUGAACAAUUAAACUAACGAAUUAAAACGACAAACACUAAACAUAAAAGGUAGAUUAACAGUGAACUAAAUCAAAAUUAAAAAUAAGGACUUUUAUAAUAGAAACAGUUAAAUUAAAGAAAACUACAAACACAUCUAAACAUAAAAGAUAAAUUAAAACUAAAUUGAAUUGGAAUAAAAAAAAAAGGAACUUUAUCUAAUGGGAUAAAUUAAACUAAAGAAUUAAAACCACAAACAUAUCCAAACUAAAAAAAAAAAAAAUUAAAACUCAUUCGAAAUUAAAACAAGAAAUUUAUUAUAUAGGAUUAAUUAAAUCAAAGAACUAAAGUCAUUAAAACACUCAAGACUAAAAAGGAUGAAUCAAAAUGAAAUCCAAAUAAAUUUGAAAGCGUACACUUACCUAUAAAUCGUUAUUUAUGGAGAUUUUGUGGGCUGUUCCUCUCUUUUUUAUGGUUAUGUGUCAGCUCCUCAAAGUUCUUUGCGCGUCCUCUCAAAAGAAUUGCUCUUGUGUUCUUUCUGCCUGAAGUCCCUUGCUCUCCUCCAAAGUUCCGCAUGAAAAUUAUUUCCGCCUAUUCCCCUCCGAAAAAGGUUCCCAUAUGCUCGGAUUCUCUCCUUUAUUUAUAAGGCAACCCACUCCUUAUGGAAUAUCUUAUUUCCAUUUUUUCCUAUGUGCGCGUGGAUAUGAGAAGCCCAUUAUGUGUGGCUCACUUGGAGAUUUCCCCAAGGAUGCAGUCGUAUCUUGUUUGGUAAGUGAUCAGAUCCCCUUUAAUCUUCUUUCCAUAUGCUCUCGGAUGUGCCUCAACCGUGAUCUGCCCACUUUCUAUAUGCAGCCUGAAUUCUUUCUUCAAACAAAUCAUAUGCAGCCCAGAUUCCUUCUUAAAGUCGUGAUCUGCCCAUUUUCUAUAUGCAACCCGGAUUCCUUCCAAGUUUCCCUAUUUGGUCGUGAUCUCCUCUCCUUGAUGGCUUCAAGUCUCAUGCAAAGUAAAAAUAAAGUUGAAAUAAGAAAUCAUGUAAUUGGAAAUGGAAUAAAAUAAAAUAGAAAAUUAAAGCAUAUAACCACAAAAAUCCAAAAUGUCAAUUCAUGGAAUUAAAGAAUAAAUGAAUAAGUGAGUAAAUAAACAAAUAAAUUGAUAAGGGUAUAAAAAUAAAUAUCAGACGUAUGCAAUUAGAAAAAAUCAGGAAAUUAAAGUAAUGCAACGGAUUAUAAUAAUUUAAUGUCAAACUCAAACCCUCAAAAAUAAAAAAUAAAAUUCAUUUCAUGCAAUAAAUAGUCAAGCCAAUACUCAUCCUAUCUCAGAAAAGAAAGUAACCAAAAUCAAGAACACGCCUAAGUGGGCUAUGCCAAAAGAAGUGUCCAAGUGACCUAUUCUGAAAUAUUGUCUAAGUAACCUAGGGUGAAUGUGUGCAAGCUAGAAGGUGUCAAGUGCAUCUAAAUGGGCCUAAGGUGAUGCCUAAUGGGCCAAGUGUAUCUAAAUGGGUCUAGGGUGUCUAAGUGGGCCUAAGUUUAAAUUAGGGCUGCCAAAAGUCACAACGGGGUUAGAUAAAUCCCUCAACCAAAGUCUCCGAGGUGGCUCAAAAAAGGUAAGUAGUAUGAGUAGCUAUGGGCUACCAAGGAACUACUGUACAGUAUCGAACAAGUAUCUAAUAGGACAUGUGAUAGGAGGACAAAAUUGAGGGUCUACAGGAAGGUUAUUAUCAUUUGAUUUGAGGAAUGAGUAGGCAAUUUUUUCAAAAGCAUUUGAAAUCCUUCAAGAUAAGUAGCCUUGUACACACUUGUACAGUUAGCACAUUUGCAUUGUACACUUAAUGUAAAUGCCUUGUACAAUCACCAAAUCCCACAUAGGUACAUAUUUUCAAGUGAAUAUGGGUGGGUAACCAAUGUUUCCAUUAUCAUGGAUUAGGGAAAAUGAGAAAAAAGUUUACCCGAAUUUUGGUUCAUAUUCAUCAUUACUAGGGAAGCUAAUAGAAUGAAUUAACAUGGUAGACUUCAAAUAAAAUGCAUGCAAUGAGUGUGUUAUCAAACAAUAUGUUUGAGGAAUGUUCCCCACGAUUGAAAAAGUAAGAUAGACACCCUUGUACAUUUAGUACAUUGGCCUUGUACACUUAGUGUAAAUGCCUUGUACAGUUGCAGAAAUUCGACCUAGAUACAAUAGAACUAGUGCAUAUGGGCGAGUUAACCACGUUCCAAUGUCAUGGCUCACUGAAAAAGGGGAAAAUGACACCCAAUUUAGGUUCCUAUUCAUCAUAAGUGCGUUAUCUCAUCCAAUAAAUGUGUACAAAGAGAAAUGAGGAAUGUCUAUGAGGAAUGUCCCCCUUAGAAAAAAUAAAUGAGCAAGCAAUUUUUUCAAAAGCAUUUGAAAUCCUUCAACAUAGGUAGCAUUGUACACAGUUGUAUAGUUAGCACAUUUGCAUUGUACACUUAGUGUAAAUUCCUUGUACAGUCACGAAAUCCCACAUAGGUACAACCGAACAAGUGCAUAUGGGUGGGUAAAUGUUUCCAUUCUCAUGGAUUAGGGAAAAUGAACAAAAAAUUUACCCUAAUUUCGGUUCAUAUUCAUCAUUAUUAGGGAAGCUAAUAGAAUGAAUUAACAUGGUAGACAUCAAAUAAAAUGCAUGCAAUGAGUGUGUUGUCAAGCAAUAUGUGCGAGGAAUGUCCCCCACGAUUGGAAAUAGUAAGAUAGAAAGUUCUUCAAAAUCACUUGAAAUCUCAUAAGAUAGACACCCUUGUACAUUUAGUACAUUGGCCUUGUACACUUGGUGUAAAUGCCUUGUACAGUUGCAGAAAUUCGACCUAGUUAGAACAGAACUAGUGCAUAUGGGCGGGUUAACCACAUUCUAGUGUCAUGGCUCAGUUAAAAGGGGGAAAAUGAAACCCAAUUUAGGUUCAUAUUCAUCAUAAGUGCGCUAUCUCAUCCAAUGAAUGUGUACGAAGGGAAAUGAGGAAUGACUAUGAGGAAUGUCCCCCUUAGAAAAAAUAAAUGAGCAAGCAAUUUAUUCAAAACCAUUUGAAAUCCUUCCAGAUAAGUAGCAUUGUACACAGUUGUAUAGUUAGCACAUUUGCAUUGUACACUUAGUGUAAAUGUCUUAUACAAUGGCAAAAAUUUGACAUACCUACAACUAAAAGCGUGCAUAUGGGUGAGCUACCAUGUUCCAAUGUGAUGCCUAAGGGAAAAGGGGCCGGGAAGUGAAACCCAAUAUAGGUUCCUAUUCAUCAUUACUGUGAUUGGUCAUCCAAUGAACAUGUAUGAAGUAAUAAAAUUGAAUGGGAUGAGUGUGUGAUCAAAGAAUGUGUGUGAGGGAAUGUUCCUCAUCCUUUCAAAAUGGAAAUGAUUUUAAAACGAUUGCAAAUACUUCAACAUAGGAACCUUUGUACACCCUUGUACAUUAAGCACAUGUACCCUGUACACUUAGUGUAAAUGUCUUGUACAUAGACAAAAAUUCCAUACAACCACUACUGAAUGUCUGCUCAUGCAUAGGUUAAUCAUGUUUGCAAUCUUUUGGUUCACAAAAUAAGGAAAAACUUAAGUAUCAAAUUGUUCCCUAACUACUACUCAUCAUAUUAAUAAUCUUCUACUCAAACAUAAAGGAGUUUCAAUCAUAUAAUUACUAGGGUUGUGCUUUGGAUCAUAGCAAAAUAAUUUUCACAAAUAUGAAUGUCACAAUUCAUCCCUAAACAUAAUAAAAACACACUGAAUCCUCCAUCAACCUAGCUUCGAAUUCUAGAAAAUAUACUUACCCCACAAUAGGGCAUAUACCCUAUUUAGCAUAUUUCCAUCUUCACAGGAGGUUGUUGGGCCACUGCCAUCAUCACGACUACAGUUGUGGCCGCUUUAUAUCUUCAUCGGAGUUCUUCAUUUUCUCCGUUUCGUCGGGUGGACCAACUUCUCUACUUUCGAAAUAUGUUUGAUCUAAAGGAUAUCUAUUCUGGAUGAAUUGCAUCAUCAUUGGACAAUCUUUUUCCUUAAAGCUCACCGUCUGGACGAUACCCAUUUAUUCUCUCUGGACGAUAAACCCAUUUUUGAGGAGAUAUUUUCCAUAAGAUUCACUGUAAGUUUCUUGAAUUUACUUAUGUUGUGCUACAUUCCUAUGAGCCAAGAUGGAUAUGAUCAAAACCUCAUUUAUCCCCCACCCUACAUUUAAAAACGCUCUGUUAUUAAGUUCAAAAUUUUUUUAAACACCCCAACACGAGAUCAAAACAACUGCCUUUCCUAAGAACUUGUACUGACCCAUGAAACAAACAUCGAACACAUCAUCAAAGGAACCAACUUGAUCAAAUCAAAAUGUCAGAAAUUAAUUCAGACCCACAUCAUAAAACAAACAUUGGAUUUGGGAAUGAUGAUAAUAAAAUACCUACAAACGCUUUUUUGAAAUGCUCACAAUCCUCGGCUGCUGAAAAAAGCGAUUGGGGGACAGUCACAGUUGGCGUCGUUUGUGCAUAUGCUAUUUACGGAGGGAGAGAAAAGGGUAGGAAGGCUUUUCUGAAAUACUCACAAUCCUUGGCUGCUGAAGAAAGCGAUUGGGGGACAGUCACAGUCAGCAUCAUUUGUGCGUAUGCUGUUUGCGGGGGGAGAGAAAGGGGUAGGAAGGUGGUCACCCUUACAGCUUUAUUUCAGAAUUUUCAGUUUGGUGACAUGGCAUUUCAAGUUUACACCCAUUAAUUUACAACCAUUUGAGUUGGAAAUGUAAAGGGCAUUUUCGUCUGUUAACAUCUGAUAUCCUUAUCAUUAAUUAGGUAAGUUACAUGGAUCAGAACUUAAUUUUUGGGCCCAACUGGGCCAAAACACAAUUCUCCCAAUUUUUAAAGGUGAGUUCCUUAUUUAAUAAGAGAAGUAAGUGUCUCCCUCUAAUAGAGUUUAUAAUACUCUUUGACUUUUUAUUAUAGAAAUAUGAAUAAUUUAAUCAUAAAACAAAAGCAAGUGUGAAAAUUAUAGUAAUUCCUAUAUAAAAUGUAGGAGCUCUUAUAAAUUUAUCUUCAAAAAAUAAUAAUUUUCAAAAAUUAAGUUUUUGUACAGAAUCAAGUAUUUUAAAUUUUUUUUUACUAUCUCAUAAAGUAAUUUUUAAGAAUAUAAAAUUUAUAUUCCAUGCAAGUUAUGAUAUUUCAUAUAGAUAUUACUAUUAUUUUCCUUUUUAAACAUAUACAUUAAAAUAGAGGGAAACAUGAUAUCCACAUUUUUCAUGAAAAAUUAAAGAAAUUAGGAGCCAUGACAUCUAUGUACACAACCACUCUCCCUAUUGCUUUUUUUUUUUUUAAGAAUAAAAUAUGACACUAAUUUUUGUUAAUAGUUUUAACCAUAGCAUGGGAAAUUGUAUUAUUUAAUGAAGAUUUAAUCACUUUACCUAAAUAAUAUACUUUUAUCUUGAUGAGGUAUUGUUUACCAUAAAUUUUUAAAGGAUGUUGUAUGAUAAGCAUAACCUAAAAUAAUACCAAACAUUUUUCACUUAAACUAAUUCAACAUUUAUAACUUCAUUACUUAUAAUUUAGAAUAAUGGUUUUUUUAGUGCUUAAUUUUCAAUUUUAUCAAACACCAUUAAGUUGAAUUGGAUAAAUAAAAUUAUGAUGUAUUUGCACUUAUUAUAAGAAAAGAAAUAUAUUAAAAAAAAUUGGUUAAAUAGGUUGAGUAACAAAACUUGAAUAUGACUAAGCCCUAUAAACAUUCCUUGCAAGUCAAGUAUUAAAAUGUAGUCAUAUUAGUAUAUUUUAUUUAAAUUCCUUUUAUUUUUUGACAAAUUUUCCCUUCUUUUAGUGAUAUGAAAUAGGUGAGACAAAAAUAAUAAGAAGAAGAUAAAGAUGACCCUAUAAAUACUUUAAAACAAGUGUAUAAAAAUGUCCAUCAAACAAAAUAAUGUUUGGAUUUAACAAAAUAAUUUUUACGGUUUAGGUUUAAGAGAUUUUAAACUAGAGUUGUCAAAGAUAGGAUUUAAUGAUACUAGUUGAGAUUAUGGUAAUAUUUUUUAAUAGUACUUGGAUUAUGAUCGACUACAUUUGUAAUUAAAAAUUGAAUAUAUCUCUUUUCAUAAGAGACUAUGAAAUAAUUUGAAACAUAAUUAAAACACAAUAAAAAAAUUUAAGCUACUUUGGUUACCAUGCAUAUGAUCUUAAUAGAUAAAUGAGGAUAAUUUAUCAAUGAGCCAAAGUCAUUCUUGAAAGUACUUGUGAAUAAUUUCAAAUAAAUAAAAUUAUCCAUGCUUAAAAACAUACAAAUUAAAAUCAACAAUUCAAAUUAUCCAUGUUUAAAAACAUACAAAUUAAAUUCCACAAUCCAAACAAAGAGUCCUUUAUGGUAUUCUCAUUCUGGUUCAAUAUUGCAUCUUUGCCACCACUUUCAAUUCGACCAAUAGUUAGUCAUGUUUCCAUCAGCAUCCUGACCAAUGAUUAGUCAUGGUUCGUAUAUCAUAAUGUCAUCUUUAAAAAUAAAGGUAAGUAAGAGUAAAAUAAAUAUUAAUUCAUGCUUAUAAUAUAAUUAAUACAAUUUGAAAGACGUGUGAUAAUUGUUUGGCCUACCAAUUCAACAAAAUUUUAAUUAAUUCAAACAAAAAUUUUGGCCUACCAAAAUAGCUAUUGUAAUAUGAUCUUUCUUUUUAAAUUCAAUAAUUCAUUCCAAAGAUAAAGUUUUGAUGGGGUCCUAAGAUAUUUAUUAUAGAAAAUAAAGGAGUUUUAACCUUAGAUUGACCUAAAAAUAUGGGAUCUCCAAAUUUCACAAAUUUUUUGGAUAAUUAAAAACAAAUAAAUUAAAAUAAAAGCAAAAAAAAAAAAAAAAAAAAAAAAAACACCUAUUUGAAUGACUUGAGCAUAUCAAACUUCAUAUUCUUCCAAACAUGUAAUCAUAUUAAAAAUUGUCAAGACAUUUUUUUCACUAAUUCUGGUAAAUAUUUUAACAUUCAAUAAAACCAAAGACGAAAGAAGACACAUACCUUGUUAAGUAGAGUUCAAAACUAGAGAUGUCUUCAUUUUUUUCUGAUUUGAUUUCUCAGCAUAAGAACCUUUUUAUUUUAUUGUAAUGACUAAAUAAAAAAUAUAGAAUCUCACAAUUUUUAGUAUAUUGUAAUGACUAAAUAAAAUAAAAAAAUAUAAAUAUAAAUUACGAAGUAUAUAAGUUACAUAUUUUAAACACUCUUUUAUGAGAAAACCAAAAGAUAUGACCUCAAAGGAGUGAUGGAGUCAGAUGUGUAGGGGGCAAAGCAAAAAAUAAAAAAUAAAAAUCAUGAAUUAUAAUAAACAUACAAAAAAUUUUGUAUUUCAUAAUCAUUUUUUAAAAAAAGUUAUUAUUGAUAUUAGUUAUGAAACAAAAAAUAUAAAAUAAACGAAUGGAACAAAAAAAAAAUAGAUAGAGAAAAGUUUUGAAUAUUAAUAUUAGUUAUGAAAGAAAAAAACUAUAAACUAUGAAAUGAAAAAAAAAAUGAUAACUUUUUAAAUUUUAUUUAAAAAUUAACAAAAUUUCAAACAAUAUUUUCAAAGGAAUUUUUUUUAAAAAUAGCUAGAAUUGUGAUCAUAAAUUUUUAAGAAUUUCACCUUUUUUAACAAAACUUUAAAAAUUGAAUAAUUUUACUAAUAAAUUUUAAGAUCUUUUUUAAAUAAUUAAAUUGAUAAAAUUUUAUUUAAAAUUUGUUUCUAACAAUAAUGUAGCACCAUCAUUAUCAAUAGGAAAUUAGUUACGGCAUGAAUAAACCUACAAACUUAGGCAUUUUAAAAAUCUUAGAGUCAACCAAAACAACCAACCACUAAGAAAAUUAUUUAACAAAAUAUAAAUUAUUUAAAUAAAAUAAAAUUUUAUCAACGAUUAAGUAGCAUAUAAUCUAAAUAAUCUAUCUAGUAUUUUUUUUUUCUCUCAUACAAAAUGAUUUUUUUAUUCUCAUAUAAAAUCAUUCUCUUAGGAGCUGAUCAAAGCUUGUACUUUUGAUUUUGAUUUUUUAAAAUUCCUAAAUAAAUAAAAGGAUAUUUUGCCCCAAGCCCACCGUGCUCCGUCACUAGCCCUAUGUCAUGCUCUUACCUUUUAGGUCGUUUAUAGAUGGAUCCUACACUUUCUCACAUUAAGUAGACCAAAGGGAUAGCAAAAUAAUUACUAAAUUAUAGGCGUUUCACGAAGUUUUUCUAAACCAAAAAAUAUAUAAUUUUACGUGAGAAUAUUCACCUUCCAUUUUGCCCUCUAAAUUGCAUGACUUCCUUUUAAAUUCAAUAAUCUUCCAAAUAUAGUACCUAAAUAAGUUCCAAAAUAUUUUUUUAGAGAAAAAAAGAAAAGAAAAAAAAAAAAGAGUUUUAACGUUAAGACCGACCCAAGGGAUCUCAAAACUUCCUAAAAUUUUGGGAUAAUUAAGGACACAUGAUUAAAAUAAAAUCAUGAAAAGAAAAUAACAAAAUAUAUAUAUAUAUACCUGUCACUAAGAUAUGAUUUUAAAAGUUAUCUAGAUAUUUCUUUUUUCACUAAUUCCAUCUAAUAAAUAUAUUAACCACCGGUGAAUAAAAAAGAGAGAAGACAUACCUUGCUAGGGUUUAAAUAAAGCUUUGAUCUUUAGGAAACUAGAGAAUCUUUAAUUUCUUGGCUGGGUGAUCUUCGCUAUCACCAAGGCUUCCUCUUGAUGGCUGAGGCCAAUGGAUCUGAUCUUGGGCGUACCAGAAAUGCAUCCCACAACCUUUUCACUUUAAAGCAUGCGUUAUCGCCACACUUAAAAGAGCCAACACCGAUUGGAGUGUGGAAGUGAGCCUUAAAGUUGUUCCACCUUCUGGAUCGAUACUCACAUGGAAUGUUAAUCUGAGGGAAAUACGUGACCCAAAUUGCUGGAUCUGAUGUGCUACCACUGUCGUAGCAGCAUUUAGAAUAAAAGCUUAUCUUCUCCAGUUGUUGAGAGUGAUCCCCAUGGGAUAUCGUCCAUUCAUAAUGUGGAAGACUACCUUCUGCUAUCUCACAUUCAUCAUCAUCAAGGGGAACAUGAUGGAAGAAUAGAGCAAAUCCCAAGAAGUUGUUAUCUUCAUACCAAUUCAUUGGGAGCUCUAUUCCUACUUCACAUCCCAUUCUUUGAUGGCGUACCCACUCUGGUAUUCCAUUCCUUCCUGGAACGACAAAUCUCCAAUCCUGAAGAAAUUUCGGCCGCACAAAAAUUUGUCAUGUAAAUCUCAUGUUUUUUUAAAAAAGAAAAAAGAAAAAAGAAAAAAUAAUUAUGCCAUGAAACUGCUAACUGAAUUGGUGAUUUGAAGCAUUUGAGCAGAGAAGACCAAAGUAGACUUGAGAAAGUUUCAGUUUCCAGGCAUGGACAACCAUGUGCACGUAUCCAUCCUAGACUUGAUGGAAGCUCUCCAAUUUCUUCAAGCAUCGGACAGUGAUUCACGAAAAGGGUAAAGAGCCGAGAAAGUUGAAUGAUGCCAACAGGUACGCAACGAAUAUGGUUUCCGCUUAGGUUUAAAAAUUUCAGUGAGGAUAGGCACCAUAAAUCACUGGGGAUUUCUCCUUCCAUCAGAUUGCAGCCACCUAGAUCUAGAUCUCUUAAGCAACAAUGCAGGCUUCUCAAAUUGUUGGGAAAAUUGCGGAGCUUGGAACAGUUAGAAACACAAAGACGAACAAGACAUGUCAAAUUACCAAUGCUGUUGGGAAGACUCACAAGCUUCUCACAUUUGUUCAAUUGCAAAUGCCAAAGUCCUCUUAAAUGUUCAAUUGAAGAUGGAAGCUCUGAUAUAUCUGUUCCACAUAAAUUAAGUUCUUCCAAAUGUUCCAUAUCCUCCAUAAUCUCCGGAAAAGCCUCUACACUUGAACAACUAUCGAGACCAAGGGUUUUGAGGGAUUUCAACCCACAAAUUGUGUUUGGAAGACUCCUCAAGUUUCUGCACUCUUCCAAAUUUAAGGUACUAAGCCUGGUGAGAUGACCUAUUGUGUUUGGAAGACUCCUCAAGUUUCUACAGUUUUUCAAACAUAAGUAAUCAAGUUGGGUGAGAUGACUUAUUGAGCAAGGUAAUCCUUUAAUAGCAACACCGUCUAGAAAGAGAUAGCGUAGACUCCCCAUACUGUUUUGGAUCUCAGGAAACUUUCAAAAUUUAAGCAACCACUGAGAGAAAGAGUAUUAAGGGCCUCUAAGCACCCAAAUGCUGUUAGGGAGUUCCUUAAUAGCUAUAUUGUCUAAAGAAAGUCUCUUCAAGUAUUUCUUUUUCCAUUGAAUCUCUGGGAAUUUCUGAAAGUUUGAGCAAUCUGAGAGUCCAAGAGUUUUAAGAGAUUCCAAAUAACCAACACUGUCUGGGAGUUCUUUAAUACCACUCCUAUAUAAAUGAAGCUCCCUUAAAAGUCUCAUAUUGGUAAAUACAUCUGAAAAUUUCUCAAACUUUGAACAUUCUCUAAGAGAAAGAAUUUCGAGAGAAGUCAAGGACCCAAUGCUAUUUGGGAGUUCCUUAAUAGCAGUCCAAUCUAAAGAAAGCUUCUUCAAACAUUUCAUAUUCCCUCUUAUCUCUGGAAAUUUCUCAAAUUUUGAGCAAUAUGAGAGAUCAAGAAUUUCAAGACAUUCCAAAUACCCAAUGCUACUUGGGAGUUCUUUAAUAACACUCACACAUAAAUAAAGCUCCCUUAAAUGUUCCAUAUAGGUAAAUAUAUCUGGAAAUUUCUCAAUCUUUGAACAUCCUUUUAAAUGAAGCUCCCUCAAAAAUUUCAUAUUCUCAUGGAUCUCAGGAAAUUUCUCCAAGUUUGAACAAUUUGAGAGAUUAAGGACUUCAAGAGAUGCUAAAUACACAAUGCUACUUGGUAGUUCUUUAAUCCCAAUCUUGUUUAAAUAAAGCUCCUUCAAAAGUUCCAUGUUUCCAUGGAUUACCGAAAACUUCUUCAAGUUUUGACAUUGAUUAAGAUAAAGAACUUAAAGAGAUUCAAACUUCUUGCUAGUUGGGAAACUUUGGAGCUGUUCACAUCUUCCCAAAUUCAAGUAAGUCAAUCUUUUCAGAUUGCCAAUAGAUGAAUGAAGUUUACUCAAACUUGUACAACCUUCAAGAUUCAAUCUCUCCAAAUUUGGCAUGCUUGAGAAUUUUGGCAUUUUGACAAGCUAUUUUGAGUUACUUAGAUCAAUGCCUUUUAAUUCUCCAAGACACUGUAACAGAAGAUAUUCUUUUAAUAAAAAAAAUUCUUCAACUUGAAAAUUAUUAUAAAGAGAAAAAACAUUAAAUAAUGAUCAUACCUUAUUCCCUUUCCAAAGUUGUUUUAUGUUACUAGACUUCAAGUUGAUAUCAAUAAGGCACUCUCCAUAAAAGUUAGAAGGUAAAGACCUCAAAGUGCAUCUUUGCCAAUGAAGAUAUCUCAAAUUAUGAGGAAAUUCGAAGUCUUUAGGAAGAAGCACUUUAUACUCCUCUCUAGUCAAACCAUCAUGAUCAUUGCAAUAGAUUUUAAGCAACCUAAGUUUUUUCAUCUUGGCAAACACUUUUGUACUUAACUGUAUUUCUUUUAAUUUAGACAAGUCUAAAGAUAUGGUUUGAAUAUUAUUCAUCACCUAGAAAAAAAUAAUGAAAAAUAAGGGAACAACACAAGAUAAAAAUCCUAACUACAAUUAUACAGACAAUUAACUACUAAAAAAUUAUUAUAAAUAUUUAAAUAACUAUACUUAGGCAUUUAAUUCAUACCUCUUGUCUAGAAAAUGCUUCAUAAAUAUCAUCUACAUCCCACAAUCUACUCCAUUUGCAGGGUUUUCCAGGACAUUCUUCACGAACAAUUGGCCAACCCAUUUCUUGUAUCAAGUCAUGCAUUUGUAUGACGUUGUCUAGGAUAGUUACUAGACAUCUAUCACAGAGAUCUUUUAUGUUGAUUUCUGGAUAUAACUCGCAACCAUCUAAUGUUCUUGAUAAGAAAUCUUUGCAGUCACCUUUGAAAAAACACGCAAUGUCCAAGAAAACCUCCUUUUGAGAGUGAUCAAGCCCAUCAUAACUUAUUCUAAGCACAUCAUUAAUUUCCUUCUUAGGGUUUUUUUUUCAAUUUAACCAAUGCGCUUUUCCAUUCUUCUAUUGUCAUGCCUUGAAGAGAAGAACCUAGAACUUUAAGGGCCAAAGGGAGACCUUGAGCAUAAUGUCCCAUGCGAUUUGAGAGGUCCACAUAAUCUUCUUUAGGACCAUUUUGUUUAAAGGCAUGUUGGCUGAAGAGUUGAAGAGCUUCCUCAUAAUGUAAUUCUAUAACCUUAUAUGAUAUAUUCACUCUAUACUCAACCAAUAGAUGUUGGUCUCUAGUUGUAAUGAUAAUUGUACUUCUUGGACCAAACCAUUUAGGACUUCCAGCCACUGACUCUAAUUGCUGCAACUGAUCCACAUCAUCAAUUACAAUAAGAAUCUUUUUUGAGCUAAGUCUGGCCUUUAUUAUGUUGAUUCCUUUAUUGAUAUUGCUAAACUCUACAUCAUUCCCCACUGUAUCAUGAAGAAGUUGUUGUUGUAGUUGAAGUUGACAACCCUUGUUGAAUGUCUCUCUAACAUCUUGAAGAAAGCUAGCACCAAUGAAUUGAUAUUGGAUCUCAUUAUAAACAAUCUUGGCAAUGGUAGUUUUACCAAUUCCACCAGGUCCAUAGAUCCCAACCACACGAAUGUCAUUCAAGUCACUACUUAACAAUGAUUUUAGUUCUUUUAGGCGAAAAUCCAUCUCAACUACAUAAUCAUUACUGUGCAAAAGCUUAGAAUUCAUUGAUCUUUUAAAAAUCUGGUGAACAAUUUCCUUAAUAUGCUUUGACUCAUACCUGCCAAUUAUAAAGUACAAUUUAACACUUCAUGAGUCAUAAUGAAUUGCAAGAGAUAACAAAUAUUAAGUAAAUUUAGUGAUAUUUACUUGAUUUUGUCAAUAUAACCAAAGUAAUAGGAUGUAAAAAGUAUUAGAAGCUAAGAACCCAAUAUAUUGAGCAUUUUACGGAUAAUAAGAAGGCAACAAGUUUUGAGCCAAGUAUUAAUAAGAUCACAAAGUAAGCUUUACUAUUCAAAAUUAUUAACUUGUUAAGUCAUGAUUUAAGACAACUAAAUCCUUACAACUUAAUUAAAUCAAAAGCACAAAUUAAGGAAGUUGAAGUUACCCAUCAUUCACAUGGAAACCACUUAGAUUGCUUGCUUCAUUCAAGGAAUCCCUCCACCUUUGCACUUUUUUCGCAUCUACGUUUCUUUCAUGAAUGAAAAAUGCCUCUCCGAAGCUCCCUGUUUGCUUUCGCACAUCAGAAGGAUCCACGUGGGAGAACACCGGAAAGACUAUUUGUUCCAUUUCUUCCCUGCACUCCAUGAUCUUCGCUAACUCAUCCAAACACCACUUCGAUUGAGCAUAGUUUUUUGAGAACACAACUAUGGAAAUUCUUGAUUCUUCAAUAGUUUUCAAAAGUUCUGAUUUGAUCUCCUCUCCUCUUUCAAGUUAGUCGUCUCUGAAAGUCUUAAUCCCCAUCCCAUGCAAAUUUACGAAUAAAUGAUCCGUAAAAUUGUUGCAGGUGUCUUCACCUCUAAAACUCAAGAACACUUCGAACUCAUAUUUACGGACUGAGGUAGAAGAAGAGGAGGGUUUUUGGGUAGAGGAAGCCAUUGUUGGACAGUUUCUGGAUGAAAGUUUAGAGAGAGUUGAGGAUUAACUCGUGCUUAGUCAAUACUUGAAAUGCCCACAUAUGAAGCCAUUGUAUGAAACAAAACUUUAUUUUUAUUUUUUAUUUGGGGUGGUGGGGGUGGGAUGGGGGUUGGAUUGUAAAAAAGCAAACAUCGAUUCUGCAAUACAUGCAAGCAGGUGAUCGGUGGCUUUUAAAAAAAAUAUAAAGGACCACCCACCACAAAACCCGUCAAAGCCUUAAAUUAAAAUUUCAUUUUUCGGUAUUAUGGCCAUUGGCACUUUCCUUUGACCAUAUGAAAGCAAAACUUCCAUGGGCAAUUUAAUAUAUAGUUUAUUCCUCCCUCCUAAAUUUUAAUUUAAAUUCAAUUAAUUUAUUUUUCAUAUUCUAUUUAAUAUAUUAUUAAAAAUAUCAUAAUAAUCUUAUCAAUGAGUCUUUAUUAAAAAUAAAUAAACUUGGAUAUAAAAUUGUUAACAUUUUUAAACAUAAAAAUAUAUACAUAUAUCAUUAUUUCUUUUAUAUUUUAAAUAAAAAUCAUAUGCUUGAUUACUUAAAAAAUAAAAUUUUAAUAAAUUAAUUAAUUUAAUUGUCUUAUUAUUAAAUUUUAUUUAAAUUUGAAAUUUCCAUCUUAUGCAAAUUUCAUAAAUUUGAAAGCACAUCAUAUUAAAUUUUCCAAAAUUAAAUUAUAUUGUAUGGACUUAGAAAUCUUUCAGGAACUUUAAAAAUAUUAAAGCCAUUAUAAAUUUUAUUUUAUUCAAGUUUUAAAAAUAAAAUCGUUAUAGGUUUUAUUUUAUUUGAGUAUAUUAAAUCACUUUUUAAAUACAUUUUAAAAUGAAAAAGUCUGUUUUGUUUGAAGUUCUUAAUUAAUUUAUUAGAGAAACAUUAAAAUUAAAAAUUGUCUAUUUUUUAUUUUAAAAUAUAUUGGUUUCAUUCAAAAUUUUAAAACCAUUUCUUGGUAAAAAGAACAAAAAUAUAAAAAUGAAUAAAUUAAUUUAUUAUUUUAAAAUUAUUUAAUUGAAAUUAUUUUUUAAGAUAAAAUUCAAGAUUGAUAGAAAUAACUAUUCAAUUCGUUAUUCAAUUUAAUAUAAAAUAGUACAUUCUCAAAAUUUUAUUAUUUAAUUAUAAAUGAUAAACUUUUGCAGGUCAAUACUUGAUAUGCCUAAAGAGCAUCCAUCUUUGAUUCUUUGGGUGCUUAUGUGAAACAAAACCACUUUGGUUUGGUCAUUGAAGUGGCUCAAGGUACAUCGGCAGAAAAAAAAUUUUAACUAAAACAAUAUUUAUUAUUUACUUAUAUAACUAAUAUUUAUUUAAAAUUAAAUAUUCAUCCUUUUAUGAGAUGUACCAAGAGUCAUUUAUUCACAACAAUAAAAGGGAGGUGUGUGGCUUUCAAAAGAAUAUGAGGAAUGACCCACCCACCACAAAAUUCAAAAUCAUUUUUGUUUUCUAGCAUUUGCAUUUUAUUUACAAUAGUAAAAGAGAAAUGAGUGGGAAGUUGAGUGGCCUCCAAAAGAAUAUAAGAAAGAAUUCACUCACCACAAAAUUCAAAACCACCAUUGUUUCCUAGCAUUUGCAUUUGGUUCACAAUGGUGAAAAAGUAAUGGGUGAGAAGUGGUUUUAUUUAAAAGAAUAUAAGGACCCAUCCACCACAAAAAUUCAAAAGCACCUUCGUUUCCUAUCAUUUACAUACCAAACAAUUUUAUCUUUUUCUCUUCAUUCCUUUUCACUGUCCAAUGGUAGAUUGGUUCAUCUGAACCCAUCAUGAUGAACAAUUGGUAAUCUACCAUUGUUAUAGGGAAGGUUGAAGGUAAUGCUUGAGUCAUUUCUUCACUUGAAAAAAAAAAAAGAGAGAGAAUUGAGUUGGAUUUUUCUCAUCUUGGAAAAUUCCGAGAUCCUUAGUGGGUAGAAAACAAGACUUCAUAAAAAAAUAAAAAAAAUAAAUAAAUAAAUAAAAAAAAUUCCUUUGUGCAUUUUUUCCUUGGCUUUUUUCCUUUGUGCAUUUUUUAUGUGACUUGGUGAAAAAUUAUUAUUUAUUUUGAGUUAUAUUAUAUUGAGUUACCAUUUGAUAGGUUGCACUAGUUUUUAGUAAGCAAGUUUUUCAUGGUAUUUGUUUGUUGGUGUUACAAGUUCUUGAUCAUAUUAUUAAUAUUAUUUUAUCAUAAAUUAUUUUGAAUAUAAAUAUAAAUAAGAUGGUAGCUUAAUCAAUUUCUUAGGUUGUAAGAUAAAGAUAAUAAUACCACAAUUCUCAUCAUAAAAAAUGUUGAAAAAAUAAAAUCUGAAAAAUGAGAAUGGUCCAACCUUGUUGUUUCCACAUCUCUACCUAUCAAUAAAUUAAACUGAAAAUAAGUACAUAUGUAAUAAAACAAAUGAAAAGAAAUAUCUCUUAUUCAUAUUUACAAUUGUAGACCCUUUUUUUUUUUUAAAACCAAAGUUUUUUUUCUUCUUCUUUUUUUAUUUUUUACCACCCGGAAGGAGUUGAAGGGCAUUUCAUUUGAAGUGGGGGACAUCUUCCAUGAAGCUCCAUGCAUGGACAUGUGGCAAACAUCACCAUCUCGCCAUGGUGGUGGUUGAAGAUGGUGACUAUGGACCCCGCAUUUCGCUCAAUGCGUUCCCACUCGAUGGCGAAACUCGCUUUUUAUUUUAAAAAAUUGAUUUUUACUGUUUGAAAAAUGACUUGGAGUCGCCACUUAUUUUUAUUUUUAUUUUUAAAGGGUAAACAAAAUAAGAAAGAAAACCCUAAGUGUGACUCCUUAUUUUGGAAAAGGUGGUCUACGAAAAACCGAAUCGGGUUCGGGGGUCAGGUUACUUAUCGGGAAGGUACGGUAAAGACCGUAGCACCCCUCUAAGUCCCUAAAAAUGGGUCUCUACUAAUAAAAUGAAGCAAUCAUGACAAUUGAUUAAUCGAGCAUGGAUACCAAAUGAAUAUAACUCAAAACAAAAUAACUAAAUGAACAGAAGAGGCAAAGAAUGUCCCUGAAGUGAUGAACCAGUUUAGUUCAAGGGAAAACAAAUGUUAGCAAUCAAACACAAAAUAAUAGCAUGCAUGCCAUAGUGUGGAAUAAAUCAAUCAUGCAUAGCUAUCAACCAAUCAACCAAUCAAGGAAUUAGAAAAUCACAUAUGUCGAGCCCUACCAAAGCCCGAUUUAUUUUAGCACAAAUUGAUUUCAUGAAUUCCAUUAUUUGAAAUUAUGAAAUUUAUUUAUGCUUAUUUAAAAAAACAUUUAAAAAUUAAGGAAGGUGUGAAAAUUGCUUGCCGGGAAGAAAGUGGCAGCAAAAUUUUAAUGAAAAUGAAGAUCUUUGGUGAACUAAAGCUUUAAGAAAGAAUGAGGAGUUGUGGGAUUAAAAUUAUUUGAAAACAUGAUUUUUGAAAAUCAGUUUUUGAAGGCAAUGAGGAAGAGUAAGGAAUGAGAUGCAUGUGCUUUUGAGGUGGCCAUGCAGGACCUAUGAAGAAAGACACGUGGGAAUUGGAUGGACAAGUGCUGGAAGUGAGUACUGGGGGUUUAAUUGAAUGCAGAUUUAUAAUCUCAGCACCGACUCUGUCCUUUGCAAGAAUAUCAGCAGCCUUGAGUGCGAGGCCUCCCAUUCUUUUGAGAAGACUGUGAUAGUCACAUUCCUUCUUUCUCUCUCAGUCUUGGCUUUCCCUCUUCGGUGAAUAUGGGGACAGCAUUUUCGACCCAGAGCAAGAGUCAGACCAGGCUGUAUAACUCAGGGAGUGCUGGGCGCCAACUCUAACCGCAGCACCAUUUGGUUCUCAACAAAACGAUAGGUACGGAUAUCCCAUCAGCAGACAUGUAACUUGAUUUUUGCAGCAGAAUCAGGUUUGCUCCCCGCAACUAGGUGGGAGAUCUUCACCGAGGCAGGGGCUUGUUCAGCAACAGCCUCAUGUGUUCCAUGCUGAAUAGGAAGGUAGGGUUUUCCUUCCACAUGAAUCUCAUUUUGAAAUAUUGGCCGAAUCAGUUGCUGUUGAAUUUUGUUAUUGUACAUGAAGAUACAGUGUCUUCAUGCCAUGGAUGAUCAGAUAUGCGGCAUUCGGGUUGAGAAUACCACCCAGAACAUGAGGCAAAUUCCUAAUUGUUGAGACCAACUUUUCAGAACUACUAAUGCAACCUGCAAUUACAUCAUUGUGUCCUGCAAUAUAUUUUAUUGCAGAAUGCGGCACGAGAACAGCCCCAAGAGAAAGGAUCUUCUGGUUGAGAGGUGUUGCAAAUGUACUGUCUAUGCAGACUAGUGCUCCUUUCCUGUGCAGAACAUGCAUUAAUCUGAAGGGGAGACAUGUUUAUCAAGUUAUUCUUGUUCUCAUUACCAAUCUGCUGUCAAUCAUCAUCAAUGAUUAGGAACUUAGGAGGCGCGCCCCCCAUGUAGCCACUGCCAACAGCACCAUAUGGUGCAAUAAUAUAGCUGCUGCAUUCAAGAUCUGCAUCAACAACAUCAGUUUUGUGUCUUCGGAAAUGAAAAUCUGUUGGGCCGUUAUAAAGUUCUGGUACAAAGUCAUGAACAGAAUCCCAGUCACUGUUUAGAGCAUCCAAUCUGCUGGAAACCUUACAAUAUCUGCUCCAGAUGCAUAUCGACUAAGGAAAGUGUCUUUAGUCCCCUCAAAAACUCAACAUCAUCAGACAUGCAGCUUGUCUUGGCAAUGCGUUUAAUCGCAAUAACUGACCCACAUCUUCUAAGUUGAACAUAACACUCUCAAACUUUUAUCAGUGCCAUUCAGAGACAAUGAAAGAGGAGCAAAGAGAGGAUCACUUGCCAUUGAAAUGGAGGGAAGAACUAUGUUGGACAUUAGUGACAUGACUGGUACCAAAAGCACCAUUUACUCAUUCCAUUGAAUUCUGUGCGUGCAAACUAUCAGAAGACUUACCAACAAUAAAAUCUGCCCAUUUUUAAAGGUGCCAUAUUGAUCAAACCUGGAAGGUGCCUUCUGGAGACUCAUACGAGAAUGCUCAGCUGUAGAAGAAACUGAAUCAUUGUCACAGGAGUCAUAUAGAAGAUUAUCAUCAUCACAAGUCCCGAGGCCUUUUGUCCCAAAAUGGCGUAACUUGGUAGUUGGUGAAUGCACAAGGCUUGUUGGCUGGUCUACACUGGAUGAGUCUCUAUUAUAUGGUUAACAGUAUGUGUCAAAUAUAUCAGUCAUGAGCACGUUUUGAAGGUCCAGCUGAGUAUUGUCUACCAUCUAUGACUUCAUCACCGUCACGAUCAAUGACAGUUUCUUCAAUGCUAUCAGCUUACCGUAUCCUUAAGUGUGGCCUAUCAUCUGAGCUGGCACCUAUUUCCUAACUCCACUUACAAGGACUUGGGCCCCAUGGUUCACAUGACGUUGCACGAUCACCAACCUCACUACCAGAAGGCUGCCCUAUCAUUAGAUUCCUUCCCAUAUCAGCAUCAUGCAUAUUUUCAGACAUUGCUGUCCAGUUUAAGUGGAAUAAUUGGGGGAACCCUUCCUCUAUCAGAAUUCAUUGGUUCGGCAUCAGAAUGACAUUUACCACCUGGAACAUGCACGGAUGGUAACAAUGGAGAUGCUUUAUUUGUUGCAUUCUCUGCUUUUGCAUUGGAAGUUUCAACUCCUCUAGCACGGGUACAGGAUGACCUCUUAGGAGCUAAAGAUAUAUUAAAUUCCACAAGCUUUCCUUCAGAAGGCUGACCCAAAGGUGUAUCUGAACCUUAUUUGGCAUGACUAACAAGCUGUCACUUUCACACAUAUUCUAAGCAUCUUCCCAGAGGCUUAACAAAAAUGGGAUCCUCAGGUUUACAGAGGAGGGAAGAGAAACCCGGCUUAGCAUUCAGAAAAGUUUGUUGCUGUCGACAUCUUCACCAUCCCGAGUCCUUGGGACUGUCGGUGCAAGUGUGGAACUACCAGAAGAGUUGUUACUCAGACCUAGAAUUCUCAACCGUAUGAAGAGUGACCCUCAUGAAACUUUCUCAGAAUCACCCCCAAAUAGGAUGGCCAACCCAAAUGAGAUCCUCACACCCCGGACUUACCAGAAACAGGGAAAUGAACAAAAGAAGAUGGAAGCAAGGCAAGGACUGAAGAAAUAGCCCAAGGAAAAUCAAGUAAAUCAUGAACGUAUAGAGCCUCAUUUCAAGUGACAUCCAUGGGCCAAUGCAGGUGGAAUCCAAAGGAAGCAAGAGUGUUUUUUUAAAAUCAAAUUCAGUGAUGAGUACAUAUUCAAAUCAUUCAUAAAACAGAGGAAUGCUCAAGUUGUUCAUAGACAUAUCCAAAAGAGCCAGACUAGAAUCAGGCAAAAAAAAUGCAUAAAAAUGGUCUUAGAUUCCACAAACAUAAAUAGUAUCUGAUGUCCACAUUCAAGCAUCCAAAUGAACCCAAAAUCAGCAAGAAACAGGAUAGAACAGUCUGAAACGGGAAAUGUAAAGCGUGCUGAAAUCAUACUUGGACCAAAACCACAAGCUCCUCCUCUGCUCAGCUAGAAACGCCUCUUUCUCCUUUCUCACUCUCUUUGGAACCCCAGGAACCUGUAAACUUCUUUUAUGUCUCAAGCAACCUACGCUCCUUUCAUCACCGUCUGCUCCUCUCUCUCUCAAAGAAUACCUCCAUUUUCUUUCCACAGCUUUAACUCUCUCUAUCUUUCUCAUUCUCCUCUGUCUAGACCCCCCUCUCUCAAGAAAGAAAAUCCCCCCUCCAAAAAAAUGUCACCCUGCCAGUAACGAAUAAAAAAACCUCACCCUACGCACCUCCUCGUCUUUGUCCCUUACUUUUUCCUCCACCCCUCCGUAGCCAAAAGCACCACGCCUUUUUGCCAGAAUCCUCUCCCUCUCUCAUACGCUCCUCCAGAACAGAAACGUGCUCCUCUCCUGAAGAUUCGUCCUAGGUGUCGCUCCUUGAUAGCUCCUCAAAAAGCACUAUCUGAUUCCAUAGCAGCCAACUAAAAGACACCAUGUGGUCUCCUAGGGUCGCGACACUUGGCAAAACAAGCUGCAUGAAAGUGAGGCCCAAAUGGGGGUCUACAGUGACAUAUUUGCUGAAUCAUUCCCAGUAGAGCUGGUGGAGGCUUGGUGGAGAACAAAACUAGUUGGAGAGAAGGACGGAGGGGGCGGUUGUUGGCGAAAAAGCUGGAGAGGGGAUUCAGAAAGGAUGAACGAGCUGGAGUGGUGAAGACCGGAACUGGAGGGAGGGAUGUUGGCAGAUUUUGGAAGAAACUAUGGGAUUGAGUGCUUGAAACCAAGCAAUCCUUGCAGGAGGAUGACUGUGGGACGGCAGGACCGACCCCAUUAUCUUCCCCAUCGACCAAUAGACAAUUGAGGUAUUUAUGUAUUGUUUGUUUCUUUGUUAUAUGUUUGCUCUUUAAUAUGGAUAAUUGAUUUAGUGUACCAAGAUAGGGUUUUGUUUCUGACAUGAAAGAAUGAAUGUUCGCAACUGAAUCAGGACAGAAUUGUUACAUCAGAUGCUUUGUUUAUAAAUAGUUUAGGUGUUCAGUUUUGUAGGGAGAAUAACAUCAUAGAUUCAUAGAUUCACCUUAUUGAGUGCACUUGACAAUUAAGUUCUCUGUUCUCUUUUUCUUUCCUCGACUGGCAUCAGAAAACACACAAAGUUUCAUUGUUUUCUUUUGCUUCCAAAAAAUAAAAAUUUCCGUUGCGAGAAAAUGGAACCAGAAACCAGACGGUAGAAUCAAGAAAAUAGUGCUAGAGAUCCUCAAAAUUAAGCGCGGACAUGGACGAGAUGACCGAGUUCAUAGAUUCGAAAAAUAGUUUCCCAAAAAAAAACUCGGAAUCAACCUCUUCGUGCCGGACUAACUACAAGCGCUUCGUCCGCUAGGUCGUCGAGACCUUCCUCCAGUCCACCGAAGAUCUUAGAUGAGAACCGGAACCAAAACUGGAACCUGAUCGAAAGAAGGCGAACACCGAAGCAACUGAACGGGAACCGAAAGAAUAGAGGGCGGUCGGUGGAUUCAUUCGGGAAACAACGCAGAUCAGAGCCAGAUAGUGCAGUCCAGAAAUCGAUGGGCGGUCAUGGUGGUUCCACAGUCCAUACCCAUAAGAAAUUGUUGGAAGAUGGCAAGAUAUGACUUGUAUCCACCAGCCAGCUGCAUGUCCAAUAGAAUGACUUAGUGGAUCACUCAUGCAUCACCUUGGAUAGGGACAUGUAUCUUAUGGCCCAUGUCCACCAGCCCGUCCCUCCAUUUUCAACCAUUGGACAUGAUGGUCAGCUAUAUGGGCCUCAGCACCACCAGUGUCCAGCCCAUUGCUUUCCACUACCUACAACCAGCAUCCCGGGCCUCAUUUUGCUUGGCCACCUUUGGUCUGCAAUCCCAACUGUCACACCUCAUUUAUUUAUUCAUUUUCUUUUAUUAUUUCUUUGUGUUCUGAUAUCCAAGUUUAAUCUUUUCAAAAUUUCAAUUUUCACAUUUAUUUAUUUAAUCAUUAUUAUUUUCGCUAUAAUUAUUAUUCUAUUUAUUUAUUUAAAAAAAAUUCAUCUUUAAAUAAAUCUUCAAAAUUCCGAUUUCCAAAUUUAAUUUCUAAUUUCCAAAAUUCUAAUUUUCAUAUUUGUUUAUUUAAUCAUUAUUAUUUUCGUUAUUAUUAUUGUAUUUAUAUAUUUUUUAAAAUUUUCAUCUUUAAAUAAUUCUUCAAAUUUUCCAAAUUUAAUUUCCAAUUUCCAAAAUUCCAAUUUUAACAUUUAUUUAUUUAAUCAUUAUUAUUUUUGUUAUUAUUAUUAUUCUAUUUAUUUAUUUUCAAAAUUUUCAUCUUUAAAUAACUCUUCAAAAUUCCGAUUUCCAAAUUUAAUCCCCAAUUUCUAAAAUUCCAAUUUUCACAUUUAUUUAUUUAAUCAUUGUUAUUUUUGUUAUUAUUAUUACUCUAUUUAUUUAUUUUUAAAAUUUCAUCAUAGUUUUUCAAAAUUCCAAUUUUCACCUUUAUUUAUUUAAUCAUUAUUAUUUUCAUUAUAAUUAUUAUUCCAUUUAUUUAUUUAAAAAAAUUCCAUCUUUAAAUAAAAAAUCAAAAUUCCUAUUUCUAAAUUUAAUUUCCAAUUUCCAAAAUUCCAAUUUUUACAUUUAUUUAUUUAAUCAUUAUUAUUUUCGUUAUUAUUAUUAUUAUUUUUAUUUAUUUUUAAAAUUUCAUCUUUAAAUAAUUCUUCAAAAUUCUGAUUUCCAAAUUUAAUUUCCAAUUUCCAAAAUUCCAAUUUUAACAUUUAUUUAUUUAAUCAUUAUUAUUUUCGUUUUUAUUAUUAUUCUAUUUAUUUAUUUUCAAAAAUUCCAUCUUUAAAUAACUCUUCAAAAUUCCAAUUUCCAAAUUUAAUCCCCAAUUUCUAAAAUUCCAAUUUUCACAUUUAUCUAUUUAAUCAUUGUUAUUUUUGUUAUUAUUAUUAUUCUAUUUAUUUAUUUAUUUAUUUUUAAAAUUUCAUCUUUAAAUAAUUUUUCAAAAUUCCAAUUUUCACCUUUAUUUAUUUAAUCAUUAUUAUUUUCUUUAUAAUUAUUAUUCUAUUUAUUUAUUUUUAAAAAAUUCAUCUUUAAAUAAAUAUUCAAAAUUCCUAUUUCCAAAUUUAAUUUCCAAUUUCCAAAAUUCCAACUUUCACAUUUAUUUAUUUAAUCAUUAUUAUUUUAUUUAUUUAUUUAUUUUUAAAAUUUCAUCUUUAAAUAAUUCUUCAAAAUUCCAAUUUCUAAAUUUAAUCCCCAAUUUCUGAAAUUCCAAUUUUCCAAUUUUCGAAUUUAAUUUCCAAAAUUCCAAUCUUCACAUUUAUUUAUUAUUAUUAUCAUUAUCAUUAUUAUUAUUAUUAUUAUUAUUUUAUUUAUUUAUUUUUAAAAAUUCCAUCUUCAAACAAUUUCCAAGGUUCCAAUUUUCAUAAUUUAAUUUUCAUAGUUCCAAUUCUCAAAUAAUUUUCCAAAGUUCCGAUCCUUAAAUUUAAUUUUCGAAAUCCCAAUUCUUAAAUCUAAUUUUCAAAACUUCAAUUUUCAAAUGAUUUUCAAAGCUCCAAUUUAUUAAAUUCGACUUUUCAAAAUUCCAAUUUUCAAAUAAUUUUCGAGACUUCAAUUUUCGAAUAAAUUUUAAAAAUUCAGUUUUCUUUCGAACAGUUUUAAUUCCACUCCAGUUUUCAGAUAUUUCUUAAUUCUACCACUUUUCAUCCUUUAUUAGAGCUUUUAGACCGCCAAAAAUCUUGAUUUUAAUAAUCCUGCUGCCUUUCUCAUUUUGGUAUGCACUUGUACAAAUUUUCUUCGAUUCUCAAAUAAUUUUAUGUUUCUCUUGAUUUUAAAUGAGCAAUAAUGAUUUUUUUCAUAAUUCCAAAAUAAUGGAAUUUGUGAGACUAAUUCAUGCAAGAUCAAUUGGGCUUUGGUGGGGGUCCUACAUAUGAGUUUUCUCUUUUGAUUAUCAAUUGUCAUGCUUAAUGAGGAUUGUUUGAUCUUUGUCCUGAUCUUUGAUAUGCAUGUGAUAAUUUUAUACUUGAGCUAACCUUGUUUCCGUAAUAGCGCACUAUUACUUGCUGCUAAGGUACGAUCUCACUUCCACUUUGCUUAUUCUUAUGCAUGAUUUGCUUUAUUAUUUGAUUAUUUCAUUGGUAUCCAUUGAUUUCCUUAUCAAUUGUCACACUUGUCUCACCUUAUUUAGUAGAGACCUUAUUAUAGGGCUUAGAGGGAUGCUAUGACUCACCACCGUACCUUUCCAAUAGGUAACCUGACCCUCGGACUCGAUUUUGGUUUUCCACAUACUGUCUUUUCCAAAUAAGGAGUCACACUUAGGGUUUUCUUUCUUAUUUUGUUUUCCCUUUAAAAAUAAAAUAAAAAUAAGUGGUGACUCCAAGUCUUUUUCUAAAAAAAAAAAAAUCAUUUUUUCACAAAUAAAUUAAAAGCGAGUCACGUCGUUGAGUGGGAACGCACGUGAAAAAUGCGGGAUCCACAACCAUCUAUAAAGUUUCUUCUUCAUUCUUGAAUUAUUUAAAAAUAAAUACCACAAAUGAAAUUUAUGAAUUAGGACCUACAAAUAUUAAAUGAAAUUGAUAAUUAUUAAAAAAAGAAGUUUUUUUCCUUAAUAUUUGUCUUUCUACCACCAUUAGGAUAAUAACAUUAAAGAGGAAUUGUAAUUAUGCCUCAUUCACUACUAUUGUCAAAUUCAAAACUCUCCAAUAAAUAUUGGUAGUUUGAAGUCUCUCAAAGUCAUAUUUAAUUUAACUUUUUGAUCUAUUUUCCCAUUUGUUCGAUCAAAACCUUAAAUUAAAAUUUCCAUUUUUUGCUAUUCCUUUCACCGGUUUCAAUAUAGUUGCCAUGGCUCCUUUCCCCUUUGAGGAAUCCAACCCAAUAUCCCAUAUGAAGGCAAACUUCUUGACCUAUUGGGCAAUUUAAUAUAUAGUUUAUUCCUUCCUCCUAAAUUUUAACUUAAAUUUAAUUAAUUUUUUUUUUCAUAUUCUGUUUAAUAUAUUAUUAAAAAUAUAAAAAUAUCAUAAUAAUUUCAUCAAUGAGUCUUUCUUUAUUAAAAAUAAAAAAUAAACCGGGAUAUAAAAUUGUUAACAUUUUUAAACAUAGAAAUAUAUACAUAUANNNNNNNNNNNNNNNNNNNNNNNNNNNNNNNNNNNNNNNNNNNNNNNNNNNNNNNNNNNNNNNNNNNNNNNNNNNNNNNNNNNNNNNNNNNNNNNNNNNNACAUAGAAAUAUAUACAUAUAUCAUUAUUUCUUUUACAUCUUAAAUAAAGAUCAUCAUUUCAAACAUAUGUUUGAUGACUAAAUAAAAUAAAAUUUUAAUAAAUAAAUUAAUUUUAAUUAUCUUAUCAUUAAAUUUCAUUUUACUUAUUGUGAAAAAUGUAAAAACCAUCAUAAUGAUAUUUUCAAAAUGAUCACUUUAUGUUUUUAGUAUGGUAUUUAGAUAUUAAAUAUAUAACAUAAAAUUUAAAAAUAAAUUAAAAAAUAAUUAUACAUAUAUCAUUAGUUAUUUUAUAUCCUAAAAUACAUCCAAACUACAAAGAAUAUUAUUUUCAUAAUAAAUGUGGUUAAUGAAUUUAUUUAAGAAUCUGACAAAGUUUUAUCAUACAUAAAUAGUUUUCUUUAAUAUAAUUACUUCAAUAUGUAUUAUUGAAGUUAUGAUAUUAUUUUUUAAAAAAAGUUUUUUCUAAUAUUUUUUCAAUUAAAUAUGCAAGAAAAACAUCUAUAAUAACUAGAAAAAGAUAGUAUAGUAAAAUUAAUUCAUACUCAUUUUUAUUGUAUAUAAAAAAUAAUAUUUUGGUAGAAAAAAGUUUUAUAUAUCUAUACAUGAGGAGUUAGUAGCUACCCAUGAUAAAAGUGGUCUCAAUCACAUUCUCCUUUUAACACUAUUUCUUUAUUUUUUUCAUUAUCAUUUUCAUUCAAUCAUACGGGUUUUGUGUAAACAUUUAUUUCAAUGCUUUUGUUUCUCUAUGUUCUAAUACUUAUAUUAACUCAUAUAUAUCUUUCUCUUCCUCCAAUCUAAAACUACAAAAAAUAAUGCUAAAUAAUAAUGUUUAAGUCAAAGCAUUUUACUUUGGUGAAAGAAUAUAUAGUAUAAAUAUCUUUGAAUUUGCAAAAUAAUUAUAUAAUGAACCACUAAAUUUAUCCACAAAAUAAACUUGCAAAAUGUUGCAAGUUAAAUUAUAUUUUUUUUAAUCAAAAUUGGAUUGAAAAAGAAUUUUAUGAAUAUUUUAAAAUUCACAACUUUCUACUUUAAUAUCGUCCAAGUCACAGGUGGUGGGAAUAGUUAAAAACAGAGUGGCGAAUGAGUGUCUAAUACUUAAGAAUUUGUCCAAUAGUUCAGAUCAAAGACUACAACAAAAAGCGAAACGCACGUUAAUUAAGAACGUCAAAGAAAAGGAUUUCAAAUAGUGUUUCACUUAAUAAUAUGAAAGCAAUUAUUUUAAAAGAAAAAUAAAAAAAAAUGAAUGACUUCUUGUACAACUACUCUUUGCAAAUAUAUAAAAUUUGUCUAAUAAUUUAUACCAAAUAUUACAACAAAAGGUGAAAUGGAAGUCAAGAGUGUAAGAGAAAAAGAUUUCAAAUAGUGCGUCAUUCAAUAAUAUGAAAGUAAUUAUUUUAAAAGGAAAAAAAAGUGAAUGAAAGUAAUUAUUUUAAAAGAAAAAUAAAAUAUACGAAUGUACAACCACUCUUUACAUAUAUAUCUAUAUAUAUUUACUUUUGUAUUAUGCAGAAAUCAUUGUCAGCAUUGUGGGCAUCCCCGUAAAUGGGGAUAACGGGCCUACCCAAAGAACUAUUCGUUGAGUUGGGCCAGUUUGGGCCAUGAUUAAAAGCCCAUCUAGCCUAAUGGCCUAGUUGACUUAAAUAGCCCAAUAGGUAAAGUGGGAAAUAGAACGUGGGAGAACAGUCCACAAGGAGUAGUGGAGGUAGUUAAUGCUUGGGGCGGUAACCGCUUGAAGUGGCUAAAAAGUGGCCCCACGAUCUCCAUGCUUAUUGGUAGCUGAAAGGUAUAUGAAUACAAUUGGAAAGUCCAAAAAUAAAAAUAAAAAUUGUAGCAUGAGAAACAUUACAUUUUCUAGAAAACCCCAACUAACUUAAUCAUCAGAUGAGGUGAUCCUAGGGUAAAACUUAGUGAGCCUUAUGUGGUAGGUAUAAGGAAGCGCACGACAAGGAGAUGACUAUUGCUCAAGAAAUUCUCAGCUCCAACAAGUGGCGCUGUCUAUGGGAAAAUUCUACAUUAAUGUAACAUUUUUACUUGGAGCUGAAAAGUAUACCAUUUUUGUUUGGAGUUGGAAGCUUCACAAUGGGAGAUAGUCAACUGCGGGAUUCAAUUAGUACAAUUGCUCCUCGAAGGGCCGUGACACUAGAGUUUAUUCUUGAGGGUUUCGAAAUGCGCCAAGUAGAGCAGGAGAGAAGAAUUGAAUCCAUCAUUGCCUAGACAAAGUUUCUAAGGCAAGAGAAUGCCUUGUCGCAGACACAACUCAAAGAUCAGCGUGCUCGCAUUCAAACAUUGUAUUAGUCAACAAGUAAUCUUGAUCACUUAUGCCAUCAGGACAAUAAUGACAUGGUGGAACCUUUAGAUCAUGUAGUUCAUUUUGGUCAAGUUCCCCACAUCAUUUUAAGUUUUCAUGGAGGAUGUCGCCCAUUUGACCUCAAGAUUCCAAGAAGUCUAGUCAUUGAAGGCAUAGAUGAGGCGAACAACACUCCCGGUAGGGACCCAAGCCCCUAGUGUAUUCAAAUCCUUGUAGCCAACAACAAAUGAGGUUGCCCCAUGUGGAGGCUGUAGGAAGGCUGACUCAGCCCCUAUCUUCGGUAGCUUGGCUCCCACAUGGGUGAUCAAAUGAGUUGUCUCUAGGAGCCACAACUCGCCACCUGAAUGAUAUGAUGAUAACACCAUUCGCCCAACAUGUUUUGAUGUAUGAACCCCUAAGAGGAUAUACCAUUCCUAAGCUCUUUAUGUAUGACGGAACAUAUGACCUCUUCGAUCAUCUGAUGCGUUAUCGACAAAUGAUGAUGCUUGAUAUCGAUAAUGAUGAGUUUCUAUGCAAAGUCUUCUCGGCUAGUCUCUAAGGAACUACCCUAGCCUGGUUCCACCGAUAUCUCCCUAAUUCCGUUCACUCCUUUAGGGAGAUGUCAGAAGUCUUUGUAGCUCAUAUUUGUGCUCAACAAGGUAGAAGUUCAAUAUCAACAGCCUUCAAAAUCCGAAGAAGAUAGAAAGUGAGACUUUACGCCAAUUCAUGCACAUGUUUGACCAAGCAAUGCUCCAAGUAGAAACAUGCAGUAUGGAUGCUUUGCUAUAAGCCUUCAAGCCUAGCAUUGGGUCAAGGACCCCAUUUUUUGAAUCUCUCUCCAAGAAGCCAUCAAAGAUGAUUGAUGAAUUGUUUAGAAGAGUUAACAAGUAUGCUAUGUUGGAAGAGGACUUGUAGGCUGCAACAAGUCCCGUCUUAGUAUCAACGCAAGUGGCACAGGCAAAAAAGAUACAGGGAAUAAACGCCAGGGCUCGGGGAACCCUUCAUAGGGCAAAAAGCCGCGUAGGGGUGAUGAGGGCCAAAGACCACCCCGACAAUGAGGGACAAAGACCACCCCGACAAUGAACCUCACUCAAUCUUACCUAUAGAUAGUUACUUCUAAUUAUGACCGACUUACUCGGCUUUAGGUGGCCCUUCGCUUUUAGGGAUGAACCGACAUAACAAGACCAAACGCAGCAUUGCGAAUACCAUAAAGAGUAUGGGAACACCAUUGAUGAGUGUCGACACCUCCAUUAUCUAGUGAAAGACAUGGUAAGAGCUAGUUUGCUCUCUCAGUAUGUCAAGAAGAGCGAACAGUCGGCUACUGGGAGUAUUGAGCAAGUUGCGACCAACAUGAUCCUGUCAAGGGGAGCACCGCUAGUUAUUCAUGUCAUUCAAGGAGGACCUAUUGAUCAACAUUGGGAAUCAAAGUGUCGUCAUCGAGCAAUGAUUCAAGAAUCUAGUGACGUGGAGAAGAUCGGUACGGAGCACUACUCCUUUGUAUUAGGGACAAUGGAACCUGUAAAUGGGGCUAUCACAUUUAACACUCGAGAUCUUGCAUGAAUAACAGUUCCGCAUGAAGAUGCCCUUGUUCUAUCACUAAAAAUUGUUGGGUUCCAAGUCUGCCAAGUACUUGUUGACCGAGGUAGUUCAAUUAACUCGUUCCACAUCUCGGCUUAUAAGCAAAUGGGUGUCCCCAUCUCCACUUUAGGAAACCCGAGUUGAGUAAUAACAGGUUUUAAUAGAUCAACAACCUGGACUUUGGGAGAAAUAAUUUUGUUGGUUGAAGUCGUCCUACAACCCUAAAUGUUCGUUUUUAAGUCAUGUCAGAACCUUUAUCGUACAAUUCCAUAUUAGGACGAGUGUGGAUUCAAAAAAUGAAGGUUACCCCUCUCAAUUUAUCACCAAAAAUUCAACUUUCUUACUAAAACGGGCUAAGUAGACUUAUUUGGGAGUCAACUAACUGUUAGGUAGUGUUACCAGGUAAAUGUCUUGCCUACGGAAGAGGAAGUUGAAAAUGCUCAUGUUGACAGCGAGUCCCAAUAGAAAUAAUAAUUAUUGAAGGACAAAGGUGACCGAGAAUCCCCAAUCAUUGACCUAUUGGUUUGUGUAGAAAUACAGAAAGAAUGAUCAGAGAAGGUUACAUACGUUAAUGCUAUGUUCAUAGAGCAAGAAAAACAUCAACUAGUAAGCCAACUGAAUCUGAACGUCGGAGUCUUUGCUUGGGAAUUAUCUGACAUGCCAAGAAUAUCCCCCAAAGUGAUGAGUCAUAAACUUGGGAUCCGCCCAGGAUCGAAACCUGUUCGACAAAAAGUAAAAAGGCUUAAUUCAUAGAGGCAGUAGAUAAUUGAGCUUGAAGUAUCCCUAUUGCUCGAUGCAUGAUUCAUUCGUGAGGUCUACUACCCAGACUGGCUAGCUAAUGUGAUAGUUGUGCCAAAAAAAUGAGGUAAAUGGAGGGUUUGCAUAGACUUUACUAACUUGAAUGAGGCAUGCCCAAAGGAUAGUUUCUCAUUGCCACACAUUCAUCAAAUUGUUGAUGUUACUUUGGGGCAUAAGAUGUUAUCUUUUAUGGAUGAUUUUUCUGGCUAUAACCAGAUUCCUACGUACCCUUCUGGUACUGAAAAGACAUCAUUCAUAACCCCAUUUGGGACUUUCUGUUAUAAUGUAAUGUUUUUUAGCCUUAAGAAUGCAGGGGCCACUUAUCAACAACUAAUGAAAAAAAUAUUUUAUUCAAUGCAAAGCAAAACGACAAAGGUUUAUAUAGAUGACAUACUUAUAAAAAACAGGAAACAAGAUAAUCACUAUACAGACUUGCAGUAAGCUUUUGACUUGCUAUAGCAUUUUGAGAUGAAAUUGAAUCCUACUAAAUGUGCCUUUGGGGUGUUUUCCGGCAAGUUCUUUGGUUUUCUAGUCAUAGAGCAAAGAAUUGAAAUAGAUCCUGCCCAAAUAAAGACAAUACAAAAGCUACCAUCUCCUCAAAGUAAAAAAUGAUGUGCAAUAUUUAAUAGAAAGGGUGGCUACAAUAGCCCGUUUUAUUUCUCGGUACAUUGACCGUCUAAAGCAUUUCUUUAAUGUGAUAAAAAAAAAAAAAAAGCUAAGGCCUUUGAGUGGACCGUUGAGUGCAAGGAAGCGUUUAUAGCCAUAAAAAACUAUUUGGUCUCACCCUCAAUUUUAAAAAGUCCUCAACUGGGAGAUCCCUUGUACAUGUACCUUGCAGUAUCAAAGUUGGUAAUCAAUGCAAUUUUGCUUAAGCAGGGCCCUAAUGGGAGCCAGUUACCAAUUUACUAUGUUAGUAAGGAAUUGAUGUCAAUUGAGUAGAAUUAAACCAUGCCAAAAAAAGUGGCAUUGGCACUACGAAUGGCAUCAAAGAAGUUGGGCCCUUAUUUUCAGGCACACCAAGUCAAUGUCUUGAUCGAUGUUCUUUUUCGAGCUACAUUGCACGGGCCUGAGUUGUAGAUUGCUUUGACCAGAAGAUGGGAGAGUGGUGGAUUCUCUAUGUUGAUAUAGUGCCUCGCGAUGCAGGUACAGGGGUAGGGCUCGUCCUGCAAUCCCCCAUAAGAGAAUAUUUGGAGCAGGUAGUCUGAUUGGGCUUCCACGCUUCAAACAAUGAGGCUGAGUAUGGAGCUCUGCCUGUUGAAGUAAGCUUGGCACUGUUAGUCUAGGCUAUCCACCUCGAUAUACGGAGUGACUCACAACUAGUGGUGAAUUAGGUGCAAGGAGAGUAUGAAACAAGGGAUGAAAGAAUGAUAAAGUACCUCCAGAGAGUGAAAAACCAGCUUCACAAAUUUAGCAAGUGGAAGGUGACUCAGAUCACUAGGGAAGAGAAUGUCUGAGUAGAUGCAUUAGCUAGAUUAGCAACUUCCUUAGCUAUGACACAAACAACUAUUCUACCGGUUUAUUACCAAGAUGACCCAUCAAUCCUAGAAAGAGAACAAGUGAAUCAAGUUUAUGACAUCCAUGGAAGUUGGAUGGAACCGAUCAUCAAGUAUCUGGAGAUAGGGGAGCUACCAAAAAAUGAACUUUAGGCACAUUGAAUCAAGAUUAAGUUCGCAUGAUAUAGCAUGAUCGGGGGUCGAUUAUAUAGAAGGUCUUACAGAGGACCAUAUUUAAGGUACUUGGAACCAGAAGACGCGAAGUAUGUCAUUUCAUAAUCGCAUGAAGGAAUAUGCGAAAAACACCCGGGUGGCCAGACAUUUGCUCAUCGAGUUUACACAUAAGGGUACCACUAGCCCACCAUUCAUAAGGACUCCCAGGAGUUAGUGUAGAUGUGUGACAAUUGUCAACAGUAUGCACACAUCCUCUGGCUACCAUCGGAGUCCCUCACUCCUUUGGUUUGGCCUUAGCCUUUUGCCGAAUGGGGAAUAGAUAUAAUGGGUCAUUUCCCAGUAGUCCCUGCCCAAAAUAAAUUUUUGUUGGUAGCAAUUGACUACUUUACAAAGUGGGUUGAGGUAGAGACUUUCGCAACAAUAAAAGAUAAGGACGUAACAAGAUUUUUAUGGAAGAGCAUCAUCUUUCGUUUUGGAAUACCACGAGUGAUAAUCUCAUAUAAUGGGCCAUAUUUUGAUAGCUCCAAUUACAAAAAAAUUUGUGCUGAGUUAGGGAUCAGGAACUUGUAUUCCUCACCACGCUACCCACAAGCUAACAGGCAAGCGGAAGCAACGAAUAAGUCUCUUCUUGAUAUGUUGAAGAAAAGACUUCAAGGAGUCGGUAGGUGGAAGAGUUGUUUGGAGUAUUAUGGACACAUCGAACCAUGCGAUGGUGCCCAACUAGGGAGACUCCUUUCUCCCUAGCUUAUGGCAUGGAAGUUGUCAUCCCAUCUGAAGUGGGAAUGCCAACAUUGCAAACGACCCAAGAACCAACAGGAAACCAAGAGAUUGAAGGUAGUCUAGAUUAGGCCAAUGAAUUGAAGAAGACAACUCUGAUUCGAAUUGAAGCUUAUCGCCAUCAAGCUAUGGCAUAUUACAACAAGCAAUCAAAACCACAACAACUGCAAGUCGGGGACUUAGUCUUGAAAAAAAUGUUUGAGAAUAUGGCAGUUCCUAGGCUUGGCAAAUUGCAAGCCAACUAGGAAGGUCCCUAUCGUGUAAUAAAAAUAAGACAUGGGGGAGCCUACUUCCUAGAAAAAUUAACCAAGGAACAUUUACCUCGUCCCUAGAACAUUUAAAAGCUGAAAAAUGUAUUUUUCUUGAAUAAAAAUCUUUUGAUUAAGUAAAUAAUGCAAACAUGCUAGCAAAAUGCAUUAAAGGAUAAAUGCAAUAUUAUGGAAAAACUCGAACAAAGUAAUGGCAAAAAGCAAUUGAUAAAAAUGAAAAGCUUCAAAGACUCCUUGAACAAAGUAGGGGCAAAAGAAGCAGAACACAAAGGCCUAUUGUCAGGGAAAAACCCUACAAACUUUAAAAAGAAAGAGACAAAAAAAAAAAAAAAACUAUAAAACCUGCCAAAUGUCAAAAAACCAGUGUAAUUGUUAAUUUUUUCCAAAAAAAAAAAAAAUGACUUCAGUUCAUUCUUUUAGGUCUUCAAUGUGUGCAAUGGGAUCUAAGUCGGCCAACAAGAAUUCUAGUUCUUCAGUCCUUUCUAAGGCAUUCCCUUGGUCAUCCAGAUUACCUAUCUGUUGAGCAGAGGAAAGCGCAUUGCCAGUGUAAGGUAGAAGAGAAACUUCAUCUGAGCAAGUGGCGAUACCUUUUUGCAAAGAAGCACCCAACGGGUCUGACAUCCCAACAAGGUCGGUUUCGUCCUCGUUUGUAGCAACUAGCCUCACUCUCUUGUCGGCCCUACUAGCACCCAGUGGAGAAGUUUCAAGAGUAGAACUUUCAUCUUCAGUUACAAAGUCCUCAUCGAUAUCAAAGUCUUCAAUGAUAGCAUGUUUUUGCUUGCAACACCGAUACGCAUACUAAUACAUUUUUUCUACCUGCUCGAUGUAUUUGGUAGUGAACUUUGCAUGUUGAGCUUUCAGUGUGGAUUGGGACUGGUUAAUUUGAAGAUGGAGUUGUCUAUCUCCUCUACCUUUCUUCUUUGAUCCUCUUUCAAGUCCACACACUCGGUCUAAAAAGUUUGGAUUAAAGCCUAAAGGAUUUUAUUAGAGUUCUCAAGUUCAUCCAUGCGCAAUUUAGCUAAAGCCAAUUCCAUCUCAAGGUUCUCCUACUUGGCCAUGGACUCAGCAACGUACUGUCUAAGUUUACUAGCAGCCUCCAACUUCUCGUUAGCAUAUUGAAGUUGGUGUUUUAAGUCUCUAACAACGACAACCCCUUGGUACAUAAAUGUGAAAGCGUUAAAUGUAUUAAAGAAUUUUAAGGAUGAGUAUCAAAAGUGUGCUCAGUUCGUUGUAGUACCAUUUCAGUAAUCUGAUCUUCAUCUAGUCCUCGAAUAGCAGAUAUCAUCUGAACAACCCGGACAGGAGCCCCAAUGGGAACAUUUGCAAUAAAAUUAAAGUUUGGCUAACUAAGAACUUCCGCAUGAUCUACUUAGUAGCAAGGAAAAUAACACCUAUAUAUGAUAAAGGAUGAUCAGUAGUGGUAAAUAAGGAAUAUUGGUUUAGGAUUUCUCCUACCUCCUCAAUUAAAAUGAAACCAAUCUUGUGUGGGUGUAAACUCACCCUUGGGUGCAGGCCAGGAACAAUAAUCUUGCCAUGAGGGGCCACUUGUGGAGUAGUAUUCGGUAAAGCCCUUUGUAUAGCCGACACCUUUUGAAUCAUACCAAAAGCUGGUUGGGUGGUCUUCAACGGGCCGGUCUCUAGUCUUUUUUCUCUUUCUUCUCUUUCUAACCCGACUAAAGAUGUCAACGGCCUCACCUUCUGUGUCAUCCAUGUCCUCCGCAAUCAAAGGAGCUGACUCGUUCUGUUCAAUAGAAUCACCGUUUGGUACCAGUAGCGAAAAGUCUGUUGGGGCAAUAAUAGCUGAGCCCCGGGAGAAAAGAGUGUGCUCAAGCAAAGAGAAUGGAAUUGUCACAGAGAGACCAAGUUGGGUAGUUUGUCGAGUAGUUGUUGGUGACAAGUUGCUCUCUCUCCCUAACAACUUCUAUGCUAGUAUCAAAAGAGCCAAAAUGUUUGUCUAUUUUAAAGUCUUUUGGAAUAAAAUGCACCUCAGGGAUUAGGUCGCUAUGAGCAAUCCUUGAAAAAAAUUGAGGGAUGAAAGGGUCUAGGUUCUAGAGCACACUUUGAAGAUUGGUCUCCGUAAAUAAAAGAGAAAAACUUAUUUACUUGAAAUCAAUGUUGAAUAGCUUGGUAAGCCAUUUCUGGGAAGGUUUUUCACCCAUUAUAUUAGGUGUCCUUGAUAGUUUUCAAUUGUCCGGAAGCAAGAUUAAAUAGAUAUUAAAAAUAAAUGGUAUUAGUUACUAGGCCGUUUAAGGGUAUGAUUCAAGGGGUAAGGACCACGAAGAUCUAGAGUUGAAAAUUCCCAUUCUCCAUAAACAAUCACGCGUCUGAUGGCCAGACUUUUCCUAGAAUCUGGCAUGUUUGUGAUCAGUUGCAACUGCUUUCUGCAAGCAGAAAUGAGGAAUUUUCCUCAUUUGUUUAGCUUAAUAGUGUAAAUGAAAAGAAUCUCCAGCAAUGACAACUCGAGAUUGAAUAACUGAUUUAAAAUAAAGCAACCCAUGAGAAUGUGGAUUGAGUUCGAAUGGACAAAUGAGAGCGGAAUUUGGGUAUAAUGCAAAAACUCCCUCACUAAUGAAGGUAAAGGUAAGCACAGCCCAACAUGGAACUGCUCCCUAGUGAAGCACAUGAAGUGUUUUUUGUGUGUAUCAGUUAGGAGAGGUGUGGUGAUGCACAAUAGUUGGAUGUCAACAUUGUUCGGAAUAUUGAAAUCCUUUUUGAAUUCAUCAGUGGCAAAAUCGUCCACAAUACGAACUAAAGUGCGGGUUGUGUUGUCUGAGGAGGAACCCUUCUAGGGUCUUUUCCUUUUCGUAGAACCUUCAGAUUUCUUCAACAUUCUGUAAGGGUUUGCGUUACUAAUAGGGAAAGUAAGGGAGAAAGAAACCCUAGAAAGAGACUUCUGAGUGCACUUUCGUGCAGAGUUCAAGGGACCGAACAAAGAAGAGAACUCUCUAUCCAGGAAAACAUGAAUGUAAAUGGAGUAAAUAGAACAAAAACCGGAAUUAGUAUAUAAAGAUAAUGAAAAAUAUGGGUUUUCCUCACCUAAACACCGAUAACGCAGGAUUGGUAGUUUGAUGUUAAUGGAAGAGAAAAAAACAAGAAUGUUGCGGUGUGGUAACGGUGCUGUUAAGACUCCAAAAGGAAAGAUGUCAUAACUUUUGGAAUUUGAAAAGGCAUGGUAUGUGUGUCAUCGGUAAGGGGCAUAAGAAACUCCCAAAGGUAGCUGGAAGGUACAUUGUUAUGAGCGUCCAAUACAAAAAAAAUUCAAGGUCCAAAAAAUCAAAGAAAAUAUGUUCCCGCUUAAAAUGAAAAAGAAUUUUCCGUUUGACCUCAGCCAAUGGUCAACAAAAAAUUGGGGGCAAUUGUGGGCAUUGUGGUAAAUGGGGAUAACGGGCCUACCUAAAGAACUAUCUAUUGAUUCGGGCUAGUUUGGGCCUCGAUUAAAAGCCCAUCUAGCCUAAUAGCCUAACUAACUUAAAUAGCCUAACAGGUAAAGUGAGAAAUAGAACGUGGGAGAACAACCCACAAGGAGUAGUGAAGGCAAUUAACGCUUGGGGCGGUAACCACUUGAAGUGGCUAAAAAGUGUCCCCAUGAUCUCCACGCCUAUCGAUAGUUGAAAUGUAUAUGAAUACAACUGGUAAGUCCAAAAAAAAAAAAAGUAUUGUAGCAUGAGAAAUAUUACCUUUUCUAGAAAACCUCAGCUAACUUAAUCAUUAGAGGAGGUGAUCCCGGGGUAAAACCGGGCGAGCCUUGUGUGGCAGGUAUAAGGAAACGCGUGGCGAGGAGAGGCCUAUUGCUCAAGAAAUUCUCAGCUCCAAUAGGCAUUACUUUACAAAAUAUUUUAAAAUGAUGGAGAUAAAAUAGGAAGUUUUAAUUUUGGUAAGUAGGAAGGAAACAACUGAGAAGUUUUUUUUUUUUUUUUUUUUCAGUAAAAGUGAUAACGCUAGAGUCAAGAUUUUGUAAUGCCUUAAUUCUAUCAUAAAAUGAAUUUAUGUAUACUUACACAAAAUUUUCAAUAGAUGAUUACUAUAAGAAAAAAAAUCCACCUUUUUUUAGCUUUAUUUUUAAUAUGAUUCUCAUUCUUAAAAUAAUAAAAUUUAAGAAAGUGUGUGUUUUUUUCCUCUUUUAUUAUCAAUCAUAAAAUUCAAAAUCUUUUCAUUUAAUUUGUUAAUGCUAUGUUUGGUUUAAGAAUGAUAGUAAAUAAAGAAAAUUAUUUUCUCACAUUUGAUUUUAUUAUAAAAAAUAAAAAAUAUAAUUAAAAUUAAUUAAAAACUUAUAUAUUUUCAAAUGAUUUAUUUGUUAUAUAAAAGUAUUAAAUUAAAUAAAAUGAGUUUGAAGUAAUAUAUAAAAAUAAUUUAUUUUCUUUAAAUCUAUUUUUAUUUUAUAAUAGAAUCCAAAGUUUUAUAAUACUUAAAUGGCAGAAAGAGAGCAAUCAAGCUUCAUGUGCUAGUAAUUUUUUUAUUUAUUAUUUUUUUUUAGUAUUUCUUAUUUGGAUUGAAACAAAAUCAAGGAUAUCAUACAAAAUUAUAAUAAAAUUUUAAAUCAUUUAUUACUUUCAAAUAGAUUAAGUGUAUAUUAUAUUAUACAUAAUGCUAAAUCAUAGAUGCUUCAAAUAAUUAAGAAGGAUAACUAAUUAUCUUUCUAUUAAAAAAAUAAAUGAUGUCAUUAAUUGUUGCAAACUAAUUUACAUUAUGGGAUGAUGAGUUGGUUGGUCAUUCUAUCAUCUUCAAAAUUAUCCUUGAAAAUAAAAGUAGUCCAAUAAUUAAUGAUUAAAUAAAAACAUUUCUUUGUCAUUUUUAAAAAAUAAAAUUUUCAUUUUAAUUUCUUCCACUCCUAUGAGGUGGUUAAGAAACCAAAUGCUUGUACAUAUUCUUUUCUUUUCUUUUCUUUUCUUUUAAUAUUACAUUUAUCAUUUUUUUUUUCAUUUAUGUAGUAAAAUUUUUAAAGGUGACUUCCUUAUUUAAUAAGAGAAGUAAGUGUCUCUCUCAAUUAGAGUUUAUAAUACCCCUUGGUUUUUAUAUUAUAGAAAGUUGAAUAAUUUAAUCAUAAAACAAAAGCAAGUGUGGAAAAUUAUAGUAAUUCCUAUAUAAAAUGUAGGAGCUCUUAGAAAUUUAUUUUGAAAAAAAAAAAUUUAAAAAUCAAUUCUUAUACAAAAUCAGGUAUUAAAUUUUUUUUUCUGACUACCUCAAAUUUUAAAAAUCUUGGAAGUAAUUUUUAAAAAUAUAAAAUUUAUGUUCCAUGCAAGUUAUUAGAUUUCAUAUAUAAAUUACUAUUAUUUUCCUUUUUUAGAAAACAUGAAAUUAGUAAGCGAGAGGGAACUAAUAAGACAUAUACAUUAAAAUCGAGGGAAAUAUGGUAUCCACAUUUUUUUUUAUGAAAAAUUAAAGAAAAUGGACAAGCCUAACUUAAUAAAUGGUUUGUAUGGAUUGAGAUUAAUAUAAGAUGAAAAUGACUACAUUCGAAUAUGCUAAUAUUCAUGUCAUUUUUUAGCUAUGUUAUCAUGUUAUAUCAAAAUUGUCAUCCUUAUAUUUGUUUUAUAAAUUUAAUAAUAUGGUACAUAACUUUUGCAUAACAAAAAGUUUAUAUGCUAAUCUUGCUAAAUGUAUGCCUAUAAACAAUAUUUUAAAACAAGUGUAUAAAAAUGGUCGUAAAAAAUUAAUAAUAAUGUUUGGAUUUAAUAAAAUAACUUUGAGAUUUUAGGUUUAAGAAAUUUUAAUGAUACUAGUUGGGAUUAUGGUAAUAUUGAAUUAUGAUUGACUGCAUCUAUAAUUAUAAUUAAAUAUUGAAUAUAUCUCUUUUCAUAAGGUACUAUGAAAUAAUCUGUAACAUAAUUGAAGCAUAAUAAAAAUAUUUAAGCUACUUUAGUCACUAUGCAUAUGAUCUUAAUAGAUAAAUGAGGAUAAUUUAUCAAUGUCUCAAAGUCAAAUAAAUAAAAUUAUCCAUGCCUAAAAACAUACAAAUUAAAAUCAGCAAUUUAAAUUAUUCAUGCUUAAAAACAUACAAAUUAAAAUUACUAAUUCAAAUUAUACAUGCUUAAAAACAUAUAAAUUAAAAUCCACAAUCCAAACAAAGAGUCUUUUAUGGCGUUCUCAUUCUGGUUCAAUACUACAUCUCUACCACCCUUCCAAUUCCAGAACCAAUAGUUAGUCAUGCUUCCAUGCGCAACCUGGCCAAUGGUUAGUCAUAGUUUAAUGAGCAUAUAUAUUAUGACAAUAAUUAUCCUGUGCUUUUUCAUCUUUAGAAAUGAAGCAAAGUAAGAGCAAAAUAAAUAUUAAUUCAGGCUAUGCAAUUUGAAAAACAUAUGAUAAUUGUUUUGGCCUAUCAAUUAAAAAAUGAAACUCUAAAUAAAAAUUUUAAUUAAUUCAAACAAAAAUUCUGGCCUACCAAAACAGCAGUGGUAAUAUGGCUUUUCUUUUUAAAUUCAAUAAUUCAUUCCAAAGAUAAAACUUUGAUAGGUCCUAAGACAUUUAUUAGAAAAAAUAAAGAAGUUUUAACUUCAGAUAGGCUUAAGAUUACAGGAUCUUUGAAUUUCAUAAAUUCUUGGAAUAAUUAAAAACAAAUAAAAUAAAAUAAACGCAUAAAAAAUGAAAAAAGAAAUUUGAAUUUUUUGACCAUAUCUAAUUUCGUAUUGAACUCUAUAUUCUUCCAAGUAAUCAUUUUAAAAUAUUUCUAUAUAUUUAAUUCUAUUAAAUAUUUUAAUCUUCAAUAAAAACCAAAGAGAGAGAAGGCAUACCAUAGGGAGUAGAAUUGGAAACCAGAUAUAUCUUAAAUUUUUUUUUUUUUUUUGUGGUAUGAUUUCUUUUCAUGAGAACCUUUUAUUGUAUUGUAAUGACUAAAUAAGAAAAUAUAGAUAUAAACUGAGAAGUAUAUAAGUUACAUGUUUCAAACAAUCUUUAUAGCCUUAAAAGGAGUGGCUGAGUUAGAUAAGUAGGGGGUAAAGUAAUUUUUUUUAUUUUUUUAAACAUGUAUUAUAAUAAAUAUACAAAAAAAAAAUUAAUAUUUCAUGAAGUGCUUUAUCAUUUAACAAAAUAAGUGAUUAUUGAUAUUAGUUAUGAAAGAAAAAAAUAUAUAGAAUAAAAAAUAAAACAACACAAUAGAUAAAGAAAAGUUUUAAUUAUUGAUAUUAUUUGUGAAAGAAAAGAACUUAUAAAGUAUGAAAUGAAAUGACAAAAAUAGAUAAUUUUUUUAAAAAAAUUUGUUUAAAAAUUAACAAAAAUUCAAACAAUUCUUUCAAAGGAAUUUUAAAAAAUAGCAAGAAAUGUGACCAUAAAUUUUAAAGAAUUUUACAUUUUUUAACAAAAUUUUAAAAAAUUCAAUAAUUUUACUAAUAAAUUUUAAGAAUCAUUUUUGAAAUAAUUAAAUUGAUAAAAAUUGUAUUUAAAAUUUAUUUCUAACAAUAUAAUAUAUCAACCUAAAAACUUAUCAUUAUCAAUAGUAAAUUGGUUGCGGCAUGAUUAAACCUAAAAACUUAGGAAUUUUAAAAUUCUUAAAGUCAACCAAAGCAACCUAAAUAAUCUAUCCACCUGAAUAAGUCCUAAUUUUUAUUUUUUUAUUUUAUUUAAAAAAAAAAAGAGUUUUCAAGUUUCAGACAAACCGAAACUGAGGGAUCUAAAAAUUUCCCAAAAUUUUGGGAUAAUUAAGAACACAUGAUUAAAAUAAAAUCAUGAAAAGAAAAGAAAAGAAAAAUAUAUCAACUGGGUUAUGAUUUCAAAUGUUAUAGAGAUAUUUCAUUUUUCACUAAUUCCAUCUAAUAAAUAUUUUAUUCAGUAGUGAAUGAAAUAAGAAGAUAGAGAACACAUACCUUGCUAGAGGUUAAAGAAACCCUUGAUGCUUUGGAAACUAGAGGUUUUUUUUCUUGGGUGAGUGAUCUUCUCUAUUAGCAGGCCUUUUUCUCGACGGCUGAGGCCAAUGCUUCUGAUCUUGGGCGUAUAUGAGAUGUAUCCCACAACUUUUCACUUUAAAGGAUGCGUUUUCGCCACAUGUAAAAGAGGCAUUACCAACAGGAUUGUCAAAGUGAGCCUUGAAGUUGUUCCACUUUCUGGAUCGAUACUUGCUUGGAAUGCGAAUUUGAGGGAAAUACGUCACCCACAGUGCUGGAUCUGAUGUGCUACCACUGUCGUAGCGUCUGCUGCUAUAUGAUAAACCGCUAAUAGAGUAUGUUUUACAACGAUGAUAAAAACUAAUAUUAUCCAGUCGUUCAGUUUGAUCACCAUGGGAUAUCGCCAAUUUACAUUCUGGAAUAAAACCAGAUGUUCUCACGCAUUCAUCAUCAUCAAGGGGAACAUGAUGGAAGAAUAAAACAAAUCCUAAUAACAAGUUAUUAUCUUCAUACCAAUUCAUUGGAAGUUCUACACUUACUUCACAUCCCAUUCUUUGAUGACUUACCCAUUCUGGUAUUCCACUACUUCCUGGAAUGAUAAUAUUAAGUCUCCGCUGCAGAAAAAAAUGUCAUGUAAAUCUCAUGUUUUUUAAAAAAUAAUAAUACUAAUAAUAAUAAAUAAAAAAUUAAAUUUUUUUUUUUUAAAAAAAGAUAAUUAUGCCAUGAAAAUGAUACCUGAAUUGGUGAUUUCAAGUGUUUGAGCAAAGAAGACCAGAGUAGACUUGAAGAAGUUUCAGUUUCCAGGGAUGGACAACCAUGUGCCUCUAUCCACCCUAGACUUGAUGGAAGCUCUCCAAUUACUUCAAGCAUCGGACAAUGAUUCAUGAGAAGGGUACCAAGCUUACAAAGUUGAGUGAUGCCAGCAGGUAUGCAACGCAUAUGGUUUUCACUUACGUUUAAAAAUUCCAGUGAGGAUAGACACCAUAAAUCAUUGGGGAUUUCUUCUUCCAUCAGAUUGCAACCACCUAGAUCUAGCAUUGUUAAGCAACAUUGCAGGCUUCUCAAAUUGUCAGGCAAGUUGUGGAGCUUUGGACAGUUACGAACAUGAAGACUAGUAAGACAUGUCAAAUUACCGAUGCUAUUGGGAAGAGCCACAAGGUUCUCACAAUUGAUCAAUUCCAAGGAUUUAAGACCUCUCAUAUGUUCGAUUGAUGAUGGCAGCUCUGAGAUACCCGUCUCACGUAAAAAAAGGCGUUCUAAUUGUUCCAUAUCCUCCGUGAUCUCUGAAAAAGCCUCUAGAUUUGAACAACCAUUGAGAGAGAGGCCUUCGAGGGAUUUCAACCCACAUAUACUGUUUGGAAGACUUUUCAAAUUUCUACAAUUUUCCAAAUUUAAGGGAUCAAGUCUGGUGAGAUGACCUACUGAGUAGGGUAAUCCUUUAAUAGCAGUCUCAUCUAGAAAAAGAGCCCAUAGAUUCCCCAUAUUUUUUUGGAUCUCAGGAAACCUCUCAAGACUUGAGCAACCACUGAGAGUAAGAAUUUCAAGGGCCUGCAAGUGCCCAAUGCUAUUUGGGAGUUCCUUAAUAGCGGUUUUCUCUAAAGAAAGCUCCUUCAAGCAUUUCAUAUUCCCUUAGAUCUCUGGAAAUUUCUCAAAGUUUGAGCAAUAUGAGAGGUUAAGAUUUUUAAGAGAUUCCAAAUACCCAAUGCUGCUUGGGAGUUCUUUAAUACCACUCCCAUAUAGACGUAGCUCCCUUAAACGUCCCAUAUUUGUAAAUACAUCUGAAAAGUUCUCAAACUUUGAACAUUCUUCAAGAGAAAGCAUUUCAAGAGAGGUUAAGGACCCAAUGCUAUUUGGGAGUUCCUUAAUAGCAGUCUCAUCUAAAAAAAGAUUCAACAAACAUUUCAUAUUCCCUUGGAUCUCUGGGAAUUUCUCAAAUUUGGAGCAACAUGAGAGGUCAAGAAUUUCAAGAGAUUCCAAAUACCCAAUGCUGCUUGGGAGUUCUUUAAUACCACUCCCACGUAAAUGAAGCCCCCUUAAAUGUCCCAUAUAGGUAAAUGUAUCCGGAAAUUUCUCAAACUUUGAACAUCCUUCUAAAUAAAGCUCCCUCAAAAAUUUCAUAUUCCCAUGGAUCUCAGGAAAUUUCUCAAAGUUUGAACAAUAUGAGAGAUUAAGGACUUCAAGAGAUGCUAAUACACAAUGCUACUUGGUAGUUCUUGGAUCUCACUCUUGUUUAAAUAAAGCUCCUUCAAACAUUCCAUAUUGCCAUGGAUCUCAGGAAACUUCUUCAAGUUUGGACAACAAUUAAGAUAAAGAACUUCAAGAGAUUCAAACUUCAUGCUGGAUGGGAAACUUCGGAGCUGUUCACAUCCUCCUAAAUUCAAGUAAGUCAAACUUUUGAGAUCGCCAAUAGAUGAAUGAAGUUCACGCAACCUUGUACAACCUUCAAGAUUCAGUCUCUCCAAAUUUGGCAUGCUUGAGAAUUUUGGCAUUUUGACCAAUUGUUUUGAGUUACUUAGAUCAAUGCCCUUUAAUUCUUUAAGACGCUGUAACAUAAGACAAUCUGUUAAUAAAAAAAAAUUCUUUAACUUGAAAAUUAUUAUAAAGAAAAAAAAUAAAUAAAUAAUGUUCAUACCUUAUUCCCUUUCCAAAGUUGUUUUAUGUUGCUAGACUUCAAGUUGAUUUCAAGAAGGUGCUUUCCAUAAAAGUUCCAAGGUAAAGACGUCAAAGUGCAUCUUUGCCAAUGAAGAUAUCUCAAAUCAUGAGGAAAUUCAAAGUCUUUUGGAAGAAGCACUUUAUACUCUUCUCUCGGCAAACCAUCAUGAUCAUUGCAAUAGAUUUUAAGCAACCUAAGUUUCUUCAUCUUGGGAAACACUUUUGUAUUGAACUGUAUUUCUCUUGAUCUAGACAAGUCCAAAGAUAUGGUUUGAAUAUUUUGCAUCUCCUGGAAAACAAUAAGGAAAAAUAAGGGAAGAACACAAGAUAAAAAUCCUAACUAUAAUUAUAGAGACAAUUAACCACUAAAAAGUCGAUUAUAAACAUUUAAAUAAAUAUUUAGGCAUUUAAUUCGUACCUCUUGUUUAGAAAAUGCAUCAUAAAUAUCAUCUACAUCCCACAAUCUACUCCAUUUGCAGGGGUCUCCAGGACAUUCUUCACGAACAAUUGCCCAACCCAUUUCUUGUAUCAAGUCAUGCAUUUGUAUGACGUUGUCUAAGAUAGUUACUAGACAUCUAUCACGAAGAACUCUUAUGUUGCAUGUUGCAAAUAAAUUGCAACCAUCUAAUAUUCUUGACACAAAAUCUUUGCAUUCACCUUUGAAAAAACACGCAAUGUCCAGGAAAACCUCCUUUUGAGAAGGAUCAAGCCCAUCAAAACUUAUUCUAAGCACAUCAUUAAUUUCCUUCAUAGGGUUUUUUUUUGAUUUAUCCGAUGCGCUUUUCCAUUCAUCUAUUGUCAUGCCCUGAAGAGAAGAACCUAGAACUUUAAGGGCCAAAGGGAGACCUUGAGCAUAUUGUACCAUGCAAUUUGAGAGGUCUACAUAAUCUUCUUUAGGAACAUUUUGUUUAAAGGCAUGUUGGCUGAAGAGUUGAAGAGCUUCCUCAUAAUGUAAUUCUGUAGCCUUAUGUGAUAUAGUCACUCCAUACUCAACCAACAGAUGUUGGUCUCUAGUUGUAAUGAUAAUUGUACUUCCUGGACCAAACCAUUUAGGACUUCCAGCCACUGACUCUAAUUGCUGCAAUCGAUCCACAUCAUCAAUUACAAUAAGAACCUUUUUUGAGCCAAGUCUGUCCUUUAUUAUAUUGAUUCCUUUAUUGAUAUUGCUAAACUUUUCAUCAUUCCCCACUAUAUCAUGAAGAAGUUGUUGUUGUAGUUGAAGUUGACAACCCUUGUUGAAUGUCUCUCUGACAUCUUGAAGAAAGCUAGCACCAGUGAAUUGAUAUUGGAUCUCAUUAUAAACAAUCUUGGCAAUGGUAGUUUUACCAAUUCCACCAAUUCCAUAUAUCCCAACCACACGAAUGUCAUUCAAGUCACUACUUAACAAUGACUUUAGUUCUUUUAGGCGAAAAUCCAUCCCAACUAUAUCCUCGUUAAUGUGCAAAAGCUUAGAAUUCAUUGAUCUUUUAAAAAUCAGGUUAACAAUUUCCUUAAUAUGCUUUGACUCAUACCUGCCAAUUAUAAAGUACAAUUUAACACUUCAUGAGUUAUAAUGAAUUGCAAAAAGAUAACAAAUAUUAAGUAAAUUUAUUGAUAUUUUUUUGCUUUUGUCAAUAUAACAAAAGUAAUAGGAUGUAAAAAAAUGUUAAAAGAACCCACUAUAUUGGGCAUUUUACAAAUAAUGAAAAGGCAAGUAGUUUUGAGCCAAGUGUUUAUAAGAUCACAAAGCAAGCUUUACUACACAAAAUUAUUAACUUGUUAAUUCAUAAUUUAAGACAACUAAAUCCUUACAACUGAAUUAAAUCAAAAGCACAAAUUAAGGAAGUUGGAGUUACCCAUCAUUCACAUGGAAACCACUUAGAUUGCUUGCUUCAGUCAAGGAAUCCCUCCACCUUUGCACCUUUUUCACAUCUACAUUUCUUUCAUGAAUGGAAAAUGCCUCUCCGAAGCUCCCUGUUUGCUUUUGCACAUCACAAGGAUCCACGUGGUAGAACACCGGAAAGACUAUUUGUUCCAUUUCUUCCCUGCACUCCAUGAUCUUUGCUAACUCAUCCAAACACCACUUGGAAUGAGCAUAGUUUUUUGAAAACACAACUAUGGAAAUUCUUGAUUCUUCAAUAGUUUUCAAAAGUUCUGAUUUGAUCUCUUCUCCUCUUUCAAGUUGAUCGUCUCUGAAAGUCUUAAUCCCCAUCCCAUCCAAAUUUACGAAUAAAUGAUCCGUAAAAUUGUUGCGGGUGUCUUCACUUCUAAAACUCAAGAACACUUCGAACUCAUAUUUACGGACUGAGGUAGAAGAAGAAGAGGGUUUUUGGGUAGAGGAAGCCAUUGUUGGACAGUUUCUAGAUGAAAGCUUAGAGAGAGUCGAGGAAGAACUUGGGCUUAGUCAAUACUUGAUACGCCGACGGCAUAUUUGGGUCCUCGUAUGAAGCAAAACUAUUUUUUUUUUUUGGUGGUUGUGGGGUGGUUGGAUUGUAAAAAGCAAAGAUCGAUUUUCCCAAUACAUUUAAGCAGGCGAUCCUCUUGCCAUUUUUUGGGUCCAAAUGCAUAAGCAUGUGAUUUGUCAGUUAAAUGUCAAGGAGUAAUGAGUGGGGAGGUCGGUGGCUUUUAUUAUUAUUUUUUAUAUUUUAAAUAAAGAUCAACAUUUUAAAUACAUGCUUAUUACUAAAAAAAAUAAAAAAAUUUAACAAAUUAAUUAAUUUUAAUUAUCUUAUUAUUAAAUUUCAUUUAACUUAUUAUGAAAAUGUAAAAACCAUAAUAAUGAUUUACUGAAAAUAAUCUCUAUGUUUUUUGUAUAUUAAUUAUUUAUAAAUUUAUAUAUAUAUAUAUAUAUAUAUAUAUAUAUAAUUUAAAAAAUAAAUAUUCAUAUAUCAUUAGUUAUUUUAUACCCUAAAAUACAUUCAAACUAAAUAGAACAUUAUUUUUAUAAUAAAUGUGGUAAGAUACUUUAUAAAGUACCCUUUUCUUUAUUUUUAAGUUUUCUUUUUCACUUUACAAACUCAUCUAUGUUGCUAAAUGUAUCCCUUUUUUUGUUUUACAAUUUUUAUAUUCUUUCAACUUUUCAAACUCAAUAAUCCUUUAAAAAAAAAUUAAUUUUUAAAACUUUAUCUUUUAUAAAAAGUUUCUAAAACCAUAAAAUUUUUAGAUAAAUUUAUUAUUAUAUUUUUCAUUAAAAAUAAUAAUAACAAUGAAAUUUUUUAUAACGAUGAACCAUAAUAUUUCAAAAUUUCACAUAAAAUCUCAAUUACUUUAAAACGAAUGUUAAAUUAUAAAGAAUAAAUAUAAAUAAAGAGAUAAUAAUUAUUUCAAUUAUAUUCUAUUAAAGCUUUUGUUUCUCUUGUCUAAUAUUUAUAUUGACUCAUACAUAUCUUUCUGUUCCUCCAAUCUAAAACCAUAAAAAAUAACACUAAGGCAUUUUACAUUGGUGAAAGAAUACAUAGCAUGAAUAUAUUUGAAUUUGCAAGAUAAUUAUAUCAUGCAUCACUAAAUUUAUCCAUAAAAAUAAACUUACGAAAUGUUGCAAAUUAAAUAAUAUUUUUUUAAUCAAGAUUGGAUUGAAAAGGAAUUUUAUGAAUAUUCUAAAAUUCAUUCUCCCAUUUGAUUUUCGAGCAAAUCCAUGCAAAAGCCCCAAGAAAAACCAAAAAAAUUGUUUUUUUUUUUGCUCCCUAUGUUUUUUGGAUUUGUUCUAGGGGUCUCCGUCCCCCAUUCAAUUUCCAAAAAAAUUCAUCAUCGUUUGAUUUUUGAGAAAAUCCAUGCAAAACCCCUAAUAAAAACAAAAAAAGAAAUUUUUUUUUUUUUUUUGCUCCCUGUAUUUUUUGAGUCUAUUCUAAGGGUCUCUACGCUUUUGUGCAAUUGGAUUUAAAUUUCACAAACCCUAAAUCCACGAUUUUUGAGUCAAGCUGAAAAACACAACAUUUACCAGUCAACCGGUGAGAGGUGUGAGUGGGAGCCGACUUCACUAGGAGGGAGGGAGAGGCGGACGGUGGGUAUGGAAAGAAAAAAAAUAUACAAUCUUAAUAUAAAAAAUGAAAUCGGCUUAGAAUAUAUAAAAAAAUAUAUAAUUUUUCACAUUAGUUUUCAGAUUUUGUAAAGUUGAAUUCGGAAAAGUAUAUAUCUGUGGAUUGAAACCAUCAAAACACAAGUUUCCAGAUCAUUUAUUCACAAUUGUCAGAGUGUAAUGAGUGGGGAGAUGGGUGGCUUUGAAAAAAAGUUAAGUAAUUCAAAAGCAACGGUCAUCAUGUGACAAGAAUCAUUUAUUCACAAUUGUCAGAGUGUAAUGAGUGGGGAGGUGGGUGGCUUUGAAAAAAAUUUAAGUAAUUCAGAAGCAACUUAAUUCAAAAGCAACUUUAUUUCCUUGCGUUUACAUACCGAAAAUGCCGUUCAUGUAUGACAAUAUUUCCAUGAUAUGGAGCUUCUAACUGUUCAGGAAUAAUAAAUCAAGUUCAAUCGAAAAUGAAAAUGUCAUCGAUAUUGCAACAUUUCCACGAUAUAUCGAGCUUCGGUGGGCUUGGACAUGACAUAAAGUGGUGAGAUUUCCUUUGCUCGAUUUUUCGGGGAGAAAAUAUAUUAAGCACAGUGAUUUUUAUUUUGGUAUUACUUUGACCAGUCAAAACCUUUCAAUAUUAUUGCCAUGGAUCCUUCCCCCUUUAAUUAUUUUUAUUUUUCAUAUUCUAUUUUAUAUAUUAUUAAAAAUAUAAAAAUAUCAUAAUAAUCUUAUUAAUGAGGCAUUCCUUAUUUUUUUUUAAAAACUUAGAUAUAAAAUUAUUAACAUUUUUAAACAUAAAAAUAUAUUCAUAUAUCAUUAUUUUUUUUUAUAUUUUAAAUAAAGAUCAUCAUUUUAAACACAUGUUUGAUUACUUAAAAAAAAAAAAAAAUUUAAUAAAUUAAUUAAUGUUAAUUAUCUUAUUAUUUAAAUUUGAAAUUUCCAUCUUAUGCAAAUUUCAUAAAUUUGAAAAGAUCUCAUAUUAAUUUUUUCCAAAAUUAUAUUAUAUUGUAUGAACCUAGAAAACUUUUAAAAACUUUAAAAAUAUUAAAGCCAUUAUAAAUUUUAUUUUAUUCAAGUUUUAAAAAAUAAAAUCAUUAUGGAUUUUAUUUCAUUUGAGUAUAUUAAAUCACUUUUUAAAUACAUUUUAAAAUGAAAAAAAUUAGAAAAUAAAAUCAUUAUGGAUUUUAUUUUAUUUGAGUAUGUUAAAUCACUUUUUAAAUAUAUUUUAAAAUGAAAAAAUUAGAGUGCGUGUAUUGCCAAGAUGUUGACUUAGGCAUUGGAAAAAAUAGUAUAUGUACAUAUAUUAUUAUAAUAAUAAAUAAUGAGAAGAAACAUACAACUUAUUGUUUUAGUUUUAAGAUUUUGUGCGUGUAACGAAGAUAGAAGGGUAAUGAAUUAAUUAUGUAUUGAAUUUGAAAAUUAAUAAAAAUUAUAAUAUUUAGUCAUGUAGUUAUAUUGAUGUAUGGUAUUUAAAUUCGUUCUAUUAAAUUUUUCCUUUUUCUAAUGAUAUAAAAUGGGUGCAUUAAAUGUUUAAUAAGACAAAAAUAAUAAUAAGAGGAUAUAAAUGACUCUAUAGAUAUUUUAAAAUAAGUGUAUAAAAAGGGUCAUCAAAAAUAUAAUUUUUGGAUUUAACAAAAUAACAUCUGAGUUUUAAGUUUAAAAAAAUUUAAAACUACAAUCGUCAAAGAUGGGACGUAACGAUACUAGUUGGGAUAUGGUAACAUUUUCCUUUAUAAAUAUACUAUAUUUAUAGAUAAAUAUUGAAUACAUAGGGGAUGUGCAUGGGGUCUGAAAGAUGGGUAUAUGUGAAUAUGGGUGUGAGGGAGUUAGUGAGAAAUGGAGAUGACCAAUACAUGCAUGGUUCUUAUGCACGAGUAGAAAACGAGUAGUGGGGCAAUGAAUGAGGCAUCUUGGCGUGGUGGGUAUGAAUGGUGGAAAGGCACUGAAACGAAGUGGGUUUGAAGGGUUCGGUGUGUGUGAGUAAAUGUCAUAUGGGGGUAUGAUGAGUAGUGGUACCCAUGUGCAUGAGAUUAGUUAUAUUGGGUGGUGUAGGUUGGUAAGAAAACGGUGUGCUAGAGAGAGAAAGGUGGUGAUGGGCAUUUAAGUUUAGAGGGAGAAACGGGUCUAGUGGGUAUGUGAAUAAUGGAAAUGCGUAAGAGGAUAUGAAGAGUAGGAUGGGUGGUAGUGGAGUAUGAGGUAUGAUUAGGAUGGGAAGGUGGCGAGACUGCAUGGGAGAAGCUGUUAAUGACGAGUGCAAAUGAGAGGAACAGUGACGAUAGAGUAGAUGCUGCAUGAUCAGCAAAGGCAUUCACAAAUUGGGGUGGCUGGCUUGAAGCUGGGGUUGAGACCAAAACAUUUAUCAUUGGAGGAGUUAGUGGAGAUCCCUUCAUCAAUGAUGACCAACCAGGCAUUGGGCUUGGAACACUACGAGGUAGUUGGUUGCUGCGUCCAUUAACAUAGCCUAGCCACAAAUAUGCUGAAGUAUCCAGCAGAUUCCUAGCAAUACAAACCUCAACAAUCAGAUGCCGCAUGUUUCCAGAACAGUUCAUUGACAAGUCAUUCAUGCUCAUGCCAUCCAGGUACCCACUCCCGGCCGUGAUGGACUCUGAUUCUUAGUUAAAUCUUAUUUUCCAAUUCCUUUCUCAGUCUUACCUACAUGAUCAACUUCACGUGAAAUAAUAGGACUUGAGCUCUCAUAUUCAAAGGUGUGUUUCAAUGGUUAAUUCAACACAGCUCCCUUCUUAGACACAGUCCUUGAAGAUAUUCCUGCACCCCUUCCACUAAUAUUUGACUUAUCAUCUAAGCCAGAGUGGUUAGAUGAAACCAUGCCUGAUGAUUGCUCCCUAUUAGGAUUUUCACGUACUCGAAACUCAGUGCGCUGGAUUCGUUUGGUUUCCUUUGAAAUCCACUAGAAUCUGCCCGAGAAGACUCAGGAACUGGAAAUGAUGAUCUUGGCCCAGAAUUCUUAACUGUGAACAUAUAUUUUUUGCCUUUACCAGCAAAUAUUGGGCCCUGAGCCUUUGACCCACUUAAAUCUCUGUCCCUUGAAAAAGAUUGGGAUGAUGUGGAUCCAUUUCGUGGCAGGCCUUCAGAUUCUCUGGCAUUGGACAAGGAAAUGUAGUUCUUUUUAAUUGUUUCAUGAUGCCCUUGAUCUGUCACUUGGAGUCCUAAUUCAUACCUACUAUUGUGUUCAACAAUAUGGACAUAUCAGCUAGGGCAUGACUUGUCAUAACACUACUGUUUGCACUUACUCUCAGGGGCAAUGACUACUUCUUUUGAUGCGUUGUCCUGUGGCAGAUCCAAGCUCCUUGGAACAAGACCAAGUUGACUGUCCAUUGGAAGGGACACUACGUCAAUCUUAGUGUUUUGAAUGGCUUGAACGUGGAAAAGCCAACCUUCAGGAUUCUGAUUGGUUGUAAAAUGGGCAGGGGCAUUGGGCUGAACAAAAGACAUUGGUUGAGGAGCCAGUGGUAGAAUUCCUUGGGAGAUAGGUGAUGUAUAUCUGAGUUGACCAAACUGGAAGAGAGGAGGCUAUGAUGUGUGUAUAUGGGUAAGUGAUGAACCAACUUGGGGAUGUAGAUGGAGAGGCAUCUGUAUGGAGCCAAUCUGGAGUAGCAGAUACAGUAGACGUAACCGCCUUCCCAUAUGAGGAAUGCAUGGCCACAUUAACAGAAGAGGGAGCGGGAUGCAGUGAAGUCUGACUAGAACUAAUAGAAGCAUCCACAGAAUUCAAAACAUUAGAUGCCACCGAGGUAUGAGGACCAUUAACCGGCUGUAUAACUAAAUCUUGGAUUGCCUUUCCUGCGUCUUCAUCCCUCCUGCCAGAACCAUCAAUGCUCACUUGAGGAGAGCCAUCAGUAAGUUGAGGGCUUUGUCCUUCAUGUAUCCCACCAAAAGCACCUUGUUCCUCUACAGUACCAAGAGAAACCUUCGAUAGCAUAAAUGUGCUUUCUUCAUUUCCUGAACUUCUCUCAAACUCAUCACUUGGCAUUCUAACUUCAACACCCUCAUCCAAGCCCAAGACCGAGUUGUCUACCGUGUGGGGAGAGCCUUUCUCUCCUAAAUGCACAUCCUCCAACUCCUUGGUCAGGUUAAUAUGCUCAUCUACUUCAUGCACUUCAUCUUCUUCAUCUGAACUCUCUCAGAAGCAUUUCGAUUAAAACGACCAGACCAAACAUGAUGCCCAACAAAUACAUGCAUAAAGUCACCUAGCCAUGAUAAGUGUGUUGCAACUCUUCAUACCCAUGGACUGAGAACAUAUUUCUUGCAGUACCUUACCUCUUCAGGCAGAGAUGGGAAAUCUGAUGCGGUCUACAGCCAAGCAACAGGAACAGAGGAAAACAGCAAACAGAACACAAAUAAUGGGAACCAAAUGAACCCCCACCAACCUCAUUUCACGUAUCAAUCAAUGAGCUUAGACGUAGGAGUGGGUCAAAGCAGAUUUCAAAUGAGUUUUAAAACAAAAUUAAGACAUGAAUGCCAAUAUCUCAUAAUCUCAAAACAGGGGACAUAAAACAGAUUAGAAAUCAAAGGCAAGUGCAAACAAGCUCAAAUUCCAUAAAAAUAAAAAUAAAAAACAAACUAAAAUCCCCAAUAAAUACAUUCAAACACCAAAAUAGAAUCUCAUGAUACCCAGAUAAUGCAAUAAAAUGGCAUGAACGUGGAAAAGCUAACCUAUAGAAAUAAUAUCUAAGCCUCCUUUUUUCAAGGCUCUUCCCCUGCGUGUUUCUUCUUGUCUCUGACUGGGUUUCUCUUCCAAGAAAAUACAACUGAUAUCCCUUUACCCAAGCAAUCUUACUCCUCGGGUAACCACACUGCAGCGCCCUCCCUCUGUAACCUCUCAAAACUCUCUCUCAUGUACUCCCUCAACAAGACUUACAUCUCAAGCUAACCUCUCACUGCCCAAAAUAUCUCUCCAAACAGCAGCGAAGACAUCACCCUCAAAAAAAAAAAAAUAUCUCUGUAAAAAAAUCACCUCCCUCUCAAUACGCUCUCUCUCCCCCCUCCAACUUGCUGCCCAAGCUAAAGGAAUCCCCUCUAGAAACCGAGUUUGCUCCCUCUCUAGCUAAAACUCUCCUCCCAAGCUCUCUGCAACUCAAAAAUAUCUCUCUCAAACCAGCCCACGGAAUACCCUCCUCAGACAACAACUUCUCCCUCCCUCUAGCUUGCUACCCAAGCUAAAGAUGAAAACCUCUCUAAAAAUAUCUCCUAAAAAAACCCACCCCUGAAAAACACCAUCUACUCCCUCAAAAUGUCUCCCCCCAAAACGACAACGAAGACCCCAACUAGCUGGCUACGCUCCUGCACCAGCUCACUAACGGCCUGCAACUUUUCCAAACUCUUCUUGACACGUGUCCACCUUAUUGCCUCUUCAAUCCACUAUUAUGAUUCCAUAGCAGCCAUCCCUGAAGCAACACGUGGCUCUUUGAGAGCCUUGGUAAGAAAAACUCACAGAAAAGUGAGAAAAAAUGAGCCCCUAAAAUGGGGGUCAACACAUGAUAAUUGUUACGGCCUAUGUAUUCAUAAAUGAAGCUUUAAUUUUUUUUUUAAUUAAUUCAAACCAAAUUUUGGCCUAAAAUAGAUACAAUAAUAUGAUCUUUCUUUUUGAAUUCCAUAAUUCUUUCCAAAGAUAGAAAAAAAAAGUUUUAACUUUAGAUUGCCCAAGAACAUAGAAUCUCCAAAUUUCAUAAAAUAAAUAAAAAACUAUUUAAAUGACUUGACCAUAUGUAAUUUCGUAUUGAACUCGGUAUUCUUCCAAGCAUGAAAUCAUCUUAAAAAUUCUUUAGAUAUAUUUUUUCCACUAAUUUUAAUAAGUAUUUUAACAUUCAGUAAAACCAAAAAUAGAGAGGCAUACCUUAUUGAGUUGAGAAGGAAGCAAGACAUGUCUUCAUUUUUUGUGGUUUGAGUUCUCUGCAUAAGAACUUUUGAUUUUAUUGUAAUGACAAAUUAAGAAAAAUAUGAUCUCAAAAUUUUUAAUCUAUGGUAAUGACCAAAUAAAAAAUAUAUAGCUAUGAAAUGAGAAGUAUAUCAUAAGUUACAUGUAUCCAACGUGAAGAUCAAAAGAUAUGGCAAAGAUAUAGCUUUGAAGGAAAGAGGUAGGGACCAGAGUAAAAAUAAAAAAUAAAAAAUAAAAAAAUCAUGAGUUAUAAUAAACACACAAAAACUUUUAUAUUUCAUGAAGUGCCGUUGAUUUAAAAAUAAUAAGUAAUUAUUGAUAUUAGUUGUAAAAGAGAAAAAUAUCAAAUAUCAAAUGAAAAACAAAAAUAGAUAAAAAAAAAAUAGUUUUAAUUAUUGGUAUUAGUUAUGAAAGAAAAAAAACCUAUAAAGGAUUAAAUGAAACAAAAAAUACAGAAAUUUAUAUUAAAAAAAUAAAAAAUAUUUUCAAAGAAUUAAAAAAAGAUAGCAAGAAUUUUUUUUUUAGUAGAAUUUUUCAAUUUUUUCUUUUGUAAAAAAACUUUUUAAAAAAUCAUUAAUUUUAAUAAAAUUUUAGAAUUUUUUGAAAUAAUUAAAUUGAUAAAUUUUCUAUUUAAAAUUUAUUAUAAUAUAGAGGUAGCACUAUCCUUAUCAAUAGUAAAUUAGUUACAACAUGAUUAAAUCUAAAAUUUUAGGUAUCUUAAAAAUCUUAAAGUCAACCAAAACAACCUACACUAAAAAAGUUAUUUAAUAAACUAUAAAUUAUUUAAAUUAAAUUAAAUUUUAUUAACAAUUAAGUAGAAAUAAUCUAAAUAAUCAUAUAGUCAUUUGUAGUUUAGUAACUACUUAAUUAAAUUUAAAAAUUUAAACAUUUAACAAAUAUCAAAAUCAAACCAAAUAUCCCAUCACUAAAAAUAUUAACUUUAUAAUUAAAAAAACAUUUUUAAAAAUUUGUUUUAUGAUAUAUAUUACGAUUUAAAUAAAAUUAAUUUUAUAAGCAUUAAAUAAAAUAAAAAAUAUGAUAAAUAAAUAUUUUAUAAAAUCUAUUUAGUAUCGGCAUUUAUCUAAUUUCUUUUUUUUCAUACAAAAUCGUUUUAUGAGGAGCUGAAAGCUUAUAUUUUGGCUUUUUAUUCUUUAACAUUCCUAAAUAAAUAGAAGGAUAUUUUGCCCCAAGCCCACCAUGCUCCUUCACUAGCCCUAGGUCAUGCUCUCACCUUUUAGAUUGUUUAUAAAUGGAUGCUUCGCUUUCUCACAUUACCAAAUGAGAAAAAGGCCAAAGCGAGGGCAAAAUAACUAUUAAAUUAUAUAUGUUUCACGUAAAUAGAGUUUUUGUAACAUAAUCAAUCAAUUUAAGAAACAUAUCAUAAUUAUUAUUAAGCUCUAAAUAUAUAGUUUACGUGAAAAUAUUCACCUUCCAUUUUGCCUCCUAAAUUGCAUGCUUUUGACUACCUUCAAAAUUUCGAUAAUCUAUUCCAAAUAUGAUACUUGAAUAAGUCAUAAAGUAUUUUUUUUAAAAAAAGAAAAAAGAAAAAUGAGUUCUAACUUUCAAACAAACCUAAGGUAGGGGUUCUCAAAAUUUCCUAAAAUUUUAGGAAAAUUAAGAACACAUAAUUAAAAUAAAAUCAUGAAAAGAAAAAAAAGGAAAAAAUGACUCACUAGGUUAUGAUUUUAAAAAUUAUUUAGAUAUUUCUUUUUUCACUAAUUCAAUCUAACAAAUAAUUUAACCAAUGAUUAGUUAUGGUUCCAUGAUAUGAUGAUGAUAGUUGUCCUCUACUUUUUCAUCUUAAAAAAUGAAGCAAAAUAAGUAUUAAUUCAUGCUUUAAAAGAUGAUUAUGCAGUUUAAAAAACAUAUGAUUUGGCAUACCAAUUUAGAUAUGAAGUUCUAAAUAAAAAUUGUAAUUAAUUCAAACAAAAAUUUUGGCCUACCAAAAUAGCUACGAUUUUUCUUUUUAAAUUCAAUAAUUCAUUGUAAAGAUAAAGCUUUGAUAGCUGCUAAGAUAUUUAUUAAGGAAAAAAAAAGUUUUAACUUUAGAUAGGCCAAGAAUAGGGGAUCUCCAAAUUUCAUAAAAUCUUUGGAUGAUUACAAACAAAUAAAUCAAAAUAAAAGCUUAAAAAGAAAAAACUUAUUUAAAUGACUUGACCAUAUCUAAUUCGAUAUUGAACUCCAUAUUCUUCCAAUCAUCUAAUCAUUUUAAAAAUUUCUAGUAAGUAUUUUAACCUUCAAUGAAACCAAAAACAGAGAAGGCAUACAUUAUUUGGGUGAGCUGGAAACAGGGAUGUCUUCAUUUUUUCUAGUUUGAGUUCUUUGUAUAAGAACAUUUUAUUUUAUUGUAAUGAAUAAAUGAGAAAAAUAUAAUCUCAUAAUUUUUAAUCUAUUGUAAUGAGUAAAUAAAAAAAAUAUAGAUAUAUAAUUAGAAGUAUAUAAGUUAAAUGUUUCAAACCAUCUUUUAUAAGAAUAUCAAAAGAUAUGGCCAUAAAGGACAACGGAGUUAGGUGGAUAGGGGGAAAAGUCAAAAGACCAAAAAAAAAAAAAAACUCUUAAUUUAUAAUCAACAUACAAAAACUUUUAUAUUUCAUGAAGUGGUCUAAGUAUCAUUUUAAAAAGUACGUAAUGAUUGACAUUAAUUAUGAAGGAAAAAAAAUAUAUGAACUAACAAAUGAAACAAGAAAAAUAGAAAAAGAAGUGUUGUAAUUGUUGAUAUUAGUUAUGAAAAAAAAAUAAAAACUAUCAAAUGAAACAAGAAAAAUAGAUAAAGAAGUGUUGUAAUUGUUGACAUUAGUUAUGAAAAAAAAAUAAAAACUAUCAAAUGAAACAAGAAAAAUAGAUAAAUAAGUGUUUUAAUUAUUGAUAUUUGUUGUAUUAUGUGACUCAUAUUGAGUGAAAGACAUAUAGAGAAAAAUGUGCAAAUACUGAAACAAAGCGAAGUGAAACGGAGCAGAGUAACAACAUUUGCCAUUCAAACUUGUAUUUUUAUUGUUGUGGGCGAAUGAUAGGUUGGGAGGGUUCGAGGAAGGGGGGCGUCUUCCCGCAAUAUAGUGUAGGGGUAUUUUGGAAUUUCAUUACCUAAGGGUUAGUACAAAUACCCUUUUUAUAUAACCCUAAUUUUAGAUAUAGUGAAAGUUUUCUUCCCUAUUCUCGUGGAUGUAGACAAUCUGUUGAACCACAUUAAAUUUGUGUGUUUUUCUUUUCAUUUUCUCUAAUUUUCACCAUAAAUCGUUGCAUGAAACUUAACAAUUGGUAUCAAAGCGUCAGGUUCGAUGUCAGGGAUUUCUUUACGAAGUUCGACAUAGUCAAGUUCGAUGGAUUCGGGAAUUUCGAUUUAUGGCAGAGGACGAUUAAGGAUCUAUUAGUGCAACAAGGUAUGGUUGAUUACUACUCAAAAAGUGUUAUUUCAUAGCUUGUAAUUAACUCUUUUAAACAUUUUUGAGUAUUGGUUAUUACCUUUUAACCCAAUUAACAUGUUAAGGACCCUUGUAAUCAAUUCUAAUAAAAAAUGUGUUAAGUUUUGGUGUUUUGAUAGCUUUUUGAUCACCAAAGCAAUCUGAGAUUGAAGAGAGUUCUUUGGAAUCCAUGCAAGGAGUAUACCCGGACAGGGUGUCCGGAUACACCAUCGGAGGGCAUCCGGACAAUACAUCCGGAUAGUGGAAGUGCGCCACCAUUCCAUCCGGCUGCCGCCACUUUAUACCCGACUGCCGCCACUUUACACCCGGAUGCCGCACUUUCCACCCGGAUGUAUCACAUCCGGAAAUCUGCUGCCGCCGCCAUUACAUCCAGAUGUCUCACAUCUGGCACAUUAUAUCCGGAUAUUUUGCAUCCGGCGCCUGACGCCGGAUGGGAGAGGAGAGCGUUUUGCACAGUGUCACGGUGUUCUCUUGAAGCUUCCCGAUAUUUGCACCGAAAUUUUGGGAUAUUUUGAGAUAUUUUGCUUUAGAUAUUUAAUGUCGGUGUUCUCCUGAAGCUUCCAGAUAUUUACGACUGACACUUUGGGAUAUUUUGUUUUAGAUAUUUUAUGUCUAAAUUCCCAAAGUCUCCUUGUAACCCACCAAUUAUAGGAUUCCUUAGUCUUUAAGUAAGUACAAAGGGUAAAUAACCCUUUAUAUAUAGUUUGUAAUCUUCUUUGAAAGAAGGAUCAGAAUUAGAUCUCGGGAGCCUGUUCCCAAGGAGGUAUAUCCUGGGAGCUUGUUCUCAGAGAUGCAUCCUUUGUACAGUUUUGGGAAGGAAGUAAAAUACAGAGUACUUGCUCUGCUUUUGUUUUCUCGUUAUUUUCUUUCUAGCUAAUCAAAUUCUAAGGAUUUUUCCUCAGAGGAUGAGAGGUUAGGCUCUUUGUUUCUUGGAGUGAAGAAAGCCGAGUAAAUUUCCUCAUGCAUAAAUUGGAAGUUUUGUUGUUUUAGUUUUUAAUGAAGAGAAAGUGUGACCCAUUAAUGGUUUUUAUCUUUUUAGUUAACUUAAAACGCCUUUAAAUCACCUGGGCCAACACUUGGUAAGCUUUUGGACUCUACGGAGACAUCCAUUAGUUAUCUCUUGCGAGCUUUUGACGGGUAAUCCAAGGUUAAAGAUCACCUUGAAUGGCAAGUGCUAGGUGAGAGGUAUGAGCCACUGCAAGGUGCAUCAAUGAGAGAGAUUUAGUGUUUGAACCCAUUAAUGGGAAGCAUCUGUACCACACCGGUUCGGGAAAUAACUAUAUGUUAAAUCCCCAAUGCGAGGAAAAUAAACGAGUGACCGGAACUCUCCUUUUUGUAUGAGGAAUCUGAACCUAGUGAUCUAAACUCCAAGAGACACUUUUCUUUAUAAGUAAAAUCAGUUACUAUUUUUGGUUAGUUUAAAACCAAACCUUUUUCCGCUAAAGAUUAUGUUUUCUUUUAAAGCUAACCUUGAAAUGAAAAGGCAUCAAUUCAACUUUGAAUUAAUAUCAAUUGUGAAGUGAAAACCCAUCCCAGUGAACGAUCCUAGAGCCACUAUGUUAUAGUAGCUUUGUCUUUACUACCCUAGUUCAUGGUGUAAUAGGUUAUAAAUUUUGUUGAUUACUCCCUCAAUCAAGGAGCACCAGCUGGACAUGAAUCAGCUGAUACACCAAGUGGGCACGAAUCAAAUGGCGCCGUUGCCGGGGAUGGUGCCACUUUACAGUGAUAUGACCUUUUCAGAGUACUUGUGAUCUUCAUCACAAGUUUGGUGACUUUUCUUUUCCUUUUACUAACUCUUUUUAUUUGUUUAUUUUCCUUUGUUCAUGUUUUAGUAUAUCUUUUAUUUAGUUUUUAGUUAAACUUAAUAAUUUUCUUUAGAAUUUUUUUUUUCUUUUGUUUUCUCUGUUUUUAAUUCAGAAAUUGCUAGUUGUGCAUGCCAUAUUGAAUACGAGAUAGCAGAGGAAGCCAUUAACUUCAUGAGUUAAGUGGCUAAAUUUUCAAGAGGAUGGGAUGAACCAAAUGUUAGAAAUAUGGGCAGAAUGACAUCUCAACCUAAAACUAAGGGUGAGAUGUAUAUUUUGAAUGACGGCAUGAACAUGAAGGCAAAGAUUGCAGCUAUGGAAAGGAGAUUGGAAGAGCUAGAAAUGAACCAGAUGCAAGAAGUGCAAGCCAUCUCUCAGACACCAUUGCAAGCUAUGCCUUGUGCCAUUUGUCUAUCUUAUGAGCACUUGGUGAAGGAGUGUCCUACCAUUCCAGUGGCGAGGGAAAUGUUUGGUGAUUGCAACACCUACAAUUCCAAUUGGAGGAAACAUCCAAAUUUCUCUUGGAAACCACAGCCACCUCAGUACCAGCAACCUACUCAAGCACCACAGCAAGCCUCAAACCUUGAACAAGCUAUGAUGAAUCUUAACAAGGUCAUGGGAGACUUUGUUGAAGCUAAAAAAUCCAUUGUUGAUCAAGUCAGGCAAGAAAUUGACAGCCAAGACAAAAAGACGGAUGGGAGGUUGAAUGAUCUGUCUCAGAAGACAGACAAUCUCGAAUACACAAGCUCAAGGUUUGCCAACCUCAACGCAAUGCAAGAGAAAGAAAACUUUCUUUUUCAACCUCAUAAAAAUCAAAAGGGUAUCCAUGAAAUAGAGGUUGGGGAGAGUGAUAAAGAGGUUGAUCUGCCCGCAUGCAAGCUAGAGCAUGAGGUAGAGAGUGAAACAGAGAAAGAAAAGAGGGAGGAAAUCAAAGGAAAGAGAAAGGGGAAAAGUACAGAGAAAGAUGACUGUAUAAAUGAAAAAUCACAGAGAAUAGUCAUCAAGGAAGAAUUGAUGAAGAAACGCAUACCUCCACUUUUCCUCCAAGCUUUGUAUGGGAAAAUCAUACAAAACAAAUCCCAAGUGAGGGAUGCAAACUUCAUAUGGGAUCCGGGCAAGCUAAAUCAGGAUCAAAUUUUUUUAUGGACUUAGUCUUUUUAAAGACUAGCUAGUCCAUAUCUUUUUGUUUUGUUUUUUACUUGUUUUAAUUUUGAUUUUAAUGUUUUAAAUUUUGAUUUAAAUGCUUUAAUUUUGAUUUCAAUGCUUUAAUUUUAAUUUGUUUUGAUGUAAUAUAGGUUUUUGGAUGAUUAAAAUCAAGAGGAAUGUCAAAAGAGUUGAAAGAAGGAAGUUGAGAAUCAAGAAGAGCUCAAAAAGCAAGGAGAGAGCAUGGCCUGCGAAAUUUCGCAGCAAAAGUGAGCCGCUGCGAAAAUCGCCCCCCUCGCUGCGAAAUGGUUUCACAGCCUCCAAGCGCCCUCUGCAAAAAUUUUCACAGCUGCGAAGAGGUCCCUUGGCACACGAGUGCCAUUUCGCAAGCCUGUACACCCGUUUCGCAGCUGCGAAAUGGCUGCGAAACCUCCACGCCUUGAAAUCCUCCAUUUCGCAGCCGAUGAGCCAUUUCGAAGGGUGUUUCGCAACUGCGAAACCACCCUUUGGCACACGAGUGCCACUUCGCAGCACCCGUACGCCCAUUUCGCAACUGCGAAAUGGGCUGUGAAAAUUGCCCUCCUCCGCGAAAUCCACCCCCCGCUACGAAAAUGCUCAAAGCUUCAAAAAUGGGCUGCAAAAUUCCCAUUUUGUUGCCAAAUGAUUUCCAAACUUCCAAAUGGCUGUGAAAUGAUCUCCAAGCUUCAAAAUGGAUGUAAAAUGGCCUCUAAGCUUCAAAAAGGCUACGAAAAAGCUCCAGGCAUCAAAAUGGGCUGCGAAAUGAUUUCGCAGCCCCAUAGCUACCCCUUGUGAAAUCCUCCAUUUUCUGUAAAAAUGGCCUUUUGAUUGCGAAAUGAUUUUCCAAACUUCAAAAUGGUUGUGAAAUGAUUUCCAAACUUCGAAAUGGGCUGCAAAAAUGUUUUUCUUUUUUCCUUUUGGCUUCGAAAUGGCUAAGAAAUGGCCUCCAAGCUAUGAAAUGAUUUGCAAAAACACUUUGCAAAACCAAGGGAAGUUGCAAAAAUGCCAACAAAGCCAUGCAACCAUGCAUCUAAAGAGGAGAGCCCUCUCACUGAGAUCACACACAUGAAGCCUCUCACUCCACUUCUUACCUCCUAAAACCAUAAGAGCCCAUAGCUCCAGUUGAGGAGACUAUGCCACCUAAGGAGACUACCAGAAUAGAGGCCAAAGUCAUGAUCCAACCUACUCAAGAGGCCACCACAGAUGUAUUAACACCACAGAUGCAUCAGCUCCACAGGACCUUACCAUUAUUUGAUCAUCUCUUUACUUUUUGUCUUUACAUAUUAUAUUAGUAUACAUAAUUCCAUGUUUUGAUGUCUUAUAUUCUGGGAUUGGAUGUAUUACUGAUGAUGCAUCAUAUAUAGACAUCAAUUCUUGUUUAAAACUUGGCAUUUUUCUAUUUGCUCUACUCACUAUUUUUUUUGAAACAUGUGGUUUCUCCUAUACGACUCAGACUCCAUGUCACCCAGGAGGUACCACUUCCUCCCUAUUAUUCAAUCGUGUUGUCACAUUGAGGACAAUGUUCAUCUUGGUUGAGGGGAGAGUUGAGGAAGUAAGUUUUGUUAAUAAUGCUAAGUUAUUUUGGUAAUUUAGUUGUUUUUGUUUAAUUUUUAAAAUUUUUUGAAAGUUUUUUAUUCUACUCUCCAUGCUUAUUAAGGAAAAAUUUUCAAAAUGAAAAGGGAGAAAUUGAAUUUUUGUCUUUUUACUUAACUUAGAGUUUGUAUUAUGCUUAUUAAAGUUGAUGAAUUGUUGAAACUUCUAUUGAAUUCAAGCUUAUGUCUUCCACUUUAAGCUAUUCACACACUGUGCACAAUAGGUUCCGAUUAUAAGAUGAAAAACUAUUUCCCUCUUGACUUAGGAAAAUUUAGACUUGGUACCUUUGACAUCAUUUAAUAGUGUUGGGACACCUUAUAAAAGGCCAAUGAGUCUUUGAAAAAAAAAGAAGAAAGAAAAAUGUUUGCUUACCUUGAAACCCGAGCAAGGUCCGAGGGGUAUAUGGUAAAAAUCUUUAAAACCUGGUGCCCUAAGCCUUCAUUGGUUGGGAGUCACCGACCUCAAUACUCGUUACAAGGGUGAAUAUGUGGAGUUUAACAUACUGUAGGUGCUUAGGUAUAAAAAUUCAUUCUUAAAAGUCCGGGGUAAAAUCCGAGGAGUUAGUCGUUGAAAAAUCCUUAAAACUUGAUGCCCAAAACCUUAAUUGGUUGGGAGUCAUCGAUGGAUCCCCAUUACAUGGACAGUUUAGAAAAGAAAUACCUUUAAGCCUUGUACUCCUACAAUGAAAAAAAUUGUGAAAAAAAAAGGUGCGUUCUUAGCCUAUUGGAGGUUGAUCAGUUUGCUAAGCUUUGAAAAAAGAACUAGGUUGGGGGGAGAGAUUAGUUCAACAUACUAUAUUCGGAAGCUAAUAAAUAACACUUAGAUUUUUGUGGAAGAGUAAGGUUUGACCAUUUGGGAGUGGAAACUCUUUUAAAACUUAAAUUUGCAUAAUGCCUUCUCUUUAAGAAUAAUGAUUAGACAAGUUAUUUGAUAACUCUUGUUGAAAUUUGAGUUUUAUUUCUUUAAAUGUUCCAUGUGAGAGGUAGAUCAUCAUGCCACUUGAAAAUUGUUUUUUGAUCAAGCAUGAUGUUGUAAAUUAUAGUAUUGUUUAUUUUUAUUUUUCUCUUCUUCAUUGCUAAGGGACUAGCAAUAUGUCGGUUGGGGGGAGUGAUUACUACUCAAAAAGUGUUAUUUCAUAGCUUGUAAUUAACUCUUUUAAACACUUUUGAGUAGUAGUUAUUACCUUUUAACCCAAUUAACAUGUUAAGGACCCUUGCAAUCAAUUCUAAUAAAAAAUGUGUUAAGUUUUGGUGUUUUGAUAGCUUUUUGAUCACCAAAGCAAUCUGAGAUUGAGGAGAGUUCUUUGGAAUCCAUGCAAGGAGUAUACCCGGAUAGGGUGUUAGGAUACACCAUCGGAGGGCAUCUGGACAAUACAUCCGGAUAGUAGAAGUGCGCCCCCAUUCCAUCCGGCUGCCGCCACUUUACACCUGGAUGCCGCACUUUCCACCCGGAUGUAUCACAUCUGGAAAUCUGCUGUCGCCGCCAUUACAUCCGGAUGUCUCGCAUCCGGCACAUUAUAUCCGGAUAUUUUGCAUCCGGCGCCUGACGCCGGAUGGGAGAGGAGAGCGUUUUGCACAGUGCCGCGGUGUUCUCUUGAAGCUUCCCGAUAUUUGCACCGACAUUUUGGGAUAUUUUGAGAUAUUUUGCUUUAGAUAUUUAAUGUCGGUGUUCUCCUGAAGCUUCCAGAUAUUUACGACCGACACUUUGGGAUAUUUUGCUUUAGAUAUUUUAUGUCUAAAUUCCCAAAGUCUCCUUGUAACCCACCAAUUAUAGGAUUCCUUAGUCUUUAAGUAAGUACAAAGGGUAAAUAACCCCUUAUAUAUAGUGUGUAAUCUUCUUUGAAAGAAGGAUCGGAAUUAGAUCUCGGGAGCCUGUUCCCAAGGAGGUAUAUCCUGGGAGCUUGUUCUCAGAGACGCAUCAUUUGUACAAUUUUGGGAAGGAAGUAAAAUACAGAGUACUUGCUUUGCUUUUGUUUUCUCGUUAUUUUCUUUCUAGCUAAUCAAAUUCUAAGGAUUUUUCCUCAGAGGAUGAGAGGCUAGGCUCUUUGUCUCUUGGAGUGAAGAAAGCCGAGUAAAUUUCCUCAUGCAUAAAUUGGAAGUUUUGUUGUUUUAGUUUUUAAUGAAGAGAAAGUGUGACCCAUUAAUGGUUUUUAUCUUUUUAGUUAACUUAAAACUCCUUUAAAUCACCUGGGCCAACACUUGAUAAGGCAAGUGAUCUCCAUCCAUUGAGAUGCACUAGUUUAUCUCUUGCGAGCCUCUGGGAGGUAGUUUGAAGGUAGGAUUUUCUAGAAUAGCCAACACUUGGUAAGCUUUUGGACUCUACGGAGACAUCCAUUAGUUAUCUCUUGCGAGCUUUUGACGGGUAAUCCAAGGUUAAAGAUCACCUUGAAUGGCAAGUGCUAGGUGAGAGGUAUGAGCCACUGCAAGGUGCAUCAGUGAGAGAGAUUUAGUGUUUGAACCCAUUAAUGGGAAGCAUCUGUACCACACCGGUUCGGGAAAUAACUAUAUGUUAAAUCCUCAAUGCGAGGAAAAUAAACAAGUGACCGGAACUCUCCUUUUUGUAUGAGGAAUCUGAACCCAGUGAUCUAAACUCCAAGAGACACUUUUCUUUAUAAGUAAAAUCAAUUACUAUUUUUGGUUAGUUUAAAACCAAACCUUUUUCCGCUAAAGAUUAUGUUUUCUUUUAAAGCUAACCUUGAAAUGAAAAGGCAUCAAUUCAGCUUUGAAUUAAUAUCAAUUGUAAAGUGAAAACUCAUCCCAGUGAACGAUCCUAGAGCCACUAUGCUAUAGUAGCUUUGUCUUUGCUACCCUAGUUCAUGGUGUAAUAGGUUAUAAAUUUUGUUGAUUACUCCCUCAAUCAAGGAGCACCAGCUGGACAUGAAUCAGCUGAUACACCAAGUGGGCACGAAUCAAUGGUGAAGGUGUUAUCCGGAAAACAACCAAAAAGAAUGAAUGACAUGGAUUAGAAGGAUUUGGAAGCAAAGGUUGCGGCAACUAUCAGGCUUUGUUUGGCUGAUAAUGUGAUGUACCAUGUCAUGGAUGAGGAAUCAUCGACGAUAAUUUGGUUGAAAUUGGAAAGUCGGUAUAUGUCUAAGUCAUUGACGAACAAGUUGUAUCUGAAGUAAAAACUGUAUGGUCUUAAGAUGGUAGAGGGCUCAGAUCUAAGCCAGCAUAUCAAUGUGUUUAAUCAUAUCAUUAGUGAUUUGAAGCGAAUUGAUGUGAAGUUCGAAGAUGAAGACAAGGCGUUGAUGUUAUUGAAUUCCCUUCUUGCUUCUUCUACAUAUGAAAAUCUAGUUACAACUCUGAUGUGGGGAAAAGAAACUCUUGAUUUGGAGGAUAUCACAAGUAUUCUUUUAGGAUUCAAUAAGAAGAAGAAAGCCAAUAAUGAGAGUUCUCGGGGUGAAGGGCUUGUGGCAAAAAGUAAUCAGGAACGUGGGAGAAACAAGUUUCGGAGCGAAUCGAGUAACAAUAAAUCUCGAUCUAAAUCCAAGAAGAGAAAUGACAUACAAUGUUAUAAGUGCGAAAAAAAUAGGGCACAUGAAACGAGAUUGUCCAGAGAAAAAGAAAGAGGGCUCGGUAUCGAAAAAUAAAGAGGGUAUCAAAGUCUACAAAUGCAGUGGUAGAAGAAGACUCAGAGAGUGGUGAUGGUGAUAUGUUGUUGGUUUCAUCCAGUUCAAAUCAUCUUACAGAUUCUUGGAUCUUAGAUUUAGCAUGGUCUUAUCAUAUGACACCCAAUAAAAAUUGGUUUAACACAUACAAGUUAGUAAAUUCUGGUUCUAUUAUGAUAGGUAAUGAUGUUUCAUGCAAACUUGCUGGAAUAAGGAAUAUCAUAAUUAAAAUGUUUGAUGGUGUUGUUAGAACAUUGUGUGAUGUUAGACCUAUACUUGAUUUAAGAAAAAAUAUGAUUUCUUUGGGGACUUUAGAUUGUAAUGGGUUUAGUUACAAGUCUACAAGUGGAGCAAUGAAGGUGAGUAAAGGUGUUAUGAUAGUGAUGAAAGGGCAGAAGCUAGCAAGUAAUAUUUAUAAACUGUUAGGUUCCAUAGUUGUAGAUGCAGUUGCAACUGUAGAGUCUGAGUCAGAUAGUACAGUUUUAUGGCAUAUGGGUGAGCGUGGGAUAAUGGAGCUUUAUAAGAGAAAUUUGUGUCAAAACAUGUAAACUUGAUUUAUGCAAGUAUUGUGUUUUUGGGAAACAGAAUAAAGUGCAGUUCAAGAUAGCCACACACAAAACAAAGGAGUUUCUUAACUAUGUUCAUACAAAUGUUUGGGGACCAAUGAGAGUAGCAUCAUUGGGAGGAAAUAUGUAUUUUGUGACUUUUAUUGACGAUUACUCACUAAAGGUUUGGGUGUACUUCAUGCGGCACAGGUCAAAAACAUUUUCCAAGUUUAAGUUAUAGAAAGCUGAAGUAGAAAACUAGACAGGGAGAAAGAUAAAGUGCCUCAGGUUAGAUAAUGGUACUGAGCAUACAGAUUCAAAAUUCACAAAAUUGUGUGAGCAGCAUGGGAUAAAAAGACACUUCAUAGUAUGCAAGACACCAGAACAGAAUGGUGUAGCAGAAAGGAUGAACAGAACAAUAGAUGAAAGAGCUUGAUGUCUCAGAUUGAAUAUAGGGCUUGAAAAGAAAUUUUGGGCAGAAGCAAUGAACAUGGCAUAUUACUUGAUCAACAGGUCACCCAGAGCAGCAUUAGAUGGGAAAGUAGUAGAAGAGGUAUGGACAGGCAGUCCGAUAGAUUACUUUGGUUUGAGAGUAUUUGGGUGCCCAACUUAUGUGCAUAUUUCUAAUGAGGAAAGAUCGAGCUUGAUGCGAAGUCUAGACAAUAUGUUUUUUUGGGGUAUCAGAAAUGGGUGAAAGGCUUCAAGCUCUGGGAUCCAAAGGCAAACAAGGUGGUGAUCAGUAGAGAUGCGAUUUUUGAUGAGAAAGUCAUGUUACAGUGUACUCAGAAAUGAGAGAAACAGGAACCAAAAAAUGGCAGCAAUAGUGAGCAACUGAUACAGGUGGAAUUAGAGACCCAUGAUAUAGAGGAUCGUGCUCGAAAUGUAAGGAAGUCUAGUUCAGAAGAUUAAAAGCAUCACAGUAUAACCACAAACAGACAUAGACGCACUAUCAAGCCACCUACCAGGUAUGGUUUUGAAGAUUUGGUUUCUUAUGCACUAAUUACUAGUAGUAGGGAUCCUACUACCUUUCAAGAGGCAAUACACAACUAAAAGAAAAGUGGAUGGAUGGGUGCUAUGGUGGAGGAGACUUAGUCUUUUGCAUAAGAACCAGACAUGGGAGUUGGUGGAGCUUCUAGAGAGGAAGAGAGGAAUAUGAUGUAAGUGGGUGCACUAGAAGAAAGAAACAGUUUCAGAAAAAAAUAGUGAAAGGUUCAAAGCUCGUUUAGUAGCAAAGGGUUACUCAUAGAGGAAAGAGGUUGACUAUGAUGGGAUUUUUUCCCCCCGUGGUCAGACACACUUCCAUUAAGAUAGUGUUGGGCUUAGUAGCACAUUUUGACAUGCAGUUGGAGCAAAUGGAUGUAAAGACAACUUUUCUUCAUGGUGACUUAGUGGAAUUGGUUUAUAUGGUACAACCAUAAGGGUUUAUUCAACCUGGACAAGAGCACUUGGUCUAUAAAUUGAGAAAAUCACUUUAUGGGUUGAAGUAAUCCCCAAGGCAGCGGUACAAGCGAUUUGACUCCUACAUGAUCAAGAUUGGCUACAAGAGAUGUGAGUAUGAUUAUUGUGUUUAUGUAAAAAGCCUAGAUGAUGAUUCAUUUAUUUUUCUAUUACUCUAUGUGGAUGACAUGUUAAUUGCUACAAAGAGUAUGAUUAAGGUCAAUAAGUUGGAGUCUUUGUUGAGCAAGGAGUUUGACAUGAAGGAUUUAGGUGCGGCCAAGAAGAUCCUUGGGAUGGAGAUUCAUAAGGAUAGAGUUUCAGGGAGACUAUGGUUAUCUCAGCAUAGCUAUGUCAAGAGAGUGUUGAAGAGGUUUAACAUGGAUAAUGCAAAACUGGUAAGUACACCCUUAGCAGAUCAUUUCAUAUUGUCUACUAAUUAAUGUCCAAAAAUAGAUGAUGAAGUAAAAGACAUGUCAAAGGUUCCUAAUGCAAGUGCAGUGGGAUGCUUGAUGUAUGCUAUGGUUUGUACAAGACCAUAUUUGACACAUGUUGUUAGUGUGUUGAGUAAGUUUCUAUCAAAUCCGGGAAUGCAUUGGGAUGCAAUAAAGUGGAUCUUUAGAUACUUAAAGGGUACUACAGACUAUGGCAUCAUGUUUAGCAAACAACAAAGUAAUCCUUCAAUUAAGGGAUAUGUUGAUGCAGACUAUGCAAGAGACUUGGAUGAUAGGAGGUCUACCACAGGUUAUGUAUUCACCCUUGGUGGAGGACCUAUUUGUUGGAAGCCUAUGAUACAUUCUCUAAUUGCACUAUCUACUACCGAGUCAGAAUAUAUGGCAAUAGUUGAGGCUGCAAAGGAAUCAUUAUGGCUUAUAGGUUUGGUCAAGGAGUUGGGUAUUCAACAAGGUGGAGGUCAAUUAUAUUGUGACAAUCUGAGUGCCAUUUAUUUGGCAAAGAACCAGGUGUAUCAUGCAAGGACCAAACAUAUAGAUGUGAGGUUUCAUAAGAUCAGGGAAUUGGUUUCUUUUGGUGAAUUGUUACUUGAGAAGGUUCACACCUCUGAGAAUGCAGCAAACAUGUUGACAAAGCCUGUUACCACAGAAAAGUUCAAGCAUUGCUUGAACUUGAUUAAUGUCUCCAGAUGUUAGAUAGGAGAUUCCCUAACCUAUUGUCUCAGGUAGAGUUACUAGUUAUGUUUCUUGUUUCCUAAGGGGGGUGAUUAUUUGCCAAGAUGGAGAUUGUUGUAGUAUGUGGCUCAUAUUGAAUGAAAGACAUAUGGAGAAAAAUAGGCAAAUGUCGGAGCGACGACAUUUUCCAUUCAAGCUUGUAUUUUUAUUGUUGUGGGCGAACGAUAGGUUAGGGGGGGGGGGGGGGGGAAAAAAAAAAAAAAAAAAAAAAGGGGGGCAAAUCCCCCCGGGGGAUGGGGGAGGGGGAUUUUUUGGAAUUUUUUUUUUUGGGGGGUAGAAAAAAACCCCUUUUUUAAAACCCUAAUUUUUAAAAAAAGGGAAAGUUUUUUUCCCGUUUCCCGGGGGGGGGGGGAAGGGGUGGAACCCCGUAAAACCGGGGGGUUUUUUUUUUUUUUUUUCCCAUUUUUCCCCCAAAAUCUUUGCUAAAAAUCCCCCAUAUUUUUUUUUAAAAAAAAAAAAAAAAAAAAAUUUUUUGUUUUUAAUUAAAAAAGAAAAAAAUUUUAAAAAAAAUUUUUAUUUUUUGUUUUUUUUUUGGGGGGGGGAAAAAAAAANNNNNNNNNNNNNNNNNNNNNNNNNNNNNNNNNNNNNNNNNNNNNNNNNNNNNNNNNNNNNNNNNNNNNNNNNNNNNNNNNNNNNNNNNNNNNNNNNNNNCAUAUUGAAUGAAAGACAUAUGGAGAAAAAUAGGCAAAUUUUGGAGGGAGGACAUUUUCCAUUCAAGCUUGUUUUUUUAUUGUUGUGGGCGAACGAUAGGUUAGGGGGGGGGGGGGGGGGAGAGAGAGAGAGAGAGAGAGAGGGGGGGCAAUGCCCCCUGUGGUAUGGUGUAGGGGUAUUUUUGGAAUUUCAUUACUUGAGGGUUAGUAUAAAUACCCUUUUUAUAUAACCUUAAUUUUAGAUAUAGUGAAAGUCUUCUUCCCUGUUCCCGUGGACGUAGGCAAUGUGUUGAAUCACGUUAAAUCUGUGUGUUUUUCUUUUCGUUUUCUCUAAUUUUCACCAUAAAUCAUUGCAUAAAACUCAACAAUAUUAGUUAUGAAAGAAAAAAAAAAAAAAAACUUGUAAGUAUCAAAUGAAACAAGAAAAAUAGUUAAAGAAAAGUUUUAAUUAUUGAUAUUAGUUAUGGUAGGGAAAAAAAUAACCUAUAAAGUAUCAAAUUAAACAACAAAAAUAGAUAAUUUAAAAAAAAAAUUAUUAAAAAUUAAAAAAAAAUUCAAACAAUAUUUCAAAAGAUUUUUUUAAAAAAAAAAUAGAAAGAAGUAUGAUUAUAAAUUUUUAAGAAUUUAACAUUUUUUUUUUAACAAAACUUAAAAAAAAAAAUCAAUAAUUUUUUUGUUAGAAAUUAUUAAUAUAUUUAGUUACUAUAUUAGAAUUAUAUAUUUAGUUAGUAUAUGUUUAUUUAUUUAGUUACCAUAUCUCUUAUUUAAUUAAUUAUUAUAUUGGAAUUAUUAUUAUUUUUAGAAGUAAUGGUGCAUUAGUUUUUAUUUCCUUUUAUUAGGUCUAUUUAAAUUCUAAUGGUAUUAUACCUAUUUUUAAAAGAAUUUAUGAUAAGAAAUUUUAAAUUUUCUUUUCUGUCUUUUACUCUUUGAGUCCCUUUUGGAUUUCAAUAUUUCUAAUAAAUUUUAAGUAUUUUUUAAAAAUAAUUAAAUUGAUAAAACUUUUAUUUAAAAUUUAUUUCUAACAAUAUAAUAUAGAGGCAGCACCAUUAUUAUCAAUUGUAAAUUUGUUGCGUCAAGAUUAAACCUAAAAGCUUAGGUAUUUUAAAAAUAUUAAAGUCAACCAAAACAACCUGCCACUAAAAAAAAUUCUAAAAUUUUGGGAUAAUGAAUAACACACAAUUAAAAUAAAAUCAUGAAAAUAAAAGAAUAUAUAUAUAUAUAUAUAUAUAAAUAAAAUCAUGAAAAUAAAAGAAUAUAUAUAUAUAUAUAUAUAUAUAUAUAUUUCUUCUUUCACUAAUUCAAUCUAGUAAAUAAUUUAAUCACCAGUAAAAUAAAAAGGAGAGAAGACAUACCUUGCUAGGGUUAAAGAAAGCUUUGAUCCUUUGGAAACUAGAGAAUUCUUUCUUGGCUGGGUGAUCUUCUCUAUCACCAAGGCUUCCUCUUGAUGGCUGAGGCCAAUAGAUCUGAUCUUGGGCGUAUAUAAGAUGUAUCCCACAACUUUUCAAUUUAAAGGAUUCGUUAUCGCCACAUCGAAAAGAGCCACCGCCCAUUGGAGUGUAAAGAGCCUUCAAGGUGUUCCACCGACUGGAUCGAAACUUACUUGGAAUGUGAAUUUGAGGGAAAUAGGUCACCCACAAUGCUGGAUCUGAUGUAGCACGACUAUCGUAGCAUAUGUAGUCAUACGAUAAACAUCGGAGAUAGUAGCCUUUACAUUCUGGAUCAAACCAUAUAUCACCAAUUUGUUUAGAUUGAUCACCAUGGGAUAGUGUCAAUAUACAUCGUGGAAAAUCGUCACAUGUGGUCUCACAUUCACCAUCAUCAAGAGGAACAUGAUGGAAGAAUAAAACAAAUCCCAACAAGUUGUUAUCUUCACGCCAAUUCAUUGGAAGCAAGCUCUACUGUUACUUCACAUCCCAUUCUCUGAUGACUUACCCACUCUGGUAUUCCACUACUUCCUGGAAUAACAAUAUUGCAUUGCUGCAGAAAAAUGUCAUGUAAAUCUCAUGCAAGAAAAAAAUAAAAAAUAAAAAAUAAUAAUUAUGCCAUGAAAAUGAUACUGAAAUUUUGAUAUAGAGGGUUCGAGGAGAGACCAGAGGAAUAGACUCGAGGAUGUUUCAGUUUCCAGACAUGGACAACCAUGUGCCUCUAUUCGUGUUAGACUUGAUGGAAGCUCUGCAAUUUCUUCAAGCAUCGGACAGUGAUUCAUGAGAAGGGUUUCGAGAUUAGAAAGUUGAGUGAUGCCAACAGGUAUGCAAUGAAUAUGGUUUUCACUUGCAUCUAAAAAUUGCAGUAAGGAUAAGCACCAUAAAUCACUGGGGAUUUCUCCUUCCAUCAUAUUGCAACCACCUAGAUCUAGACUUCUUAAGCAACAUCAUAAGCUUCUCAAGUUGUUGGGCAACUUGUGGAGCUUUGAAUAAUUACGAACAGAAAGACUUGCAAGACGUGUCAAAUUACCAAUGUUGCUGGGAAGACUCACAAGCUUCUCACAUUUGUACAAUUCCAAAUCCCAAAGACCUCUUAGAUGUUCAAUUGAUGAUGGCAGCUCUGUUAUAGCCAUUUCACGCAAAUAAAGGCAUUCUAAAUGUUCCAUAUCCUCUGUGAUCUCCCAAAAAGUUUCUAUAUUUGAACAACCAUUAAGAGAGAGGCGUUUGAGGGAUUUCAACCCACAGAUACUAUUUGGAAGACUUCUCGUUAAAUUUGGGUGAGAUGACCUAUUGAACUUUUCUGGAUCUCAAGAAACUUUUCAAAAUUUGAGCAACCACUGAGUAAAAGAGUUUCAAGGGCCUCUAAGCACCUAAUACUCUUUGGGAAUUCCUUAAUAGCGGUCUUCUCUAAAGAAAGUCUCUUUAAGCAUUUCAUGCUCCCUUGGAUCUCCGGGAAUUUUUGAAAGUUUGAGCACUCUGAGAGGUCAAGACUUAUAAGAGAUUCUAAAUAUCCAAUGCUGUCAGGGAGUUCCAUAGUACCACUCUGAGAUAAAUCAAGCUCCCUUAGAAGUCUCAUAUUGGUAAAUAUAUCUGAAAAUUUCUCAAACUUUAAACAUUUAUUAACAUAAAGAAUUUCGAGAGAUGUUAAGGACCCAAUGCUAUCUGGGAGUUCCUUAAUAGCAGUCUGAUGUAAAGAAAGUUUCUUCAAACAUUUCAUAUUCCUUCUAAUCUCUAGAAAUUUCUCAAAUUUCAAGCAAUAUGUGAGGUCAAGAGUUUCGGGAUAUUCCAAAUACCCUAUGUUGUCCGGGAGUUCUUUAAUACCACUUUCACGUAAAUUAAUCUCCCUUAAAUGUCCCAUAUAGGUAAAUAUAUCUGGAAAUUUCUCAAACUUUGAACAUCCUUUUAACCAAAGCUUCCUCAAAAACUUCAUAUUCCCAUGGAUCUCUGGAAAUUUCUCCAAGUUUGAACAAUUUGAGAGAUCAAGGACUUCAAGAGAUGCUAAAUGCAUGAUGCUACUUGGUAGUUCUCUAAUCCUAGUUUUGUUUAAAUAAAGCUCCUUCAAAUGUUUCAUAUUCCCAUGGAUCACAUCAAACUUCUCCAAGUUUUGACAAUGAUAAAGAUAAAGAACUUCAAGAGAUUCAAACUUCAUGCUAGUUGGGAAACUUUGGAGCUGUUCACAUCCUCCUAAAUUCAAGUAGGUCAAUCUUUUGAGAUGGCCAAUAGAUGAAUGAAGUUUACGCAAACUUGUACAACCUUUAAGAUUCAGUCUCUCCAAAUUCGCCAUGCUUGAGAAUUUUGGCAUUUUGACUAGGUGUUUUGAAUUACUUAGAUCAAUGCCCUUUAAUUUUCCAAGACACUGCAACAUAAGACAUUCUUUUAAUAAAACAAAAAUUCUUUUAACUUGAAAAUUAUCCUAAAGAAAAAAACAUUAAAUAAUGAUCAUACCUUAUUCCCUUUCCAAAGUUGUUUUAUGUUGCUAGACUUCAAGUUGAUUUCAAUAAGGUUCUCUCCAUAAAAUUUUGAAGGCAAAGACCUCAAAGUGCAUCCUUGCCAAUGAAGAUAUCUCAAAUUAUGAGGAAAUUCAAAAUCUUUAGGAAAAAACACUUUAUACUCCUCUCUCUUCAAACCAUCAUGAUCAUUGCAAUGGACUUUGAGCAACCUAAGUUUCUUCAUCUUGGCAAACACUUUUGUAGUGAACUGUAUUUCUUUUGAUCUAGACAAGUCGAGAGAUAUGGUUUGAAUACUUUCCAUCCCCUGGAAACAAGAAUGAAGAAUAAGGGAAUAACACAAGAUAAAAAUCCUAACUAAAAUUUUAUAGGCAAUUAAUCCUUAAAAAUGCAUUAUAAAUAUCUAAAUAACUAAGUUCAUAUAUUUAAUUCAUACCUCUUGUCUAGAAAAUGCAUCAUAAAUAUCAUCUACAUCCCACAAUCUGCUCCAUUUACUUAGGUCUCCAGGACAUUCUUCAUGAACAAUUGCCCAACCCAUUUCUUGUAUCAAGUCAUGCAUUUGUAUGAUGUUUUUUGAAAUAGUUACUAGACAUCUAUCACAAAGAACUCUUAUGUUGUAUGUUGCAAAUAAAUUGCAACCAUCUAAUAUUGUCAACAUAUAUAUAAUCUUUGUCUUCCCCUUUGAAGAAACAUGCAAUGUCAAGGAAAACCUCCUUUUCAAAAUGAUCAAGCCCAUCAAAACUUAUUCUAAGCACAUCAUUAAUUUUCUUGUUAGCAUUUUUUUUUCAAUUUAUCCAAUGCACUUUUCCAUUCAUCUAUUGCCAUGCCAUGGAGAGAAGAACCUAGAACUUUAAGGGCUAAAGGAAGACCUUGAGCAUAAUGUACCAUGCAAUUUGAGAGGUUUACAUAAUCUUCUUUGGGAACAUUUUGUUUAAAGGCAUGUCUACUGAAGAGUUGAAUAGCUUCCUUAUAAUGUAAUUGCUCAACCUUAUAUGAUAUAUCCACUCCAUACUCACCCAGCAAAUGUUGGUCUCUAGUUGUUAUGAUAAUUAUGCUUCCUAUACCAAACCAUUUAAGACUUCCAACCAAUAACUUUAAUUGCUCCAAAUGAUCCACAUCAUCAAUAACAAUAAGAACUUUUUUUGAGUCAAGUCUAGCCUUUAUUAUAUUGAUUCCUUUAUUGAUAUUGCUAAACUCUACAUCAUUCCCCAUUGUAUCAUGUAGAAGUUGUUGUUGUAGUUGAAGUUGACAACCCUUGUUGAAUGUCUCUCUGACAUCUUGAAGAAAGCUUGCACUGGUGAAUUGAUAUUGGAUCUCAUUAUAAACAAUCUUGGCAAUGGUAGUUUUACCAAUUCCACCAGGUCCAUAGAUCCCAACCACACGAAUGUCAUUCAAGUCACUACUUAACGAUUUUAGUUCUUUCAGGUGAAAAUCCAUCCCAACUAUAUCAUCGUUAAUAUGCAAAAGCUUAGAAUUCAUUGAUCUUUUAAAAAUCUGGUUAACAAUUUCCUUAAUAUGCUUUGACUCAUACCUGCCAAUUAUAAAGUACAAUUUAACACUUCAUGAGUUAUAAUGAAUUGCAAAAGAUAACAAAUAUAAAGUAAAUUUAGUGACAUUUACUUGCUUUUGUCAAUAUAAUAAAAGUAAUAGGAUGUAAAAAAUAUUAAAAGAACCCACUAUAUUGAGCAUUUUAUAGAUAAUGAAAAGGCAAGUAGUUUUGAGGCAAGUGUUAAUAAGAUCACAAAGCAAGCUUUACUAUACAAAAUUAUUAACUCGUUAAUUCAUAAUUUAAGACAACUAAAUCUUUACAACUAAUUAAAUCAAAAACACAAAUUAAGGAAGUUGAAGCUACCCAUCAUUCACAUGGAAACCACUAAGAUUGCUUGCUUCAGUCAAGGAAUCCCUCCACCUUUGCACCUUUUUCGCAUCUACAUUUCUUUCAUGAAUGGAAAAUGCCUCUCCGAAGCUCCCUGUUUGCUUUCGCACAUCACAAGGAUCCACGUGGUAGAACACCGGAAAGACUAUUUGUUCCAUUUCUUCCCUGCACUCCAUGAUCUUCGCUAACUCAUCCAAACACCACUUGGAAUGAGCAUAGUUUUUUGAGAACACAACUAUGGAAAUUCUUGAUUCUUCAAUACUUUUCAAAAGUUCUGAUUUGAUCUCCUCUGCUCCUUCAAGUUGAUCGUCUCUGAAAGUCUUAAUCCUCAUCCCAUGCAAAUUUACGAAUAAAUGAUCCGUAAAAUUGUUGCGGGUGUCUUCACCUCUAAAACUCAAGAACACUUCGAACUGAUAUUUACGGACUGAGGUAGAAGAAGAAGAGGGUUUUUGGGUAGAGGAAGCCAUCGUUGGAGUUGAGGAAGAACUUGUUCUUAGUCAAUACUUGAUAUGCCCACAGCAUGUUUGGGUCCUCAUAUGAAGCAAAACUAUUUUUCUUUUUUUUUUCUUUUUUUUUUUCUUUUUUUUUGGUGGAGUGGUUAGAUUGUAAAAAGCAAAGAUCGAUUUUCCCAAUACAUGCAAGCAGGUGAUUUGUCAGUUAAAUGUAAAGGAGUAAUGAGUGGGGAGGUCGGUGGCUUUUAAGAAGGGCCCACCCACCACAAAACCCGUAAAAGCCUUAAAUUAAAAUUUCAGUUUUCGGUAUUAUGGCCAUCGACGCUUUCCUUUGACCAGUCAAAACCUUUCAUUACAAUUGCCAUAGAUUGUAAAGUCUUUCAAUUCUAUUGCCACGGUGCAAUUUAAUAUAUAGUUUAUUCCUCCCUCCUAAAUUUUAACUUAAAUUCAAUUAAUUUUAAUUAUUUUUUUAUAUUCUAUUUAAUAUAUUAUUAAAAAUAUAAAAAUAUCAUAAUAAUCUUACCAGAGUCUUUCUUUAUUAAAAAAAAUAAACUUGGAUAUAAAAUUAUUAAUAUUUUUAAACAUAAAAAUAUAUGCAUAUAUCAUUAUUUUUUAUUUUAAAUAAAAAUCAUCAUUUUAAAUACAUACUUGAUUACUAAAAAAAAAUAAAAAUUUUAAUAAAUUAAUUAAUUUUAAUUAUCUUAUUAUUAAAUUUCAUUUAGCAUAUUAUGAAAAUGUAAAAACCAUAAUAAUAAUGAUUUACUGAAAACAAUCUUUUAUGUUUUUUGUAUAUUAAUUAUUUAUAAAUUUAUAUAUAUCAAAUUUAAAAAGUAAAUUAAAAAAUAAUCAUACAUAUAUCAUUAAUUAUUUUAUACCCUAAAAUACAUUCAAACUAAAUAGAACAUUAUUUUUAUAAUAAAUGUGGUAAGAUACUUUAUAAACUUAUUUAUGUUACUCGACGUACCCCUCUUCUUUAUUUUUAAGUUUUUAUUUUUCACUUUACAAACCAUCUAUGUUACUAAAUGUAUCCCUCUUUUUGUUUUACAAUUUUUAUAUUCUUUCAACUUUUCAAACUCAAUAUUCCUUUUAAAAAAAAAUUAAUUUUUAAAACUUUUUCUUUUAUAAAAAGUUUCUAAAACCAUAAAUUUUUUAGAUAAAUUUUAUUAUUAUAUUUUUCAUUAAAAAUGAAUAAUAACAUUGAAUUUUUUUAUAAGGAUGAAUCAUAAUAUUUCAAAAUUUCACAUAAAAUCUCAAUUACUUGAAAACGUAUGUUAAAUUAUAAGGAAUAAGUAUAAAUAAAGAGAUAAUAAUUAUUUCAAUAAAUAAUGAUAAAUUUUGCCAUAAUAAAAAAUAUAAAUUAUGCAUUUUUUUUUGUUAAAAGCCGAUCAUAUCAUCCACAAUACAAACUAAAGUGCAGGCUGUGUUGUCGGAUGAGGAACCCUUCUGGGGUCUUUUCCUUUUCGUAGAACCUUCAUAUUGCUUCCACAUUCUAUAAGGGUUCGUGUUGCAAGUAGGGAAAGGAAGGGAGAAAGAAACCUAAGAAAAGGACUUUUGAGUGCACUUUCAUGCAAAGUUCGAGGAAUCGAACAAAGAAGAGAACUCUUUAUCCAAGAAAACAUGAAUGUAAAUGGAGUAAAUAGAACGAAAACUGGAAUUAGUAUAUAAAGAUGAAGAAAGAGGUGGGUUUUCCUCACUUGAACACCGAUAACACAAGAUUGGUAGCUUGAUGCUAAUGGAAGAGGAAAAAACAAGAAUGUCGUGGUGUGGUAAUAGUGUUAUUGAGACUCCAAAAGGAAGGAUGUCAUAACUUUUGAAAUUUGAAAAGGCAUGGUAUGUGUGUCAUCGGUAGGAGGCAAAAGAAACCCCCAAAGGAGGCUUGAAGGUACAUUGGUUUGAGUGUCCAAUACAAAAAAAUUCCAAGGUCUGGAAAAUCAAGGAAAAUAUAUUCCCACUUAAAUGAAAAAGAAUUUUCCGUUUGACCUCAGCUAAGGGUCAACGAAAAAUUGAGGGCAAUUGUGGGCACCAUGGUAAAUGGGGAUAAACGGGCCUACCUAAAGAACUAUCUGCUGAUUUGGGCCAGUUUGGGCCUCGAUUAAAAGCCCAUUUAGCCUAAUUGCCCGACUUACUUAAAUAGCCCAACAAGUAAAGUGGAAAAUAAAAUGUGGGAGAACAACCCACAAGAAGUAGUGAAGGCAAUUAACGCUUGGGGCAGUAAUUGCUUGAAGUGGCUAAAAAGUGUCCCCAUGAUCUCCACACCUAUCGGUAGCUAAAAGGUAUAUGAAUACAACUGGCAAGUCUAAAAAGCAGAAAAAAAAAAAAAAAAAGGAUUGUAACAUGAGAAAUAUUACAUUUUCUAGAAAACCCUAGGUAACUUAAUAAUUGGAGGAGGUGAUUCCGGGGUAAAACUGAGUGAGCCCUGUGUGGCAAGGAUAAGGAAGCGCGCGAUAAGAAUAGGACUAUUGCUCAAGAAAUUCUCAACUCCAAUAGGCAUUACUUUACAAAAUAUUUUAAAAUGAUGAAAAUAAAAUAGGAAGUUUUAAUUUUGGUAGGUAGGAAGGAAAUAAUUGAGAAGUUUUUUUUUUUUUUUUUUUUUUAAAGUAAAAAUGAUAGCACUAGAGUCAAGAUUUUGCAAUGCCUUAAUUCUAUCAUAAAAUGAAUUUAUGUAUACUUACACAAAAUUUUCAAUAGAUGAUUACUAUAAGAAAAAAAAAUCCACCUUUUUUUAGCUUUAUUUUUAAUAUGAUUCUCAUUCUUAAAAUAAUAAAAUUUAAGUAAGUGUGUGUUUUUUUUUCUUCUGUUAUUAUCAAUUAUAAAAUUCAAAAUCUUUUCAUUUGAUUUGUUAAUGCUAUGUUUGGUUUAAGAAUUGUAAUAAAUAAAGAAAAUUAUUUUCUCAUAUUUGAUUUUAUUAUAAAAAAUAAAAAAAUAUAAUUAAAAUUAAUUAAAAACUUAUAUAUUUUUAAAUGAUUUAUUUUUAUAUAAAAGUAUUAAAUUAAAUAAAAUGAGUUUGAAGUGAUGUAUAAAAAUAAUUUAUUUCCUUUAAAUCUAUUUUUAUUUUAUAAUAGAAUCCAAAGUUUUAUAAUGCUUAAACGCGCGUAGAAAGAGAGCAAUCAAGCUUCAUGUGCUAGUAAUUUUUUUAUUUUUUUAUUUUAGUAUUUCUUGUUUGGAUUGAAACAAAAUCAACACAUCAUACAAAAUUAUAAUAAACUUUUAAUUUUCAAAUAGAUUAAGUGUAUAUUAUAUUUAUACAUAAUGCUAAAUCAUAGAUGCUUCAAAAAAUUACGUAGGAUAACUAAUUAUUUUUCUAUUAAAAAAAUAAAUGAUGUCAUUAAUUGUUGUAAACUAAUUUACAUUAUGGGAUGAUGAGUUGGUUGGUCAUUCUAUCAUCUUCAAAAUCAUCCCGGAAAAUAAAAGUAGUCCCAUAAUUAAUGAUUAAAUAAAAACAUUUUUUUUUCAUUUUUUAAAAAAAUAAAAUUUUAAUUUUAAUUUCUUCCACUCCUAUGAGGUGGCUAGUAAAGGUGGUUAAGAAACCAAAUGCUUGUACAUUUUCUGUUCUUUUCUUUUCUUUUAAUAUUACAUUUAUCAUGUUUUUAUUUUUUCAUUUAUGUAUUAAAAUUUUUAAAGGCGACUUCCUUAUUUAAUAAGAGAAGUAAGUGUCUCUCCCAAUUAGAGUUUAUAAUACCCCUUGGUUUUUUUUUUUUUAUUAUUAUUAUAGAAAGUUGAAUAAUUUAAUCAUAAAACAAGAGCAAGUGUGGAAAAUUAUAGUCCUAUAUAAAAUGUAGGAGCUCUCAUAAAUUUAUCUUGAAAAAAUAAUAAUUUUAAAAAAUCAAUUCUUAUACAAAAUUAGGUAUUAAAAAAAAAAAAUUGACUACCUCAAAUUUUAAAAAUCUUGAAAGUAAUUUUUAAAAAUAUAAAAUUUAUGGUCCAUGCAAGUUAUUGGAUUUCAUAUAUAAAUAGCUAUUAUUUUCCUUUUUUACAAAACAUGGAAUUAGUAAGCCGGAGGGCACUUAGACACAUAUACAUUAAAAUCGAGGGAAAUAUGGUAUCCUCAUUUUUUUUUUUUUUUUAUGAAAAAUUAAAGAAAAUGAAUAUGCCUAAAUAAAUGGUUUGUAUGGAUUGAGAUUAUUAUAAGAUGAAAAUGACUACACUCCAAUAUGCUAAUAUUCAUGCCAUAUUUUAGUCGUGUUAUCAUGUUACAUCAAAAUUAUCAUCCUGAUAUUUUUUUUAUAUAUAAAUUUAAUAAUAUGGUACAUAACUUUUGUAGAACAAAAAGUUUAUAAGCUAGUCUUGCUAAAUAAUUGAAGCUACUUUGGUCACUAUGCAUAUGAUCUUAAUAGAUAAAUGAGGAUAAUUUAUCAUUGUUUCAAAAUCAUUCUUGAAAAUGCUUGUAAAUAAUUUCAAAUAAAUAAAAUUAUCCAUACCUAAAAGCAUACAAAUUAAAAUCAACAAUUCAAAUUAUCCAUACUUAAAAACAUACAAAUUAAAAUUACUAAUUCACAUUAUACAUGCUUAAAAACAUAUAAAUAAAAAUCCACAAUCCAAACAAAGUGUCUCUUUUAUGGCAUUCUCAUUCUGGUUCAAUACCGCAUCUCUACCAUCCUUCCAAUUCCAUAACCAAUAGUUAGUCUAGUUUCCAUGCGCAACCUGACCAAUGGUUAGUCAUAGUUUAAUGAGCAUAUUAUGACAAUAAUUAUCCUGUGCUUUUUCAUCUUUAGAAAUGAAACAAAGAGCAAAAUAAAUAUUAAUUCAUGCUAUGUAAUUGAAAAACAUAUGAUAAUUGUUUUGGUCUACCAAUUAAAAAAUGAAGCUCUAAAUAAAAAUUUUAAUUAAUUCAAACAAAAACUCUGGCCUACCAAAACAGCUACGGUAAUAUGGUUUUUCUUUCUAAAUUCAUUAGUUCAUUCCAAAGAUAAAACUUUGAUAGGUUCUAAGAUAUUUAUUAGAAAAAAUAAAGGAGUUUUAACUUUAGAUUGGCCUAAGAAUACAGGAUCUCCAAAUUUCAUAAACACUUGGAAUAAUUAAAAAUAAAAUAAAAUAAAAUAAAAUAAAUACAUAAAAAGGAAAAAAGAAAUUUGAAUUUCCUGACCAUAUCUAAUUCUGUAUUGAACUCUAUAUUCUUCCAAGCAUGUAAUCAUUUUAAAAUAUGUCUAUAUAUUUUUUUCCAUUAAUUCUUCUAAAUAUUUUAAACCUUAUGGAGUAGAGUUGGAAACCACAGAUAUCUUCAUUUUUUUUUAGUAUGAUUUCUUUUCAUAAAAACCUUUUAUUGUAUUGUAAUGAGUAAAUAAAAAAAAUAUAGACAUAAACUGAGAAGCAUGUAAGUUACAUGUUUCAAACAAUCUUGAUAUGGCCUUAAAGGAGUGGUUGAGUUAGAUAAGUAGGGGGCAAAGUAAAUUCUUUUUUUUUUUUCAUAAAAAAAACAUGAAAUAUAAUAAACAUACAAAUUUUUUUACAUUUCAUGAAGUGCUUUAUCAUUUAACAAAAUAAGUGAUUAUUGAUAUUAGUUAUGAAAGAAAAAAUAUAUAAAAUAAAAAAUGAAACAACAAAAUAGAUAAAGAAAAGUUUUAAUUAUUGAUAUUAUUUAUGAAAGAAAAGAAGAUAUAAAGUAUGAAAUGAAACGACAAAAAUACAUAAUUUUUUAAAAUUUUGUUUAAAAAUUAACAAAAAUUCAAACAAUAUUUUCAAACGAAUUUUAAAAAAUAGCAAGAAAGGUGACCAUAAAUUUUAAAGAAUUUCACAUUUUUUUUAACAAAACUUUAAAAAAUUCAAUAAUUUUACUAAUAAAUUUUAAGAAUCAUUUUUGAAAUAAUUAAAUUGAUAAAAUUUUUAUUUAAAAUUUAUUUCUAACAAUAUAAUAUAAAUGUAGCAUCAUUAUCAAUAGUAAAUUGGCGAAACUAUGGGAUCUAAAAUUUUGGGAUAAUUAAGAACACAUGAUUAAAAUAAAAUCAUGAAAAGAAAAGAAAAAAAAAUAUAUCAGCUGGGUUAUGAUUUCAAAUGUUUUCUAGAUAUUUCAUUUUUUUGCUAAUUCCAUCUAAUAAAUAUUAUAUUCACUAGUGAAUGAAAAAAGAAGAGAGAGAACACAUACCUUGCUAGAGGUUAAAGAAACCCUUGAUCCUUUGGAAACUAGAGAAUUUUUCCUUGGAUGAGUGAUCUUCUCUAUUAGCAGGCCUUUUUCCCGACGGCUGAGGCCAAUGCUUCUGAUCUUGGGCAUAUAUGAGAUGUAUCCCACAACUUUUCAUUUUAAAGGAUGCGUUUUCGCCACAUGUAAAAGAGGCAUUAUAGACACGAUUGUAAAAGUGAGCCUUGAAGUUGUUCCACUUUCUGGAUCGAUACUUGCUUGGAAUGCCAAUCUGCGGGAAAUACGUCACCCACAGUGCUGGAUCUGAUGUGCUACCACUGUCGUAGCGUUCGCUGCUACAUGAUAUACCUUCAAUGCAGUAUCUUUUACAAUGAGGAUGAAAAUGAAUAUUAUCCAGUCGUUUAGAUUGAUCACCAUGGGAUAUCGCCAAUUCACAUUGAGGAAAAUAAGAUGUUCUCACGCAUUCAUCAUCAUCAAGGGGAACAUGAUGGAAGAAUAAAACAAAUCCUAACAAGUUAUUAUCUUCAUACCAAUUCAUUGGAAGCUCCACACUUACUUCACAUCCCAUUCUUUGAUGACUUACCCACUCUGGUAUUCCACUACUUCCUGGAAUGAUAAUAUUAAAUCUCCGCUGCAGAAAAAAAUGUCAUGUAAAUCUCAUGCUUUUUUUUUGAAAAAAAAGGGGGGUGGGGUUGGGGAAGGGCGGUUGAUAAUUAUGCCAUGAAAAUGAUACCUGAAUUGGUGAUUUCAAGUGUUUGAGCAAAGAAGACCAGAGUAGACUUGAAGAAGUUUCAGUUUCCAGGCAUGGACAACCAUGUGCCUCUAUCCAUCCUAGACUUGAUGGAAGCUCUCCAAUUACUUCAAGCAUCGGACAAUGAUUCAUGAGAAGGGUACGAAGCUUACAAAGAUGAGUGAUGCCAGUAGGUAUGCAACGCAUAUGGUUUUCACUUAUGUUUAAAAAUUCCAGUGAGGAUAGGCACCAUAAAUCACUGGGGAUUUCUUCUUCCAUCAGAUUGCAACCACCUAGAUCUAGCGACGUUAAGAUACAUUGCUGGCUUCUCAAAUUGUCAGGCAAGUUGUGGAGCUUUGGACAGUUACGAACAUGAAGACUAGUAAGACAUGUCAAAUUACCGAUGCUAUUGGGAAGAGCCACAAGGUUCUCACAAUUGAUCAAUUCCAAGGAUUUAAGACCUCUCAGAUGUUCAAUUGAUGAUGGCAGCUCUGAGAUACCCGUCUCACAUAAAAAAAGGCCUUCUAAUUGUUCCAUAUCCUCCGUGAUCUCUAAAAAAGCCUCUAGAUUUGAACAACCAUUGAGAGAGAGGCCUUUGAGGGAUUUCAACCCACAUAUACUGUUUGGAAGACUUUUCAAGUUUCUACAAUUUUCCAAAUCUAAGCGUUCAAGUCUGGUGAGAUGACCUACUGAGUAGGGUAAUCCUCUAAUAGCAGUCUCAUCUAGAAAAAGACCCCAUAGAUUCCCCAUAUUUUUUUGAAUCUCAGGAAACCUCUCAAGAUUUGAGCAACCACUGAGAUCAAGAAUUUCAAGGGCCUGCAAGCGCCCAAUGCCAUUUGGGAGUUCCUUAAUAGCAGUAUCCUCUAAACAAAGCAUCUUCAAGCAUUUCAUAUUCCCUUGGAUCUCUGGAAAUUUCUCAAAGUUUGAGCAAUAUCUGAGGUUAAGUUCUUCAAGAGAUUCCAAAUACCCAAUGCUGCCUGGGAGUUCCUUAAUACCACUCCCAUAUAGACAUAGCUCCCUUAAACGCCCCAUAUUGGUAAAUACAUCUGAAAAUUUCUCAAACUUUGAACAUUCUCUAAGAGAAAGCAUUUCAAGAGAGGUUAAGGACCCAAUGCUAUUUGGGAGUUCCUUAAUAGCAGUCUCAUCUAAAAAAAGAUUCAACAAACAUUUCAUAUUCCCUUGGAUCUCUGGGAAUUUCUCAAAUUUGGAGCAACAUGAGAGGUCAAGAAUUUCAAGAGAUUCCAAAUACCCAAUGCUGCUUGGGAGUUCUUUAAUACCACUCUCACGUAAAUGAAGCCCCCUUAAAUGUCCCAUAUAGGUAAAUGUAUCCGGAAAUUUCUCAAACUUUGAACAUCUUUCUAAAUAAAGCUCCCUCAAAAAUUUCAUAUUCCCAUGGAUCUCAGGAAAUUUCUCGAAAUUUGAACAAUCUGAGAGAUUAAGGACUUCAAGAGAUGCUAAAUACACAAUGCUACUUGGUAGUUCUUGGAUCCCACUCCUGUUGAAAUAAAGCUCCUUCAAACAUUCCAUAUUCCCAUGGAUCUCAGGAAAUUUCUUGAAAUUUGAACAAUAUGAGAGAUUAAGGACUUCAAGAGAUGCUAAAUACACAAUGCUACUUGGUAGUGCUUGGAUCCCACUCUUGUUUAAAUAAAGCUCCUUCAAACAUUCCAUAUUCCCAUGGAUCUCAGGAAACUUCUUCAAGUUUGGACAACAAUUAAGAUAAAGAACUUCAAGAGAUUCAAACUUCAUGCUGGAUAGGAAACUUCGGAGCUGUUCACAUCCUCCUAAAUUCAAGUAAGUCAAACUUUUGAGAUCGCCAAUAGAUGGAUGAAGUUCACGCAAGCUUAUACAACCUUCAAGAUUCAGUCUCUCCAAAUUCGACAUGCUUGAGAAUUUUGGCAUUUUGACCAAUUGUUUUGAGUUACUUAGAUCAAUGCCCUUUAAUUCUUCAAGACGCUAUAACAGAAGACAUUUUGUUAAUAAAAAAAAUAAAAAAUUGAAAAUUAUUAUAAAGAAAAAAAACAUUAAAUAAUGAUCAUACCCUAUUCCCUUUCCAAAGUUGUUUUACGUUGCUAGACUUCAAGUUGAUUUCAAUCAGGUGCUUUCCAUUAAAGUUCCAAGGUAAAGACGUCAAAGUGCAUCUUUGCCAAUGAAGAUAUCUCAAAUCAUGAGGAAAUUGAAAGUCUUUAGGAAGAAGCACUUUAUACUCCUCUCUCGUCAAACCAUCAUGAUCAUUGCAAUAGAUUUUAAGCAACCUAAGUUUCUUCAUCUUGGAAAACACUUUUGUAUUGAAUUGUAUUUCUCUUGAUCUAGACAAGUCCAAAGAUAUGGUUUGAAUAUUUUGCAUCUCCUGGAAAACAAUAAGGAAAAAUAAGGGAAUAACACAAGAUAAAAAUCCUAACUACAAUUAUAUAGUCAAUUAACCACUAAAAAAUUGAUUAUAAGCAUUUAAAUAACUAUAUUAAGCAUUUAAUUCAUACCUCUUGUUUAGAAAAUGCAUCAUAAAUAUCAUCUACAUCCCACAAUCUACUCCAUUUGCAGGGGUCUCCAAGACAUUCUUCACGAAUAAUUGCCCAACCCAUUUCUUGUAUCAAGUCAUGCAUUUGUAUGACGUUGUUUAAGAUAGUUACUAGACAUCUAUCACAAAGAACUCUUAUGUUGCAUGUUACAAAUAAAUUGCAACCAUCUAAUAUUCUUGACACAAAAUCUUUGCAUUCACCUUUGAAAAAACACGCAAUGUCCAGGAAAACCUCCUUUUGAGAAGGAUCAAGCCCAUCAAAACUUAUUCUAAGCGCAUCAUUAAUUUCCUUCAUAGGGUUUUUUUUCAAUUUAUCCGAUGCGCUUUUCCAUUCAUCUAUUGUCAUGCCCUGAAGAGAAGAACCUAGAACUUUAAGGGCUAAAGGGAGACCUUGAGCAUAUUGUACCAUGCAAUUUGAGAGGUCUACAUAAUCUUCUUUAGGAACAUUUUGUUUAAAGGCAUGUUGGCUGAAGAGUUGAAGAGCUUCCUCAUAAUGUAAUUCUGUAGCCUUAUGUGAUAUAGUCACUCCAUACUCAACCAACAGAUGUUGGUUUCUAGUUGUAAUGAUAAUUGUACUUCCUGGACCAAACCAUUUAGGACUUCCAGCCACUGACUCUAAUUGUUGCAACCGAUCCACAUCAUCAAUUACAAUAAGAACCUUUUUUGAGCCAAGUCUGUCCUUUAUUAUAUUGAUUCCUUUAUUGAUAUUGCUAAACUCUUCAUCAUUCCCCACUGUAUCAUGAAGAAGUUGUUGUUGUAGUUGAAGUUGACAACCCUUGUUGAAUGUCUCUCUGACAUCUUGAAGAAAGCUAGCACCAGUGAAUUGAUAUUGGAUCUCAUUAUAAACAAUCUUGGCAAUGGUAGUUUUACCAAUUCCACCAGUUCCAUAGAUCCCAACCACACGAGUGUCAUUCAAGUCACUACUUAACAAUGACUUUAGUUCUUUUAGGCGAAAAUCCAUCCCAACUAUAUCAUCGUUAAUGUGCAAAAGCUUAGAAUUCAUUGAUCUUUUAAAAAUCUGGUUAAUAAUUUCCUUAAUAUGCUUUGACUCAUACCUGCCAAUUAUAAAGUACAAAUUAACACUUCAUGAGUCAUAAUGAAUUGCAAGAGAUCACAAAUAUAAAGUAAAUUUAGUGAUAUUUACUUGGUUUUGUCAAUAUAACCAAAGUAAUAGGAUGUAAAAAGUAUUAAAAGAACCCAAUAUAUUGAGCAUUUUACAGAUAAUGAGAAGGCAACAAGUUUUGAGCCUAGUGUUAAUUAGAUCACAAAGCAAGCUUUACUAUACAAAAUUAUUAACUUGUUAAUUCAUGAUUUAAGACCACUAAAUCCUUACAACUUAAUUAAAUCAAAAGCACAAAUUAAGGAAGUUGAAGUUACCCAUCAUUCACAUGGAAACCGCUUAUAUUGCUUGCUUCAGUCAAGGAAUCCCUCCACCUUUGCACCUUUUUCGCAUCUACAUUUCUUUCAUGAAUGGAAAAUGCCUCUCCGAAGCUCCCUGUUUGCUUUCGCACAUCACAAGGAUCCACGUGAUAGAACACCGGAAAGACCAUUUGUUCCAUUUCUUCCCUGCACUCCAUGAUCUUCGCUAACUCAUCCAAACACCACUUGGAAUGAGCAUAGGUUUUUGAGAACACAACUACGGAAAUUCUUGAUUCUUCAAUAGUUUUCAAAAGUUCUGAUUUGAUCUCCUCUCCUCUUUCAAGUUGAUCGUCUCUAAAAGUCUUAAUCCCCAUCCGACCCAAAUUUACGAAUAAAUGAUCCGUAAAAUUGUUGCGGGUGUCUUCACCUCUAAAACUCAAGAACACUUCGAACUCAUAUUUACGGACUGAGGCAGAAGAAGAAGAAGAGGGUUUUUGGGUAGAGGAAGCCAUUGUUGGACAGUUUCUGGAUGAAAGCUUAGAGAGAGUUGAGGAAGAACUUGUGCUGAGUCAAUACUUGAUAUGCCGACAGCAUCUUUGGGUAAGCAAAACUUUUUCCUUUUUUUUUUUUUUUUUGUGGUUGUGGGGUGGUUGGAUUGUAAGUAAAAAUCGAUUUUCCCAAUACAGGCAAGCAGGUGAUCAUUUUCCCAUUUUUUGGGUCCCAAUGCAUAAGCAUGUGAUUUGUCAGUUAAAUGUCAAGGGAGUAAUGAGUGGGGAGGUCGGUGGCUUUUAAAAAAAAUAUAAAGAAGGACCCACCCACCACAAAACCCGUAAAAGCCUUAAAUUAAAAUUUCAGUUUUUGGUAUUAUGCAAGGAUGAAAAUAUCGGUAAUCACGGAUAUAUCGGUACUUCGAUUUUACGGAUAUAUCGGAUAUAUCGGAGAUAUUUUUGGAUAUAUCGGAGAUAUAUCGGCGGAUAUUUUGGAAAAAAAUAUUGGUGCUUAAAAUUGUUAAAAACUCAUGAAAAUGUAAAGAAAACCUCUUAAUAAUAUAAUUAGAAGUAUAAUAGACAUUUUAAAGUUAUUUUAUUGAAAAUUUUGAUAUAUGUAUAACAUGAUUUAUCAUAUUUGAUAAUAAUAUCGUAUGCAUCGAUAAAAAUAUGAAUUUUAUAAGUGUACAUUUAUUAUUAAAUUACACCUAAUAUUAUGAUAUUUGAUUAUAAUAUGUCUAAUUUUAAAAUAUAUAUUAGUAUUAAAAUAUGAUCCAUUUAAUUCAAUUGUAUUAAACAAUGUAAAAUAAAUAAUGAUAUAUAUAUAUAUAAUUUUUUAAUAUUUAAUUAAUUAUUAAUGAUAUUAAAAACAUUAUGAAGAAAAUUAUAUAAUUUUUAUAUUUUUGGUAAUUAAUUAAAAGACUUUGUAUUUAAUUAUAAAAUAAUUAUAAUUAAUUUGCUCUUUAAAAUAUUCUUAUAUUUUCUUUAUAUAAUGAAUUUAAGUAUAUAUAUAAGUGUUGCAUAUUAUUUAUCAAAGGGCUACUUAGCCCAAGUGGUAAGCGGGUGAACCCCAAACCUUUUGGUUUGGGGUUCAAAUCCUCUCAGCAGCAAGCAAAAUGGGAGUAGCGGGUAUAACUUUCGUUGACCCGCGUUGACCACGCGAUAUAUCGGAGAAAAAUCGCCGAUUUAUCGCCAAAUGACCGAUAUAUCGCGAGAAAUCGGCGAUUUCCCGAUUUCUCGCGAUAAAUGCCGAAAUAUCGCUGGACCGAUAUUUCUCCAAGAAAUAUCGUGUCGAUACCCUCCGACACACGAUAUUUCGGCGAUACAUUUUCCUCCUUGGUAUUAUGGCCAUUGGCGCUUUCCUUUGACCAGUCAAAGCCUAUCAAUACAAUUGCCAUAGGUCCUUUCCUCUUUGACUAAUCAAAGCCUUAAACUAAAAUUUCAAUUUUUUGGUAUUCCUUCGUAUUAUGGCCACGACCUUUCCUUUGACUAGUCAAAGUCUUUCAAUACUAUUGCCAUGGGCCCUUUUCUCUUUAAGGGAUCCAACCCAAUAAUUAUAAUUUAAGGCUUUCAAACCAUAUUAAUAGUUUACUCCUCCCUCCUAAAUUUUAACUUAAAUUCAAUUAAUUUUAAUUAUUUCAUUUUUUUUAUAUUCUAUUUAAUAUAUUAUUGAAAAUAUAAAAAUAUCAUAAUAAUCUUAUCAGUCUCUCUUUAUUAAAAAAAAUAAACUUGGAUAUAAAAGUAUUAACAUUUUUAAACAUAAAAACAUAUGCAUAUAGCAUUAUUUUUUUUUAUUUUAAAUAAAGAUCAUCAUUUUAAAUACAUGCUUGAUUCUAAAAAAAAUUAAAAGUUUUAAUAAAUUAAUUAAUUUUAAUUAUCUUAUUAUUAAAUUUCAUUUAACAUAUUAUGAAAAUGUAAAAACCGUAAUAAUGAUUUACGGUAAAUAAUCUUUUAUGUUUUUUGUAUAUUAAUUAUUUAAAAAUUUAUAUAUAUAAAAAUUUUAAAAUAAAUUAAAAAAUAAUCAUACAUAUAUCAUUAGUUAUUUUAUACCCUAAAAUACAUUCAAACUAAAUACAACAUUAUUUUUAUAAUAAAUGUGGUAAGAUACUUUAUAAACUUAUUUAUGUUUUUAAGUUUUUCUUUUUCACUUUACAAACCCAUCUGUAUUGCUAAAUGUAUCCCUCCUUUUAUUUUACAAUUUUUACAUUCUUUCAACUUUUCAAACUCAAUAAUCCUUUAAAAAAAUAUAUAUAUAAUUUUUAAAACUUUAUCAAUUAUAAAAAGUUUCUAAAACCAUAAAUUUUUUAGAUAAAUUUUAUUAUAUUAUUUUUCAUUAAAAAUGAAUAAUAACAUUGAAAUUUUUUAUAACGAUGAAUCAUAAUAUUUUAAAAUUUCACAUAAAAUCUUAAUUAUUUUAAAAGGAAUGUUAAAUUGCCUAGUUAAAAUAUUAGUAGAAAUAUUGUCAUAUGUAGAAAAAAUAAUAAUAUAAUCAUUUUGAAUUAAUUUUGAUCCGAGAAAUUGUGAUAUUAAUUGGCUCAAAUUUUGAAUUUUAAAUUAUUUUAAAAAUAAUUUAUACUACUUAGCAAAUGUAAUGCAUGAAGUCAUGUUUGAUUUGAAGUCCUUUUGUUUAAUGAAAAUUUCCGAAAGAAAAAAUCAACAAACUUAUUGAGUGAUUUCCUAACACAGGAUAAUCAUAUCACGCGUCACUAAAAUUUAUCCAUAAAAAUAAAUUUGUGAAAUGUUGUAAGUUAAAUAAUAUUUUUUUUUAAUUAAAAUUGGGUUGAAAAAGAAUUUUAUAAAUAUUAUAAAAUUUAUAUUUUUUUAAUUUUAAUAUCGUCCAGGAGUUGAGUGAUGGGAAUAAUUGAGAACAAAGAGGCAAAUAGAUGUUUAAUGUGUGAAUAGUACGAUCAAAUAUUAUAACGAAAGGUGGAAGACAGGUCAAGAAUAUUAGAGAAAAUGAUUUCAAAUAGUUAUGAAAGUAAUUAUUUAAGAAAGGACCCACCCACAAGCAACUUUAUUUCCUAGCAUUUACGUACCGAAAAUGACAAUAUUUCCAUGAUAUAUCGAGCUUCGGUGGGCUUGGACAUGAUAUAAAAUGGAGAGAUUUCCGGGAGAAAAUAUAUUAAGCACAGUGAUUUUUAUUUUGGUAUUCUUUGACCAGUCAAAGCCUUUCAAUAUUAUUGCCAUGGGUCCUUCCCCCUUUAAUUAUUUUUUUUUUCAUAUUCUAUUUAAUAUAUUAUUAAAAAUAUAAAAAUAUCAUAACAAUCCUAUCAAUGAGUCUUGCAUUAUUUAAAUAAAUAAAUAUUAAUAUAAAAUUGUUUGCAUUUUCAAACAUAAAAAUAUAUUCAUAUAUCAUUAUUUCUUUUUAUUGGUAAAAAGAACAAAAAUAUAAAAAUAAAUAACUUAAUUUCUUAUUUUUAAAGAUAAAAUUCAAGAUUGAUAGAAAUGCAAGUAUGUGAUCCUUUUUCCAUUUUUCGGGGUCCCAAUGCAUAAGCAUGAGAUUUGCCAGUUAGAUAUCAAGAGUAAUAAGUGGGGAGGUCGGUGGCUUUUAAAAAAAUAAUAAAGAAGGACCCACCCACCACAGAACCUGUCAAAGCCUCUCAAUACAAUUGCCAAGGGUCCUUUCCCCUUUUAAGGGAUCCAACCCAAUAUCCCAUAUCAAAGCAAACUUCCAAACCAAUGGGGCAAUUUAAUAUAUAGUUUAUUCCUCCUUCCUAAAUUUUAAUUUAAAUUCAAUUAAUUUUAAUUAUUUUAGUUUUCAUAUUCUAUUUAAUAUAUUAUUAAAAAAAUAAAAAUAUCAUAAUAAACUUAUCAAUGAGGCAUUCCUUAUUGAAAAAAAAAAAAAACUUAGAUGUAAAAUUAUUAACAUUUUUAAACAUAAAAAUUUAUACAUAUAUCAUUAUUUCAUUUAUAUUUUAAAUGAAAAUCAUCAUUUUAAACAUGCUUGAUUACUUAAAAAAUAAAUUUUAAUAAAUUAAUUAAUUUUAAUUAUCUUAUUAUUUAAAUUUCUUUUAAAUUUGAAAUUUUCAUAAAUUUGAAAACAUAUCAUAUUAAAUUUUCCAAAAUUAAAUUAUAUUGUAUGGACUUAGAAAUCUUUCAAGAACUUUAAAAAUAUCAAAGCCAUUAUAAAUUUUAUUUUCUUUUUCAAGUUUUAAAAAUAAAAUCGUUUAUGGAUUUUAUUUUAUUUGAGUAUAUUAAAUCACUUUUUAAAUACAUUUUAAAAUGAAAAAGUUUGUUUUGUUUGAAGUUCUUAAUUAAUUUAUCAGAGAAACAUUAAAAUUAAAAAUUUAUAUUUUUUAUUUUAAAAUAUAUUGGUUUCAUUCAAAAUUUUAAAACCAUUUCUUGGUAAAAAGAACAAAAAUAUAACAAUGAAUAAAUUAAUUUCACAUUUUUAAAUUAUUUAAUAUAAAUUAAUUUUCAAGAUAAAAUUCAAGAUUGAUAGAAAUAAUUAUUCAAUUCGUUAUUUAAUUUAAUAUAAAAUAGUACAUUCUCAAAAUUUUAUUAUUUAAUUAUAAAUGAUAAACUUGUGCUAAGUCAAUACUUAAUAUGCUUAAACCACAUCCAUCUUUGGUGCUUAUGUGAAACAAAACUAAUUUGCUUUGGUAAUCCAAGUGGCUUUUAAAAUUAUUUAAAAUAUUUAAACUAAAAAAAAUAUUUAUUAUUUAUUUAUAUAACGAAUUUUUAUUUAAAAUUAAUUAUUCAUUCUUUUAUGAGAUGUAUCAAGAGUCAUUUAUUCACAAUGAUAAAAGGGAGAGGCGUGGCUUUUAAUAGAAUCUAAGGAAUGACCCACCCACCACAAAAUUCAAAAGCAUCUUUCUUUUCUAGAAGAGAAAUGAGUGGGAAGUUGAGUGGCCUCCAAAAGAGUAUAAGAAAGGACCACCUGCCACAAAAUUCAAACCACCAUUAUUUCCUAGCAUUGCAUUUGGUUCACAAUGGUCAAAAAGUAAUGGGUGAACAUAUUGGUGGCUUUAUUUAAAAGAAUAUAAGGAAGGACCCAUCCACCACAAAAAUUCAAAAACACCUUCCUUUCCUAGCAUUUGCAUACCAAACGACUUCAUCUUUUUCUCUUCAUUCAUUUUCACUGUCCAAUGGUAGAUGAGUUCAUUUGAACCCACCAUGUUGAACAACUGAUAAUCUACCAUUGUCACAGGGAAGGUUGAAGGUGAUGUUUGAGUCAUUUCUUCACUAAAAAGAAAAAGUGAGAAUUGAAUUGGAUUUUUCUCAUUUUGAAAAAUUUCAAGAUCCUUAGCAGGUAGAAAACAAGACUUCAUAAAAAGAAAAGAUUCAUUUGUUAAUCAAUACAAGUGGCUCCUUCCUUGGCUUUUUUCCUUUGUGUGUUUUUUAUGUGAUGUGGUGAAAAAUUAUUAUUUAUUUUGAGUUACCAUUCAGAUAAGUUACACUGCUUUUUAGUAAGAAAGUUCUCCAUGGUAUUUUGUCGUUGGUGUUACAAAUUCUUAAUCAUAUUAUUAAUAUUAUUUUAUCAUAAAUGAUUUUGGAUAUAAAUAUAAAUAAGAUGGUAGUUUAUAUAUCAUAAAAAUUAAUUUAGGUGGUAAGAUGAAGAUAAUAAUACCACAAUUCUCAUCAUAAAAAAAUAUUAAAAAAAUAAAAUUUAAAAAUGAGAAUAGUCCAACUUCGUUGUUUCUACAUAUUUGUCUUUCAAUAAAUUAAACUGAAAAGUACAUAUAUUAUAAAACAAAGGAAAAGAAAAACCUCUUAUUCAUAUUUACUAUCUAUAAAGAUAAAAUUAAUAAUUAUUGAAAAAGAAGUUUUUUUUCCCUUAAUAUUCAUUUUUCUCCCACCAUUAGGAUAAUAAUAUGAAAGAAGUGUUGUAAUUAUGCCUCUUUCACUAUUGUCAAAUUCAAAACUUUCCAAUAAAUAUCGGUAGAUUGAAGUCUCCCAAAGUCAUAUUUAAUUUAACUAUUUUUUUAUCUACUUUCCCCUUUGGCCAGUCAAAACCUUAAAUUAAAAUUUCCAUUUUCUGGUAUUCCUUUCACCAAUUUCAAUAUUGUUGUCAUGACUCCUUUCCCUUCGAGGGAUCCAACCCAAUAUUCCAUAUGAAGGCGAACUUCCAAACAAAUUGGGCAAUUUAAUAUAUAGUUUAUUCCUCCCUCCUAAAUUUUAACUUAAAUUCAAUUAAUUUUAAUUAUUUUAUUUUUUAUAUUCUAUUUAAUAUAUUAUUAAAAAUAUAAAAAUAUCAUAAUAAUCUUAUCAAUGAGUCUUUCUUUAUUAAAAAAAUAAUCUGAGAUAUAAAAUUGUUAACAUUUUUAAACAUAGAAAUAUAUAUCUUAAAUAAAGAUCAUUUCAAACACAUGUUUCAUUACUAAAAUAAAAUAAAAUUUAAUAAAUAAAUUAAUUUUAAUUAUCUUAUUAUUAAAUUUCAUUUAACUUAUUGUGAAAAUAUAAAAACUAUGGUAACGAUAUUUUGAAAAUUAUCUUUUAUGUUUUUAGUAUGGUAUUUAGAUAUUAAAAAUAUAAGAAAAAAUGAGUUUUGACUCAUUAAUUUGAAAAAAUUUAGAAAAAAGAACCUUAUGUUGUAAAAUGAUAAAGUGAAAGGAGAAGAAAACAAGAAAGAGAAAUUAGAACGUAAGAAGAGAAUGGAAUAGAUUUUCAUUAGGGGUGUCUCCCUUUUAUAGGGAGUCACAAAGAGAUAUACAUCAAAAUGGAUGAUCAUCCACAAGUUUCCAUAAUCCGAUAAAUUCUCAUAUUUUAUAACACUCCCCCUUGGAUGAUCAUAAGAAUAUGUCUCAUUAAAACCUUACUAAGAAAAACCAUAUGGGAAAAAUCCCUAGUGAAGGAAAAAGAGUACAAUGUUCUUUUUGGAUUAUUAUAAUUGUCUCGUUAAAAACCUUGCCAGUAAAUCCUAAUAGAACAAAACCUAGACGAAGGAAAAAAGAGUGCAGUAUAUCCAUAUUAUCAUUCUCCCCCUUAUGUAAACAUGAUUAUGAUUUCUUCAAAAUUUCAAAUGGUGGAUCUCUUAAUCUUCGCAUUCCAAUGUCAUACCUUAACUUUUCCAAUGUGGUUGAAGGUAACGCCUUUGUGAAUAGAUCUGCUAGAUUAUUGCAUGACCGAAUUUGAUGAACAUCAAUCUCACCUUUCUUUUGGAGCUCGUGAGUAUAGAAGAAUUUAAGGGAGAUAUUCUUAGUUCUGUCACCUUUUAUAAAUUCUCAUUUAAUUUGUGCAAUACAAGCAGCAUUAUCUUCAUGUAAUAUGGUUGCAUUGCCUCUGAUGGAAGGUAGUCCACAUGUUUCUUGUAUAUGUUGGAUCAUUGACCUUAGCCAUACACAUUCACGGCUUAUUUCGUGAAUUGCAAGAAUUUCUAAAUGAUUUGAAGAUGUGGCUACCAUUGUUUGCUUGACUGAUCUCCAAGAUAUUGUCGUUCCACCAUAAGUAAAGACAUAUCCCGUUUGAGAUCGAGCUUUAUGAGGAUCUGAAAGAUAUCCUGCAUCUACAUACCCAAUUAAUUGUGAUUUUGAUUCUUUUGAAUCAUAUAAACCCAUAUCACUUGUCCCACGAAGGUAUCGCAAUAUAUGUUUAACCCCAUUCCAAUGUCUUUUAGUUGGGAUAGAACUGUAUCUUGCUAGUAAGUUGACAGAGAAUGCUAUGUCUGGUCUAGUACAAUUUGUAAGAUACAUUAGUGCACAGAUUGCACUGAGAUAUGGUACUUAUGGACCAAGCAAUUCUUCAUUUUCUUCUUUAGAACAAAAUAGGUCUUUGUCCACUUCAAGUGAACGAACAACCAUAGGGGAAUUGACUGGACGUGAUUUGUCCCUAUAAAAUCGUUUUUAUACUUUCUCUAUAUAUGUCGAUUGAUGGAUUAAUAUGUCAUUUGAACAAUGCUCGAUCUGCAGGCUGAGGCAAUAUCUUGUUUUUCCCAAGUCUUUCAUUUCAAAUUCCUUCUUUAAAUAAUUGGCUGCUUUUGUGAGCUCUUCAGGAGUUCCUAUAAGGUUUAAAUCAUCCACAUACACUGCAAUUAUUGUAAGCCCAAAUUUUGAUUUCUUGAUAAAAAAACACAUAGGCAAAUUGAAUUAUUCACAUAUCCUUUUUUUAACAAAUACUCACUCAAACGAUUAUACCACAUACGUCCAGAUUAUUUUAAUUCGUACAAAGACCUUUGUAGUUUGAUUGAGUACAUGUUUUGAGGCUUUGGAUUAGUUGCUUCAGGCAAUUUGAAUCCUUUAGGGAUUUUCAUAUAUAUGUCAGUAUCUAUAGACCCAUAUAAAUAGGCUGUAACAACAUCCAUAAGACGCAUAUCUAGUCCUUCAGAAACUGUUAAACUUAUCAAGUAUUGAAAUGUGAUUACAUCCAUUACAAGGGAAUAAGUUUCCUCAUAGUCUAUGCCAGGUCUUUGAGAGAAACCUUGAGCAACAAGUCAUCCUUUAUAUCUUAUGAUUUCAUCAUUCUCAUUUCGUUUUUUCACAAAGACCCAUUUAUAUCCAACAGGCUUUAUGUUUCCAGGUGUUUGAACUACAGGUCCAAAUACCUCUCGUUUUGUUAAUGAGUUUAACUCUGUUUGGAUUGCUUCUUUUCAUUUUGGCCAAUCAUUCAUUUUUCGGCAUUCAUUCACAGUUUGUGGUUCUUGAUAUUCAUCAUUUCUCAUGAUGUCCAUAGCCACUUGGAAUGCGAAUAUAUUAUCUAUGAUAAUGUCACUACGGUCUUUUGUUUCUCCCAUGUGACUCAUUGAGAUCUCUUUAGCUCUAGAUACCGGUAUUUGAUCAAUUUGUACCUCUUCAGGAGCUAAUUAUUUGUCAAGUUGGGUUUCACCAUUUGACCCUUUCAUUUUUAUGAACUCUUCAGGAGUACUAAGUUUUUCAUAUGUUGUACCUUUUUUUUUUCUAGGAAUUAAAUCCUUUGAGCCAAUAGGUCUACCAUGCUUCAGGCGUGUCUUAGAUUCAUUUGCUAUGGCAUUCUCCAAUUGUCCUUUAGGGACAUCAAUAUGUGCUGGGGCGUUCACAGCUGGCACGUUCACAGCUGGCACGUGUGACUUUGUUACUUUCUUUAUAUUUGUGAAAGCAUAAGGUAAUUGAUUUGUAAGUCCUUGCAAAUGAAUAAUCCUUUGAACUUCUAACUCACAUUGUCUUGUGCAAGGAUCAAGAUGAGACAAGGAGGGUACAUACCAUGUAAUGUCUCGCCAUUCUUUUGACUUGUCUCCCCCUAAUGGCGGGAAAACAUUUUUAUCAAAAUGACAAUCUAUAAAGCGGCAUGAUUAGCUGUAGGGCGAAUUCGAAUUAAAGUGGCAGCAUGAAGAAUAGCAUGCCCCCAAGCAGACAAGGGCAAUUUUGUUCUCAAGAGUAAUGGUCUUGCAAUCAAUUGUAAACACUUAAUUAGAAAUUCAGCUAAUCCAUUUUGAGUAUGGCUAUGAGCAACAGGAUAUUCAACAUCAAUACCAACCAACAUACAAUAAUCAAGAAAUGUUUGAGAGGAAAAUUCACCAGCAUUAUCAAGACGAAUUUUCUUAAUAGGAUGAUUAGGGAAUUGUGCCUUGAGUCGAAUUAUUUGAGCAAGUAACCUGGUGAAGACAAUAUUUCUAGUUGAAAGAAGACAAACAUGAGACCAACGAGUUGAUGCAUCAAUUAAAACCAUAAAAUAACGAAAAGGUCCACUAGGUGGAUGAAUAGGUCCACAAAUAUCACCUUGAAUACAUUCUAAAAAGGCUGGUGAUUCAUAUUCAACCUUGGUAAAUGAUGGUUUAAUAAUUAAUUUGCCUUGUGAGCAAGCAACACAAUUGUAAUCAUUAGGCAUCAGAAUCUUCUGGUUCUUCAAGGGAUGCCCUAAAGAAUUGUUGAUGAUACGACACAUCAUGGAUAAUCCUGGAUGACCAAGACGUUCAUGCCAUAUCAUAAUAGUUUUUAAGUCACAAAACUUCUGGUUCAUGACAGCAUAUGACUUAAUGGGUCUAAUGAUUGUUUGAUAUAACCCACAAGAAUAAGAAGGAAGCUUUUCCAAGAUGUGUUUUUCCCCAUAAAUAAUUGAAGUAAUGAGAAGGUAUUCAUUACUAUCAUCAUUCAUAGUUUCAAUGUGAUAUCCAUUUCGGCGAAUAUCCUUGAAACUAAGAAGAUUUCGCUUGGAUUUAGUAGAAUAAAGGGCAUCAUUAAUGUGGAUUUUAGUUCCUUUGGGUAAAAUAAUAGUUGCUCUUCCAAAGCCUUGAAUCAAGUCUACAGGACUUGAUAUUGUAUUAACAUUAGACUUACCCAAUGAUAUGUUGGAAAAAUAUUUUUUAUCACGAAGGAUUAUGUGUGUUGUGGCACAAUUUGCAAGACAUGCAUCUACAUUGGAUGUCGUAUGAUAUACCAAGGUAUGAGAAAGAUCCAUGUAUCUUCAAGUAUAAAUAAAGAGAAUAAUUUAAGUAAAAUAUGGAAUAAACUAUAAAAGGUAAAUAAUAAACAAUGUGUUCAAAGAUGAUAACAAAAUAAACCUAUUUGCAAAGAACUAAAUAUAACGUUUAAUCAUAACAAACAUUUCCAUCACCAAUUAGAUGUUCAAUUUUCCCAUUAAGAUUCUCAAAGAAAUCCGAAACAUCUAAAUGGGUUGGAUCCACUUGGCCAUCACUAUCAAUGAAGUUUAUUUCAACUUCCUUUCCUUUUAUUUUUAUUGAGACUUGAUAAAGGUCAACAAAAUGUUUUGGAGUAUGACAAGUACGUGACCAAUGUCCUUUCAUGCCAUAUCUAUGAAACUUAUUCUCACGAGCAAUUUUACUUUGUGGUUCUUUCCCCUUUUCAGGUUGUGCCUCUGAAUUAUUCCACUUCUGGUGGUUUGAGUUGUUCUUUUUACUUUGAGAACCACUACGAUGAGAAGAAUUGUGUUUACCAUGACCUCAAUCACGACCACGUCCUCGACCUCGUCUAUAUCCAUGUCCUUGUUCAUGUCCAAGGGUUUGAACAGAUGUGGCAUUGGUUUCAAGCAAUGACAUAGACCCAGCAGGACGAGAUUGAUGGUUUUUCAAUAAUAGCUCAUUAUUUUGUUCAUCCACCAGAAGACAUGAGAUCAAUUCUGAAUAUUUAGUGAAACGACGCUCUCGAUAUUGCUGCUACAAGAGCACAUUCGAGGCAUGAAAAGUUGUGAAUGUUUUUUCAAGCAUAUCUUCUUCAAUGACCUUUUCUCCAUACAAUUUUAAUUGUGAGCUAAUUUUGAAUAGGGUCGAGUUGUAGCCACUAACAGACUUGAAAUCUUGUAAUCUCAAGUGCAUCCAAUCAUAGCGUGCCUUUGGAAGGAUUACGGUCUUUUGGUGGUCAUACCGUUCCCUUAGAUUAUUCCAAAGGAUGAAAGGAUCUUUAACCAUGAGGUAUUCCCUUUUUAAUCCUUCAUUAAUGUGAUGACGAAGGAAUAUCAAAGCUCUAGCGCGAUCCUGCAGGGAUGCGUCAUUUCCUUCUUUAAUGGUAUUUCCAAGAUUCAUCGCAUCUAGAUGAAUUUCAACAUAUAGAACCCAAGAUAAGUAGUUCUUCCCCAAAAUAUCGAGGGCAACAAAUUCAAGCUUUGCAAGGUUUGACAUUAUCUGAAACCUAUAUAUAAUAUUAAUCAGAGAAAUAUUUCAAUUAUAAUAAACUAAAAAUGCUUUAACAAUAUUUCAAGUAAACAAUAUCUAAAAAUAUAAUGACCUAAAAUUUAUAAAUAUGGUAAAAAUGUAGAAAUAUGAAAUAAGAAUUAAAAUUUAAUAUAUAUAUAUAUAUAUAUAUAUAUAUAUAUAUAUAUAUAUAUAUAUAUAUAUACAUACAUAUAUUUUUUCAUAGCUUCGGGCUAUGAACUUUCAUUAUGUAAAUUUGUACAUAGCUUCAGGCUAUGAACAUUUAUUUAUUUAUUUAUUUUAUAGCUUCUGACUAUAUAAUAUUGUUUGGUAUAACAUCGAGUUAUACCGUAUAAUUUAAAAUAAAUAAUUGAGGAUCAUAUACAUAACUUCUGGUCAUGUAUUUGUAAUUCUGUAAUUUUUUUUUCCCCAUAACUUCUGGUUAUAGGAAUUGCACAUAGUUUUAAUAACUUAUGGUUAUAAAUUUACCCCAUAACUUCUGGUUAUAGGGAUUAUAAUUGUUUUUCAUAACUUCUGGUGAUGAAUUUAUCCCAUAACUUCGGGUUAUAGGGAUUAUGAUUGUUUUUCAUAACUUCUGGUUAUGAAUUUAUCCCAUAACUUUUGGUUAUAGGGAUUAUACAUGUUUAUGUAUUCAAAUAAAAUAAAUAAAAAUAGAUAUCAAAAAGUAAUAAAAUAUAAAAUCAUGAUAUAAGUUUAUUACAUACCUUUUGUAGAGACUAGUCGUGCUGAUAACGUGUUAUAAAAUUAUAAAGUAAAAGGAGAAGAAAACAAGAAAGAGAAAUUAAAAUGUAAGAAGAGAAUGAAAUAGAUUUUCAUUAGGGGUGUCUCCGUUUUAUAGGGAGUCCCAAAGACAUAUACAUCAAAAUGGAUGAUCAUCCACAAGUUUCCAUCCGAUAAAUUCUCAUAUUUUAUAAUAUGUUAACUUUUAUAAAUCAAUUUUAUCUUCAUUAAUUUAAAAAUAUUUUAAAAUACAUGCAAUUUUUUACAAGUCAAAUAAUAUUUCCUAAAGUGACCUUUUACUUGUUAGGUUAAUAAUACUCAUUCACAGGUUUAUUUUAUUUUUUAUUUACAGUGGGAACUUAUUUGAAAUCAAUAAAAUAACAAAUUUUAAAAAUUAAAAUUACAAUUAAAACUAAAAAAAAUAAUUAAAGGUUAAAAAUAUAAAAUAAAAUAUUAACUUUUAAUUAACUAAAUCACAAUAGUAGAAAAUAUAGAUUUGAGAACUAAAAUACAAUGAUCAAUAUUUUUUUAAUUUUUAAGUUUUUUUUUUGUUUUAAUUGUAUUUAAUUUUUAUUUGUAUUUUCAAUUUUUAAAAUUUUUUAUUUUAUUAUUGAUGUCAACUAAUAAAUUUUUUUUCUAUUUUAUUAAAAAAAAAGAUGAGUGGAUUUAUAUAAUACAAGAUAUAAAAUUAUUAUUAAUUAAUAAAUUAUUAUAUAAUACAAGAAAUUAAAACCAUUUCUUGGUAAAAAGAACAAAAAUAUAACAAUGAAUAAAUUAAUUCCAUAUUUUAAAAUUAUUUAAUAUAAAUUAAUUUUCAAGAUAAAAUUCAAAAUUGAUAGAAAUAAUUAUUCAAUUCGUUAUUUAAUUUAAUAUAAAAUAGUACAUUCUCAAAAUUUUAUUAUUUAAUUAUAAAUAAUAAACUUGUGCUAAGUCAAUAUUUGAUAUGCAUAAAGGAUAUCCAUCUUUGGUGCUUAUGUGAAACAAAACCAGUUUGGUUUGGUCAUCGAAGUGGCUUUUAAAAUUAUUUAAAAUAUUUAAACUAAAAAAAUAUUUAUUAUUUAUUUAAAAUUAAAUAUUCAUUCUUUUAUGAGAUGUACCAAGAAUCAUUUAUUCACAAUGAUAAAAAGCGAGGUGUGUGGCUUUUAAAAGAAUCCAAGGAAUGACCCGACCCACCCACCACAAAAUUCAAAAGCAUCUUUCUUUUCCAGAAGAGAAAUGAGUAGGAAGUUGAGUGGCCUCCAAAAGAAUAUAAGAAAGGACCCACCCGCCACAAAAUUCAAAACCACCAUUGUUUCCUAGCAUUUGCAUUUGGUUCACAAUGGUCAAAAAGUAAGGGGUGAGCAUAGGGGUGGCUUUAUUUAAAGGAAUAUAAGGAAUGACCAAUCCACCACAAAAAUUCAAAAACACCUUCGAAUGAGUGGAUUUAUAUAAUACAAGAUAUAAAAUUAUUAUUAAUUAAUAAAUUAAAAAAUUUUAUUUACCACUUAAGGAUCUUGGAGAAUUUUUUCAAAAUAAUUUGUGUAUCAUAUUAUAUAAUAAAAAUUUAUAAUAUAUUUAUUUGUGAGAUACUUUUAUCAAAUUUAAACGAUAAAUUAAUUUUUGAUCAUUUUAUCUAAUAUUAUAAAAUAGAAGGGUAUUUUAAAAAAUAAUUAUAAAAAUGUAUGUAUUUUAAAAUAUUUUUAAAUAGAUAAAGAUAAAACUCAUUUAUAAAAGUUGAGGUUUCUUUUUAUAUAUUUUUUCAAAUUAGAGAGUCCAAACUCACUUUUCCCAAAAAAUAUAUAUAGAUUUAUAAAUAAAAUUUUAAAAUAAAUUAAGAAAUAAUCAUAAUAUAUCAUUAGUUAUUUUAUAUCCUAAAAUACAUUCAAACUAAAAAGAAUAUUAUUUUAAUAACAAAUGUGAUUAAUAAAUUUAUUUUAGAAUCUGACGAAUUUUUAUCAUACAUAAAUUAUUUUCUUUAAUAAAAUGACUUCAAUAUGUAUUAUUAAAGUUAUGAUAUUAUUUUUCUAAAAAGUUUUUUUCCAACAUUUCUUCAAUUAAAUAUGCAAGAAAAACAUCUACAAUAACAAGAAAAAGAUAGUCUAAUAUANNNNNNNNNNNNNNNNNNNNNNNNNNNNNNNNNNNNNNNNNNNNNNNNNNNNNNNNNNNNNNNNNNNNNNNNNNNNNNNNNNNNNNUUAAAAUAAUAAAAUUUAAGAAAGUGUUCUUUUAUUCCUCUCUUAUUAUAAUUAUAAAAUUCAAAAUCUUUUCAUUUGAUUUACUAAUGCUAUGUUCGGUUUAAGAAUGGUAGUAAAUCAAGAAAAAAAUAUUAAAAAAAAAUAUUUUCUCAUAUUUGAUUUUAUUAUAAAAAAUCAAAUAUAAUUAAAAUUAAUUAAAAUUUUAUAUUUUUUAAAAUUAUUUAUUUAUUAAUUACAUAAAAAUAUUAAAUUAAGUUAAAUAAGUUUAUGAUAAUAUAUAAAGUAAUUUAUUAACUUCAAAUUUAUUUUUAUUUUUCUUUUAUUUUAUUUUCUUUGCAUUUUCACUCAAAAUUUAUAAGAAUCAAAUAUACCUUAAAGUUUCAUUAAAGAAAUUAUGGGAGAAAAUGUUUUAAACAAGGAGACAAUAAAUCAUAAGAUAGGAAAAAAAAUUCCUAAUGGAGAUUUUUUAUUUAUUUAUGAAGAAAUCAUCUCUCUUCAAGACGAUUUUUUAGAAUUUUUUUUUUAAAAAAAGGAGAAAAAAAUAGUCUCUUAAAAAUUCAUUUAUAUAUAUAUAUAUAUAUAUAUAUAUUAAAUCUAAUUAAUUUUAUUUACUAAAUUUAAUAUAUAACAAUAUUUAUAAUUACUGAGAUAUUUAUUAACAAUAAUACUUAUAAAAAUGUAAAUUAUGUUUCACAUCCAAUAUUUAAAAAUAUUAUUUUAUAUUACGUUAUAUAUUGAUCUAAAAAAUAUUUUGUUCUUUAUCUUCAAUUUUAUUUUUAAAUUAAUUUAAUUAAUUAUAACUAAUAAAUUAACUUAAUUUUAUAUUAUUUUUUAUUUAUAAUAUAAAUAAUAUUUAUCUAUUACUUUUUGUUUCUUUUUUCACUCCAGAUUAAAAAAAAAAACUAUUAUCAAUUUUAUAUAAAAAUUGAGUUUAUAAAAAACAAAUUUAUUAUUAAUUUAUUUUUAAAAUUUAUUAAAUAAUCAUUUACAAAAUAAGUAAUUUUAUUUUGUUAUAAUUUUUUUAAAAAGGAAAUAAAUAAUGGAGACCAUUUAAAAAAAUAACAAUUUUUAUUUUUCUUUUUAACAAAAACUACAAUAAAUUUAAAAAUAUAUUUUUUAUAAUUUAAAAAUUAUUUUUUUAAACUCCCAUACUUGUCAAAACCCCCGGAAUUGGAUGUGGCGCCCAAGGGUUAAAGAGUCAUUGAAUAUAAGGGAAAGAAGCCAGAUGUGGAAUUGGGUGAAUGGCACUCAACCCAAGGGUUAGAAAAUUUCCCAAGGCAACAGACAACCCAUGUGCAUUUGUACAUAUGUGUGUCCAACCCCAUGUGGAAUUGGGUGCAUGGCACUCAACCCAAGGGUUAGAAAAUUUCCCAAGGCAACAGACAACCCAUGUCCAACUCCCUUAUAAAUGAGUAUGGAGGCAACCAUUUGAAAGGUCCCUUUGGGCCAGUGAAGCCAAGUGAAAAUAAGAACUUGACAUCUCAUUGUUAAUUUAUAAUUUAAUAAGUAAUUUUUAUCUCUUUGUUAAUAAUAUUAAUGAUUACAUUAUUUAAAAUUUAUUAAUAAAAAUUAUAUUAUGUUAUUAGAUAUAUAAAAAUAUUUUGUAUUUAUUAGUAUUAUUUUAUGUUGUAUUAUAGAUAUAUGUUUUUUUUUUUUUAACUCUUUUAGUCAUUUUAUUUGCUUUAUAAAAUGAAUGAUAUAAAACAAAUUUUAGAAAUGAAUUUAUGACCAUGGUUUAUGCAUGUUUUAUCUCAACUUAUAAUUAGUAUAUCUCGUAUAGACAAUAUAAGGGAAAAAAAAAAAUUCCUUCACUAAGACUAUUCCAUGUUUGGUUGAAUAUAUUUAUUAAUUCAUAUUUGAUUAAAUAUAAAAAUGAUAGGAGAUAAGGUAACUUACCUUUAAAUAUAGAAUAAAAUAUGUUUUUAUUUCCUCUUAUAUCAUAUUAUAUGGAGUUAAUCAAAUAUAAUAUUCAAACUUUUAAGCUACACUUUUAUGGGUAGAAUUUCAUAUUUUAAGAUGUUACUUCUAAAUAGAUAUGAUAUCAUUAGAUUUUAUAUCCCAUAGAAAAUAUAUCUUAAGAUAUUUUAUUGAAUAGAGUUUGUUAUGCUAUGGUUUGGUUUAUAACAAGAAUAAAAAAUGCUUAGAUAUUUUUAAAAAUAAAAACAAUAUCAUGAAAUCUCUCUCAUAUUCACUAUUAUUCACAAAUUAUUCUACAAUUUAUAAUUUAUUAAUUAGUUUUUUUAUUUCAUUGUUAGUAAUAUUUAUGAUUAAAAUAUUUAAAAUUUAUAGUGAAAAAUAUUAUACCGUUUUAUUAAAUAAUUCUUUUUUAACCAUAAAUUUAAUUUUUCAGGUCAAAAUUUCUUAUUUUGCACAUUAAAAAAUAAAAAUUGGAAAAAAAAUAAAUGUGAUGAAUAAAUUUAUGUCAAACUUUUAAGCUACACUAGACUAGGUAGAAUAGAAUAUGCAUAUUUAAGAUAUCAUGAAUAAGAUAUUCUAUCAAAUAGAAUUUGUUAUGCUAUAGUUUGAUUUAUAAAAAGAAUACAAAAUGCUUAGAUAUUUUUUAAAAUAAAAAUUAUAUUAAAUCCUAAUAUUUGUUACUAACAAAAUCAUUAAAUCUCUCUUAUAUUCACUGUUAUUUACAAAUUAUUCUAUACUUUAUAAUUAGAGUUAUCACAUGUUUAUGUUUCAAUCCUUGUUCUCUUUUCAUAAUCAAAUUAUUAGAUAUAUGUUUAUAUUUCAAUCUUCUUUCUCUUUUUAUAGCCAUUUCCACCAUAGAUAUUUUAUAAACUUUAAAUAGAACAUCAAUGUUUUGAAAAUUGGAUAGGACUAGUCGGUCUAGUCGAUCCAACUGUUGGCCGAUGAAGUUUUUGGAAAGUUUGGCCAUUCAAUUGGUUGCAAAUUGCCUAAACCGGCUAUCAAAUUGAUAAACUGGAUGAGCCGAUUCUUGGAGAACUGAAUGGUUCAUGCAAUGACCCUUUUUUUUUUUCUCACUGAAAAGCCCACUAACACAGGCCUAAGUUGCCCCAUUUACCCCUCUUUUAAAGGGUCCAAUUCAAAAGCCCAAUCCCUAAUUUCUUUUACUAGGCUCGUUCUUGAAUCCAUGUUCUUAAAUCUGAUGUGGGAUUGAUGUUUACGCUAUUAAAGUUGAAGGCAUCUAUUAUGAAAUAACAAGAAUGGGGAACAAGAAAAAAACAGAAUAAGAGCACAUAAAUUUAUGUGAAACCCUAAGCGGGAAAAACCAUAAGCGGAGAAAAAGAAAAUCCACAAUAUCAAAAAUUGGUACAAAAGGGGAGAGAUGUGAACGACUACUGCAUAAACAUAAACAUCCUAGCCCUAAAUCCUAUAUAUCAUCGCAUAUACGUAUACAUAUAUAUAUGUAUACAUAUACGUAUACAUAUACAUAUAUAUAUAUGGGAGAGUAAUAAAUAAAUAUAUGGGAUUAGAAUACCCAAAAAAAUCUCAUAAUUUUUUUCACCACAAAUGUCACAUCAUGAGCUCUUUUAAUCGGACCAAAUAGAAUUUGGGUCACCAAACUUUAACAUAAUAAAAGAAAAUCCACAAUUCUACCCACUAGACUCAAACCAAAGACUUGGAGCAUAAGGAAUGCCACAUAGAACCUCUAGGCUACAUGCAUUUUCAUGCUAAAUAUGGCAAACAAAAAAAACAUAUUCUUUCUUGAAAAUUUUAUAAUAUUAAAUAAAAUAAAAUAAUAUUUUUAAAAAUAAUAAAAUUAGUUAAAAUUCAGCAAUUUAAUUUUACUUCAGUUUCAAUAUAUUUACAUUUAAAUACUAUACAUAUUUUAUUUAAUAAUAUUUAAAAUAUUCAUAUAUUUAUAUUUAUGCAUGAUUUAAUUUGAUAGUAUCAAAGAUAAAAAAUAAAUAUUAUUGAUUGUUAAUUUAUUUAUAUAUAUAUAUUUUUUAAUUAAUUAAUAUUAUUUUAUAUAUAUAUAUGACGUCACUGGUUUGACCGCAGUUCAACUACCGACCUAGAUUAGUGAAACAUGAAUCGAUAACUUUUUUGAUUCAUUGUAUGAUUUAGUUUUAAAAACAUUAGAGAACAUGUAGCAUAAACAACAACCAAAUAUUAAAUAAACAAUAAGAUAAAGACACACUUAUAAGUAGAGAGCCCAAUCCUACUCCAAUUGGAGAGGAUUUUGUAAAUCCUAGGUAGCUUGUUUUUGGGAACCUAUAUAGAAAUGACUUUUAGUCUAUAAACUUUCACAGAAAGUAGUUUCUAUGACCCAAAUCCACCUAAAAGUGGUUUAUCAUUUCAUCUUCAACUUAUGUCUUAAAAGUCAAAAUCAAAAGCACAGAAAGAUGUGUACAGGAUGCAAGCCUCUCCCUAACAUGGAAGAUUCUAGAACUGAAAAAUAGAUCACAUGUCGACAUCCAUUCCAAAAAGUAUUUUUUUUUCAAAAGAAACCAAACAUAAACACUUUUCUAGAUAAAUUCUUCCUAGAAAAUGUCUUAUAUCAACAAAAUAGUAACAUGAGAAAAGAGCACAAACAAAAACAAGAAUGCCUUGCUAGCUCUAGUUUUGCCUUUGCUAAUAAAAUUACUAUACCAUAACAAUAGACUCAUGUUACAAGAGUAUUUAUAAGAAGUGAAGCUAAGUUUAGUCCUUGUAAUGAAAACUAAUGAGUUCCCAUAAGAGUCGAUCAAACCUUUAUCAAAUGAAAUAUUCAUUCCUUCCUGAAAUACAAAGUUGAUGAAGUUAGGUAAGAAGAGUUUUUUCCUUUCUAAUCAUGAUCAUAAUUUGUUAUUUGUUAAAAGUUCAAAAUAUUGCAUCUGCUUUUUGGUUUCAAUGAACUUAGUUAUCGAGCAUCUAAUGAUUUUUUCCGUAGCAUCAAACAAGGUUAAGGCAGCUUAGUGAGUUCCAUAAGCAAUUGUAAGUCUAAGCAUAUACCUAUAUUAAUUCUAUUAAUCAAUAAAAUGAAUAAAGAAUAAGGAAUUUUAGUAAGUAUCUUCAUUGCUUAAAUGUUUAAUAAUCAAUAUGAAUGAGGGAUAUUACCUUGGACAAUAAUUUGAGUUGGUGUUGCAAUAUUUUGGGCACUCCGCUAUUUGGUCUUUCAACACCACUUUCUUGUUGCAUUUUGUGUAUGCAUUAUACCAAGGUUCAUCCAUAUCACCAAUAUUGACAAUUCUUGCUUUAAAUGAAUAAUAAAUUUUCUAUAAAUUUAAACAAACAAUAAUAUUAAUUUAAGUAUCAUAAUCAAAUAAAUAUCAAUAGGUUUUUUCCCCCUUGUAGGAUAGGAUGUUAUAUACCUAGAAUUCCAAUAAUAGUCUUUCUAUUAAAUUAGUAAGCAUGACGCAUUUUGAGGAAAUCUUUAUUGGGUUUACUAUCCUUGGCAUUCUUGCAUUGAUGACCGAGUUUGACCUACAAAUUAGGUUUGUAGUUCAUAUUAAUACAGUAGUGGUAUGUGAACGUAGAGAAUUUUUUUUUUUUUUUUGAGGCAUUUACUUUUUAAAGUAUAUCAUUCCUUGAUUUUCGCAACUUCUUCCAAAAAAGUAUGGUAAUCAACAAUUAAUGUGGAUAGACAUAAAAUCCCCAAUUGUCAAUAAAAAUGUGUAUAUAUAUAUAUAUAUAUAUAUAUAUAUAUAUAUAUAAAACCAAUAAAUAAAAAUGUUUAAAAAAAUUAAAUAAUGUGUAAUACAUACUGUCAUUUGUUGUCAUCUUUGCUUUUGGUAAUGCAAUUAUUGGUUUUUAAGUGAUUUGCUCCUCCAAUAUAUGACCUUCAUUUCUUGUAAGAUUUCUCCAUAAUGUUAAUACAAUAAGUGUAUUGAUAAAACAAAGGCUAUGAAUAAUUAAGGAAAAUACCCAAAAGGGGGGGAUGAAUUGGGUUUUUCAAAAUAUUUUUCCACACAAUAAUAUAUGCACAAAAUAAAUAAAGGAAAGAGAUAAAGUUAGAGAAUUCAAACUGGGGGUUUAUAGUGGUUCGGCACUCCCUUGCCUAUGUCCACUCUCCUCAAUCUCCUAAUCGAGUGAGGGUUCCACUAACUUGAAGCUUCAAUCAAGCUUUCAAUCUUCUUACACUUGGAUUCCGGCUCCAAUGGGCUCUUACACAAUUUCUUCAAGAUUUGAACCACUUGAAGGCUUUCACACUCAGUUUACACAAAGAUGAAACUCUCAACCUAGCUUAAGGAUGGCUCAAGUACAAGAGAAAGCUAGGAUGAUUUACAAGAGUGCACUAAGAAUAUGCAAUUGAUUGUUUAAUGCACUAAGAAAGAAAUGAGAGCUUUUUGAUCAAGAACAGGUAGGUAGACAAUUGAUUAUAAAGGUUUUCUUAGUCAUAAAUGAAGUGGAGCUCUCAAUUUAUAGGUUUCUAAGCUCGGGAGACAAAAACAGCAGAAAGUAGCCUCAACCGGACGAGCAAAGGGUCGAUUGGAUCAAUAGCCGUUGGAGCAUUUAAUGCAUGACAGGUUAUCGUUGCCUCGACCGGACCUCGACCUGACCUCAAUCGGACAAGGGUGAGGAUCGACUGGGAAGAGAAAGCUACUGGGAGAGACAAAAGGUUUUUAUGCCUCCCUCGACCUGACCUCGAUCGGACAAGGGAAACCGGUCGACCGGUUAUCAAACCGGUUGAGCCGGUUGGCCAUAGCCUCGACCGGUUGAGCCUUUUGGCCCCGAAAACCUAUCUUUUUUUAUUUCUUUCUUUUCCAAUACUUAGGCAAGGUCUUUAGAUGAGUUAAUAUGCCAAUUUUGAAUCAAUUUGCCUAAGGUAUAUUUGAUAAAACUCGGGUUUUAAAGAAAAUCAAGUUUUAAAGAAUAAACCGAGUUUUCUAAGAUGCAUGAAAAGGUAUGAACAUCCUAAGUGCACUCAUGCUAUCAUCUUACAUUCAUUUCCUAUGAUCACAAGUCUUCCAAAUGAUCUCAAUCCCGUAUUCGUUUGGUCCUUGAUGAAUUUUUGAGAUUAUGCCUGAGAUUCUUAACAAUUUAAAACAAUUAGUCACUUAACCACGGUUUGUUAUCAUCAAAACCUGAUUAGGAGAACCCUUGGGCUAACAAUCUCCCCCUUUUUGAUGAUGACAAACCUUGGUUAUCUAGGAGACAGAGAAAUCUCCCCCUCAAACCAACCAUGGGAUAAUCAACACAAAAUUUAGGAAAUUUAAAGCGAGAAGACAAUGUAAAUCAAUAAGAGUGUCAUAUCAUAUAUAAGCAAGAGCAAGAAUACAUGAAAGCAUAAGUAUGAUAUGCAUGAAAAUGAAAGUCUCCUAAGGCCACUAUCCUAACAUAUCUCUCCCUUUGGCAACAUAAAAAAGAAACGAAGGGGGAUCCCAAACAAACUCAAGGCUGAGGAGGUGGUGGUGGAAACACAGAACGGAGGUAAGCCAUCAUCUCCUCGUGCUGAUUCUCCUGGCGGCUCUCAAGAUGCUCAAUCCUUUGUACGAGAUGCUCAAACUGAGAGGUGAAGUCGGCCUGAUACUGAUCGAUGCAAUCCUCCAUGGAAUAAAAGCGAGUAUCAUGGACUACGGCUAACUCCUCCAUACGAGUCCCGAGAGAGCUGAUCUGUGCCGACAAAUCCAUACAAGGUGGAUGAACAGGAGCAUGAGGAGCCUGAGAUGGUAGCUCGGUAAAUGAUGGCUGAGAUGAAGGGCCUGCUGUGAAGGACGACUCAAUCAUCAUAGGCUCUGAUACCAAUUGUUAGGAAUUUGAGGCUAAUCCAACUUAUGGUAAUCACCCUAGAGGGGGGGGUGAAUAGGGUGAUGGUCUCUUUUUCACAAAUUUAAACUAUGCAAAAAUAAGAGACAAUUAUAUGCAAAUAUAUAAUAAACAAAAUAAAGACAAUUGCAUAUAAUUUAAAAGAGUUAGGGAAGAGAGAGUGCAAACACGAGAGUUUAUAGUGGUUCGGCACUUCCUUGCCUACGUCCACUCUUCUCAACCUCCUAACCGAGUGAGGGUUCCACUAUCUUGAAGUUUCAACCAAGCUUCCAAUCUCUUUACAAUUGGAUUAUGGUUCCAAUUCACCCUCUUGGACUUUUGGCUCCAAGCACCCUUUACACUUCUCAAGAGUUAUCCCACUCUUGAACAACCUCUCAAGUGAUGCCCCUCACUUGAGAAAAUUCCUCUAAAAGAUUUACAAAUAAAAUGAUCUCUCAAAAAUCCUAGCACAAGAACUUUAAGCUCAAAUGAUACAAGAGAAAACUAAAAUUGAAUGGUGCACUAAAGAUAUGAAAGUUUUGGAAUAAUGGUGCACUAAAAAAUACUCUUCCAAGGCUCAAAUAUAAUCAAGAAAGAUUUGGGAAGGUUUAGCUUAUGAAACAAUGAAGUUUGAAGUCUUUUUAUAGAAGAAAAAAAUCAUACUAGCCAUUGGGGGUUCGACCGGUCGAGCUAGGGGUCGACCGGUUAACUAGCCGUUAGGAAAAGUGACCGUUGGGCCUUAACCGGACCUCAACCGGACCUUGACCGGACCUCAACCGGUUGAGGUUCAACCUUGACCGGGAAGUGAAGGUCAUUGGGAGAGAGAGAAACUUUUUGGCCUCCCUCAACCAGUCCUCGAUCGGACGAGUACAACCGGUCGACCGGUUGAACCGGUUGAGCCAUUUUUUUGGCUAAACACUCAACCCAUUUCAACUUAAAACCUUUUUAACACAAGUUUGAAAAUCAUUUAACACAAGGUUUUAGUUGAAAACAUGAAAUCAUCCAAUUCUUAAGAUAUUUAAAACAAUAUUACUCUUGGAUGAUUUUGGUGCAUAAAUAAAGAAUGAAAUGCAUGAAAGUCUUAGUGCACCAACAACCUUACAAAGAGAUCUUAAGAAGCUUUGGUCUUGAAAAACUCUUCUCUUUGAGGUGGUCUUCUUUUUCAUGAUUUCUCCUUGGCUUGAUUUGUCUUUGGAUUGCCACUUUGGAAGUCGUCUUGCCUAAUCACACUUGAAAUAUGAUCAUUAGUUCUAAACCUUGUUUUGUUAUCAUCAAAAUCAAGAUUAACCAAACUUUGGUUUCACAAUCUCCCCCUUUUUGAUGAUGACAAAACUAAGGUUGCUAAAAAACUCCCCCUCAAUAUAUGCUCCUUUGAAUUUAGAAAAUUUUCAAGUUUAGAAACUUCAAGGAGUAUAUUAAGGAUGCUCAAAAUGAUAUAGUCAAACAUAAAUAGCAUAAAGAGCAUUUAGCAAUUUGGCAAGACAUUAUUAUUAAAAAGGAUGCAUACAAAUAUAACCAAUAAAGCACAUAACAUCAAUAUGAAUAGGAUUGCUAAAACAAUAUUUGAAAUAUCUUUCCAAAUUAGCAACCUACCAUUACUUCUCCCCUUUUUUGUCAUCAACAAAAAGUUUUAAUAAAGUAUAUAAGGGGAAUCACAUGUUAUCAAAAAAUAUAAUUUCUCAUAAAAAUGAAUCUCCCCCUUUUUCAUUUGAGAAUAGUUUCCAAAUAAAAGAUUUCUCAUCCUUAGAGCAUUCCCAAUUUAAAGCAUGAUUUGGAAAACAAUAUAUGGGAGAACACAUGCAUUUAAAAAGAUAUUUAACAUGAAUUAAAUAAAACUUUUAGGGCACACAAGCAUAUGAUCAUUUAAUUUUACCUAGGUAAAAAAAAUCUUCUUUUUAAAACCAAAACCUUGGUUUAACAAAUAUACCAAUUUUAUCAAAGUGAUACCAAAUGUUAUAUUAUUAAAAAAUAUACCAAGUGUUAGCAAAAUGAUAUUGCAAAUUAUGCUUUAAAAGGGAUACCGUUACCAAUAUUGUCAACGCGUUCUUUCCAAGGUAAGCAUAUCCUCCUUUUUGCAUGGAUCCCUACAAAACAAUUUUAAGAAACCUUUGGUACCCAUAUCUUUUUGGGUCCUAAAGGGUUAGUCUUUCUUUCCUUUGGAAUCCAAAAUUAUUUAGAGUUUUGAAGAACAUGAGAGGAUUUUCAAAUAUCACCAAAGUGGCCUCUUCUUUCACAAAAAGCGCAAAUAGUUAAAGGCGAAAAACUAGGGGUUUCCUUUUAAAAAAAUCGAUUUUUAAAAGGCUUGUAGGCUAACCUCUUUUUAUCAAAAAUGCAUUUUUUGAUUUGCCAAAAUCAUAUCAAAAGUCUUUUGGCCAUUUGAGAAUUUUUAGCCUCAUUUUCCUUUUCAAAAGGGAUUUUUGUCUUCUCAAUAUUUUCAAAAUUUUCAUUAUCCUCAUUGAGCUCAUUUAGAAGACAAGAAAUCUUUUUCUUGAGAGGGAUAUUUUUGGAACCAAGUUUUUCAAGAUUAAAAUAUAAUUUUUGAAGCUCAUCUUGAAAAUCAAAAUGGUUAGAGUUGGAGUUUACCUCAUCACUUUCACUUUCACUAUUUUCUUCCUCAUCAUCAUUUGUUAUAGCCAUAAAGGCUAUACUUUUCUCAUUUUCUUCAACUCUUUGAUGAUUGUACAACUCUAUCUCAUAAGUCAUGAGUGACCUAAUGAGUUCUUCAAGUGAGAGCUUGGUGAGAUCAUUCUCUUCUUGAAUAGCCGUCACUUUUGUUUCCCAUUUCCUUGGUAGAGACCUUAAGAUCUUCAUGACUUUCUCUACUUCAGUGUAGGUCUUUCCCAAGGCUUCAAGUUCAUUCAAAAUCACAAGAAACCUAGAAAACAUCUCAACAAUAGAUUCAAAAUCCUUUAUAGAAAAUAAUUCAUAAUCAUGCAUAAGGAUAUUGAUUUUAGACUCUUUAACUUGGUCGUUUCCCUCAUAAGUGACUUCUAAUAGUUUCCAAAUUUCUUUAGCCGACUUACAAUACCAAAUACGAUUAAAUUCAUUUCUAUCAAUAGCACAAUGUAAGAUAAAAACGACUUUGGCAUUUAAUUGAACUUUCUUUCUAUCAAGUUCAUCCCAUUCAUGCUUAAGUUUUGGAACCAUCACUCCAUUUUCUAAUUUUGAAGGAAUGUGGGGACCAUCUUCAAUGACAUCCCAUAAAUCAAGACUAGUAGAUUGGAUAAACCAAGUCAUUUUAUUUUUCCAAUAGGGAUAGUCGGUUCCCGUGAAAAGUGAAGGUCGGGUGGUUGAAAAACUUUCAAUUUUGGAUAAGCUUGAUGGAAUAGCCAUUACUUCUUAGACGGUUAAGUCUUAACAAGAAGCCUUGCUCUGAUACCAAUUGAUAAAACAAAGGCUAUGAAUAAUUAAGGAAAAUACCCAAAAGGGGGGGGGGGGGGGGGGGAAUUGGGUUUUUCCAAAUCCUUUUCCCCCCAAAAAUAUAUGCCCCAAAAAUAUAAAGGAAAAAAAUAAAGUUAAAAAAUUCCAACUCCGGGUUAUAGGGGUUCGGCACCCCCUUGGUUACGUUCACCCCCCCCAAUCCCCCAAAUGAAUAAGGGUUCCCCUAAAAACUUUCAUCCAGCUUUCAAUCUUCUUACCUUUGGAUUCCNNNNNNNNNNNNNNNNNNNNNNNNNNNNNNNNNNNNNNNNNNNNNNNNNNNNNNNNNNNNNNNNNNNNNNNNNNNNNNNNNNNNNNNNNNNNNNNNNNNNAUUUAAUUGAAUUUUCUUUUUAUCAAGUUCAUCCCAUUCAUGUUUAAGUUUGGGAACCAUCACUCCAUUUUUUAAUUUGGAAGGAAUGUGGGGACCUUCUUCAAUGACUUCCCAUAAAUCAAGAUUAGUAGAUGGGAUAAACCAAGUCUUUUUUUUUUUCCAAUAGGGAUAGUGGGUUCCCGUGAAAAGUGAAGGUCGGGGGGUUGAAAAACUUUCAAUUUUGGAUAAGCUUGAGGGAAUAGCCAUUAUUUUUUAGACGGUUAAGUUUUAACAAGAACCCUUGUUUUGAUACCAAUUGAUAAAACAAAGGUUAUGAAUAAUUAAGGAAAAUCCCCAAAAGGGGGGGGGGGGGGGGGUGAAUUGGGUUUUUCAAAAUCUUUUUCCACACAAUAAUAUAUGCACAAAAUAUAUAAAGGAAAGAGAUAAAGUUAGAGAAUUCAAACUCAGGUUUAUAGUGGUUCGGCACUCUCUUGCUUACGUUCACUCUCCUCAAUCUCCUAACUGAGUAAGGGUUCCACUAGAAGCUUCAAUCAAGCUUUCAAUCUUCUUACAUUUGGAUUCCGGCUCUAAUGGGCUCUUACACAAUCUUUUCAAGAUUUGAACCACUUGAAGGCUUUCACACUCAGUUUACACAAAAAUGAAACUCUCAACCUAGCUUAAGGAUGACUCAAGUACAAGAGAAAGCGAGGAUGAUUUACAAGAGUGCACUAAGAAUAUGCAAGUGAUGGUUUAAUGCACUAAGAAAGAAAUGAGAGCUUUUUGAUCAAGAACAGGUAGGUAGACAAUUGAUUGUAAAGGUUCUCUUGGUCAUAAAUGAAGUGGAGCUCUCAAUUUAUAGGUUUCUAAGCUCGGGAAACAAAAAUAGCAGAAAGUAGCCUUGACCGGACGAGCAAAGGGUCGACCGGAUCACUAGCCGUUGGAGCAUUUAAUGCAUGACAGGUUACCGUUGCCUCGACCGGACCUCGACUGAACCUCAACCGGACAAGGGUGAGGAUCGACCGGGAAGAGAAAGGUACUGGGAGAGAGAAAAGGUUUUUGUGCCUCCCUCGACCUGACCUCGACCGGACAAGGGAAACCGGUCGACCGGUUAUCAAAUCGGUUGAGCCGGUUGGCUAUAGCCUCGACCGGUUGAGCCUUUUGGCCCCGAAAACCUAUCUUUUUUUAUUUCUUUCUUUUCCAAUACUUAGGCAAGGUCUUUAGGUGAGUUAAUAUGCCAAUUUUGAAUCAAUUUGCCUAAGGUAUAUUUGAUAAAACUCGGGUUUUAAAGAAAAUCAAGUUUUAAAGAAUAAAUCGAGUUUUCUAAAAUGCAUGAAAAGGUAUGAACAUCCUAAGUGCACUCAUGCUAUCAUCUUACAUUCAUUUCCUAUGAUCAAAAGUCUUCCAAAUGAUCUCGAUCCCGUAUUCGUUUGGUCCUUGAUGAAUUUUUGAGAUUAUGCCUGAGAUUCUUAACAAUUUAAAACAAUUAGUCACUUAACCACGGUUUGUUAUCAUAAAAACCUGAUUAGGAGAACCCUUGGGCUAACAUGUAUCAUUAUUAUAAUAAACAUGAAUAAAAUAUGUUAUAAAGUUAUAACUAUUAGAAUCUAAAAAUAUUAAUUCUAAAAGAGUAUAAAUAAGUAUGAUGUAUUCAUGAGUUUAACAUUGUGCUUACAAGUGUCAUAAGAAGGUCCAUGUCUCUUUAUGAAAAUAGAAGGAUCAACCUUCACAACACCAGUUAAUAAAUCUAUAAGGAAAUAUGAAAACAUUGAAUGUUGGUAUUUUAAAAUUGUAAAAAUGAAAUGAAAAUUUCUAAAUAAUAUAUAUCUAUUUACUAAUUAGAUCACUAGUUUCUAAAUGUUGGUUGAUGUCAUUAAAUUGGAUGAAGUUAUAUAUAGGAUUUGACAAGUCAAUGCUAAUUGUCACCUCCUUCAAUCGGGAAUGGAUAGAUAGCGUUAACUCAAGAGUGUUAUGAACAUUUAGAAAAUUAGCAUUCACUUGUUUGACCAAUCCAUUUGAAAUAAAAUAUGUUUUUUCCUUGAUGAAUUCCUUCUCGAACAUGUCAAUUGCAUCAUUGAAUAAAAUUGUUUGCAUUCUUGUGCCUUAUGAGAACAUAAAGAGAUAUUUAGAUGCAUGCCUAAAUUAAGCAAAAGGUAAAUCAAAGUAAACAUGAACAUAAUUAUAAAAAAAACUUAUCAAACCUUAUCAUCCAUUAAUAUUAUCUUCCAAAAUUUUCAAGAUCCUUUUGAAGUAUUAUACAAUUCUAUUAAUUCUUGAUAAAGAACAAACGCUUUUAUAAUCCAAUGCUUGUGAAAAGGUCAAAACAUGCUAAGAGGUAUAAAGCCCCAUUCAUUAAUUUCUUCAUUAGACAUUGUGGCUACAAAAAAUUGAAGAAUUAAAUUAGUUAGGAUAAGAAAUCUAACGGUAAGAAAAAAAAGGAAACUAAUUAAUUAAAAUAAUGAAAAGCAGAAAGUAUGGGUAGAUUCAUUACCCUCAUGGAAUUAAAACUUCUUUAUAUACCACAUUCUUAGUAUAAGAUCCUUUGCCAAUGGUACAUUUGGGAGUGCUUUCUUUAAUGAGGACUUUUGUUGUUGUCAUUGAAGUAUCACGUGACAAUGAACAUAUAAUUGACCAUGUGAGAAGAUAGUUUGUGGUAAAUAUAUGCCAACAUAUGUAAUUGUUUGGCCUUAUGCUUUGUUUAUAGUCAUUGCAAAACUAAGUUGAAUUGACAAUUGCAAUCGUUUGAAAUGAAAAGGGUAUUCUUCAUUUUCUGCAGGUGAAAGAGGUAUUCUUGGGAGUAACACUUGUUUUCCAGCCUAUUGCCCUAUUGUAAUUUCUACAAAUAUUACAUUUGACUCAAAACCUUUGUACACCAUUCUAGUCCCGUUGCAAAGUCUAUUUGAUGGAUCUAAGUUCCGUAAGAGCAUGAUAUGACAAUUCUUCUUUAAGACUAACUUAUGAGGAGGAAGCCCAUUUGGUGUUAAUGUAUUAAAAAAUUCUUCUUCGUAAUAAUUUUGAGUAUCAUUAAUUGCAGAGUCGAAACUGUAAUAUGUUCUAGAUUCCCUUGGAAACGUUUAAUUCAAUGAGCUUUUCAUUUAGCAUAUCAAUAUUAUCAUUUUUUUUUUUUGUUGUAAGGAUAGCUUAUUCUAUGAUAUAUUCAACUAAGUGUGUAUGAUCUUUUAAGUGAAUGAAAGACAUUGUUAAUCAAACAUUCUUUGGAUUCUCAUCAUCUCCAUGUUUUAUCAAUUCAUUAGGGAUUUCUAUCAUAUCUUCAUCUGUUAUGAGUUCAUCACCAUUCCCAACAUGUAAAAGAAAGUCGCUAAAAAUGGUAUUAGAAAGAGCCCUCAUGUUUGUAGUUAAUCUUAAUUUCUCCAUUUUAGGCCAAAGGUAAGACAUAACUAAACUUGCAUUAAUAGUUUAAAGUUUUGUGUCUUGAAGUACAACGGGUAGCACUUGUCAAAAAUCUCCUCAAAAAACAAUAACCUUUCUAAUAUUAAACUAAAAAAAUUAAAAAUUAAAAAUUACAUAGGUCAUAUCAUUAUGAUCCACAUUAUUGUAAAAUAAAAAAGCUAGAACUAAUACUCUCAAUUUUCUAAUAAUCAAAUUGCAAAAGCAUGGAUUUUUCCAAAAAGUAGCCAAACCAAAACUGAAAGAGCACAAGGUCAAAAGAAAAAGGAAAAGUAAACUCCAAAAACCCUUUUAAUUCUUUGCUUUGCACUUAAUUCUUGCUCUAUUUUAGUAGAAUAAGGAAACACCAAACCUUUUUCACAAGCUAUUCAUGCAACAAUCAUUUGUUUUAAAACCAUUUUUGUUCACUUCCCAUUCCAAAAACUACUUCAAUUAGAAGAUCUAAUGUGGUAGUUCCUUCCUUCAACUAAAGGAAGAUUUUUUAAGCAUCAAAAUCUUGGAACUUAAUAAAGAACUCCCACAUUUGCCUAUAGUGUUAUUGUCUCAAUUUUUUGAAAUCUAUUGUAGACACUCUACACCAUUAAGAUGCACAUAUGUCAACAAGAUAGAAGAAAAUUUGGUUUGUUUUGAACAUUCUUUGUAUUGGAAAUGUCCUAACCUAUUUGGAAAUGACUUACCAUCAUGAUUAACCAAUUAUGCAAUUAAUAUAGUAGUUUUUAGCUAAUAAUCAACAUAAUAGGACUCUAGUAAGCUAUUUCCUAUGUCUUGGUAACUAAGCAAUGUUCCCGCUUUUCAAGUUUUCAUUGAGGAUCCAAACAUACAAAGAUGGAGAGAUUAAAUAUUUUAUCAAAUUUUGACUUCAAAAAAAGUAUGGAAAUAUUUUCUUGAUGUUAAUAAAAAUGAAUACAAUUUUUCUAUAGGAAAAUAAAAAUUAAUAAAAGGUGCCUAAUAAUAUAGGGGGAUCAGAUGCAUCGUAUACAAAAGUGAUAAAAGGAACAAACAACAAUAUAUAUUACAAAACAUGACAUGGAAAGGCAUUGGGUAUGGGAUAAUUUAUGCAAUGUGCCUAUUGGUAGCACAUGUAAACCAACAAGCAUGUUCUCCAUUAGUGUGAACUUGUAAAAAUGGAAACAAGUUCCUACAAAUAGGAGUUGAGAAGAUGAGAGAGAAUAUUAAUGAGAGGAUGGUAUUGAUAACAAAACCUUAAAAUUUUUACCUUUAAAAGAAAUAGAUGAAUUGGACAGACCAAACUCAUAGCACCUUGUUUAAGCAACAAAUUCACAAGCCUAAUCUUCUCACAAUCACAAUCUAUUGCAAAUUAUUCUAGUUAGACCAUACCCCCAAUCCCCAAUUCAAAACUUGAAAAACAAAGCUAAAAAACUAAUCCCAAAUCAAAGUUUGAAGUAAGCAAAUAAAACCUAUAAACAAACCUCUGUAACUGCAUUUUCUACCUAAAAAUUCAUCAAUCACUAGUUCAAAAUAUUUAACAUUAGAAAGCAAAAAUCAAUAAAAAAAAUUCAUAAUAUUUAACAUCAAAAAGCAAAAAUCAACAAAAAAUUCAAAAUAUUUAAAAUCAAAAAGCAAAAAACAACCCUGCUAUACAACUUGAAAACACAAGAGGUAAAUUGCAAUAUAAUUGAAAAAAAAAACAAAAUUAAACAAUUUAUAAUUCAACAAUUUUAUAAUUUCACACCAUCAAAAUUAACUCAAAUAAUUUUACCUUUUUAAAAAUCUCACUAUAACAAUGAGCAACUUGACCAUAUUUUGGCAAAGAUAUCUACCCCCAAUUCUAAGCAAAUUUCUAGCUUGUCGAAUAAAGGACUGACAUUAGAAAAUGCAAUCAAUCUAUUUAUUAUACCAAAUUCAAAGAUGGGGGAAUUUUUCUUAAAAAAGAAUAUUAUAUUUGAUAGCAUAAUGUAAUAUAAUACUUGGAAAACUAAAGUAAUAACCUAAAUUCCCUCGAGGUUAAAAAAAAGAGAAUGGAAGCAGUAGAUUGAAAGGGAAGUGAACAUGGAAAAUUAGGGAAUAAUGUAGAAAGUUAGAAGAAGAACCAAAAAAGAAGACAUCCAUAUAUAUGGUUACAAUGGUAAUCGAUGCAUGGUAGAUUGAAUGAUUGCUAAUGAAUAUAAUUUACUUAGUCACUUGAUUCUAAAGAGUUAAUGGAGAAGAUUGAGUGGCGCAUACAUGAAAUUGCAAUAAAUCCAAUUGGUGGCUUUUAGAAGCUAGGGUUUCUAGUUGGGUCCUCACAACAAGAAACAUGGACAAAGAGGUGGAAGACACGCUUGUUUUCCCAAGUUGUUGCCAUGAUUUCGCUGGUGGCUAUGGAAGAUGGAGAGAUGCGACCAUAUAUUGUGACAUCUUUGCUUUGUGAAGUUGAGAGGGUUACUUCAUUGGCUUCGAUGAGCUUAUUAGAUGUUGUUGCCUUGUAAAACUAAGAGUGUUAUUUCAAUGGUUUCAAUAGAUUUAUUAGACGUUUAGGCUUGGCUAUUAAAUUGAGCAAGAAUAUCUAUGAGAUUAUUUAAAUCUAUAAAGUAUUUUUGGAAUAAAAUUAUAUAUAUAUAUUGAAAGGAUAGAGUUAAAGAGUAGGAAAUGAGAACGAAAUAUUCAUCCCGUUUUUUAUUAAAAUUAUUUAUUUUCAUAGAAACUAAAACUCAAUUUUUAUUAUAUGAUAGUAUGAUUCCUAUUCAUUUCCCUUUAUAUUUUGCAUAUUAGGUUAAAUUUUAAGGCAAUAAUAAUAUUAUUAUUAUUCAAAUGAUCAUUUAAUAGUAAAAAUUAGAAAUGAUAAUGGGAUGAACUUAGAAGGGGUCCUUCCAUCCAAGCCUUGCCUCUAUUAUUUAAACAUAUUCUUAUCUUUAUCUCAUAGGAAAAUGUUUAAAAAGGGAGAAGAGCAGUGAGCGAGUUUCCCUUUUUUUUUUUGUCUUUAAUUUUUUUAAAGCUUAAUUAUAUUUAAAAGAAGUGUGUGGUAAAAACAAAGCAAUACUUGAUUCUAACCAUGGUUAAAAAAAAAAAAAAAAAAAUCUAAAUCGGAUCUGUUUAUCUUUAUUAGUCAAAACUAAAACUUUUCCAUUAGAAGUCAAGAAUGAUGGGUAUCCGCAAAAAAACCUACCUCUUUCCCAUCUUUAGUAAAAAUGAUUGAAAAUUUUGAAAACGGAAGAAGGAAAAACUAUAUAUUAAGACUGUGAUGAGAGCAAUGCUAACCUCAAGGGCAAGUGUCAAGUUGCCAAUGACAGUGGCAACAUAUUGAAUCUUAAGGGAGUGAGGCAAAUAGGAUGCCAUGGCCCCAUAAUCAUUUCCUCCGAUACUAAACAAAUAGACAGCUUUCAUUAAUAGCUUCUUGGCUUCUUCACUACCCAGUUUCUUCCUCAGCAAUUAAAUUCUAAGAUUUAGCUUCACAAAACAAGUGCACCAUGGAGCUAUAUAUUAGAAAAAAAUAAAAGGAGAUAUAAAAUAAUUAGAAGCAUAAAAUAAACAUUAUUUUGUGUGUGUACUCUCUUUAUUAUGAGAAGCCAUAUAGAGAUCCACUAGCUGCUUAGAAAAUCCAGGGCUUGAGCCUAGUCUUUGGAUACUUGGGCUGGGUACGGGCACACAGAAUCGGGUCAAGCCUAUACCUAGAUAUGACAAUAGGGCAGGUAAUUUAGAAGACCCACCCCAUCCCACCUUUAAUGAGGCAUGCUUAGUAUAGAUAUAAAUUGGUUUUCUACCUUUAAUAAGACAAGUCUAGGAUAGAUAUGAAUGGGUUUAGGGAACAUUUUUUUAAUCGGCGGGUUGAAGUAUUGGUUUGCCUUGCUUCUCCUAUCCAAAAUAUAUAUUAAAUUAAUAAGAUAUAAUUAAAAUCUUAAAUUUACUUCUCAUUAAAAUAUAAAAAUUUAUAUAAAAAAAAGAUUAUUUAAUAUCCAUUUGAUACACUUCUUACAUUCUAUUUUUAAAAUAAAAAAACAGUACUAAUUUUUAUAUAAUAUAACAUAAUUUUUAAAUGUUUACAUUGAAAAGCUAAUGAUUUUAAAAAUUAUUUAAAAAAACUAGGGUUUAAAAAAAUUACUAUCUUAAAUUUUAAAAUUUUUUAAAAUGAUUUUUAAAGAUACAAGGUAAAAAUAUAUAUUUAUUAAAUUUAUUCAUGGGUUCUAUUUUUAAAAAUAAAAAACAAAAAACAAUCCAAGUAGACACUUGAUUAUAAAUUUAUUUAUUUAAUGAGUUACCCAUCGUAAACCCUCUCGUCACCGUAGUUCAUGUCCCUUCCUAAAAUAAUCAAAGCGGCAUAAUCGGACAACCCAUUGGGCCCUUGAUAAGCAAGCCUUUGCAAUCAGCCCAACUAGUUUUCCAACUGAGUUGGGCUGUUUGGAAAAGCCCCAAUUUUUGGCUGUUUGGGAAGCAAUGCACGUGACCUUCCUCUACCUAAUUAUUUCUGCAGCAGUAUGGCGCUCUCCAGUACACGCCCCCACGCUGCUCAGAACCCACGGGACCUUUGUCCCUUAUCAACAUCUUCAUCAUCUCCGAACUUAAGAGUUCUAGUUUUCUCAAAAUAAUAAUAAUAAUAAUAAUCAUAAUAAAUCUUUUUUAAAUUGAAAACAAAUUAUUACAUAAAUCUGUCGAAAAAAUAAAUUAAAAAAAUUAUAAAUUUUGAAAAUGAUCAAACAGACCAUUCCAGGAUGUGUUUAAACUAAGACAACCGCUCCACCGGAUGCAAACUUCGCCCCAUUGCUAAAAUCAAUGGGACCCGGUCGCAGACAAACAGUGCAGUGUGGUUUUCAGGCAGCCGCCGGAGUGAUGAGCAGCAGCUCUGCAGGUGGUGAUGGGAAUUGGGGAUGAAGAUGGCUGCAUGGAUGAGGAUGAUAGUAGAGAUGAAGGAGAAGAUAUCAUAAGUUGCCAUAGCUUGUGUUUGUUGGGUUGCUCCUUCUAUAUUCACUCUAGCUGAUUUAAUCAAGUUAACGUCACUAGGGUCAAAAAUGAAUUUUUAUUUUUGUGGUCUAUGUUGGGAUUCCUUGGGGUAAUUAUUUGACAUGUGAACAACAAAACUAGGAGAAGGCCAACGUGUCUGAAGCACCAAUCACUCUCAACUUCUAUUUUUCCUCCAAGAAAAAAAGAAAAGAAAAUGAGAUUAGACAAAUUUCAUUGGAUUGUGAAGUUUAAAUCAGUUUUGUUAUAUUUUGCUCGGAAUGCCGUGGGUUGAGUUGUCCGAUCAGUUCAUGGGGUUGAGUUUGCUCCUAUUACAUAUUUAACUUUUUAUGUUAAAAGUUUUGUUUCUUAGAGAGUGUGAUCGUAAUUGAGAAGUGUUUUUCAAGAUUUUCAUCACUGCAACUCUUCUCAAUUUUCUUAAUUAAUGGACUGUUAAGUAUUGGUGUAUUUGUGGAUAUAGAGAUUACAUUGAUCGUCGAGCCACAUUAAAAGUCCUAUAUUUUUCUGUAUUUUCUACUUGUAUGCAUACGUGAUUUGAUUAACAAAAACUUUUCACAAGACCGCUCAACGUGGUCUUUCUCUUAAAACAACUAAAACAACUUCUCAAAUAAUCUCCUGAAUCAAGGCAUGCAAACACAAAUAUAGCCCAUACUCAAACAUUUUAUUACAUAAUUGUUCGCUAUUUAAAGAUCAAAAUGCAAAUACAAACCCAUAUAAUCCAUUUAUGCUCAUGAUAGAGUUACCAAGGGCUAAAUCAUGACUAUAUUUUUUUAUUAGGGUGGAGGCGAAUUGGGAAGCCAUUCAUAGGAAUAGGUGAAUGCGUGUAUGUAAUCUUCUCAUUUGGAUCUACUUUCUCCCAUUUGAACCUUGUCACCACAUUAUGCAUGAACACUAGUAGCUGCAAUCAAGCAUAUUCCUUCCCUGGACACAUCCUUGGUCCUCCUCCAAAGGGCGCAAAUGAGUAUGGUGCAGGCUACUUUCCUUCGAACCUCGAUGGAUCGAACUUCUCAGGAUCGGGGAAGUACUAGGGAGCCAUGUACGUUGAAAUUACAUUCCAAUGUGUCUGCAAGAAAUCAACACACUUUUUGUAAUUUUUUUUAAAAUUAAAUUUUAAAAUGAAUCAAAUAUGAGUUAAAUAAAUUAUGGUUAUAAUUAUAUUAAUUAAUAUAAUUAUUAAAUGGAUUGAUUAAAAUUAAAUUUAUAUAAUCAUGUUUACCAUACAGAUUAUAUAAGUCAACAACUUAUCAUCAACUUAAAUUCGAGAAAAAUAUGCCAGAUUCAGUCAUGUUAGUGAACUGUAUCAAACUUAGCUAACCAUAACCUAAACUAACUACAAGGAAAAAGGUAUAUGGUGACAUUUAUAACGAGUCACCAUAAACAUAAGGUGUUACUACAACAUAGCGUCACCUUCUCCACUGACACCAUAGAGGGUACCAAUUGGUAACGUAUUUGGAAGUGACACCAAAGUAGAUAAAUGGUGACCCAUUCAGAAGUGACACCAUAUAUUUCUAGUGAUGAUAGGGUGUCACAUUAAAUACAUCAUCUUUGAGUUAUGAUGUCACAUUAAAUGCAUCACCUUUGAGUUAUGGUAUCACAUCAUUGUAAAUUAUUGUGGAAUAUAUGAUUGGUUUUAGUUGUUGAUUUUUGUAAUGCUUAUGAAUUAAUAAGAUUAACCUGUUUAUAUUUUGUCCAUAAAUAUAACAAUCAUAUUAUAUUUAACUCAUUUUUCUGUAAUGUUUCUGGAAUAACUCAUAAUACAUUGAUCAUCUAAUAAUAUUUGUAUAUCAAAUGUUCACAAAAGGAUAGUACGUCCAACAUAUCAAAUCCAUCAAAACUAAAAAAGAAGAGUGAAUACAUACCAAAACAUGAUUUAGAAAUGUUAAAGAUCCCAAGAUUCAUGUAUACCUCCAUUUCAUAAGCAUAAAACCGGCUAACCAUAAAAUGACAUAGAAGUCCCAUCUAAAAAUCUAAAUUUCUCAAUUGCAGUUAAAGUAACAUUUAUGUCCUACAACGUAUGACAUAAGAGUUGCAUUUAAAAACCCAAAAUCUUGUUGCCUUCUUCUUUCUUUUUAUUCUCCAUUUCACCCUCCCAAGAGUGUAUACCUGCAUUUCAAAAUUUAAUGAGUUUUAGAGAUUUUUAUUGAAGAAAAUAAACAUGGAUCUAUGUUAUCAUAAAUGAACAAAUCUAAGAAUUAAUUUUUUUUUUCAAAUAGAAACAUUAUUCAAAGAAUAAGCAUUACUAUACAAUACCUAUGAAAAAAUUCAUAUAGUAGCUAAGAGACUCACCAUGCAUGGUGAUCAUGAGGCAUCAACAUGAUUCAUGAUUAGUUGUAGCACAAAAGUAGCCCAUUCUCCUCUAAUUUCAUCGAAUUCUACUUGAGAAUAUGUUUUUUUUUAUUACCAAACUAAAAUCAAAUAAGAAAAUAACAUUAAAAUGCAUAACAUUUGGAAGCUUAACACUAUGUACAAUUCAUUAAAUAAGUAAUACCUUUGAAGCAAUAAUUGUAGGAUAAAAAAUUAUCUCUUUAAUGAAUCUCAUAACAAAGUAGCCACAUUCGAACCCUCCUUCUUGUCUUGGACACUAAUCGAUCAAUUAUAAAAUAACAUUAGUACUCACAUAUAUAAAUGGUGCAAAUGCAUAAGCUAAUGUGUAAAGAAAAUUUUUUGGAUGUCACCUACACUAGUUGCUAAGAUGGCUCCCUCUUAGAUGUUUUCUUUACAGAUAUUCGAAGAGCCUUAUGUAAAUAAGUUCAAUGGAUACAUUUUUAAAAUAGGUAAAUGUUAUAUGUUUUAAUAUAUAUAAAUAAAUAAAAAAAUGUGUUUGAGGUGAAUGUAUUUUUUUUUAUUUAAAAAUAAUACUAUGAAAAAUAAUAGGAAGAACUUACAUGUUUACGAUAUCCUUUAAGUCCUCACAUGGUUUGUGAUGCAUAGGGUCAAGAUAGUGGACUAUCAUUUUCCUUGGCUCAAGCACUACCUAAAUAUAAACCAUUUAAGUCCUCAUAUCUAUUUCUAUUACAAAAUAUAAAAACUUUCCAAAACUCAACUACUUAAAUAUAAAAACAAAAUCAAAUAAAAUAUCUAGCUAAUUGGAUUUUAGAAACUAAAUAAACUAUAAAUAAACUAAAUAUAAAAACUAAAUAAAAUAUCUAUGCCCAUUAAUUAAUUGAAGAGGAUAGAAAGACACAAAGAGAACAUGGCUAUGGUUAUGAUUUCCAUCUUAUCAUUUCCUGUCAAUACCACACAUGCCCAUUUUAGGGUUGGACACUACUUUUGUUGCUGGACUUGGAAAGGGAACUUCAAAAUUGAAAACAUAAAUAAACCCUUAUGUAAAAAAAAAUAACAUUAAAAUAUAAUUGAGCAUUAAAAUAUUUACUCUCUUUCAUCACUUUCAUUUGAAUAUUAAUAAUCUCUUAUUGAGAUAGAUACUUACAAUUUAACAAAAUAGAAAUUCCUAAUAAUAAAAAAUAUAAAAUUUCUAUUUCUAUUAACAAAAUAUAAAAACUUUCCAAAACUCAACUACUUAAAAAUAAAAAUAAAAUCAAAUAAAAUAUAUAGCUAAUUGGAUUUUAGAAACUAAAUAAACUAUAAAUAAACUAAAUAUAAAAACUAAAUAAAAUAUUUAUGCCCAUGAAUUAAUUAAAGAUAAUAGAAAGACACAGAGAGAACACGGCUAUGGUUAUGAUUUCCAUCUUAUCAUCUCCCGUCAAUACCACACAUGCCCAUUUUAAGGUUGGACACUACUUUUGUUGCUGGACUUGGAAAGGGAACUUCAAAAUUGAAAACAUAAAUAAACCCUUAUGUAAAAAAAAAAAAAAAAACAUUAAAAUAUAAUUGAGCAUUAAAAUAUUUACUCUCUUUCAUCACUUUCAUUUGAAUAUUAAUAAUCUCUUAUUGAGAUAAAUACUUACAAUUUAACAAAAUAAAAAUUCCUAAUAAUAAAAAAUAUAAAAAUUUCUAUUUCUAUUAACAAAAUAUAAAAACUUUCCAAAACUCAAAUACUUAAAUAUAAAAACAAAAUCAAAUAAAAUAUCUAACUAAUUGGAUUUUAGAAACUAAAUAAAUUAAAUAUAAAAACUAAAUAAAAUAUCUAUGCCCAUGAAUUAAUUGAAGAGGAUAGAAAGACACAAAGAGAACAUGGCUAUGAUUAUGAUUUCCAUCUUAUCAUCUCCCGUCAAUACCACACAUGCCUUCCCGGAUUGGUCCUUUUGGGGUUGGAUACUCUCAACGAAAUUCUAUAUCUCAUUCCCACUUAGAUACAAACAAAAAAAUCAUUCUUUUUUUUUUCCUCUCUCGUUUUUUAGAAAGGAUGAAGAUUAUGUUAUAGUAUAUCUUAAAAAAAUUCUGUACCUAUCAUUCUCACACAAAUACAUAUUAAAAAUCAUUCAUUUUUUCCUAUUUUUCACUUUUUUUUAAGGACUUGAUCAUGUGUUUGGUUUAGAUUAAAAAAAGUCAAUUAAUCUAUAGUUUUUUCUUCCAUGCUGGAAGAUUAAACCUAAAUUUUUCUUCCCUACAACUCAAGAAAACACAAUUCACAAAAACCAUAAUACAAAGAUGUUGAAACAAUUAAUAUAAUGGCAUUAAUAAAAGAAAAAAAAAAAUGAUAGAUCCAAGAGAUUUUGGGUUACUUGGGAGUCCACAAAGUGAAGAAUGUCGGUUUUGAGCGUGUUGACUAUGGAUGGGUGAGAGAAAAGGUUGAAGAAGAUCAUGAUUUUAUAUAUAGGAUUUAUAUAUUGAGAUUUUUUGGAUUGUGGGUGAGAUAUGGAAACAAUGGAAUUUUUAUAUAGUAUCCAUCAUUAUUAAUUCUAAAAGUGGGCUCAUUAAGUUAUAAUACUUAAAAAAAAUUUAUUUUAUAUGAUGUCACUUCCCAAAAAAUGACACUAUAAAUAUAAAAUUAAUAUCAUCUAACUACCUCAAUUGAAGAUUUUUUAUAUGAUGUGUCACCUUUAUUAAUUAUAAACCCUAUGGUGUCAUUAUUUUAAAAGUGACACCGUAAAUAGUGACACCAUAAACUAUUUUUGUAGUAGUAACGGUAAGUGAAACUUUGUUGGUAUUUAUAGCAUACCUUCCAUCCCUUUGUUUCACAUAACCUAGACUAACCGUAAGUUCCCAAGGUGGGUGGUGAAAGCCUCAUUGUUUCGCAUGCCACACCUUAUGUGUACUUCAUCUUCUGAACGUCACUCCAAUUCAGAAACUCUCCUGGACCUUUAGACUUUGCUAUCUCCGUUUGCUCUGCAUAUGCAAAUAUCAAGAUACACAAUGGAGACCAAAUAUUUGAAAUUACAACUCAACUUGUUGCAUAACAAAAUUUAAUGGAAAGUUUAACGAUCAGAGUGAGAAAAUAAAACUUUUGAAAUGAUGGAUAAUUUUAAGCUAAAAUAAGUGGUUUAUAUAGCUAAAAUUAGGGUGAAAUUUGGAGGAUUGGUUUCAUCCUAUACAAAUUUGAGACAGACUUAGGUAGUUAUUUUUAGUAUUUGGACUGGGUUUGACGUUGAUUGCGUUUGGGCCAUGGUUUUGAACCUAAUCCAAACUUAAUAAAAUAUUUUUAUAAAUUUAUUAUUCUAUAUAAUAAUAUUUAUUUUAUUUGUUUAUUUAACUUUUAAGAAAAAUAUCAAAUUAUAUUUAUAUCAUGUAAUAUUUAUUUUUUAAAAAGACAAUUUUAUUUGUUUUUAUUAUUUUGAAAUAUCGAGUCAUAUAUUAUUCAAAUUGUGGGCAACCCAACCUAACCCUAUUAUACGUAAUUCAAUUUUGACCUACAUAAUCUAAAAAUAUUGAAUCAAUUAUAAUAAAACCAAUUUGAGUUCAACCUGAGUUUUGGAAAUAUGAAAUUGAGUUCAAAUUAAAUUGAGUAUCUUAACGUAGAAGUGGGAUAGAGUUGAGUUCAAGUUGAAGCAUUUCUUUAUUUAUUUUAGACCUCAGUUACCCAGAAACCUUAGCCAACCCACAAUAGUUACAUCACGGCCAUCUUCUUUCCCAGCAACGAGGUUUUGAAUAUUUUCGGGGAGUACUUAUUCAUUCUAUCUGUUAUGAAUUUCUCUGGGGUUCCCCUUGUAGCAGUUAUGAAAAAUUCCAGAGUUUCUCUGAUGAUGGGCCACCCCAUUGUACCCGGCGGAAGCUUUUGGCCGGCAGAUUUGCGGCUGGAAAUGAGGAAAAUAACUGAAAGAGUGACGGAGAGAAGUAUGAAGUGAAGGAGAGAGGAGGAGAGAUCCAUGUUUCUCACUCGAUAACUCAAGAAAGAAGAAAGCAAAAUAAAGACAAGCAUGGGAGCCACCCUAUAACAAGGGAUCAUAUAACGAAGGAAGUUGCUUCCAUGGUUCGAAAAAUGGGACCAGAUCGAUUUACCAUGCAUUCAUCUUAUUGCCGGCACAGUUCAAUUAUCGGACCGGUUGCAUUACUUCUUUGAAUUAAUUUCUUACUUUCGUAUGCCAGGCCAACUUAAUAAUAGAAGUUGCUGAUUCAUUUUUCCUUGGUUGUAUAUGCAUGCUCAUUCACACGCACACACACGUGUGUGUGCAUAUAUCAAACCACAAGUUUUUUGAACUACAAUAUCAAAUGAGAUUAAUAAUAAUUAUUCCAAAAAUAAAAAUAAGAUAUAAAUAUAGGAGCCUAGACUUAAAUUUUUUCAAAAUUUUGCUGUUUUUAAAAAAUUUAUAACAUUAUUUGGCAUUUGUUCUUUGGAAAUAGGUUUUAAAAAGUUUUUAUAGAAUAAGUAAAUGUAGGUUUCACAUAUUUAAAAAAACAAAACAAAAAUAUUGAGAAAUAAAAACAUAUUGAAAAAAAACUAUAAAAAGCAAAUAAAGUGUAAUACAAUCUCUGUGUUCUUUUAUUUUCCAUCACUUAAUAUCGAAAAUAUCACAAUAUUAUCUCUUUUUGAAUCAUAUACACUCUUUUUUAUUUAUUAAUUUUUUAAACUUUUCUAAAAUUUUUAUUAAAAAAAUAUAUCUCAAAUCAAGUGACCCUUAAUAUAGAGGUUUUAUUAAUUGUUUAAAAUAAUUGAAAAUUUAAAAACUGAUCCAAUUAUGCUAAAAAUUGCACAUAAAAGAUGAUACUAAUUGAUUUUGUUAGUUUCUUCUUUACGUAUAAUUAUAUAUAUUUAAUUUUUUUCAUUAGGUAAACUCAAUGCUUUUGAUUUAUUAAUGAGUCUUGUAAUUUUUGAAAAAUAGUUUGAAACUCAAACUCACCUAAUUAGUACAUGAAAUUUUUGGACAAAAAAUUUCUAACUAGAACAUUAUCUUUCUAAAUUUUCUCAUUGGAAAAAUAGAUCCCAAAUUAAUAAAAAAAUUAACUCCUUUUAACAAAUUUAUUAAUUUUAAAAAUUAAUAUGAAACUAAAAUAAUAAUUCAAUCACCAACUAGAAAUUCAUAAACUAAAACUACUUUAGAAUGAUCUAAUUAUUGUUAUUCUGAAUGUAAUUUAAAUAAAUUUCAAAUUGAGUGAGAGUUAACAAGUUACAUUUAUUAAUGGGUUGAGUAAUUUUCAAAAAUAAUUUGGAACUAAAAAUAAGAGAACAAAAGUGGUAUAGAAUGAGUCAUGAAUAUGUUAUUUCUCUAUAGCACACCACCACUCCAAAUUUUCUCAUUAGACAAAUAGAUUUUAAGUAAGACCAAAUCAAGUAAAAUUUAAUGGUUUAAAUUCUUUAAUGAAUCCAAUUAUGGGCAGAAUCAAAAUUAGUCCAAAAUUCUCUAUUUGUAUAGGAUUACUAAAUGUAUUGAAAAACUUGGUUUGUUGAUAUAUUUUAAAGAACAUUCCUUAUUUUUAAAUCUAUUUUAAAUAAAAUAUUUUUAACCAUUAUUUUUUUUCAAUUUAAUUUAUGCCUUAUUAACAAAAAAAAAAAAAAAUCAAUUAUAUUCACAUUUUAUAAUAUGUACUAAAAUAGUAUCAUUUUUAAUAAAAUUAUCAUUUAUAAUUUAAUUACAAUAUUAGUAUUCAUAUUUUACUAAACAUGAUUUAUUUUUUAAUUUAUUCCUGCUUUCAAAAUUAUUUUUAUUUUAAAUAAAAUUUGAAUCAAAUUUAAUUAAUUUUAUAUAAAUUCAAUUCACAUUUUUUUUUUCCAAAAUCAAAGAAAGUUUAUUGCUAAAAGAAAAGAAAAUUUAUUUAUUUAAACAAUUUUUUUGUUUUUUAAAAAUCGUUUUAAAAACAAUUCACCAACUACCCUUAUUUUUGAAAAAUAUUAAGUGACUAUUUGAGAAUUGUUUUUAAAAGAAUUUUUUUCUUUCAAAUAGAAAACUAUUUUCCAAACUCCAAAAUGUGUUUGACAAAAAGCGGUUUUUUAAGAACAAAGAGUUUUAUGAUAACAUAUUUUAAUUGUUUUAAAUAUAAUUAUAUAAAUAUGGUGAAUAAAUGAAAACAAAGCAAUAAAAUAAAAUUUAUUUUUAAGAAAUAUCUAAAAACAUAAAAAAAGAAAAGGGAUUAACAAUAUUUCUAGUUUUUAAACAAAAUUUUAUUCUAAAAAAAUAUCAAAAAACAAUUCUUACAAAUUAUUUAAAAAAAAAAUAUUAUUUUAGGAAAGGUUAUUAAACAACUUCUAAAAGCGCGCCCGCCCCACCCCCCUUUUUUUUUUUAAGUUGAAAACAAGUAUUUAUUUUUCUUUCCAUGGGUUCAUACAAAAUUAUUUUAGAAAAGGUCAGUGAACAAGUCCUAAAAACCUUUAUUUAUUUAUUUUAUGUUCAAUACAAAGUUUUUAUUUUUCUUUCCAUAAGUUCAUAAAAUUUUUCCAAGUAAAUGGUAGAAAAGAAAUCAAAUUAAAAUGAUUUUUUCCCUUCAAAGCAUGUGAGAUGAGUCGUGUUGGGAACUUGGGAUUAUUGUAGCCUUCAUAAAAGUUAAUCUCCACUAUUCUAAGGGUUCAUGACCAAAGUCAUGAACCUAAUGAAUUUACAUUUCCCAUUUUAUAUAUUUAAUGUACAUGCAUGGUAUUUAGAAAAUACAAAGUAUUAUGACCAAAAUCAUGAACCUACCAAGUAGUGUACAAGGUAUAAUGAUCAAAGUGAUGCACCUAAAUUAAAGUUUUCAUAUAUCAUGAAUACUACAUAGAAUUAAGAAAUGAGAAUUCAUAUAUGUAGAAGGAAGUGUUCAUUUGUAACUCUUGAUGGAAAGUCACUUGAAAUGAUAUAAAAGAGCUCUUGGUUUCUCCCUCCACUCUUCCUAAGUUUGUGAGAUUUUCUAUCAUUUUGUACAAAUGUCAAGUGUGAGAGAGUAAGGAGAGGGAACAUACAAGUUGCCAAUACGAAUUCAAAAGAUACAAGGUGCUGCCAAAAGUAACUCAAUAUUAUAGACAAUUUAUGUAAGGUGAUCUUUAUCACAAUGUCACAAGGUGAGUUUUAUAGAUUUAUUUUAGGUUCAUUAAAUUAAAAAAUAUGUUUAAACUCAAUAAAUUAUUUUUAUAUGCUUCUUUAAUAUCAUUUUGCUUAUUUCCCUUUACUAUAUAAAGAUUAAAUAAUUAAAAAAUAUAUAAAUUUUUUUGACAAAUUUUAAUUAUAUUUGAUUUUCUUCCAUAUUUCUUAUGGUGAAACCAAACAUGAGAAAACCACUUUCUUUAAUCCUUAUUUUUUUCUUUCCUUGAUACUUUUUAGGAACCACACAUAGCCUUAAGAAUAUAGACUAAGGUAAAAUGAUGUAUAAUAAUAUAAAAUAAUAAAUUAUUUUUAAUUUUUUAUGAAAAUAAAUAAUCCAAAAGAAAUAUGAAAACAAAAGCUAGCUUCAAAUUAAUCAAUAAGUGAAUGAAUUAUCUAAAUUGUGAAUGAGGAAAACUGCUUGAAUUAUUAAAAUUUUAGACUAACUAAUAAGUAAAUCAAUUAUUUAAUUUUUUUUCUAAAAUUAAAAAAGGUUUUCUCUUUCCUAUUUAUAACCAUAAAAAUGAAAAAAAAAAAAAAGAUUUUAUCAAGGAAAUGUAAAUAUCUCUUCAAAAACUUCUUUUAGCAAUUAUCAAAUUUUUGAAUAGAGGGAAAAUUUUAAAAUAAAUUUAGUAUUUUCCGAUAUAAUGAACAAUGAGAGAUGAAUUUAUUAGAAUUGUUACAAUUAAAUAAUGAAUGUAUUUAUUAAGGCUGUGUUUGGUUCCCAAGAAAUUUGAGGAAAAAUGCAAGGAAAAGAAAAUAAAAAGGAAAAAUAGAAGGACAGAAAAUAAAAAAUAGAUUAAAAGUUAAUAAAUUAUUUUUAUUUGCUACUUCAAAUUCAUUUUACUUAUUUUAAUUCAUUGGUAUAAAGAUUAAAUAAUUUUAAAAUACAUAAGUUUCUAACUAGUUUAAUCAUAUUUAAUUUUAUUUAAGAUUUUUCUUAAUACAACCAAAUAUGAAAAAAUAAUUUUCUUUAACAUUUUUUUUUCCUUAGGGUUUUUCGGAACCAAACAUAAUGUAAAGCUUUAAAUUCAAAUAAUAAAGAUAUGAGAUUUGAAUAAAACUGAAGAUAUAUAUAAUAAGAUUAUUUUGAUAUAUGGGGAGCGUAUUUUAGAUAAAGAAAAGUUUUCAAACUAUUGAAUUUCUUUAUAUUUAUAGAUAAUAAUAAAAAAAAAAGAAUUUAUUUCUUCACUAAUUUUAUGAUUCAAACCUAUAUUAAACAAAUAAAGAUUAAAUGUACAACACAAAAUUUCCUUCAGAUUUGGUAGGAUGGUGGCCGUAAUUUGUGAAAUGAACAUUAUGCAGUCAAAUUUUGAAUGAUGAAUCAUAAAGACUCAUAGUUAAUGAAAGGAUAAUUAUGUAUUAAUUAUUAACUCAUGAUUGAAAAUCAUAUACAUAAUAAAUUGAACAUAAUAAAUUGGUGUGUCCGGAUUAAUAUAGAAAUUAAUCUAGAUAGGUUGUCCUAAGAUUUAAUUGUCCAACCAUUUAAAUUAUUUAGUGAUCAUGUCAAUACAAUAUGAUAAUGAUCUAUCCUGUUUAUGAAUUUACCAACCUAUAUAUGUUUCUUAAUGUUAUAUUACAUAAAAAAUACUUGAUCUUAAUUUUAAAUACUUGAUUUUUUACUUAUAGAUAGAUAUCCUAUUGUUAAACAAUUGAAAGAAAAUUUUAAAUAUUUUUGAAAAACCAUAAAGGUUAAAAAUAAUUCUAUACUUCAAAAUUGAAUAAAAUCUAAAAUCUAUACUAUAUAGAAGAUUAUAGUGUUUGUAGAUUAUUUUUUCUUCUUAAAACGAUCCUAUGAAUAUACUUUAUCCACUUAUAUUCUAUAAAGCUCAAAGAGACCUUUUAAUAGAAUGAUGAUGUCUUUUUAGUUGAUAACACAAGUGAUAUUUUUUCAGUUGACAAAUAUAUAUCCAAAAAGUUGAGAAUCCUAUACCUUUAUUUACUUAUAUAUGGACCCAUGUUUUUAAGAUGUUUACAACUGAUAGAGGUAUAUUGAUAGAGAAAUGUUUUACAUCUAUGUUUCUUAAUCCCUCUUUCUUAUUUUGAGAGUAUAUUUAGUUUUAUGGAGUUCAUUGUUCACAAAUGGCAUAAGUUAGUAUUGUGAAGGAAUUCAUGCUUGUGUUCACAUUGUUCAUAAAUGGUUCCCUUUUGUGCCUUUAUACCAUUUUUGUUAUCUUCCUAGGAUUUGGGCAAGGUCUCGAUGGGAUACCUAACGACAAAAAAGGUUUAGAAAGCUCAAUGUGUUUAUUCUUUAGGUCAUUAAUUAACGAAUAUUAUGAAUUUGAGAUGAUACAUUUAUACUUUCACUCAUCAAGCAAUUUCUAAAUUCCUUAUGAUAUUUUUAAGAUUUCGCAUCCUCAAAGACAUAUUUUAACAACUUAUUUGAUAAGGUACCUGAGAUAGCAUGACAAACUUGUUUGUUCGUGCUUUCUUAGUCAACAAAAGGUUUAGAGGCCUCAUUGGAUUUUGACUAAAUCAAACAUGUCCUAGAUUAAUCACAUUAAUGGUAAAGAAGUAAUGUGUUGUUAUCUCUUAAACCAGACCCAUUAAAUGGGUCUAUCUUGAGUGUUUGUUUGACUAUGUUUAGGAAACUUCCAUGGCCUCUAAUCUACUUUAAAAACUUAUUCUUUAAGAAGGAAAUGCUAUUGAACACAUGCAGAUAAUCACAAGAAUCAAAAUGCAAGAAACUAAACUUGAAAAUUGUAGAAUCCAAUCUAAAUAGGGAAAUGAAAUUGUAAAAAUCAAAUAUGAAUGGGAAAACAUAUUGCAAUUGGUUGAGAUGUGUAAUCACUAUCUUUAAAGUAUAGGUCACACCCCUUCUAAGACCAUCGCUCAACACAACAUUGAUGUGUUGUGUAACCCCUUCUAAGAUGUGUAAUCACUUCUUUAAAAAACCAAUGUAACCCUUAUUGAAGGUAUAUAUACUGAUGGUCAAUUAUAUACCUAUCUAAAAUUUCAUCAUUGGAACUUUGCUUUCUUAUUGUAAAUCCAUUAUGGAAAUAUCAGAAUGCAUGCAUAUAUAUAUAUAUAUAUGGCAUUUAUUUGCUAGUUCAUAUAUUUAACAUAAGUCCACUGCAGAAUAGUUCGACUACUCCAGACAUGGUAGCCUUCUCAAAUGGUGAAUCAAUCUAUUUCUCAUGGGGCUGGAGGCGGAUUGGGAGACCAUUCACAGGAAAUGGUGAAGGGUUAUAUAUGAUCUUUUCAUUUGGAACUACUUUCGCCCAUUUGAAUCUUGUCACCAUAUUAUGGAUAAAUACUAGUAUUACCAAUCGAACAUAUUCCUUCCCUGGACACAGUCGAGGUCCUCCUCCAAAAGGUACAAAAGUGUAUGGUGCAGGCCCCUUUCCUUCAAAUCUCGAGGGAUCGAAUUUCUCUGGAUCUGGAAAGUACUUGGGAUUUUUGUUUGUAGAAUGUACACUCCAAUAUGUCUGCAAGAAAAUGAAAAGUUCUAUAGUAAGUUAUGUUAAUUAAAUCAUCCAUAAACACGAAUAGAAGAUAAAAAAAAAAUGAGAUUUUUAACGUGGUUUAGUGAUGAAUGUGAUCGCUAUGUCCAAGGAGUGUACCAACACUCAACACUCAACAAAUCAAAAGAAGAGUUAUAAUAGUGAAACUUUAAAAAAACCUUUCAAGUACAGUGUCGCUCUCUAAAAAACCAAAACCCUAAAACAUAAAAGGGUUAAAUAUAUAGUAUGGACAAACUUGCCAUUUACUACAUAAAAAGAAUUUCUACGGGGCAGUUGACUAGACAGCUUAUCUCAUGAGCUCAAUGAGGAGCUGAACACUCCACAUCCUAAACGAAACCCAAUAAAAUUAAUUCAAACUUCACAAUCCAACAAUUCAUUGGCAUAAAGUUAAUUACAUAGUAUUAUUAAACUCAACCGAGACCAUGUUUAAAUAUAGGAUACCUUCCACCCUUUUGGAAUGGUAAAACCUUCAAAAGUAAAGUCAGUUAUGGCUUCUCGAAAAGUUCCUUGUGCAGGUGGGGCUAGCCUCAUUGUUUCCUUCACCACACACCAAGUAUACUUCAUCUUCUGAAUGUCAUUCCACUUCAGAAACUCUUCUGGAUCUUUGGACAUUGCUAUCUCCAUUUGUUCUAUAUAUGUAAGCAGAAACCAAUUGGAAAUUACUAUUAAACUUGUUUAAAAAUCCAUCUUUGUAGAGAGAUUCCAACUGAAAAAUAAUGGAAACCAAAAGAUAACUAUUGUCAUGUUAAAGAGAAUCUCAAAAUGAAGAUAUGGGUGGGUAUUUGCUAUAAAAACUCAAGAGAUAUGUUAUACAUUUUACACACUAUCAAAGAGGAUUAACCUACAUUUUAGGACCAAAUAUUCUUUGUUUUGGUCCAAAAGUAUAUUUCGUUCGUUACUAAAUCAAUUAAGCAAUCUUGAUAGGGCUUCAAUGGAGAGGAGGCAAGGGUUUUACCUUUUAAGACCUUAUCAUAGGCAUGAGGAAACUCUGCUAGAUAGUUGAAGAUAAAUGUUAAAGUCGUGCUUGUUGAAUCAAAGCUAGCAAGAAAUAUACCAACAAUUUUAUCAGAGAUCUCCAUGUCAUUCAGAACCGCGCCGUUCUCAUCUGUCGCUAAAAGCAAAGAAGAUAGUAGGUCCCGGGCUACCGAUUCUUCUUUCUCUGAUAACUCCUUCCUUCUCUGCUUGAUAAUUGCUACAAGCUCAUGCCGAAGCAUUUUGCCUCCUUUUUUGGCGGAGUUAAAUGCUGUACCAGGAAAAUCUAUAGGCAAAGACACGAGCCCAGAUAACAUCUGAUGGAAGGGACGAGCAAUCCUAGCGAUAUGCUCAGGAUCUUUGAUGCUUAUGAACAAGUGACAAGCCAAUGUGAAGGUGUACUUCUUUGAUAGUGGAUAAACAUUCACUUCUUUAUGAGGAGCCCAAUCCGUAUUUAUGUUCUGGUGUGCCAUUGAAUCCAUGAUAUGUAUGUUACGUUGCAAAGCAUCUGGCCUAAGAAAUUCAAGGACAAAGCUACGCAUUCCCCUCGGUUCUGCCUUUGGGGGAGAAGACUGGAAGAGCAACGCCUUCUCCAUCGAUGGUGGUUUCCAAGUGGUAAUGAGCUUGUUGUGGUUUGAAAAUAGAAACUUGUUCCCCGCUGGGCCACAGAACACGGCGACCUUCUCCCCCAACAAGGAGGUCCGGAACACAAUUGGGGAGUAUUUCUUCAUUCUAUCAUUUAUAAAUCUUUCAGGGUUAGAAUUUUUGCCUCCUAAAGCAAAUUCUGAGGUUUCCCCGAUGAUGGGCCAUCCCAGUUUACCCGGGGGAAGCUUUGAACAGGCGGAUUUGCGUCUACUGACAAGGAAGAUUAUACAGAGAGACACAAAGAGGACUAUAAGGUGCAGAAGGUAUGAGAAAAGAUCCAUGGCUGCCACACAAUGAUGAUAAUGAAUCAAAAAGUAGGCUAUGAAAAAGGCUCAGGCCUCUUCUGGGCGAUAUCUCCAAGAACUGAAUAGAAGUAGUGAAAAAACAUGAUUGAGAUUACCAUGUCAAUUAAGGAAAAAGAUCAUUUAAUGGUUAAUGAAAAAAUAUUUUGAAUCUACUUUAUGAUUCCAACUCACUGUGUCAUGCACUUAGCAUGUUGGGCAUGCAUUCUUUAACUUAUUAUUAUUAUUAUUAUUAUUGUUAUUAUGGUAUUUGCCUUAUAUUUGAUUAAAUAUAAUAUAAGAUAGAAUAAGGAGCUAAAUAAGGUAAUUUUAUUCUAUAUAAGUAACUAAUCUCCAAUCGGCACGUAUCACCUUUUAAGCCAAAAAAUUUUCAUAAUUAAACCACAUCAUCACUUUAUCUUAAUUACAAUAAAAAAAUCUCAAUAAUUAAAUGAAAAUAAUGUUAUAUUUAAAAUAAAAUUUAAACAAAAAAUAAAUAAACAUAAAAUUAUACUCUUAUUCGAAUUUAUAAUUACUUUAUAAUUAUCUUGCUUUUUUCAUAUGGUGGUUUUUUUCUUCUUCUUUCAAAUCUCAUAAAAUCAUUAUUUUAAGUUAACUCUCAUUUUUAUUUAUUUUUUAUUUUUUUAUAUUUGUCAACAAUUUUUAGCACUUAACUUAUUUUAUAAUUUUAGUUCAAUUUUUUUUUAUAUAAAUUUUAUCUUUCACAAUUUAUAUUAACAUAUUAUUUGGUUAAUUUUCUUAUAGGUUCUUCCCAACUUCAAGAUUUUUAUUUUAUUUUAUUUUAUGAGAUGAUUAUUACAUGUCUUAUCAAUACUUCCUACUUCUAAGCACCAAUUAAGCUCAUAUAUCUAGGUUAUAAAAUAUGAGAAUUUGUUGCAUUGUGGAACUUGUGAAUGAUUAUAUAUAAUGAUGUAUAUCUCUUUACGACUCCCUAUAAAAGGGAGAGACCUCUAAUGAGAGUUCAUUCAGAUUUCUUCCUUCAAGUUCUUUCCUAUAUUCUACUUUUCUUUUAGUAUUUCUAUAUAUUUUCUAUCUUCUUUCUUCUUCUCAUUUUUUUAUUUUAUAACAUGUUAUUAACAUAAGGCUCUGAGUAUGUAGAAAAAGAGAAGAGAAAGAAAGAAGAACUCAUUUAUGAAGUUUCUUAUAGGUAUUUAGCCUUAUUUUCUUCAAACGAAAUGAAAUAUGAAAAGUAGUAUGCAUUGUAUUCUAUUAUUAUAACUUUAUUUACCUUGUCUUAUGGUUAAAAGUUAUGUAAAUCAUAUUUCAUAUAAUCAAACCAAAAACUUAAUAUUGUAAAUAUUUUGAUUAUUUAAUAACUAGAAGUUAUAUAAAAAAUUUUGAUAACUAGAAGUUAUGAAAAAUAUGUACAAUUCUUAUAACCAGAAGUUAUGAGGUAAAUUACAAAAUUUAAAAAUACAUAAUCAAAAGUAAUGCAUAUGAUUCAUAAUUACUUUAUAAUUAUAUCAUAUAAUUGGAAGUUAUAUAAAAUACCAAAAGCUUUUGAACUCAAAGGCCACCUCUGAGAGUGAGACAUUGUAUUGUGUCUAUGUAGCAAUUGGACAGAAACGCUCAACUGUGGCAUAAUUAGUUCAAAUUCUUUCAGAAGCGAAUGCUUUGGAAUAUUCCAUUCUUGUAGCAGCCACUGCAUUUGGCGACGUAGAGUCUACAGGCAGAACAAAGACAGGUGCGUCUAUGGAAAAAAGUACUUCUUGCUUUGUCAUGGUGAGAGUGAGGUACUGAAGGGCGCCAACAAUGCUACGAUAUUUUGUUGCAUUAUGUAGCCAGAAGUUAUAAAAUAAAUAAGUCAUAGCCUAAAACUAUAUAAUGAAUAGUUCUUAACAUGAAGUUAUGUACAAAUUUGCAUAAUAAAUAGUUAAUAGCAUAAAGUUAAGUAUUUGUUUUGACAAAAUAAUCAAAACCCAAAGUUAUGAUUAAUAUUGUCUUUUAAUUUUUAUUUCACAUUCAUGCAUUUUUCAUAACAAAAAAUUAUGAAAACAAUCUGUAUUAACAAUUAUUUCAUAGUUAGAAGCUAUGUACACAAUUUUUAAUUUUGUGAUAUAACUAAAAGUUAUAUCAUAAUAUAAUUGUUAAUUGUUUAAUGAUAUUAUAACAUUACUCAAAUUUUAAUUAUUCUUAGCCUGAAGAUAUGAAGAAUAUUAAUUGUUAAAACUCAUAUAGCUAAAAGUUAUAUUAGAAUAUUUUAUUAUAAAUUUAUAUUAUAUAGCCAAAAGUUAUAUAAUUAAUAUUAUUCAUGACCCCGAAGUUAUGAAAAUAAAAAAAUUAAUAUUCUUUAUAUUGAUAAAAGGUUUUGCCAAAGUUGUUAAUAUGUAUUUUUUUUUUAGUUAGAAGCUAAAGAUAACAAAAUUGUUAACUAACAAUUUUACAACUUUAUGAAAUUUAUAUAACCAAAAGUUAUAAUAAAAUAUAUUGUAGUCUGAAGCUAUCAUAACAAAGAUGUAGAUAAUAGUUACAUAUUAUUUAAAAGAUUAAUAUUUUAUAUAUCAAACUAAACAAAUAGGUAAGUGUUUGAUAAUUUUUUUAUGAACUCCUAUUAUUAGAAGUUAUAUCGUCAUUAGUAAAAAUAUUUACAUAUAGAUGUGGAAUUUUGGGUUGUAUGAAAAUAUGAUAUUUAUGCUUAAUAUUCUUGUGUUAGAGGUGAUGUUUUAGACUAUUUUUUAUUCUAAUUGUUUAAUACACAAUUACAUUAUGAGAUGAUAUAAUAGUUGAGAUUAAUCUUAUCUUUGUUUUUCAAUAUAGAAAGUUGAGAUUUUUGAAUAUUAUAUAUACUUAUAUCUUGAAAAUUCUAAAUAACAUCUUUUUAUUUGAUUGUAUAUAAUUUCAAUUUUUAAUGAUCCAAAAAUCAUGCAUAAGAAUUCCUCUCAAAGCAAAUACUAAUGUUUUCCCAAUGAUGGGCCAUCCCAUAGUUUACCCGGCCGGCGGUAGCUUUGAACAGGCGGAUUUGUGUCUACUGACAAGAUUAUACAGAGACGCACAAAGAGGACUAUAAGAUGCAGAAGGUAUGAGAAAAGAUAUAUGGUUUUCACUUGAAGAUGACAAUGAUCGAAGAGGCAAUGAACAAGCUCUAGGUAAUCUCUGGGGAUAUCGAUCUCCAAUAAUUGAAUAAAAAGUAAUGAAAGACCACUUGUCACUGUUGCGGUUACAUGCAGGUGAAUCUGCUGACACAAAUGUCUGACUGUAGGUCCCAUUCUUGCAAGGAUGGGGAGCUUACUGAGGAUGGAAGAAAGGUUAUUUAUUAAUCAAUGGAACUUUUAUGUAAUGCCUUCAGUUCAAAUAGAACCAUCAAACAUUAACACUUCACUUAUCAGUCAUAAAAGUUACAUGCUUAGAAAUGCAUUUCAAAUAAUUUAAGGUUAUGUUUGAUGCUCAAAUUUUUUUAGUGAAAUUACUUAUUUUAACUCUUCCAUAUAAAAAUUAAUUAAUACAAAAAUAUAAUUUUUUUAAUUAAUUGUAAUAAUAUUUGAUUUUUUGUAUUUUUUUUAUAAUACAACAAAAUAUAAAAAAUGAUUUUCUUCUAAUUUUUUUAAGUACUUUUUAGGAACCAAAUAUAACUUAAAAAUUGUAUUUAAAAUUAUAGGUUUGAAGAACAUGUAGAUUAAGAGGUUUUGCAUAGCGUUUACAUGUAAAAUUAGGAUUGAAUAGGUAAAAACACAUCAAUCUUGGUGGUUUCAUGCUACUAAAUUACUACAACUUAUAUUUAAAAUUAACCUUUUGAAGAGUGGGAUAUUUAUGAAAAUUAAUUACAAAUUGCAAAACUUUCUGAAUGAAAACUAAAGAAACAAUUCAUACUUUUACAACUAGUACAUAUGUAAAUACAAAUAAUUCUUAAUUUUCAUAACUAAUAUAGAUCUAAAUAUUGCUAAAUUGAGUUUGACAGUCCAACCUGUAUGCUAUAUUUGGUUCUUAGAAAGUAUUAAGAAGGAAAAAAAAAAGCAUAAGAGAAUGUUUUUAUCAUGUUUGGUUUUAACAUGAAAAAAUACGAAAGAAAAUCAAAUAUAAUUAAAAUUAGUUAGAAAUUUAUAUAUUUUUGAAUUAUUUAAUUUUUAUAUAAAAGAAAAAAAGAAGUGAAAUGAGUUUGAAGUAGUGUAUAAAAUAAUUUAUUGAUUUAAUUUUUCUUUUUCCAUUUUUUCUUUUCUUCUAGUACUUUUCUUCUCUUUUUUUUUUUUUUUCCUUGUAAUUAUCCUCAUAUUUUCCGAGAACGAAACAUAACCUAAGAGUAUUGCAUAAUAAUACGUCAAGGCACGCAUAUACAUAGUAAUGGAUCAUGUAAACAUUAAAAUGCAUAUACAUGUUGCAUUUAUUUUCUGGUUUAUUUAUGCAACACAUGUUCACCCCAAAAAAGUUUAUAAAUCACCUUACUGCUUAUAAAUCACCUUAUUUUCACGGGGAUGGAGGCGGAUCGGGAGACCAUUUACUGGAAUGGGAGAAGGGUUAUAUAUGACCUUUUCAUUUGGAUCUACUUUCUCCCAUUUGAACCUUGUCACCAUAUUAUGGAUAAAUACAAGUAUUUGCAGUCGACUAUAUUCCUUCCCUGGACACAGCCGAGGGCCUCCUCCAAAGGGUACAAAAGUGUAUGGUGCAGGGCCUUUUCCUUCAAAUCUUGAGGGAUCGAAUUUCUCCGGGUCUGGGAAGUGCUUGGGGUUUCUGUUUGUUGUAUGUACACUCCAAUAUGUCUGCAAGAAAAUGAAAUUUUUUGUAGUGAUAAGCCACGGGCAUGAAACAUAGAUUUUUUCCUUUUGUUUAAUGACUAAUUGGAAGCAUAGUUGUAUAUAACAUACCUUCCAUCCCUUUGGAAUGGUAAAACCUUCAUAAGUGAAGUCAGUUAUGACCUCUCGGAAAGUUCCUUGGGCAGGUGGUGCUAACCUCAUUGUUUCAUUUGCCACACUCCAAGUAUACUUCAUCUUCUGAAUGUCAUUCCACUUCAGAAACUCUCCUGGAUCUUUGGACUUUGCUAUCUCCAUUUGCUCUAUAUAUGCAUAAUAGAAACCAAUUUGGAAUUAGUAUUAAGCUUGUUGUUUAAGAAUCCCCCCUCUAUAGAGAGUUUCCUACUGAAGAAUUAUUGAAACGAAGAUAUGUAUUAUCAAAGUUGCAGUGAGUCCCAAAAGGAACAUGUAAAUGGGUAUCCACUGAAGAUUCAGAAGGCAUUAUAGGAUAUGAGCAAGGAUGUAAAACUUUUGAAAUUGAUGGAUAAUGAAAUAUACACUAAGAUCAAAGGUAUAUGAUGUCACUUCUGUUUUUAUAUAUGGACCUUACAUGACAUCUUUUAGCAUAACAAAACUAAUUCCUGAGGAUAUAUAGAAAUUUAAUAGCAUAAGAAACUAUAUGAAAUCCCGUUCAAAUUUUUUAAGAACCAAACACAGCUUAUAUAAUUUGUCACUAAAUCAAGCUUGCUUGAUAAGGAUACAAGAAAGAGGAGACAAGGGUUUUACCUUUUAAGACCUUAUCAUAGACAUCAGGGAACUCUGCGAGAUAGUUCAAAACGAAUGUUAAGGUAGCACUUGUGGAAUCAAAGCUAGCAAGAAACAAACCAACAAUUUUAUCUGAUAUCUCCAUGUCAUUCAAACCCUUGCCGUUCUCAUCUGAUUGUAAAAGCAACGAAGAUAACAGGUCUUGGACUUCUGGUUCUCCCUCAUCUGAUAACUCAUUUCUUCUCUGUUUAAUGAUUGCUACAAGCUCAUCCCUUAGCAUUUUGCCUCCUUUCUUGGCACGGUUAAAUGGCGUACCAGGAAAAUCUAUAGGCACAGACACCAGCCCAGAUGUAAUCAGAUGGAAGGGAUGAGCAACCUUGGCGACCUGUUCAGGGUCUUUUAUGCUCAUGAACAAGCGACAAGCCAAAGCAAAGGUGUACUUCUUUGAUAGCGGAUAAACCUUUACUUCUCUAUUAGGAGCCCAAUCCAUCUCUAUGUGCUCCCGUGCCAUGGAAUCCAUGAUUUGUAUAUAGCGCUGUAGCACAUCUGGCCUUAGAAAUUCCAGGACAUAGCUGCGCAAUCCUCUUGGUUCUACCUUUGGGGGAGACUCGAAGAGCAGUAUCUUCUCCAUGGACCGCGGCUUCCAAGUGGCAACGAGCUUGUUGUGGUUUGAGAAUAGAAACUUGUUCCCUGCGGGGCCACAGAAGACAGCGACCUUCUCGCCCACCAAGGAGGUCCGGAACACAUCGGGGGAGUAUUUCAUCAUUCUUUCCUUUAUGAACCUUGUGGGGUUCCCACUCUUGCUUCCCAAAGCGAAUGCCAAAGUUUCUCCUAUGAUGGGCCAUCCUUGAUUACCCGGCGGAAGCUUUGCGGUGGCAGAUUUGUAUCUGCGGACAAGGAAGACUACGCAUAGAGACACAGAAAGGAGUAUAGGGUGAAGAAGAAAUGAGAAAAGAUCCAUGGCUCUCCCACAAUGAUGAUAAUGAAUCAAAAAAUGGGCAACGAAAAAGGCUCAGGCAUAUUCCGGGCGAUAUCUCCAAGAACUGAAUAGAAGUGAAAAACCAUGAUUGAGAUUACCACGUCAUUUAAGGAAAAAAAAUCAUUUAAUAGUUAAUGAAAAAAUAUUUUGAAUCUACUUUAUGGUUCCAACUCACUGUGUCGCAUGUACUUAGCAUGUUGGGCACGUAUCCUUUUAACUUUUUUUAUUGUGGUAUUUGCCAUAAAUAAAUAUUUGGGUUAUAUUUAAUUAAAUAUAAUAUAAGAUAAGAUAAUAAGCCAAGUAAGGCAUUUUUAUUCUAUAUUUAGAUGAAAAUGAGAUUAGUAAGUAAUCUCCAUAGGGUGUGUGUCAUCUUUUAAGCGAAAAAAAUUUCCUUGAUUUAAAAUAAUUUUUAUUUUUAAAACAGAAAAUAUGAUAUUUUUAGAGAUAUCUAAAUAAAAAAUAAAAGUAUACUCUUAUUAAAAUUUAUAAUUAGUUCAUUCUUAUCUUGCUUUUUCCAUGUUUUAUUUUUUAAAAUUCACAUAAAAUCAUUAUUUUAAGUUAACUCCCAUUCUUUUAAUAUUUGUAAAUAAUUUUUAGCACUUAACUUAUUUUAUGAUUUUAAUUUAAUUUUUUUUAUAUAAAUUUUAUCUUUCACAAUUUAUAUUAACAUAUUAUUUGGUUAAUUUUCUUAUGGAUUCUUCUUCACAUGAAAUAACUAGGAAGUAUUUCAAUAAUCAAACUAAUUGUAGUGAUGGAUCAAGGUAUGAGAGAGAUUCAUGUUUCUUCAAGUAUAAAUAAAGAAAAGAAUUAAUUGAUAAAUAAUAAAAUGUGAAAUAAACUAUAAAAGAUGAACAAUAAACAAUGUGUUCAAAUAUGAUAACAAAAUAAACUUAUUUGCAAAGAAUUAAAUAAAAACAUAACGUUUAAUCAUAGCAAACAUUUUCAUCACCAAUUAGAUGGUCAAUUUUCCCAUUAGGAUUCUCAAAGAAAUCUGAGACAUUUAAAUGGGUUAGAUCCACUUGGCUAUCACUAUCAAUGACGUUCAUUUCAACUUCCUUUCCUUUAAUUGAUGCUUGGUAAAGGUUGACCAAAUGUUUGGGUGUACGACAGGUAUGCGACCAAUGCCUCUUCAUACCACAUCUAUAACACUUAUUCUCAUGGUUCUUAGGAGGUUUAUCUUGUAAAUACUUCCCAUUUUCUUGUUUUACCUUAGUAUUAUUCCACUUUUGGUGGUGCAAUGAGGCUUUCAUUUUUUGAGAAUUUGGUGAAUUAUUACUAUAAGAACCAUGGUAUCGGGGAUUUCUUCCACAACCAUGACCACGUCCUUGUUAUCGUCCACGACUUUGGGAUAAUAUUGCAUUCACUUUAAGGAAAGAUUUAGAUCUAGUUGGACGAGACUGGUGAUUUCUCAUCAAAAGUUCAUUUUUUGUUAAACAUUCAUGGAGAUGAUAACGAAGGAAAAUCAAUGUUUUUGCACAAUCCUGCAGGGAUGCUUGAUUUCCUUCUUUGAUCAUAGCUCCAAGAUUCAUUGACAAUUUUGUUUUGAAUAACUUCUGGUUAUACAAGAGAAUUAGAAAUUGUAUGCAUAACUUCUGCCUAUGAAACAAUUGUUAAUAAAAAUUGUUUUCCAUAAUUCCUGUUGUGAAAAAUAAAAGAGUAUGAAAUAAAAAUUAAAUCCAAUAUUUUUCAUAACUUUAAGUUAUGAUUAUUUUGUCAAAACAAGAAAAUAUUCAAAUUUGUACAUAGCUUCAGGCUAUGGACUAUUUAUGUAUAACUUCUAGUUACACGAUAUAAUUAAAAAAAUUAAAAGUUAAUAUCUUUCAUAGCUUCAGGCCAUGAUUAUUUUGUCAAAAUAAUAAAAUAUUUAAAUUUGUACAUAACUUAGGCUAUGAACUGUUUUUAUAUAUAAAUUUGUAUAUAGCUUCAGACUAUGAACUAUUCAUUGGGUAGAUUUGUGCAUAGCUUCGGCCUAUGAACUUUCAUUAUGUAGAUUUGUACAUAACUUCAAGCUAUGAUUAUUUAUUUAUUUUAUAACUUUUGACUAUAUAAUAUUGUUUGAUAUAACAUCCAGUUAUACCAUAUAAUUAAAAAUAAAUAAUUGGAGAUCAUAUACAUAACUUCUGAUCAUGUAUUUGUAAUUCUAUAAUUUUUCCUCAUAACUUCUAGUUAUAGGAAUUGCACAUAUUUUUCAUAACUUCUGGUUAUGAAUUUACCCCAUAAUUUAUAAUAUAUGGUUGUAGGAAUUGUACAUAUUUUUCAUAACUUCUGGUUAUGAAUUUACCCUAUAAUUUAUAAUUUACCCCAUAACUUCUGGUUAUAGGGAUUAUACAUAUUUAUGUAUUCAAAUAAAAUAAAUGAAAAUAGAGAUCAAAAGGUAAUAAAGUAGAAAAUCAUGAUAUAAGUUUAUCAUAUACCUUUUUGUGAGAAAAAAGAAAAAAAGUCUUUCUAUUUCUCUGAAAGGAAGAAUGUCUUUCUAUUUCUUUAAAGAGAAGAACGUCUUUCUUAUUUAUUUGAAUAGAGAAAAAUCUUUAUAUUUCUUUUGUAGAGACUAUUCGUGCUGAUAACGUGUUGUAAAAUUAUAAAGUGAAAGGAGAAGAAAACAAGAAAGAGAAUCAUAAUGUAGAAAGAGAAUAGAAUGUAUGGGAAAACUCUAUAUUAAAUUUCAUUAGGACUCUCUCCUUUUUAUUAGAAGUUACAAGAGAUAUUUAUGAAUGAUCAUCCACAAGUUACCAUAGUGGUACAAAAUCUUAUAUUUUAUAACAGUUUUCUAUUUUUAUUUUUUUAUUUUUUUCUAUGGAACAAAUAUUAUCAUACUUAGUAGAAUGUGCCCAUAUACUUAGUAGAAUGGGCUCGUAGUACCAUAUCGGAUUCAAUCAAUUAUCUAUGAUAGAUAAAGUCAUUUUGUAUUUUCUUAUUUGGUGGCACAAACUUGACCAUGAACACAUACCAUUAUUCUAACACUAAAGUGGACCACUAAAAUGCACUACGAAUCACUAAUAUACAACUCACAAGUUACAGAGUUAUCAUGAUCCACAAUAAUGCUUCACAUAUUAUAAUUUUUGAAAAUAUGAUAUUUUUCUUUAAGUGUGUAAUGAAUAUCUUAUUUGGUAACUAUUCUAAAAAAUAAUUUUUAAAGAUACUUUUUAUAAAUUGUUCUUUGAUAUUUUAUAAAAAAUAUUUAUUUUAAAACUUAAAAUGUUUUUAAUCUACUUUUUAUAUUUUUAAAUGUAUUUUAAAAAUAACUUUAUAUAUAGUGUUUUAUUUUUAAUUAUUCUCCAUAUUCGUAUAAUAUUUUUUAAAAUUUUUUUUAAUAAAACUAUUCUAAAUAAUUGUUUUCAUAACCAUUUCCUAAAUAGACCCUUAAUUUUUAGUGUUUUUUUUUCUUUGAAGAUGCCAAUUAUUAUUAUUGGAAAGUAGUUUUAAAGUAAAUGUAGAGAGUAGUGAUCAUUUUGAUGCAUUAGUUAUAUAUUUUGGACAUCUUUCUCACUACUUUUUAUUAUAUUAAUUUGCUCUUCUACAUCUAUAUAUUGUAUUUUUUUUUUUUAAAUUUUUUUUUGAUAUACUUAAUCAUUUUUGUGACAAAAAAAUAGAUGAUAUUUACAUUUAUAUUGAGUAACGAUGAUUCUCUUGAUAUAUAUAUAUAUAGAACAAGAUGACCAAGUCAUAAGACUUCUAGAUAACAGAUCCGUUGAAAAGCAUAAGAAAGAUGGCUAUAAUUUCAUACACUUUGGUAUGAUUCAAGUAGCAGCUAAGCCUUUGACAAGAUUAGGUUUAAACACCGCUAUUGUCAUGUGUUUAAGGGAUAAUAGGCAUCUAACCGACAUUUGCGGAGAACCAAUUAUUAAGCAAAUCAAGCAUUGGAGAGCCAGAGUCAUCAGCAGAGACUUUGAAGCCUACCUAAAAAACAUGGGGCAUCUCAUUGCUGCAGAUUCCCUACAUCAGAUAUUUUGCCUUUUUUUGCCUAUUUAAGGAGGCUCGGUCCUCAUUUGUAAGCACGUUUCAUUUUUCUCUCCUAAGCUUAUGCUCUCCCUUCUCUCUUCUUUCUCUCUCAUCAUGUAAGCCUUUCAAGCUUUCAAAGUUUAUUAAAGGAGAAAGUUUCAUUCCUAAUCACUCAAUUCAUGGAACUUGCAGGAUUCACAAGAACAUGGCCCCCAAGAAAGACAAACAACCUCUUAGGUCCAUUAAUUCUAAGGAUUCCCAUUCAGCUCUCUCUGAGAAAUUCACGCCAUUUUAUGACCAUUUUGAAAUAGCAGAUUCUUCUAGCCACUUCAAUCAUCACAUUACUUCACCAUCCACUAGUAUGGAUAUAGACUCAAGCUCGGAAUCUCUACCUUUUGUGGAAGAUUCCUUACCCACAAAUUCAUCUUUUAAUAAUGCUAACACUUUGUCUGAUUAUGUCAAUUGCAUUUUUGAAUGGCAGGGAAGUUAUGAGACUCUUGAAAGAAAACUUGAGUCAGUUGACUUUCAUAAGCUCAUGUUAAACGCUCAAGCCUCAUUUUCCCCACUGGAAAAUGGUGAGAAAAACCCAUUCACCCCACUGGUGAAUGAGAAAUUAAGUAAGGAUGAGCAGGAGUGCAUUAUCUUUAGAAUGUUUCACCAAAGGAAUGAGAUCCUGUCCAAACCAUGUCUAGGAGAUCCAGUGAUUCUCAAGAUACUGUUGUAAACAGUGAAGAGAUCAAUUAUCCUAAGAUCCAAAAUGAUUUAGAUGAUUGGAAGUUACCCAAGGUGUCUAAUCAAGAAAUUUAUAAGAAAGGAACCUUUAAGUUCUUCACAUAUUAUACCAUUAAGACCUCUGAAAUGACAGUCAGUUUAGAACAAGAUGACCAAGUCAUAAGACUUCUAGAUAACAGAUCCGUUGAAAAGCAUAAGAAAGAUGGCUAUAAUUUCAUACACUUUGGUAUGAUUCAAGUAGCAGCUAAGCCUUUGACAAGAUUAGGUUUAAACACCGCUAUUGUCAUGUGUUUAAGGAAUAAUAGGCAUCUCGAAUAUCGAGAUUCUAUUAUAGGCGCAGUCCAAGAUGGACUACAAACCUUAUGAGACGUCACCCCAACCCUCUUACAGCCUAACAAACGCCUAUCCACGGCUAACAACGGCUCAACCGGCAGGGCUCGCGCUCCCAGGCACACUGCUACCUAUCCUAGGAUAGGCCAAGAACACCGACAUGCAGAUCCUGAAGAUAUGCUGAAAUGAAAACUUGUUUUUCUUCAGCACUGGACCUGGCUUUUUCACAAAUUAGAAGGGUUUUUUCCUUAAGGUUUUUAACAAGGAUAAAGGUUUGCUUAAUACAGAUGUCAUGGUUACAGAUAUGAACAUCUGUUAACUUAUACUUAAUGGCAAGUCUUUCGCCAUUGGCUCCAAAUAGAGACUCACUAGUCUCUUCGCAUAAAGGAAUAGGUACCAGACCUUCUUGAAGGCAAUUUUCCGCUGCUCCUGAAUCAAUCAAAGCAAUAAUAUCAAAGACAAAUUUAUCUUUGACUACUAUAGUAAGGGAGACUUCCCACCUCUAGAAGAUAACCCUACUCACAGUAUUCAAAAAAGUAUUUGUCUCAUUAUCAUUAAUAUGAGAAGAUUCUGGAAUAUCCAUAUGGAUUUCUUGGUUGCCAAUUCUAUUGAUUUGAUCUUGGAGAUCAGAGAGACCUAGACUUAUGAAUUGUCUUAACUCCUUAAUCUCCUUUUUAUGCUGCUUAACUUCUUCAUGAAGUUCCUUAAUGCUGACAUCCUUGGGAGACUGCUGGUCAAACCUGUUUAAGAUAUCGUUAAGGUUAUAAGGAUUAACAGUCUUCUUGGCUUCUAUCUUAACAACAGAUUUCUUAAAAACUUCAUAAAGGCUUUGCUUAGUUUUUUCAUCUUCAACUUUUCUUAAAGUAUCUAGGAUGAAUUCUUGAUCUUGGCUUAUGACAUUUAUGGUUUUAGGACGACAAUUACAAUUACCCUUAAUACAAACAUCUUGGUCACUAGAAGAUUGGCUAGAAACAUCGCCACUGCUAUCUAGUUGAUUAAUAUCAUCUUCAUUAUCUGAAUCAGUCCUUGAUUCAGAGUCUGAGUUUAACAUUACUUUACAAAGCAUAUUUUUUAGGUCAUCUGAGACACUUAAGUUGUUAAUCUUUUGCUUAACUCUACAAUCUUUUUUAUAAUGGCCAACUUUGCCACAUUUAAAACAGAUAAUUGGCUUGACAUCUAAAGGAGUUUCUACCUUUUUCUGAGUAUCUUUGUUGACCCUUCUUUGGACGUGUCUUGACUGCUUAGUAUCAUUCAUCCUAUAGUUGUCAUAGGUACCUCUCUUAUUGUGGUAAAACUUAUCUUUGCUAGGCUUCCUGCUUGGCUUUUGCUUAGAGGGAGGCAUAGUUUCUUUUUGGCUGAAACCAAACUGGCUACAGAAUGAUCCAAAUUCAUUCUUGUAGAUUUUUUGUUCAUUCUUCAUUUGUUGCUUAAGCUUGAAGUCAUUGUACAACUUAAUCCCUUAAGCUGUGACAAUGCUUAUAAUCUCACCAUAGGUUAGCUUAUCAUAAGGGAUUUGACCGUUAUACUGUUCCCUUAUCUUGAUCCUAAUUCUCUCAGAGAAAAGCUUGGGUAAUCCUGAGAUGAAUUUUUCUUUCCAAAAAGACUGGUUACAAUCUGACCUUAGCAUGACUUUGGUUAGGAAGACUUCCUUAUACCACCUAAAAUCAUGAAGCUUGGGACACUUAAGGUUGGUUAAGAGGUCUGCAGUUUUAUCCUUAAUUUUUGCAGGAUCUCCAAUGAAGUGCUUGGAUAUUGAGUAGAUUAGAGUAGCCACUGCAUCUUCAACAUCUUGGCCAUCUUCGUCCUUAACAACUUCAUUACUCUCAUUGAUCCUAUAGGCUUUAAGGAUACUAUUCCUAUCAUCAAAAGUGAGAUAAUUAUCCCACCAACCCUUAAGCUGACCUGUAAACCCAGCAACAAUGGUCUGAGCUACAGCAUGAUCUGGCAGUCUAUUGUUUAAUUUAUAAGCUGUACUAACCAUGGUCAUUUCUUGAAGCUUAGUGAGUAUGUUAUACUCGGUCAUACCGUCUAUGUUCCAUUCAUAGAUAGUACCACUGGUGUAUGAGGCUUGAGUAUAUUGAUUUCUUUCCUCAAACUGCAUGUCAGGAAAAGUAGGCCUAGGAUAGUAAUUCCUAGUCUUAAAGGUUUCCAAGUUGUUAAUAAUUUGAUUAUGGGGUUCCUCAAACAUCUUAAUUAGUUCAUCAGCUUCUUCUUCUGAACUAAUAUCACCUUUAACCAUAUUGAUUCUCUUAUCGGGCCGAACAGUCAAAGGAGUAACAAGAUUAUCCUUAAUCUUCUGAUUAAUCUUAUCGACAAUGGCUUGGUUGACUUGGGGAUUUUCUUGGAAAUCCUUAGAGAAUUCAUAUGGCUUAUUUUCAUUAUUACUACUGGUAACCUUUAUACGCUUAAAGGGAUAAUCUGGAUAUUCCUCUUGUUUGAAGAGUUCAAACCAAAUCCAAAACUUAAUAUUUUUCUUUUCUUGUCUUAAGUAGGCAUAGAAUUCUUCUUGGUAAAUGGUUCUAAUGACCUUAGGGACAGUGCUAAAGAACCAAUCAUUUCUUUGCUUAUUGACUUCAGAAUAGAAGUCCUUUCUUAAGAGAUCCUUGUUGAUCUCAAAGUCCUCAUCACUUAGGCUUAUUGUGUUAAUCAUCUGGGAAUAGGUAGGAGACAUAACAGGGGACUCAUCCUGUUGGGAUUCCUGAGUAGACUCAUUUUCUUCACUGUAAAAUGGUCUAGCCACAUUGGUGUAACUUCUGACACCUGUUAGCUUAACGUUCUUAGGAUUUCCUGAGCUGGAUCCUUCUUCUUCCCUAGUGGUUCUAACUGGGAUGGAAGAGCUUGAAGCUCUAGAGGGUUCAUAAACAGAAACUCUAGGGCUGCUGGAGUGUCUGAAAGAUUUGGAGAAGACAAGGUCAUAUGCAAAUGAACAAAUGAAUUAUGCCAUGAUUCAAAACAAAGAAGAGGGUUAGAAAAUACAAAAGAUAUGUUUUUAUUUCGGCUUAUCUUCAGGAUCUGCACAUUUAUCUCUCAGCCAUUCCUGGUCUCAGUGUUCUAGGAUUAAAUUUAACCAAGGAAAUGGAAUUUGAUGGCUCAAAGCUUUGCAGAAGUUGUACUGAAUCGCUUCUUCAUCAACAAGACAACAAGCCAAUUUGGAUCUUCUUGGGGAUGAUGAAAUCUGACACCUGUUAGCUUAACGUUCUUAGGAUUUCCUAAGCUGGAUCCUUCUUCUUCCCUAGUGGUUCUAACUGGGAUGGAAGAGCUUGAAGCUCUAGAGGGUUCAUAAACAGAAACUCUAGGGCUGCUGGAGUGUCUGAAAGAUUUGGAGAAGACCAGUUCUCCUCCUCCAUCUGGAUAUUGAACAAUUUGUUCAAUACUUUGGUUCCUUGGAAUGAGGAUCAUACCAAGAUUGUUAAAAUAGUAAAGUCUAGAGUCAAAACUCUACCAUGUCUCGCCUUAGCUGAUCAUAAAGCCUUUAAGAUUGUUGAGACUGAUGCUUCUGAUAUAGGUUUUGGUNNNNNNNNNNNNNNNNNNNNNNNNNNNNNNNNNNNNNNNNNNNNNNNNNNNNNNNNNNNNNNNNNNNNNNNNNNNNNNNNNNNNNNNNNNNNNNNNNNNNAGAUCAAUUAUCCUAAGAUCCAAAAUGAUUUAGAUGAUUGGAAGUUACCCAAGGUGUCUAAUCAAGAAAUUUAUAAGAAAGGAACCUUUAAGUUCUUCAUAGAUUAUACCAUUAAGACCUCUGAAAUGACAGUCAGUUUAGAACAAGAUGACCAAGUCAUAAGACUUCUAGAUAACAGAUCCGUUAAAAAGCAUAAGAAAGAUGGCUAUAAUUUCAUACACUUUGGUAUGAUUCAAGUAGCAGCUAAGCCUUUGACAAGAUUAGGUUUAAACACCGCUAUUGUCAUGUGUUUAAGGGAUAAUAGGCAUCUCGAAUAUCGAGAUUCUAUUAUAGGCGCAGUCCAAGCUGGACUGAAUGAUGGCCCAGUUUAUUUCCAGUGCUAUCCUAACUUCACAGUUAGAUUAAGAGAUGCAGACAUCUUAGAUUCAGUUGUCCUGCAUAUUAAGACUCAUGGCUUUAAGAUCAAACCAGGAAACAGUCCUGUUUCUAUCAUAACCAAGUUUGCUUAUAAGAGCAUGAACACAAGCGUUGGAUCUGGGGCUCUUUGCACCAGUCCUAAGGGUGAAACCACUUACUUUCUCUGAAUGAUGGCCCAGUUUAUUUCCAGUGCUAUCCUAACUUCAUAGUUAGAUUAAGAGAUGCAGACAUCUUAGAUUCAGUUGUCCUGCAUAUUAAGACUCAUGGCUUUAAGAUCAAACCAGGAAACAGUCCUGUUUCUAUCAUAACCAGGUUUGCUUAUAAGAGCAUGAACACAAGCGUUGGAUCUGGGGCUCUUUGCACCAGUCCUAAGGGUGAAACCACUUACUUUCACUCUGAUAUGCUAGAUAAGUCAGAUUUCAUCAUCCCCAAGAAGAUCUUGUGGAAAGAUGUUGAUUUCCCUGAAAAUUGGCAUUUUGCUAAUGCUGUUCCAGCCAUAGCACAGCGUUCUGAAAGUAUUGAACAAAUUGUUCAAUAUCCAGAUGGAGGAGGAGAACUGGUCUUCUCCAAAUCUUUCAGACACUCCAGCAGCCCUAGAGUUUCUGUUUAUGAACCCUCUAGAGCUUCAAGCUUUUCCAUUCCAGUUAGAACCACUAGGGAAGAAGAAGGAUCCAGCUCAGGAAAUCCUAAGAACGUUAAGCUAACAGGUGUCAGAAGUUACACCAAUGUGGCUAGACCAUUUUACAGUGAAGAAAAUGAGUCUACUCAGGAAUCCCAACAGGAUGAGUCCCCUGUUAUGUCUCCUACCUAUUCCCAGAUGAUUAACACAAUAAGCCUAAGUGAUGAGGACUUUGAGAUCAACAAGGAUCUCUUAAGAAAGGACUUCUAUUCUGAAGUCAAUAAUCAAAGAAAUGAUUGGUUCUUUAGCACUGUCCCUAAGGUCAUUAGAACCAUUUACCAAGAAGAAUUCUAUGCCUACUUAAGACAAGAAAAGAAAAACAUUAAGUUUUGGAUUUGGUUUGAACUCUUCAAACAAGAGGAAUAUCCAGAUUAUCCUUGUAAGCACAUUAACAACACCUCUAAAAAAGCUAAGAUAUGGAAAACCAGUGACAACAUUGUUAUAGAAUCCAUUCAUCCUCCUGAAGCUAAGAUAGAGAAGAAUAUUAAUGGAACCAUUGUCACAGCUUCACCUUUUAAGACUAAGCCAGAGGAUAAAGGAGCUGCUAGUGCAUCUGAUAUUAGAAGGAUUAUGGAACAAAUCAAUUAUACUAAUAUGUUUCUCAUAACCCUUGGAAAUCAAGUCAACAGAGUUGAAGAGAUUAUUGAAACUCAGGAUCACCUUAAGAAGCCUUUUGUUAAGAAUGAUAAUAAGCCUUUGUUUAAGCCUUUUGAAUUAUCUAAGAAAUUCCAGGAAAAUCCUCAAAUUGAUCAAGCUUUCAUUGAUAGAAUAAGCCAGAAGGUUAAAGAUAAUCUUGUUAUCCCUGAAACACCUCAACCUUCCCAUAGGAGAAUCCUUUUGGUUAAAAAGAAUAUUAGUCCAAAAGCAAAGGAUAAUGGACUAAUUAGGCUAACCAGAGAACCUUCUAUCCAAAACCCUUUUAAGAAUCAUGAUGAGAAACAAGAAAGGAUUAUCCUUAAUACCCUGACUAUUAAAGAUCUUCAAGAAGAAAUAGGGCAGUAUAAGAAGGAUAUUGAGAACCUAAGACAACCUACAAGCUCAGAAAUCCCUAUCCCUCAGGAUUAUAUCAACAGGGUAGGUUUUUACCACAGUAGUCCUAAAAAGGAAGACUUUGAAGAAGUUCUUGAAUCUUCACAAGACAAUAGUGAUAAGAUAAAUGCAUACUUAAAUACUAUUAGUAAAGUUAUCUUCCAAAGGUGGGAAGUCUCCCUUACUAUAGUAAUUAAGAAUAAAUUUAUCCUUGAUAUUAUUGCUUUAAUUGAUUCAGGUGCAACUUUGAAUUGUCUACAAGAAGGUCUUGUACCUACCCAAUUUUAUGAGAAAACCAGGCAAGCCCUCUUUGGUGCUAAUGGUAAAAAGCUUAUUAUCAAGUACAAGCUUUCGAAUGCCCAUAUUUGUAACCAAGGUAUUUGCAUUAAGCAAACCUUCAUUCUUGUUAAAGAUCUCAAGGAGAAAGUUCUCCUUGGAGUCCCUUUCUUAAGCUCCAUCUUUCCUAUGUGGGUAGAUGAUCAAGGUAUAAGAACUAAGCUUUUAGAUAAGGAAAUUCUGUUUGAAUUUGCCAAUCCACCUGGAGAAAGAAGUAUAAACACCAUAAAAGAUCAGGUGAUUAAGGCUAAGCAAAAUCAUAUUAAUCUCUUAAAACAAGAGAUUGCUCUGGUUAGAAUAGAAGAUCAACUGAAGGUUAAGAAAACCCAAGAUGCUAUAGAAAACCUUAAGAAUAAGAUUAUUAAGGAAGUUUGUUCUAACAUUCCUAAUGCUUUUUGGCACAGGAAGCAGCAUGAGGUAGAAUUACCCUAUGAGCCUGAUUUUAGUGAGAAAAAUAUUCCCACUAAAGCAAGACCAAUCCAAAUGAACAAAGAUUUGUUAAGCUAUUGUGAAAAAGAAAUCCAGGAUCUCAUGGAUAAGAAGUUGAUAAGGAAGUCUAAAUCCCCUUGGAGUUGUUCAGCUUUUUAAGAUGGAUCAGGUAUCCUAUCCCAAAUAAAAAGGACCUCCUUCAAAGAUUAGGGAAAUCCAAAGUGUUCUCUAAGUUUGACAUGAAAUCAGGAUUUUGGCAAAUCCAGAUUGCAGAAAAAGAUAGGUACAAAACAGCCUUUGUGGUCCCAUUUGGUCAUUAUGAGUGGAAUAUAAUGCCCUUUGGCCUUAAGAAUGCACCUUCUGAGUUUCAAAACAUAAUGAAUGAAAUCUUUAACCAGUUUUCUGAUUUCAUUAUUGUUUACAUUAAUGAUGUUUUGAUUUACUCAGAUUCUGUUGAGCAGCAUUGGAAACAUCUCAAUAGGUUUAUUGAGACUGUUAAGAGCAAUGGUUUAAGCUUGUCAGCCACUAAGAUUAACCUCUUUCAAACUAAAGUAAGAUUCCUAGGUCAUCAUAUUCACCAAGGAACAUUCACCCCCAUUCAAAGGUCAAUUGAGUUUGCUGAUAAGUUCCCUGAUGAAAUUAAGGAUAAGAAACAAUUGCAACGUUUCUUAGGAAGCCUUAAUUAUGUGUCAGAUUUCUUGAUCACAAGGAGUGAUGCUCCCAAUUGGAUUAGCAAAUUCAAAAAGAAUAUAUAUAUAUAUAUAUAUAUAUAUAUAUAUUUUCAUUUUUUUAUAAUUUUUAGAAUUUUCUUAUAAUGUUUGGGAUUUUUGAAUUGUGAUAUUAAUUUAUAGUUUAUCAUAUAAAUUAAUUACUAUUUGUUCCACACAUUGUUUUCCACAAAUAUUAUUAGUAGGUUACAUGUUUGCAUGACCUUAAGAACUUACAAAGCAUUGACGAAGAUCAUUGAGUUGAAAUUUUUAGUUUAGACAAAAAAUUGAGAUAGUGUAUGUUUUUUUAACUUAAUUUUAAAUAAAACUUAAAACUAAAUAGUAUUUAAUAAUGUUGACUAUUAAGUUAUUUGUUUUUUUAAAUAUUUUAUUUCUAUUAAGUGUUGAGAAGUAAAAAAAAAACUAAUAAAUUAUUUUUAGCAUUAAAAAAAAGUUAAAUAUUUUUAUUUUUUCUAUUCAAUCAAAAAAUUUAAGAAAUAAGUAAUAAGUAAUAAGUAAUAGAAAGUAAAAAAAAAAAAAAAAAACUGAAAUAUGAAAAUAAGUUGCUUUUAAUAAAAAGUUAAAAAAACAAACAAACAAACAAGACUUGAGUGGUAUAUAAACUCUUUUUUCAGAGCAUUGGAGGAGUUAUGUAAUAAUUAUUUAGUCACAAAAUUGUUAAAGAAGGAUAUUGCUGUAGGGACCACCCCCAAACGCACACGUGGCAGCCUCACAGAGCACUCCUCCAUUGGGCACGUGGCACGUCCAACUUUCUGUCCGGAUUUCCUCAAGGGGGCACGCAACACUCUCAAACUCUUUAUUUGAAUGACCCCCACUCUCUUGUCCGGACGUCUUGUCCAGACCCAGUGCUAGUGUCUUAGACAAAAGUCUUGGUCGUGUUUUGUGGGCCAUCAUUAUUUAUACUACUAAAAGCAUGCUUGACGGGACCCUCCUGACUCACUUCAGGCAACCUGUCACGACCUGCACCCCGUUGCCUGCAGAGUGAAAAGACAGAGAUGACGGCAAGUCAUCCCUCUCAUAAUUUCUGACAGCCGCCUCUACAGGACAAUGAUGGCUCUACCACCAUCUUCGCACCAUCAUGACAAGCCAAAAAGUCUUCCCACCAUUAAAGGAGACAAAGCUCCUGACACUAUAAAAGGCCCUCACACAUUAAAAGAAGGUAAGCGUUCUUGCCCAAAAGAGGAGGACCCAAGAGAUAAUAGAGAAAUGUUAGAGAUAAAGGCUAACAAAACCAUCGAAGGGUGUGUCCGGACCCCCUGUUCGGACAUCUUUUGUAGGUUGAAUGAAGCGGGUACCAUCUUCAGUUGAGGAGACGCGUCCAUCUGGCAUCUGUAGUGGCCCCGGUGACGCGAGGCCUCAACAAUUGCUACUCAUCCAGAGUAACUACUUUAGGUUGAUUAUCUUAUUCCAAAUAAUUCUUGCAUCUAAUAUUGUUGCAUAUUUUCUAAGAUUCAUAUAGGUCUUGAAGAUUUAAUUAAGAUCAUCAUCACUUUGUAAAUGAGGCCAUCCAAGUAAGUAUGGUUGAGUUAGUUUAGUGAAUGACAACAUAAAUUAAGAAGUAUAUUUUGGGCAUUAUUACAUAACACGAGUUUUACGGGUUUGGAAAAGCAAAUUUAAAGAGUGCUCAAGAACUUAAGAGCACUCACUAUGAAACAUGGUACUAUUAAACAUGAAGAUGUGCAUAGAUCCUAACCAAUGUAAAACCCCUAAGGAAAUUAAUAGCAUCUAGUUCAUGUAAAAUUGUGAUUUAUUUUUUUUGAAUUUGCUCAACAAUCAAUUGACCAAUAAUAUAUAAUUAAUUUAUAAAAAAUAUUUAUUGAUUUUUGUUUUGAAAUAUGAUAUAUCAUAUAUGAUAUAUGAUAUAUCCCAUUGAUCAGGGGAUAAAAAAAAACAAAAAAAACGAAGGAAUCAAGCCCCAUGUGUAAUUUCAAGAAUUCAGAUUAGAACUUCUAAAUGAGAACUAAAACUAAAUGAGGUUCAAUUUAAAUAUGUAUUUCUUGUUGAUGGACGUACAUGUUAUUAUUGUAUAGUCCAGUGAUGAACUCAUCCCUUCAAUUAUACUUUAAAGAGAACUCCUAUCACUAAUAUUUGACUUUUCAGGGUUACAUACAUAUACAUAUAUAAUGGAUGUACAAGCAACUAUAAAAAUAACAAGUGUAAUUUCAUUGAUUGGAACAUGUAAUGAAGUAUAAAAAUAAUUUAAAUAUUUAGUUUUUUUUUUUAAUUGAUAAUGGGUUAUGUUUUAAAAAAAAAGUAUAGAUCUAUACAUUUAAGGUACAAUAAUACUGUUCUUAAGUUAAAAAAUGAGUUACUCAAAUAAUGACUCUUAAAACAAGGUUGAUGAUGUGAUGUCAAAUGUCAUAAAAGGUUUGAUAUGCACUAAUUUAUCACUAAUUGGUUUUCAAAUGAGAUGAUGAAAACUCGAUCCUAAAUUAACAAAUAUGAGAGAUUGUGUAAGAUGCAUCGUAAUUGGGCAAAUUUAAAAAAUAAUAAUAAGAAAAAAAAAAUGAAAGGCUUGAUCCUUCAAGUCAGAAAUUAAUAUUAUGGUGAUAAAAAAACUGAAUGUAAGAAUUUAAGAAUGGGGCGCUGGUGAGUGUGCACAACCACCCACUACAGCUUUAAGAACUGGUGAGCUGAAAAAUUCAACUAUAUAUGAGAGACUGCUGGGUGUCAUGGAUAAAGACUGAUUAUCAAGGGUCAGUAAUCAAGUUUCAUCAUCCUCUAAAAGUAAAAAAAUAAUAAUAUAAAUUAGAUUUCUUUUAAUAAUAUGUACUUUGACUGGCAUUAAAGAGUCAACCUCUUCAAGAAACUGAGAAGUAAGGGUUGUACAUUUUAAACAUUUUCUAAUACUUAGGGUUUGUUUGCUUACCAAAGAAAAAUGAUAUUAAUUUUGGUAAAUUUUGACCUCAAAAGUAGUGUGAGUACUAGAAAAAAAAUAUUUAGGUCUUUUAUAAAUUGGAUUAUUAAAUUCGUGUGAACACAUGUGAUGAUAAACAUAGGGAUAUUAGGAAUUUAAAAUAUUUUCUUUAUUUUAAUAUAAAAAUUAAAUUUUAUUUAAAUAAAUCAUUUUAUGUUUACACUCAAUUCUUGGUUUUUUUUUUUUCUCUGUUUAAAUAAAUUUAAAUAAACAUAUUAAUUAUUAUCAUAAUAGUUGUUUUCUUUUUGUAUUUUUAAAUGAGUAGCCUGCUUUUGAUUAGGAAGAAGAGCUUUCAUAGUUCAAUAAAUUUUUGAAAAUGUUGUAAAACACUUUCAAGUUUCCAAGGCAAAUCAACAUAGUAGCAAAACAAUUUUCAUUUCUACCUUAAACCAAUAAUAUCAAAUAAUUUGUUACAAAUAAAAAAAAACAUAAUAAAAAUAAUAGAUUUAUGUAAAAAACCCUCCAUUACCACUAUAAAUCUUCUAAAAAAUCUCAUAAUUAUGGUUUCAUUUUAUAUGUCGCAUUAUGAAUUUUUUGGAUAACAAAACUCCAAUAUAAAUAUUUCAUACAAAUUUAUACGAUGUAUGAUUGAAGAAGAAACCAAAAUAAGAAAUAUCUUUUAUGAUUGACAAGUAUUUAUAAUAUUUGUCAUGAGAUCGGCCACAUCCAUAAAUCAAAAUAUCUUUUAUAAAGUCAAAAAAAUGUUGGAAUCUGAUUGAUUGCCAUGGUAAUGACAAAAAAAUCAAAAUAUCUUUUAUAAAGCCAAAAAAAUGUUGGAAUCUCAUUGAUUGCCACGGUAAUGACAAAGAACAGGGAUAAGACACAAAGACGCAAUAAUUUCAUUGAAGGUCCCUUCCCCCGAGUGAUAUGCCAUUUUGUAGAAUCUGUUGCUGCCAAUGCGUGCGCAAUACUUGUGGUGAAAAUGGCAAGCUGGAUUCUUGUCGUUGUAACACCUGUCUCGAUUUCAUUUCUCAUGUCAACAGCAACAACAGUGUAUCAUUUAUUUCCCUCCAUUUAUAAUUAACAAAUAAACCUUCUUUCCUCCCCCACCAUCUUCAUCUUCAGCCUAUUCUCUUCUUCUCCUCGGUUCCACAUUAUUUUUUUCCGUCCUUUUCGAACUCACUCAAAAUUGAACAUGGAGCAAAAAAUCCCAAUCAACGGAAAUUGUAGGGAAAAAAUUCUAUAUGAAAUACAUAAGUAUCUUUAAGGUUACAAAUUUCGACAAUUUUUUUCCAUGCAUUUUCUAGGAAACCAAACAAUGAAAAAACACAAGAGAAUAUAAUCCGGAAAAUUACCUGAUAACAAUAGGGUUUCAAAAUGUAAUUCUAUUGUUCUUCAUCGCCUCGAUACAUUGCCUUCUCUCCUCAGCAUCAUAGGCCCUUUUCAACCCACAAAGUGGGUUUGCAUUUGCAUAAUCACCUAGAUUUUCUUCCAAAUAAAAAAGAAAAAAAUAUAUAUAGAAGGAAAGAAAAAUCUGACCUCCCUAAUUACUCCAAAACCCGCUUCUCUCUCUACUAUCAUUUUUCCCACUCCCUCUACCGUUCUUCUUCCCACUACCUUUACAGGUCUCUAAUGAGACCCACUGCACCAAACUCUGAUUUUCAAGUAAAAAAUAAAUAAAAAAUAAAAAAAUUCCCCUUCUUAGUAAACAAUAUGAGUUCGCAUCUCAUUAGUGAGGAUCCCAAAUCCCAAUUGGUGUACCCCACUAUCUUUCUUCCUAAACCCCCUCAGGUUCACCUGAGUCAUAUUCUUUAUUUAUUUAAAAAUAAAAUUUAGAAUAUUUACAAAAAAUUUAACUUUUAAUUAGAAAAAAUAAUUUAUAAUAGUUAAAUAAAGAUAAGUUUUUAUGUAAGGUAUGGAAAAAAAUUAUUAUCAAGUAUUUGCUAUGCUAUAUUAAUGAUUUUUUUUUUAAUAUUUGCAAAAUUGUUUAGUGCCCAAAUCGUAAUAUUUAAAAUAAAUAAAUAAGAAAGUAGAUAAAAGAGCCAUAGAAAAAAUAAUUUAAUAAAAAUAUAUAAAUAAAAAUAGUGCACGUCUUACAUAAAAAAAAAGUUUAUCUUAUAUUUAAGUAUUAUUUUUCCAUUUAUAAUUACUUUUUAGGUGUCUCAUUAAUAAUUAUCUGAACAACCCAAAAUAUUCAAAAAAAUCAAAAUAGAUAAAAUGUCCAUGAUAUUAAGAGAAUCUAGAGUGUUAAAAACAUUAAUGUAUAUUUGACUAUUAAAGAAAUUACAAUUAUUUGUGAUAAUGAAAAAAUAUUUUAGGAAUGUUAUUUUUUUUUCUUAUCAAAACUCUCUAAUAGUUUUAAUUUAUUAAACUAUUAAUUAAAUAAUAAUAAAAUAGUAAUUUUCAAAUAGAUCAAAAUGGUUGAAUGUUUAAAAUGAAAAGUCAAUUUUUCUUUAUGCAUAUAGAUAGAUAUAGGAGAUCAAGUGAACAGAUGUUAUUAUUUUAGAUAUAAUCAAUUGACCAAUAUAAUUAAUAAUAAUUAGAUUUCUCAUCUUAAUACGAUUAUUAUUUUAGUUUUCUAAAAUGUUUAAAAUAUUGUAUCUAAUUUUUUUUUAUUUAAACAAAAUUAAUAAUUCUUUUUUUUUUUUUCAAUUUCUUGAAAUUUUUGAAAAAAUAAAUCUUGUAAAAAAAAUCCUAUUUAAUGAAACUAUAAUCCCUAACAUAGAGCUUCAACAAAUAAUAAGGUAUGCAUAUUUGUUAAAUAAUAAAAAAUUAAUUAAGUAAUAAUAAUUAUUUUUUAUUGACAUCUAAAUUUUUUAUUACAGAACAAAUAUAUAAAUAAACUUGUCACGACAUUACAAUAUAUUUUUUGAAAACAAAUGCUAAAAAAUUUAAAUAUUUUAUUUUAUCUUACUAAAUUAUUUUCUCAUAUAUAUUUUUUUAAAAACUAGAAUACCAUGUUUUAUAUUUAAAUUUUUGUUUCUUUAUACUUUUAUCCCACUUAAACACUUUUGAGAGUGUUUCUAAGAAUUCUUUUUAAUUGAAGUGUCAUUUUUUUCUUAAAUAUUUUUAAAAUUUUAUCAAAUACUAAGUGGAUGCUUGGUAAACCAACUUAAUAACUUAAAGUGACUUAAUAACUUAAUUUAAGUUAUUAAGUAAAUUAAGUAUGUUUAGUAAGACUUAAAGUAAAAAAAUAACUUUAAGUAAUAAAUAAAAACAAUUACUUAUUCUUAAACUUACAACUUUAUUUUAUAUUUCUUUACCCUUAUUUGUCUUAGUUACUUUCACGAUCUCUUUUACUACUCUACAACUUCUUGGUGUUGUGCUAACUGGAUGUAGGUCUAUCUAGCUUCACUAGAGUCAAACAAAUUUCUUCUCUGCACAAAAGGAUGUUCAAAUAGGUGGUUCAAGUACGCUCCUCUGAAGCUUAAGUCGAAAUCUAGCAAAAGUGAAUCGAACUUUUUGAAUGGCUAUGUGUGCGUACCUUUUUCAUCCUUUUGGAGGGGUUUUUAUAGAACAUUUAGCGCCAUGAUCACAACAUUGAUUGCGCAUUUAUGCCUUUCUUGAGUUGAUGAUCGCCGUCAUGGCAAAUAUUAUGCCUUAAUAAGGUAGUCAACGCCAUCAUCUUACCAUAGAUUGGGUAAUCAUAACAAACAAGAACCGUUGAUUGGUGCCAUUUGUAGGCUAUCAUGCAAGAAUCUCGAACCAUGUCGUUAAUUGUGCAUUUACAUUUGUCAAUGUCGUUGAUUGCAUGUAAUGACUAAUUGACAUUGAUUUUUGGGUGUAAAUGUCAUCUAGAUUGUCGCUUAGGCAUUGACGAUGAUUAAUCAUUUGUCAAAUGCUUAGAAUUUUCAAUUGGGUUGGUUUGUCCGUUUGAAAGUCCCCAGUCAACUUGUCUGUCCAUUUCGUCUGGCAUUGGGGAAAAAAGAAAUUUGUAUUUCCUCUUGUGUCAAAUGGAGCUUGUCUUAGUCCAGACGGAUUACACCCUAACAAAUUACCUGCUUACCUUGGACGGUCAAAGGGUCUUGAGCCUAGGUAGGACACGUGGAGAGAAACUUUCCACACAACCUCCAUGGUUAUUCGAUUUUGCCUAAAUUAUAAUUUAUGAGAAUAAAUAUAUAAAUUUAAUGAUUUAAAAUAAAUUUUAAGUUAAUUUUAUCAAAUAACCUUAAUAUUUAAAGUAAAAAUUAAGUCAUAAGUUUUCAAUUAACAACUUAAGUAUAAUUUAACUUAAAAUCAAUUUAAACUAUUAAGUAAUAAGUAUAAAAUUUUAUCAAACACCCACUAAUUGUUUUUUUUAUUUUAUUGAAAAACUUUUUUCUACAUGUUUUCUUAAAGAUUUUUUUGAACUUUUUUUAAAAGUGUUUUAAAGUUUUAUCAAAUACUUCAUUUGCUUUUUUUUGAAAAAAAAAUGUUUUUUUUUAAACUUAAAAUUAGUGGAUAUUUGGUAAACCAACUUAAUAAGUUAAUUUAAAUCAUUAAGUAAAUUAAGUAUGUUUCGUAAAAUAACUUAAUGAAAUGACUUAAAGUUAAAAACAACUUUAAGUAAGAAGUAAAAACAAUUAAUUUAUUUUUAAGUUCAUAUCUUCAUUUGACAUUUUUACCCCAAUUUGCCUUAAUUACCUCUGCAAUCUCCUUAACUAUUACUCAACUUUCUCUACCCUAAUUAUAAUUUAUGAUGAUAAAUAUGUCAAUUUAAUGAUUUAGAAUAAGCUUUAAGUUAAUUUUAUCAAACAAACUUAAUACUUAAAGUAAGAAUUAAUUAAUAAAUUUUAAGUCAACAACUUAAAUAUAAUUUAACUUAAAGUAAACUUUAGUUAUUAAGUAAUAUAUAUUAAAUUUAACUAAACACCCUCUUAGUUUUAUUUUGAAAUAACUAUCGGUAGAUUCUUACUCUUAUUUAAGUGUGUUUUUUUUUUUUUUUUCCCUCAAUGAUCUUGAUUAGUCAUACAUAUCCACACUUGAUAUUAAGAGUUGAUUUUCCUCUAAUGACAUUGGACCAACCUUUUUGAGCUUUACCGUCUCAAUGAUCUUGAUUAGUCAUACAUAUCCACACUUGAUAUUAAGAGUUGAUUUUCCUUUGAUGACAUUGGACCAACCUUUCUGAACUUUACCGUCUAACUAAAGAUAAGCACUAAACGGUUGUUGUGAGACUGACAUUUGGAGCCCUUCCACUUGCCUACAUAUACCCCAGAAGUUGGCUUUAGGUUUUCCAUCUUCAACCUCUCCUUUUGCCCAAUCUUUUAUCAUUGAAUAACAGACAUGGAUCUCUUCUUUUCAUAUCUACUAUACCUUAUACUAUUCUCCAUAUCACUUCCAAUAGUCUUCCUUAUUACUUACAGGCACAAAUCCUCCAAUCCAAACCUUCCCCCUGGGACAAUGGGAUGGCCAAUCAUAGGAGAAACUUUGGAAUUUUCUUUGGCUUGUCAAGGGGGGAACCCGGGGAGAUUCUUGAACGAUAGAAUGAACAAGUACUCCCCUCAAGUGUUCAAGACCUCCUUAUUGGAAGCGAACAUGGCUGUGAUGUGCGGCGCUUCGGGCAACAAGUUUCUUUUCUCCAACGAGGACAAACUUGUAGUCUCAUGGUGGCAGCGUUCAAUGAAGAAGAUUUUGUGCUUCCCAUCUGUCUUCAACGAAACUUUAACAGGAGAUAAGUUCAGACCCCCUACCUUCCUUCCUGAAUUUCUCAAGCCAGAAGCUCUGCAACACUACCUAGCCACCAUGGAUUCGAUGGCAAGCGAACACAUUGAGUUGAAUUGGUCUUCUAAUAGAGAGGUACUGGUUUUUCCGCUUGCAAGGAAGUACAGCUUUGCGUUGGCUUUCCGGCUCUUUAUGAGCAUUGAUGAUCCUGAGUAUGUUGAGAUGAUUUCUCAUCCCUUCCAGAUUUUGAACGAAGGAUUCCUUUCUGUGCCUAUAGAUAUUCCUGGGACGACAUUUAACCGUGCUCUCAAAGCCAGCAAAUUCAUUCACAAUGAGCUUCUAGCAAUCAUCAGAAAGUGAAAAAUGGAGUUAGAGCAGAAGGGAGACUUAGCUACUAGAGACCUACUGUCUCACAUGCUCUUAGCAUCAGAUGAAAAUUGUGAUGUUAAGAGUGAGAUGGAGAUCAGUACUCAAGUUAUUUGUCUGCUUUUUGCUACCCAUCACACCACAAGUUCUGUCAUCACAUUCAUCCUCAAGUACCUGGCCGAGUUCCCUGAUGUCUAUAGCAAAGUCUUAAAAGGUAAUACCUAAAAAACCGGCUGUCUCCUUUCUUUUGAAUCCAUUUCAAGCUUACAUGCAUUGUUGUUUGAUAGUGUUUUCAUUUGAAGUAUUUUUUAAAAAAUGUUUAUAGACGAGAUAUAAAGUAUUUGUCUUUUCUUUUGUCUUGGCCUUGAUCCAUGGGGUAGGUGAAUAGAUUCGUUGACGAAAAUUUUUAAAAAUUUUAAGAUAGUUUUUCUUCCUCAUCUUUCCCCAACUAUUGUGAAGGGUUGUUCAUUAACAGACCAAAUUUAAAAUUAAUUUUUUUGAUUCAAUAGAGCAAAUGGAGAUUGCAAAGAGCAAAGGUCCGGAAGGGUUUCUGAAGUGGGAUGACAUUCAAAAGAUGAAAUAUACUUGGAAUGUAGCAAAUGAAACAAUGAGGCUAACCCCACCUGUGCAAGGAACUUUUAGAGAAGCCAUAACUGACAUCACGUAUGCAGGUUUUACAAUUCCAAGGGGAUGGAAGGUAUGUCAUAUAUAAAGUGCUGUUUUGUAAAAUCAAAUUGUUUGUGGUACACUCACGAAACUUACUGGAAAAUUUUGUCCUGCAGAUGCAUUGGAAUGUAAAUACAACACAUAGAGAUCCCAAGUAUUUUCCUGAUCCCGAGAAAUUCAAUCCCUCGAGGUUUGAAGGAAAAGGGCCUCAACCAUUCACUUUUGUGCCUUUUGGGGGAGGGCCUCGGAUGUGCCCCGGAAGGGAAUAUGCUCGAGCGCAGGUACUUGCAUUCAUACAUCAUGUGGUGACAAGAUUCAAAUGGGAGAAAGUAGAUCCCUGUGAAAAGGUUGCAUAUAAUCCAUCACCCAUUCCUUCCAAGGGCUUCCCAAUUCGCCUCCAGCCUCUACAAAAUGGAUCUAUUUAAGAUUUGGUUAUUUAAGAAGCUAUAUUUGUGGUGCAUUUGAAUGUUUCAAUAAGAUGGCUGCAUGCAUAAGUUUCAGUUCCUGCAAAAUAAAGUGGACAACUAAUAUAGCAAAAAAAGAAAAGAAAAAUUAAAAUAUAUUAAUUCCAAUAAUCAAUGAAAGGACAUGUUGGGAAGUAUCCAAAAUUCCUAAUUAGUAUAAAUUCCUUUUUAUAAAGAAUAUUAUAUACAAUAUUUCCUAAGUUGAUACAUUAUUGUAAUAUUAGAUUUCCUUAUAGAAUAAAAAAAGUUCUUGGAAAUAUCUUUAUAAAUAUUUUAGGUCAUGAAAGGAAAAUGUUAUGAGAUGGAGACGAGCCUAUAAAGACCAUACGAGGUGGAUAGAUGUGAGGGAGAACCAUACAAGGUGGAUAGGAAUGUGAGGGAGAAUGAGAGAUACCCGGUGGAGCGAGAGAGCUUUUGGUAGGAUAUGGAUACAAAGAGUGGGGGAUAUGAUAUGUUUGGAGGACUCAAUAGUUGUAUCUAGUUCUAUAAUCUAUAAUGUUCUAUAUUGUAUAAUAGAAAGAUUCUCUCCUUUGUGAAUGUAGACAUGUUUGGUUAAACCACAUUAAAAUCUCAUGUACCAGGUGAGUAAUUGUUUUAUCUUUCUGUUCUUGAAUGGUAUCAGAGCUUUUGCUGACACAACAUGUACAAUUUUUUAUGAUUCACAGGAAUAAUAUUUUUCUCUCAUUCAAUCUCCACUAUGUAUAAGAAAAAUGAGAAAAGAUGACACCUUAUAAUAAAAAUAAUGGCGCUUUUUACAAGCCCCAACAAAUCAAGCAUUCUUAUAACCAUUUUUUGUAGUAGAAAUCUCUUUCUUGAUUUCAAUCCAAGGGCAAUGGAACUGAAAGUUUACUUGAGGGCUAGAGGUGACUUAUUUUUUAGUAACCUUGUUCAAGGUGGACGAAGAGUGGGUGUGGAGUGUAUGGUAUUCCUUCACAAGUGUGAUGAUUGGUUCAAGAUUUGAAUUGAGUGCCACGCAGGCCAAAGCUAGUGGUUUCUAUUAGAAGUUGUUACAUCAAUUAGUUUAUAUGCUGCAUAUAUUCAGGGGUAUAAAGGAGACUAUUGUAAUAGAAUAAGACUAGACUUCAGGAAAGGUUUUGGGGUGUGUUUGAGAGAAAAUAGAGAAGAUUUUCUUGAUGAGUUUUUUUAGAAAAUCAAACACAAACAAAGAGGGAAGAGAUCUGUAAGAACCUUGUACUCAAAGUUCAUCAACAAGAUUGACUCUGCAUAUUUUGGCAUAAGGACAAGUUUAUGAGGGAUUUCCUUGCUCUAUUUAAGAGGGAGUUUAAAUGAGGGCCAAAAGACUUAUUCUUAUUAAACUUAUGAAGAAAUUUUUUUAUUGUUUCAAUGAACUAAGCAGUUUCCUUCUAGAAGUUGUCCCUUUAUUAAUUUGCGUUAAAAUUAAGAAAAAAAUGCUUCAAGGUUUUUGGUUGUAUUAGAAACUGUCAUUUUUUUUUGGGUCCCCUCACCAGACCGACAUUGAAGUAUAAUAUCUGUAUUCAUAGGUGAAUUGAGGCACUUGAUCCGGCCCCUUAGAUUUUCAUCUCCUAAUUUGGCUCCUUGAUUGCAAAUCUCUUUAUGAUAUUUUGUCAAAAAGAGAAUAUGCUACCUUAAUCUAUUUGAUCAAUUCAAUGGCCAUUUGGACCUAUUUUGGUGUCAACAAGACAUCCAAACACCAAGAGACAACGUGCAUUAUCGACCUAGUUGGAAGCCUGGAGCUUGAAAUUGUUUUCUAUUGAUGAGUUAGGCUUGGGUUGUGGUGGACCUUGGCAUGAUUUGACCCUUUUUCUAAUCCACGUCGGGCCUUAAUUUAACGAAGUAGACUAAGGGAUUGAGCACUUGGUGGGAUUGAAGAAAUCUUUUUGGGGAAGUACUGGAUCUUGAAGCUUGAAACAUCAAUCUUUGAAGAUGUCAACAAUUUGAACAUGUGCCAUAGUGAAAUCAAAUGUGAAAAAACCUUUUUUUUUCUUUCCUUAGUACUUUUUAAGAACCAAACAUAGUCAUAAUGGUUAUUCCAAAUGCUAGAGGUUUAGGCUAUGUUUGAUCCUCAUAAAAUUUGAGAGAAAAUGUAAAGGAAAGAAAAAGUGAAGAAAAAUAAAAGAUAGAGUUAAAGUCGAUAAAUUAUUUUUAUUUAUUAUUUUAAACUCAUUUUUAUUUAUAUUAACUUACCAAUAUAAAAAUUAAAUAAUUUAAAAAUACAUAAAUUUCUAACUAAUUUUAACUAUAUUUAAUUUUCUUUGGAAUUUCUUAUAGGACAAUCAAACAUGAGAAAAUAAUUUUUCUUACCAUUUUUUUCUUUUCUUAACACUUUCUGAGAACCAAACAUAACCUUAGUGAUUUUAUCACAACUAAUAUUAAGAUAAACAAGUAAUUAACUCAUGAGUCUAAUCCAAUCCUUAAUAGUAAGUGGUGGAGUCUUUGGUCUUGUUUAUGCAUGUCUUGGAUUUGAUCAAUUGCUUUAAAAUUUUUGUUGAUUACGAAUCCAAAUUUGAGGGUUGAAGCAUAAAUUUAACAAGGGAAUUGAAUAUAUUAAUGAUUAAGUUAUGGUCGUAAUAUAUAUUGAGAAGACAGGACUAAGUUUAUUUUCCUUAUAUGAAUCUUAAAAAUCGUGACAACUUGAAGAAUAUAGUGGUAGGUGAUGUUAUAUGUACGAAUGAAAUAUUCCAUGAUUCGUUUCUCUCAUGAAUUCUUUUUCAUUGUAAGUUAUUUUUCAUUAAUUAAUUUUAAAAAUACAAAAUUACAAUUGAAACAAAAUCAAAUCUUUUGUUCAAAAAGAAAAAGAAUUAAAAUAUUUCUAAUAUAACUAGAAUAAUAUUAAUAUAUAACAUGAUUUAAUAUAUUAUCUAAUAUAUAGAAAAUGGAUUUAUCCAUUUAUGUUUUAUUAAUGUAUACCAUUUGAUUGCAUAUCACAAUAUUUUUUUCUUUAUAAGAUUUUAAAUUAUUAUAUUAUUCAUAAAAAAGAAAAAAUAAUAAUGUACUAAAAAUAAAUUAUGAAAAAAUAUAAAUAAUAUUAUCUUUUUAAUAUUGAAAAAUGAGAUGAAAUAUAUUUUUUGUUUUAAGAAAUACCGAAAAGCUAGGUAGAGAUAUGUUUUCUUUUUUUAUUUUUUUAUUUUUUUUUCCUAUGGAACAAAUAUUAUCAUACUCAAUAGAAUGGGCCCAUGGUACCACAUCGGAUUCAAUCUAUUAUCUGUGAGGUAACAAAUUCAGUAGAAUGGACCCGUAGUUAUGAUACUUGUAUGGCCACAUCCCUCCUAUGUAUAUUUGGUAAUGCUCCAUCAUAUUCACUCGGAUAUAUCAUAAUGUCAUAAGACCAAUUGUCCAUAGUUAUGAUAAAUAUUAUGAUAUAUAUAUAUAUAUAUAUAUAUAUAUAUAUAUAUAUAUAUAUUCGAUAGUGGAAAAAGUUUUUGAUACUAUGUAUAUAGUGGACUUUUAUCAAUUAUGUAGAUGUCUUUUAUAGUCGUGAGUGCCAUUAGGCAUAAUGUGGAGUGUACAUGAGAGGGAGCAAGGUCAUCCUAAAUAUGAUGGAAUGAGAUUAUGUUUGUCUAACUUUGUAAGUGUUAGGAUUGAGUCUCUAAAAGCAAGACAUGAUAUAACAAAGUUAGAUUUUACUGUCCUUUUGUUAUCCCUUGUAUGCAUUGAUAUUAAUUUUAGUAUUCAAACUCAUAUGAUCACUUGCAUUGUACAUGAUUUCAAUGCAAUAGAAGUUGUACAGAAGAUACAAUUCAUGGGUUUCUUACAAGAUGAUAAGUUCUUCACAAUCAAUUAAUGAAUUUGGGCAAUCCAAUAGAGGCUGUAGUGCACUACCUUCUAAUUAGAGGGAUGACUUAUUUUAAUCAUCAUGAUAAGUUUUCCAUGGUGAGUACAUUAGUAUGUAUGAUUAUACAUUGGAUAGGACUUACGGUGAAUUAUGAUGUAAGAUUAUUAUAUUGUCAUGAUUCACCAAACUUCUAUAUUGCAUGUACUCUCAACCUUGAGAGUAUAUUGAGUCUCUAUUGAAAUCAAUAGGAAGCUUUAAUUUGACCUACAGAUGAUACCCUAUAAUGGUCAUAUAUCCCUAUGGAUUGAAUCAUUAUUGAUGGAGGCCAAUGACAACAAGUAUUCUCAAUGGAGGCAUUAUCAUAUCUCAUGAGAUUAAAACAGUAUGUCCCUUUAGGUGAUCCAAAGGACAUGUGAUCAUGGAAUAUGUGGUCGCAAUAAUUCUUUUAGUAGAAUUUACUCCCAUCCACUUAUUUAGGUCUCCCUUUAGGUGCUCUGUGUAAAUCUACAAUAGUUUAGGAUGGAGUAAAAGAGAGAUUUUAUAAGAGGUUGUCCAUGUGGAAGAGACAAUACAUUUCCAAAGGAGGGAGUAUUAUUUUAAUUUGAAAUACUUUAUCUAUAACUAGCUUGCCCAUUUAUUUUAUGUCUUUGUUCUAUAUCACAAUGGCUAUUAGAAUGAGGCUAAAACAAAUUUAGAGGGAUUUUUUGUGGGAGGUGGGGUGUUAGAUUAUAAACCACAUCUUGUUAAAUGGACGAUUGUUUGCUUAGACAAAAGGAAAUAUGGGUUGGGUGUUAAGAGUCUCUCAAUUCUUAAUAAGACUUUUAUUUGCAAGUGGAGUUGGUGUUUUUCAAAUGAGAAUUGUGCUUUCUAGAAGCAAGUUAUUUGUGGGAAGUACAGAUAAGAAAAAAGGGGUUUGUCUUCUUGGAAGGUGAGAGAGGGGUGAAGGGUUGUGUUGGGUUGUAGAAAACAGUAAGGAAUUAGGAUUGGGAUCUUAUGAGAACUAGGUAUUCCUUCUUGGUAGGUAAUGGGCGGAGAGUGAAAUUUUAAAACGAUAAGUGGUAUGAGGGCAAUCUGUUGAGUGUGUCUUUCUCUUCUCUAUUUGCUUUAAGUAAUUCUAAGGAUGUGUGGGUGCGUGGAGGAAGUUUAGAAUUACUCAACUAAAAAGGGGGGGGGGGGGGGGGGGGGNNNNNNNNNNNNNNNNNNNNNNNNNNNNNNNNNNNNNNNNNNNNNNNNNNNNNNNNNNNNNNNNNNNNNNNNNNNNNNNNNNNNNNNNNNNNNNNNNNNNGGGGGGGGGGGGGGGGAGGGGGAGGAGGGAAGGUGAAAUCCUUAUUUUUCUAGACCUUUUAAUGAUUGGGAGAUGGAUUGUGUGGAGAGAUUUCUAGCAUGUUAAUUUGCAUGGGAAGAGAGUGUAUAGGGAUGCAGAAAAUACAAUGCUUUGGACAAUGACAAAGAGUGGCAAGUUUAUAGUUAAUUCUCUUUACAAUGCUUUGGAGCUAGACAACUUCGAGUCUUUUCCAAUAAGAGGAAUUUGGCUCUCAUGGGUAUAACCUAGAGUGAGUUCCUAUUUUAUUUUUUAUUUUUUAUUUUUUGUUGAAGGCUACGUGGGUAAAGUUUUAACCUUGGAUCAAGUUCAGAGAUGAGGAUGGUGUUUAGAAAAUAGGUGUUAUUUUUUUCAUUUGUUUGAAAAAUCCAUAGAUCACUUGCUUCUCCAUUGUGAAAAAACAAGGGUUUUAUAGGAGUUGUUUUUUGCAUUUUUUUUUUGAUAUUUUUGGGUGCUUCCUUUAUUAGUUAAAGAGAAUCAUUGGGGUGACAUGGUUUUUUUGUGGAAAAAAAGUGUGGGAAGGUUUAGAGUGCAAGCCCUUUAUAUUUGUUUUGGAGAUUUAGAAGACAAGGAACAAAAAUGUGUUUGAUGAUGAGGUGUUUUCUUUCAAAAAGCUAAAAAAUGAUUUUUAUUUGGUUUAUUUGGUUAGAGACUAAGUUGUUUAUGUAUGAUUGUCUUUUGACUUUAGUGAGUUACUUUGAUUGGUUGGGCCUUGGUGAGGGUCCAAUUCUUUUGGUUUUUUCUCCUAUUUGAGCCUUGGUGGUGGAGGGAGGUUUGUUUCUUGUAUACCUUAGGUUGCUCUUUUGGUGACUCAUUUUAAUUUAAUUUGAUUCUUUAUCUAUCAUUUAAAAAUAUAAAAAAAAUCAUAUCCUUCUUGGAGUUAGAAUAUGUCGGUUGAACAUACAAUAGAAAAAUUUACAACUCAAGUAUUAGAGGAGUAAUCUUGAUGGGUUGAUAACAUUACCCUAUUAUUUUAUGGACACCAAUUCAUGGGGUGUCUGUAUGCAAUAGAAAGUAGAUCACAAACCUGAGCUUUGUCUCAUUGCAAUUUCAUAAAAUACUGGCGUGUAGUUAACUCUUUUUAGUAGAGUAUUGAGUCAACUUCAUAAUUGGAAUAUAAAGGAGCCAAUAUUUUCUUAUAGGUCCCAAUGGUCCCCCAUCGAGCUCUUAGUUCAUAUUGGCAUGUUUUGAGGGUAUUUUGGCUAUGUACUUCAUAAGUGUAUAUAAGGGUGUUUUAAUAAGAAUAUAAUAUUGCACUAGAUCUUAUGAAUUGAUUUUCUUAAAUGGGCUAAUUAAUUAAUUGGAACAUGUUAUGGCUAAUUAAUUAAUUAAGACUGAAGCCUAAUUUGGGUUCAAGUCACUUAAACCCACAAAAAAAGCCUAUAUAAACCCCUUAGGGGUUAAGACUUUAUUCUUCUAGUUCGGUUUUCUAAAAUUGCAAAGAGAGGAACCCAAGUCAACCUCAAGAAGAGAGAAAAGCUCACCAUUCUCUCAUGCCAAGCAUCCAUUAUGGGAGAGAUUGGCUGGAAGAUCAUUGGAUAAACUAGUUCUACAACAACCACAACGUUUUCAUCAAAUGGGAUUCUAUCUAGGAACAUUCAAAUCACAAGUUUGAGCUCUUUCUAUGUAAAUCUAGGUUUUUUUUUGUUUUUAUACUUAUAGGUUUGAAAACGAUGAGAAAUCAGGAUAAAUAUGACCAAAUGUAUUUUAUAUGGAAGUGGAUGUUACCAAUAUGACAAAAUAUAUUCUAUGUUGACUGGAAAUGAUGUGAUAUCCAAUCAACCAAAUCACGUGGAAUACAUUUAGCAAUGAUAAAGUAGGUUUGGUGAUGUAAAUAUAAGGCCCCAAUAUUUGGGUUAGGCUCGUUUGGGUUAAGAACCUUUUCGGAUUUUCUUAUUUGGUGGCACAAACUUGACCGUGACAUAUACCAUUAUUCUAACACUAAAGUGGACCACUAAAAUGCCCUACAAAGCGCUAAUAUUCAACUCACAAGUUAGAUAGUUAUCAUGAUGCAAAAUAAUGCUUCCCAUAUUAUAAUUUUUGAAAAUAUGAUAAAGGAAAAGUUGAAUUAUCACAAUUCAUUUUUCGUAAGUAUGUAAUAAUCUAACAAAUUUAAAUCAUAUUUCGUAACUAUUAUCAAAAACGGUUCUUAAAAACACUUUUUGAAAAAUUUUCUUUAAUAUUUUAUAAAAAAAAUAUUUAUUUAAAAAUUUGAAAUGUUUUAAACCUAUUUUCCAUUUAAAAAAAAUAUGUUUUAAAAAUAACUUUAUAUAUACUAUUUUAUUUGUAAUUAUUCUCCAAAUUUAUGCAAUAUUUUUUAAGACAAUAUUUAUAAAACUAUUCUAAAUAAUUGUUUUCAAAACCAUUUCAUACAUAGACCCUUUUAUCGUUUUUUUCUUCUUUUCUUUCUUUUUUUUUUUUUUUUAAGAUGCCUAUUAUUAUUGGAAAGUAGUUUUAAAGUAAAUGUAGAGAGCGCUGAUCAUUUUGAUGCAUUAGUUACAUAUUUUGGACAUCUUUCUCAUUACUUUUUAUUAUAUUAAUUUGCUCUUCUACAUCUAUAUAUUGGUUUUCCUUGUUCUAUUUGAUAUACUUAAUCAUUUUUGUGAGAAAAAGAGGAGAUGACACAUACAUUCAUAUUUAUUUUGAGUAACGAUGAUUCUACAUUUUAUCAUUUUCUCAUAAUUUUUAGAAUUUUCUUAUAAUGUUUGGGAUUUUUGAAUUGUGAUAUUUAUAGCUUAUCAUAUAAAUUAAUUACUAUUUUUCCCAUGCAUUACUUUUCACUGGUGUUAUUUGUAGGUUACAUGUUUCCAUGAUCUUUAAAGACUUACAAAGCAUUGAUGGAAGAUCAUCGAGUUGAAAUUUUUAGUUUAGACAUAAAAGAUUGAGAUGGUGUUUGUUUUUUUAACUUAAUUCUAAAUAAAACUUAAAACUAAAUAAUGUUUAAUAAUGUUAAGUAUUGAGUUAUUUGUUUUUUUAAAUAUUUUAUUUAUAUUAAAUAUUAAGAAAUAAAGAUAAACUAAUAAAUUAUUUUAACAUUAAAAAAAAUUAACUUAAAAAUUAGCUCAUUGAAUAAGUAAAUUCGGUAGGAUGGUACCAAUGAAAUCGAGUGCUAACUCCCAUUUCUUAUUGAAUUAACUUAUCAACUUUCUAUCGAACUUUUGGAUUUGAUAAUUUUCGCAAAAAAAAUCAUUUAAUUUGACUUUAUUAUUAUUAUUAUGAGAAUAAAUCCUACUACUUUUGGUUAUGGGGUUUCCAUGCUUGAAAAAAAAAACCUAGGGCGUAUCACUCAAAUCAUUGGUCUAGUCCUGGAUGUAGCCUUUUCCCCGAGUAAGAUGCCUAAUAUUUACAAUGCAUUGGUAGUUAAAGGUCGAGAUACUGUCCGUUAACAAAUUAAUGUGACUUGUGAGAUACAACAAUUAUUAGGAAAUAAUAUUUUGACUUUUUUUAUUCAAUUGAAAAUUUUAAGAAAUAAAUAAUAAGUUAAUAAAAAGUAAAAAUAAAAAUAAAUGAUCUGAAAUAUAAAAAUAAGUUGCUUUUUUAUUUUAUUUAAAAAAGUCAAAUAAAUAAAGAGACAACACCUAAGUGGUAUAUAAACUCAUUUUUUCAUAGCAUUGGAGGAGUUAUGUAAUAAUUAUUUAGACAUAAAAUUGUUAAAAGGGGAUAUUGCUAGUGAUUUAGAUUAACUACUUUAGUUUGAUAAUCUUAUUCCAAAUAAUUAUUCGUCUAAUAUUGUUGCAUAUUUUCUAAGAUUAAUAUAGGUCUUGAAGAUUUAAUUAAGAUCAUCAUCACUUUGUAAACGAGGCCAUCUAGGUAAGUAUGCUUGAGUUAGUUUAGUGAAUGAUAUAAUUAAGAAGUGUAUUUUGAGAAUUAUUACAUAACAUGAGCUUUAUAGGUUUGGAAAAGCAAAUUUGAGAAGGAGUGCUCAAGAGGUUCUUAAGAGCGCUCACUAUAAAACAUGUUAAGAGUUAAACAUGAAGAUGCAUAUAGAUACUAGCCAAUGUAAAGUCCUCAGGGAAUUGAUAGCUUCUAAUUCAUGUAAAAUUGUGAUUUAUUUUUUCAUAUUAAGUGAAUUUUCUCAACAAUCAAUUGACCAAUGAUAUUUAAUUAAUAUAUAGUUUAUAUAUAUAUAUAUAUAUAUAUAUAUAUAUAUAUAUAUAUAUGAUCAAUUUUUGUUUUGAAAUUUGAUGUCUGCUAUUGAUCAAAGGAUUAAGAAAGAAAGAAAGAAUGAAUGAAUUAAUCAAUCUCCAUGUGUAAUUUCAAGAAUCAAAAUUAGAACUUCUAAAUGACAAAAUAAAACUAAGAAUCAAUUUUAUAGUGAUUUUAGAAAGUGUUUCUAACAUUUUUAACACUUUAAAAUUUCUAUCAUUUAAAUAUUAGAAAUAUUAUAAACAUUUUCUAAAAUCAUUAUCAAAUAUAUUUUAAAUGAGAUUCAACUUAAAUUUGUGUUUCUUGUUGAUGGACGUGCAUGUUAGUAUUUUAUAGUCGAGUGAUGAACUCAUCUCUUAAUUAAAUUUUAAAGAGAACUCUUAUCAUUGGAAGAUGUGGUCUACCAUGAUCUUUGACUUUUCAGGGUUAUAUAUAUUGAAUACUAAAGUAAAAAUUAAUAAAUUAUGGCUAAAGAGACUUAAAUCGGAAUUUCUUGCUGGAUGGAUGUGCGAGUGUAAAAAUAACAAGUGUAAUUUCAUUGAUCGGACGAUGUAAUGAAUUAUACAAAUAAUUUAACUAUUUUUUAUUUUUUUUAAGUUUGGAGAUGAAUCACCCAAAUGAUGACUCUUGAAAUAGACCCAUUGGAUGUGAUGUCAAAUAUCAUAAAAUGUUUGAUCUAUCCUUAUUGAUCACCAAUUGGUUUUCAAAUGACAUGAUCAAAACUCAAUCUUAGAGUUGGUAUAUAUAAGAGAUUGUGCAAGAAGCAUCGUAAUUGGGCAAAUAAAAAAUAAUGUUAAAUAACUAUAUUUUUCAUACAAAUUUGUAUGGUAUAUGAUUGAAGAAGAGAGUAAAGAAGUGUUGUUUGACUGGAAUUCUUAACAGCAAGGUCAGAGCUCUCUACAGGGAGUCAAUGAGGACUUUCCCAACAUUACCUUCUACCUGCUCUCUUCUCUUCUAAUUUCAAUUCUAACCGCUGGAAGAGAUGGGAGUGGUUUGGUGCCGAGGAUUCAUCCCCUCACCUCAUCCAAGUUUUUGUUGAGUCCAAACAAAACUUUAAACACAUGUUCUUUUCCAACAAUUUUCUUAUACUUCUGAGAAUACUUAGUACAACCGAAUUUAUUUUCAUCAAAUAAGUCUAUAUGUUGCCAACGCCUAUUGAGAAUAUUGAUAAAGUAUUGAGUUAUUGAGAGUUCUUCUUGCUUGAGAUCAUUAAGAAGCUUUCUCCUGGCAUUUCAGUUGAUGGUACAGAUAGCGAGGCCCAUACACCUAUGGCAAUCAGUGUUCCAGAUUCUGAUUUUCAUGAUUUUGAUUUGAACCAAACUAAAAGUUCUUUUGGAGAUAAUCAGGUCUGGUCGGCAUACGAAAAUGAUGAUGGGAUGCCUCGGUUCUAGGCACUGAUUCACAGAGUGAUCUCUUCGAAUCCGUUCAAGAUGAAGAUCAGUUGGCUUAAACCCUAAAAGCAACAGCGAAUUUGGUCCAGGAGAUUGAAUAGGCUGGUUGAAUGGAUAAUGGGGUGGGUUCAGUAUGGGGCCCUCCUUGAGAAAUAUCCAACAGCAAAUUAGGACCUUUUUGUCUUAUUCAAAAGGGUCAGACGGCUGGAACACAGGUGCUAUUGAGUUAAAUGUUGCCAUUGGGCAAGGAAUCGAGACCACUAGCAUCCACAGAGCAAACACAAUUGCACCGUGGCCCCACGUGCGCAUGGCCAUGCAUGGCGACCUUUGGCGUGCAAUCCCAGCCGCCACAUGUCAUCCUCUUAUUUCUUCUUUCUUCUGAUGUCAAAAUUUAAUUUCCCAAUUUCUAAUUUUUAAAUUUAUUUUUCAAAACUUCAAUUUUCAAAUAAUUUUCAAAAUUCUAAUUUUUAAACUUUUUUUUUAUUUUUAAAAAAGCACCUCAAAUUUCAAAUUUAAUUUUCAAAACUUCAGUUUUUAAAACUCCAAUUUUUAAAUAAUUUUUAAAACUCUUGUUUUCAAAUUUAAUUUUCAAAACUCUCAUUUUCAAAUAAUUUUCAAAACUCUAGUUUUUUUAAAAAUAAUUUUAAUUCUACUCCAGUUUUAAAAUAUUUUUAAUUCUACAAUUUUUCAUCAUUCAUUAUGAAUUUAGGUCACCAAAAAUCUCGAAUUUAAUAAACUUGUUGUCAUUCUUUUUCUAGCAUGCACUUUUACAAAUUUUAUUUGAUUUUUAAUUUAUUUUCUUUUCGUUUUUUCUCCUUUUUUAUAUAUAAAAAUGAAUAAAUUUUCAUAAUUCCAAAAUAAUGGAAUUUAUAGGAAUUAAUCCAUAAUAAAAUAAAUAGGUAAAUUGGGCUUUAGUAGGGGUCUACAUAUGAGUUUUCUCUUCUAAUUGUCAACUGUUAUACUUAAUGAAUAUUGUUUGAUCUUUGUUCUACUAUUUGACAUGCAUGUGCUAAUUUUAUCAUUAUGAACUAACCUUGUUUCCAUGAUAUCAUGUUCUUAUUUGCUAUUAAGGUAUGCUUUCACUCCUACUUCAUUUAUUUAUUCGUUCUUAUACUCAAAUUGUUUUAUUAUUUGAACAUUUCAUUGGUAUCCAUUGAUUUCCUUAGCAAUUGUCACACUUGCCUCACCUUAUUUAAUAGAGACCCAUUUUUAGAGACUUAGAAGGGUGCUACGACUCACCACCAUAUCUUUCCAAUAGGUAACCUAACCCUUGGACCUAGACUUGAUUUUUCACAAAUCUAUUUUUUUUUCUUUAGGAGUCAUACUUAAGGUUUUCUUUUUAAUUUUGUUUUUCCUUAAAAAAAAUAAAACAAAAAUAAGUGGCGACUCCAAGUAUUUUUCAAAAAAUAAAAUUUUUCAUAAAUAAAAAGUGAGUUCCUCAUCGAGUGGGAAUGCAUCGUGCAAAAAUGCAGGGUCCACGCCUUGAAAUUUAUUUUUAUUUUAUAGUAGAAUCCAAAGUUUUGUAAUACUUAAAUGGCAGAAAGAGAGCAAUCAAGCUUCAUGUGCUAGUAUUUUAUUUAUUUUUUAUUUAUUUUAGUAUUUCUUGUUUGGAUUGAAACAAAAACAAGGAUAUCAUACAAAAUUAUAAUAAAUUUUUAAAUCUUUUAUUUCUUUCAAAUAGAUUAGUAUAUAUUAUAUUAUACAUAAUGCUAAAUCAUAGAUGCUUCAAAUGAUUAAGAAGGAUAACUAAUUAUCUUUCUAUUAAAAAAAUAAAUGAUGUCAUUAAUUGUUGCAAACUAAUUUACAUUAUGGGAUGAUGAGUGGGUUGGUCAUUCUAUCAUCUUCAAAAUUAUCCUAGAUAAUAAAAGUAGUCCUAUAAUUAAUGAUUAAAUAAAAAUAUUUCUUUUUCAUUUUUUUUAAAGGUGGUUAAGAAACCAAAUGCUUGUACAUAUUAUGUUCUUUUCUUUUAAUAUUACAUUUGUCAUUUUUUUUUCAUUUAUGUACUGAAUUUUUUAAAGAUGACUUCCUUAUUUAAUAAGAGAAGUAAGUGUCUCAAUUAGAGUUUAUAAUAACGCUUGACUUUUUAUUAUAGAAAGAUGAAUAAUUUAAUCAUAAAACAAAAGCAAGUGUGGAAAAUUGUAGUAAUUCCUAUAUAAAAUGUAGGAGCUCUUAGAAAUUUAUCUUUAAAAAAAACAAAAAUUUUAAAAAUCAAUUCUUAUACAAAAUCAGAUAUUAAAAUUUUUUUGACUACCUCAAUUUUUAAAAAUCUUGAAAGUAAUUUUUAAAAAUAUAAAAUUUAUAUCUCAUGCAAGUUAUUGGAUUUCAUAUAUAAAUUACUAUUAUUUUCUCUUUUAGAAAACAUGAAAUUAGUAAGCCGGAGGACACUUAGACACAUAUACAUUAAAAUCAAGGGAAAUAUGGUAUCCACAUUUUUUAUUUAUGAAAAAUUAAAGAAAAUGAACAUGCCUAACUUUAUAAAUGGUUUGUAUGGAUUGACAUUUUAUAAGAUGAAAAUGACUACACUCCAAUAUGCUAAUAUUCAUGUCAUAUUUUAGUCGUGUUAUCAUGUUACAUCAAAAUUGUCAUACUGAUAUUUUUUUUUUUUAUAAAUUUAAUAAUAUGGUACAUAACUUUUGUAGAAAGAAAAGUUUAUAAGCUAGCCUUGCUAAACAUAUACCUAUAAAAAAUAUUUCAAAACAAGUGUAUAAAAAAUGGUCAUCAAAUAAAAUAAUGUUUGGAUUUAACAAAAUAACCUUGGGAUUUUAGGUUUAAGAAAUUUUGAACUAGGGCUAUCAAAGAUAGGAUUUAAUGAUAUUGGUUGGGAUUAUGAUAAUUUUUUUUUAUAUAGUAUUUGAAUUAUGACUGACUACAUCUAUAAUUAUAAUUAAAUAUUGAAUAUAUCUCUUUUCAUAAGGCACUAUGAAAUAAUUUGUAACAUAAUUGAAGCACAAUAAAAAAAAAUUUAAGCUACUUUGGUCACUAUGCAUAUGAUCUUAAUAGAUAAAUGAGGAUAAUUUAUCAAUGUCUCAAAGUCAUUCUUGAAAGUACUUGUAAAUAAUUUCAAAUAAAUAAAAUUAUCCAUGCCUAAAAACAUACAAAUUAAAAUCAACAAUUCAAAUUAUCCAUGCUAAAAAACAUACUAAUUCAAAUUAUACAUGCUUAAAAACAUAUAAAUUAAAAUCCACAGUCCAAACAAAAAGUCUCUUUUAUGGCAUUAUCAUUCUGGUUCAAUACUGCAUCUCUACCACCCUUCCAAUUCCAUAACCAAUAGUUAGUCAUGUUUCCAUGCGCAACCUGACCAAUGGUUAGUCAUAGUUUAAUUAUCCUGUGCUUUUUCAUCUUAGAAAUGAAGCAAAGUAAGAGCAAAACAAAUUUUAAUUCAUGCUAUGCAAUUUGAAAAACAUAUGAUAAUUGUUUUGGCCUACCAAUUAAAAAAUGAAGCUCUAAAUAAAAUUUUUAAUUAAUUCAAACAAAAUUAUGGCCUACCAAAACAGCUACAGUAAUAUGGUUUUUCUUUUUAAAAUCAAUAAUUCAUUCCAAAGAUAAAACUUUGAUAGGUCCUAAGACAUUUAUUAGAAAAAAUAAAGGAGUUUUAACUUUAGAUAGGUCUAAGAAUACAGGAUCUCCGAAUUUCAUAAAAUCUUGGAAUAAUUAAAAACAAAUAAAAUAAAAUAAAGGCAUAAAAAAAAUGAAAUUUGAAUUUUAUUUUACUAUAUCUAAUUCCAUAUUGAACUCUAUAUUCUUUCAAGCAUGUGAUCAUUUUAAAAUAUAUCUAUAUAUUUUUUUCCACUAAUUCUACUAAAUAUUUUAACCUUCAAUAAACACCAAAGACAAAGAAGGCAUACCUUAUGGGGUAGAGUUGGAAACUAGAGAUAUCUUCAUCUUUUUUGGUUGGAUUCACUGCAUCAUAACAUUUUUAUUUUAUUGUAAUGACUAAAUAAGAAAAUAUAGAUAUAAACUCAAAAGCAUAUAAGUUACAUGUUUCAAACAAUCUUGAUAUGGCCUUAAAGGAGUGGCCGAGUCAGAUAAGUAGGCUGCAAAGUAACUUUUUUGUUUUUAUUUUUGAAUCAUGAAUUAUAAUAAACAUACAAAUUUUUUAAUAUUUCAUGAAGUGCUUUAUCAUUUAACAAAAUAAGUGAUUAUUGAUAUUAGUUAUGAAAGAAAAAAUAUAUAAAAUAAAAAAUGAAACAAUGAAAUGGAUAAAGAAAAGUUUUAAUUAUUGAUAUUAUUUAUGAAAGAAAAAAACUUAGAAAUAAUUAAAUUGAUAAAAAUUUUAUUUAAAUUUUUUUUCUAACAAUAUAAUAUAAAUGUAGCACCAUCGUUAUCAAUAGUAAAUUGGUAGUAAAAAUCUUAAAGUCAACCAAAGCAACCUACCAUAAAAAAUUAUUUAAUAAAAUAUAAAUUAUUUAAAUAAACUUAAAUUUUAUCAACAAUUAAAUAGAAUAUAAUCUAAAUAAUCUAUCUACUUGAAUAAGUCCUAAUUUUUAUUUUUAUUUUUAAAAAAGAGUUUUUAACUUUCAGACAAACCGAAACUGCGGGAUCCAAAAAUCUCCUAAAAUUUUGGGAUAAUUAAGAACACGUGAUUAAAAUAAAAUCAUGAAAAUAUAUAUAUCAGCUGGGUUAUGAUUUCAAAUGUUAUCUAGAUAUUUCAUUUUUCACUAAUUCCAUCUAAUAAAUAUUUUAUUCAUUAGUGAAUGAAAAAAGAAGAGAGAGAACACAUACCUUGCUAGAGGUUAAAGAAACCCUUCAUCCUUUCGAAACUAGAGAAUUUUUUUCUUGGAUGAGUGAUCUUCUCUAUUAGCAGGCCUUUUUCUCGACGGCUGAGGCCAAUGCUUCUGAUCUUGGGCGUAUAUGAGAUGUAUCCCACAACUUUUCACUUUAAAGGAUGCGUUUUCGCCACAUGUAAAAGAGGCAUUACCGACAGGAUUGUCAAAGUGAGCCUUGAAGUUGUUCCACUUUCUGGAUCGAUACUUGCUUGGAAUGCCAAUCUGAGGGAAAUACGUCACCCACAGUGCUGGAUCUGAUGUGCUACCACUGUCGUAGCGUGUGCUGCCAUAUGAUAAACCGCUAAUAGAGUAUGUUUUACAAUGAGGAUGAAAACCAAUAUCAUCCAGUCGUUUAGAUUGAUCACCAUGGGAUAUCGCCAAUUUACAAUGUGGAAUAAAACCAGAUGUUCUCACGCAUUCAUCAUCAUCAUCAAGGGGAACAUGAUGGAAGAAUAAAACAAAUCCUAACAAGUUAUUAUCUUCAUACCAAUUCAUUGGAAGCUCUACACUUACUUCACAUCCCAUUCUUUGAUGACUUACCCACUCUGGUAUUCCACUACUUCCUGGAAUGAUAAUAUUAAAUUUCUGCUGCAGAAAAAAAAUGUCAUGUAAAUCUCAUGCUUUUUAAAAAAAAAAGAAAGAAAAGGGGAUAAUUAUGCCAUGAAAAUGAUACCUGAAUUGGUGAUUUCAAGUGUUUGAGCAAAGAAGACCAGAGUAGACUUGAAGAAGUUUCAGUUUCCAGGCUUGGACAACCAUGUGCCUCUAUCCAUCCAAGACUUGAUGGAAGCUCUCCAAUUACUUCAAGCAUCGGACAAUGAUUAAUGAGAAGGGUACGAAGCUUACAAAGUUGAGUGAUGCCAGCAGGGAUGCAACGCAUACGGUUUUCACUUAUGUUUAAAAAUACCAGUAAGGAUAGGCACCAUAAAUCACUGGGGAUUUCUUCUUCCAUCAGAUUGCAACCACCUAGAUCUAGCAUUGUUAAGCAACAUUGUAGGCUUCUCAAAUUGUCAGGCAAGUUGUGGAGCUUUGGACAGUUACGAACAUGAAGACUAGUGAGACAUGUCAAAUUACCGAUGCUAUUGGGAAGAGCCACAAGGUUCUCACAAUUGAUCAAUUCCAAGGAUUUAAGACCUCUCAGAUGUUCAAUUGAUGAUGGCAGCUCUGAGAUACCCGUCUCACGUAAAAAAAGGCGUUCUAAUUGUUCCAUAUCCUCCGUGAUCUCUGAAAAAGCCUCUAGAUUUGAACAACCAUUGAGAGAGAGGCCUUCGAGGGAUUUCAACUCACAUAUACUGUUUGGAAGACUUUUCAAGUUUUUACAAUUGUCCAAAUUUAAGUGAUCAAGUCUGGUGAGAUGACCUACUGAGUAGGGUAAUCCUUCAAUAGCAGUCUCAUCUAGAAAAAGAGCCCAUAGAUUCCCCAUAUUUUUUUGGAUCUCAGGAAACCUCUCAAGAUUUGAGCAACCACUGAGAGUAAGACUUUCAAGGGCCUGCAAGCGCCCAAUGCUAUUUGGGAGUUCCUUAAUAGCGGUAUUCUCUAAAGAAAGCUCCUUCAAGCAUUUCAUAUUCCCUUGGAUCUCUGGAAAUUUCUCAAAGUUUGAGCAAUAUGAGAGGUUAAGAUUUUCAAGAGAUUCCAAAUACCCAAUGCUCCCUGGGAGUUCCUUAAUACCACUCCUAUGUAGACAUAGCUCCCUUAAACGUCCCAUAUUGGUAAAUACAUCUGAAAAUUUCUCAAACUUCAAACAUUUUUCAAGAGAAAGAAUUUCAAGAGAUGUCAAGGACCCAAUGCUGUUUGGGAGUUCCUGAAUAGCAGUCUUCCUUAAAUAAAGGUUCUUCAAGCAUUUCAUAUUCCCUUGGAUCUCUGGGAAUUUCUCAAAUUUUGAGCAACAUGAGAUGUCAAGAAUUUCAAGAGAUUCCAAAUACCCAAUGCUGCUUGGGAGUUCUUUAAUACCACUCUUACGUAAAUGAAGCCUCCUUAAAUGUCCCAUAUAGGUAAAUGUAUCCGGAAAAUUCUCAAACUUUGGACAUCCUUCUAAAUAAAGCUCCCUCAAAAAUUUCAUAUUCCCAUGGAUCUUAGGAAAUUUCUCGAAGUUUGAACAAU